This 339706-nucleotide long non-coding RNA is filed under the name Setaria italica (foxtail millet). Its description in RNAcentral is "long non-coding RNA (SITA_LNC004131)". The record is from RNAcentral. Lineage: Eukaryota; Viridiplantae; Streptophyta; Magnoliopsida; Poales; Poaceae.
CUUCCUCUCUCUCUCUCUAACCACUGCCAGCCACCUCUGCGCCCGUCGCGACCACUCGCGAAUUAAUUCCCGUUCCGCCCACCUGACUAAGCCGAGGCCCCGGCGCCGCCUCCGGCCGCCGGACGCGGGAGCCAUGGCGCCGGCGGUGGGGAUCAAGCGCUCCACCACGCAGGCCGUCACGCUGCCGCCGCCCGACGCGCGGCUCGCGGUGCGCGACGUCCUGCGCUCCACGAUCCCGUCGCAGCCCGCGGAGGCGCCGCCGGCCGCGGAGAGGCCGGCGGCGCCCGCGGCGGCGGUGGAGGGGUUCCUGUGCCUGGAGGAGGUGGACGGCAGGCGGUGGAGUUACGUGGUGGACCGAGGGGCCGUGAAGGGGAGGGGUAGGGCCGGGGCGGCGAGCCCCGCGGGGGCCUCCGUCAGGGCCGUGCCGCUGCAGUCGCCGCUUCCGCCGGCCGAGGUGAGGCAGCUGGGUGGAAUUGUGACGAGCUGUUAGGUUCGGUGUUGGUUACAAACUUGCGGGUCAUCUGACGGCUCAUUGGGAAGAAUUGGUUGCGGCUUUUGGGUAAUUUGAUUUGAUGGAUUGCUAGGGUGUUUUUCGAUUGGAUUGAUGCAUACGAGGCAUGGUCGCUUGUGGAUUUGAUUUUUUUUUGGGUAUUGAUCUAAUCGGCAAUAGAUAUGUUUUCUCGCCCAUAGGAUGUACACUUCUGAUUGAAGUAACACCGGUGUUUUCGAGGUAAUAAGAGACAAAAUUGGGGGAAGUUUGGUUUGAUCGAGAAUUCCGAGGCUGUGAAUUCUUUUGUGAUUUUAGUCUAUAUGUACCUUAAUCUUUCGAUGAUUUCUAGUUGGUUCGCGUAAAUUCGUAGAGAAUUCGUUUUCAAAAAAAAAUCGUAGAGAAUUGGACACUUGGGUGGGGAUUAGAUGCGAGAUUUAUUGGUCUCACUGUGGAACAGUCUCAGAUUAGCUGGUGGGUGUUGGUCUCAACUUUCAAUCAGUUGGGAGGUUGCUUCCUUAUUUAUUAGUGUCCCACCUAGGGACAAUUACUUCUACCUCACCAGCUUUAUUGAUUUCGGUGUUAGGUUAUGUUCCAAGUUUUGAACAGUUGAAUGUUUUUCUCGAACACGUAGGAGAGCUGCGUAUCAAUAUAUUAAGAAGAAUUUGAACAGUUGAAUGUAAUUUGUGCUACCAAUUUAACUUUUCGUUCUCCAUUAAUAUAGGGAUUUGUUAAGUGGCAUGUGAAAUGUUGAAGUUCGUCCAUUGGAACUGAAAAAUUAAGUGUACUGUGGAAUGUGGCUGCAGGAAAUAAUGGCAUUCAUAAGAUCAUAUGUCGUACCUGAAGGGUUUCCUGACAGUGUUACUCCUUCAUAUGUCCCAUACAUGACCUGGAGGGCUUUGAAGGUAUAUUGCACGACCUACGUUCAUAGUCAGUCGUCAGUGCUAGAUUCAAAUGAAUCAGGCUAAGUUCAAUUAUUUGAUCAUUAUUUAGCAUUUCUUUGGUGGAGCAAUGGGAGUAUUUACAACAAGAACCUUGCUGAGCUCUGUUGGAGUCUCUCAAAGCAAGUCAACACCAGGAGCCAUUGCUAUCAACUGGAUCCUCAAGGUACUUUUUUUUCCCAUUCCAGAACUCGCCAAACCAGUCCUUACAAUGUCUCAGAAACCAUAAUUCAUUAAAGGAGUACUGUCAAUCCACUAAUAUGGCCAGAAUGAAAACCAGUAAAAGAAAACUGCCAGUGGGCUAUCGGUCUACUUCAAUAAUUCAGGUUGGCUAAUGUAUAUAAUUGUGAUUGCACCUGUACCCCAGGAUGGUGCUGGGCGUGUCGGAAAAAUGCUUUUUGCACGUCAAGGAAAGAAGUUUGACUACGACCUAAAGCAGGUAAACAUGUCUUCAUUUUUGCAGAAUCCACUUUACUUCCAAUUUCUUGGUGUCCAACGUGCAUCCUAACUGAAACAAAAAUCAUCUGCAGCUGCGGUUUUCUAGUGAUCUCCUGCUGGAGAUAGGAGCUGGUAUUGAAUUAACUACUGCAGCAUUCCCUCAAUUUUUCUUGCCUAUGGCUUGCGUAGCAAAUGUCGUGAAGGUCUGCCCUCAUCAAGCAUUAGCCAAUGCAUUUUGAGCCUACUCUAUUUUAAAAGUGUUGAUGGACAUCAUUUUUUUUGUUUCACGCAAUAUUUAGAAUGUCGCUGCUGUUACAUCAACCUCAACGCGCACUCCAAUCUAUAAGGCCUAUGCAAGAGGAGAAAACAUUGGUGAUGUCACUGCUAAAGGCGAAUCUGUCGGUAACAUUGCAGAUCUGGUAAUUAUCAUGUGUUGCCUUUACAUCUUUCUUGUCACUCGGUGGCAAUUGGACAUGCAGCUGAAAUGUCCUUAUAGUAUAUAAGUUGAGCAUGUUUUACUAAAUUUCAUUUGGCUUGUCAGCACACUGUAUUAAAUACAGCAUUUGCAGGGCUUUGCAUGCUUACGCCCAUAUGUUAAGCUUGAUUUAGCAGUUACACUGACUUCUCUUUGUUGAUUUGACCUGAAGUUGGGUACUGGUCUGAGCAUCUUUAUCUCAAAAAGGAACCCAUCAUUGGUGACUUCGUUUGCCUUUCUGUCCUGUGGAUACCUCCUGAGUUCAUAUCAUGAGGUUCGCUUUUACUCUUCUAGUCUAUUUCUGAGCAUAUUUAGAAUUUCCUAAAAGACUAAAAUUCUGUAAUUUUCCGUGAACAGGUGAGAUCUGUCGUGCUGAAUACCCUAAACAGGGCAAGGUUUACGGUUGCAGUGGAUUCCUUCAUUAAAACUGGUAGGUCAAAAACUCACAAGCAUAUGUUUGAAUUGUUCUGUGAAGUGCUAGAAAUAACCGCACUUCGAUCUGUAUUCAAUUGUUUAUCGAACCAUUGAAGCAGUACUUCUCUAUAAAAUAAAUUCGAAAUUCAUAGACAAAUGACCUUAGUGUCAUAUAAAAUCAUAGAGGGGUUCAGAGAGCUCUUGGAUUUUUGCAGCACUAGAUUCUUCCAGGCAAUGUUAAAAUAUGCUGGAAACUUUGUUUUCUUUAGCGCGAUGCUGCAAUUUCGAUCUAUAAAAGCUGCAUACUGAAAAUGAAACCCAAAGAUUUUUAAACACACUUAUUAGUUAUUAUGUUUCAGUCACAUAUUUAAGUCUUAUUCUAAGCUCGAAUCAUGUUUCUGACCUUUCUAGACCUCUAGGAGUAUUAAAUAGAAAAAUUUGAAAUCAUAUUCGCUUGGCUCUACAUUAUCUUAUAUUUUUAAUCUUUGUUUUUUAAAUUAUAGGUCACAUUCCCUCCUUGAAGGAAGGAAAUUCACAGGAGACGAUAUUUAAUCCACCUUGGCGGCACGAGCCAGUUGCAAUAGGUUUGUGCAAGAGUUAUUCAGAUUGUGGUCCUUUCUUGAGACACUGCGGGCAUAUUUAUAGUAUAUUUCAACUAUAUUUCAGGUUCACGAUUUGGAGAAGCAUUUCAAGAGCCUGCUUCAUUUGUUGCCAUAAGGCCUCUGUUUGAGGUAUGUUCUCCUCGGCCACCAGCAACGGAAAACAUACCCAGAAACUACUAUGUUUUUGUAUAUGUGAAUAUUUCCUGCAUUUUGAAAUUUGCUCUUUUGGUAUGACCAACAUUUGGUAUAUUAAUUACAUAGGAUGAGAGAUACAUGGUAACAUAUAACCCGACAAAGGAUAAAGUAUAUGCUUUGCUCAAGGACCAAGCAAAAUCAGACGACAUUAUCAAAGCUGCUUUCCAUGUAAGCAUUUUUCUCACUGGGAUGCAAUAGCUAUGGAUGUUUUGGUUUCUUUCUGAUACACUUGGACAUGGUGUUCCGUUUUACAGGCUCAUGUGCUACUGCAUUUUAUAAAUGCAUCACAUGCACGGAGGCUGAAGCAGAAGCAGAAGCAGAAGCAGGCAAACCCCGACCGAUCAGACUAUGGAAACCUGUACUCAAGAAACAUGGAUUUCCUGGCACACAUCGCUGAAUCUUGCAAAAUCGUUUCAUCAUCAUAUGGAACCUUCAAGAAGAAAGCAAGAGAACAGGUCAAAACUCCCUGUCUUUAUGAUAAAUGCACCUCUUUCCAUUAUACGUGAGUUAGUUCUGACAGUGACAACCAACCACAUUUUUGUUUGUGUUUCAGGGUUGGAUAAUGUCCGAAUCACUGCUCAACCCUGGAAAGGCUCGAUUAUGUGGGGCAAAACCACUAUGAGUCUACUAUCCUUCUGUUUAAUAUCGAGGGGAUGAUAUCGUCUCUAGUUUGUCAGUUUGUGAGACUAACUUUUCUGACAACGCGGGAUGCUCAGCUGUUAGAAGCUGAACUAACAUAUGUUGGCGCCCGGCACUAGGUUUGAAUCAGUGGACCUUCAGUCGCAACUCCCAAGCUUCCAAAUUGCAGGGAGAGCAAGAGUUAUGUGAUAUGUAAGUAACCGAUCGUGUUCGGUUUGGAUCUAGACCUCUUACUUCAAACUGUCAGCUACUGAUCAUUUUCUGUUGGAUUCUCGACAUGAACAGGAAGAAUACCUGAACGAAGAUGAAUUUUCAUGGAGGGGAGAGGUGGUGCGCUGGUUCGCGUGCUGAGUAAAGGGGUCAACGAGAGGGGGGCUUGAAUUUAUGUUUGCUGAUGUAUAAGAUAUGGUGUAGCCAUCCUGCUGUAACCUGUUUUGCGUGCUGGUCGGCUGCGGAGCUUCUUGUUUCAGUGUCCUUAGAGUUUCUUUUCUUUUUUUUUUUUGCGGAAAAAGAGUGCUUAUAGUAAAUUCCAGUUUCAGUGAGUUAUCAGUUUAUCACUCAUGCCGUCGACGACGGUCUCCACCUUGUACAUACAUGCUCGGUAAUAACUGCAAGCCUUCUUUGUGUUAUCUGGUGUGCUGUGGACUUGUGGUGCUGAAAGCAGGACGAGCCUCUCGAAAACAAAGCACGACGAAGUCUGCAAGCACAAGAAGUUCUUUUUGAGUUUGGCGCUGCCUUUUCUUAGCUGCUUUGCACCUUGCUUUAGACGACCCACAUAGUACACCAACGUGGUCUUCGCUGAAUUUCUGUCACACAUGGAAAGGAAUUCGAUCACUUUUUACAUGGCCUAACAUAUUCUUCUUCUGAACGAUAUGAAAGAACUUUAGCGAACCUGUGUGACUUCGAGCAACCCCCAGGCAAAUCCACGUAUCUACUUUAGAAAUUGAAACUGCUGCACAAAAACACUAAUGAUGUAAAAUUACCUUACAACUCAAUUAAAAAAUCUAAAGAAGAUGCGAUUGACACUUGACAGUUAGCAUUUGAGUAGAACACGUGAUGGGAAAAUGGAAAAACGUGGACGGCGUGGAUUGACCGGAGCGCAUAACACGAAGGCUGAGAUGCUGCAGCAGUGCAGCCUCCGCCUCCAUUUCCGUCAGGGCGUCCACCAUUUGUCGCUUCUCUUCUCUGCAGUCCAUCGUCACCACCAUCCACCUCGGCUUCCCCCUCGCGUUCGCCGCGGACAGCGCCUCCGAGAUGGAGCUCCGCCUCUGCCUUCGUCUCCACGCGCGCCUCCCACCAGCCACGACGCCGCCCCCGCCGCCUUUCGCGGCGCCCGCGGUGCUCCCCGCGUCCCGCCGAAUUCGGACUGGUAAGGAUUGCUUCAGCGCAAUCAGUCACCGCUUCUCCGUUUGUUUGGGCGCUUCGCUCCGUCAAAAUGCCGGGCCGCGCGCAACCAUCGUUGAGCAAAUUUCGGGAGUUCCGAUUUGAUUGUUCAUAGAUGCUUGCUACCUACGCUGAGAGAGGCCCUUCGUUUUGUUGCUGCUUGUGGUCAGGUGGGAGCUACGGGGUUGCUCUUCGGCGGCCCACGAGGCGUUCGAAUCCGGCGAUUCGCGCUUCCGAAGCCGACGGCGCGCCGGUAAGGUGGCUAUCAGAGGCCGCGGGGAUGCGAGCGCUGUUGACUGAGAGGGGAAGCACUGACAGGAGCUUUUGUUUCGCCAGGGUGUGGCUGUGAAGGAGAGGAGCGUCUCGGUGAUCCUCUUGUCCGGAGGGCAGGGAAAGAGAAUGGGGGUAUUAUAUCUCUUCUGCUUCAAACUUGUCUUUCAGUUCCUUUGGUUGCACCCAUGUGAGGGCGCUUGCUUUUUAGUUCUCGUACAUUGGUUCAGGUUAUGUUCAUCAGUUUGGUGAUUCUAUUCUGGGACAAUACGGCCACUUUAGCUGUUCUUCAGCUGCUAAUAUUGGGGCCUUUGGGCAACAAUUCAUUUACUAGUGUACAAGAAACAUAAUGCAUCAAGGCUCUGCGCCCUAUUGAACAAUUGCAGUGAAAUGAACAGAUUAAGCAAAAAUGAACAGUGAAAUGUUGUUGUCAGUGAUGAUGAAUUGCAGUGAAAUGUUCUAUUUAUGCUGUGAGCCUGUGAAAUUAGCGUGUCCUUCCAAUGCUUGAUCGUUUUGUCUAAAUUCCACCCAUCUUUUCUAACAGGCAAGUAUGCCGAAGCAGUAUCUGCCACUACUGGGACUACCAAUUGCAUUGCACAGGUUCAUUUCUCCAGCAUAGACAUUUUCAAUUUUCUCAAGUCGGCAAGGUGAUGAGGACACAGGAAUCUCUACAUUUUGUCCACAGUUUGAAAACAUUCUGUCAACUGAAGGAAAUGAAAGAAGUCGUGGUAGUGUGUGACCCAGACUAUAGUGAUGUAUUUGAAGGUUGCAAAAUUGUCCACACUUAUUCUAUUUUCAUUGACUUAGCUAUGCAUUUAUCUAAGGUUGUCAAAAAUCAUUAUCCACUUCUGCAGGUUCUAUUGAGAACUUGCAAAUACCUCUUAAAUUUGCAUGCCCAGGAAAAGAGAGACAGGACUCUGUUUUUAAUGGACUUCAGGUCAGUGACAACCCACCUGUAUAUUGCCUUUUCUGCUCAUGUGGAUAAAUAUCGUAGGGAUCUGGUGUUCCGUUUGUUUGCAGGAAAUUGAUGGGGAUUCGGAACUUGUUUGUGUCCAUGAUUCUGCAAGGCCCUUAGUUUCUUCUGAAGAUGUAAAAAAGGUCACUCCUAUUGUCCAUUAUCUACAUGAGUUACAUCAUAGAAUAUCUGCUCAAAUGUUUGCUUUAGCUUGUUCUUUCUUUGGAAGUAUUGAAAUAUAACUCACCCUGCAAGUUGCAACUUAUAUCUACUGCAGAUUCACUACAUGUGUGGUUGCUUGGAAUUUAUUGCCAAAUAACUGAUCCAGCUUUGAUAUUAUUUGUGCUGCCCUUAGAGCAAUUUAAGAGUUUCUCUUUUAAUUCUGCUGCUUUAUAUGUUUUAGAGAAGUGUAUUUCCCAAAAGCUGCAGCUUGCUUUGUGCUUUCUAAUAGGGGGAAAAAGAUAGCUACAAUCACUUUGCAGUUUUUUCAAGCAGUAAUAUUGAUUUUGAUUUUACUGACUAGGUCUUACAAGAUGCUGCUGUGCAUGGGGCAGCUGUUCUUGGUGUGCCUGUGAAAGCUACAAUAAAGGAGGUGAGUGUUUAUACCAUCCAGAUGAUUGGGAAUAAUUCAACAUGAUCUUACAAAUAGCUUUGACAACUUCAUAUGUGGAACAGCCUUGCAGUGCUGCCUUAUAAAUCUUAUGCUUUUUUUUUUUGCUCUGCAACUAUCAUCCACAUAAUAGCAUUCUCGAUGGGGCAUAACAUUCCUUUCCACCCAUAUUCCCUACAGGCUAAUAGUGAUUCUUUUGUCGUAAAAACCCUUGACCGGAAAACUCUAUGGGAAAUGCAAACUCCACAGGUAAUCAUACUAACUCUUGUAUGCACUUUAUGUUUCUUGUUUUGUAUCCUGUUCCUGCACCUCUCUCUAUUUCUUUUUGAGAAACUGCAACGUUAAAAAGAGCAUGUUUUCCGAUUGUAGGUUAUGAAGCCUGAUUUACUCAAAGCUGGUUUUGAGCUUGUUAAACGGUUAGCCUUAAUUUUUAGCUCAGCAAAUCAAAAUAAUAGAUAUACUUCUCCUGAGCUCUGUGCUGAUUUAAUUUUGCCAUCACAGGGAUGGCCUUGAAGUCACCGAUGAUGUAUCCAUUGUAGAAUAUCUCAAGCACCCUGUCUAUAUUACGGAAGGCUCUUACACAAACAUUAAGGUAUCACACAAUAACGUUUGAACUAAAAUGUUCUGAAUUGCUUAAUCUGAAAAGAUAACUGUCCGAAUGUGAAUUUAUUGCAGGUGACCACUCCGGAUGACAUGCUUCUGGCUGAGCGCCUGAUGAGUGGGAAAUGAUAGGCAAAACUAACUGUUUGCCUGAUUUUACAGACAACUUUGAUUUUGUAGUGCAGCAUUCAUCAGCACUUAAACAUUUUUGAAAACUAGAAUAAUUAUGGAGCUAGUACACGAGAUAGCUGACCUCUUUGUAAACAUUCUUUAUAUAUCAAUGAAAAAUGGGGUAAGGUUUUCUGCUGAAUUCAUACUUUGGCAGAACAAACGGAGCUCCGAUUACCAUUUUUUUUCAUGCAAUGACAAUAGAACUUAGAAACAAGUUUAUUGCGCAUGUAAAUGUAAGGGCUUCAAUUUGUUAAAAGCAUCGUCAAACAAUGAUACAAAACAAAAUCAGAAUUCUAUACCCGUGUGGUAGUUGCAGCUAAUCCAAAUAGCAAUUCAGCACAUCCGUUUCAACAACCUUAUCAAGAGUUAGUGGUUAGCAGGGAGAUUCCUCCGAAAAAAUAGUACAGUGGUGUUGGAGAACAUAAUGUAUAUCUAAUACACGAGAUACUAACUGCCCAUUGACCAUGUUUGGGGCAAUUUUAACUGAUAUAUGAACAUUCCUUAAACCAACAGAAUGAGUAUAAGUCCCAAAUGUUUCCCUUGAAAUCAUGGCUCCUGACUUCUGAGCAACUUGGCACUUGGGCUAGGCACAUUUGAAGGUAACAAUUUUACAGAUUUCAUCUUAGAGGCUUCAGUCCCUGCACAGAGAGAUGAACAGUUAUACUGAUAUUUUUUGUGUUUUAGUGAACAUACUCUGACAAGUCCAUCCCAGAUUCCCAUAUACUCUUCUUGUAUUUCUAAAAAUGGGUUGAGUUGUCACCUGGAUAUGGCUAGAUGGUGUGUGCACAUUGUACUUGCAUGUAAAGUGCUCAAGUGGAAAUCAGGGAGCAUCACAUUGUGGUGAAUUAUUAGCCAUCAGAUGUGCUUGAAAUUGUUUUAUUAAAGUAUUAAAGUAUUUUAGGGUAAAACACUGUAAUGGACCUGGCUAUUAACAGUGGUCUGUAACAACAUAACAUCUUAGAUUGUUAGCCUAGGUCACUGUGACAUGAUCACUUAUUCCUGGUACUCCAGAUUCUAGAACCUAAUAUUUGGAAUGUGCUAUGUGAUAUUCUCUAGUCAAUGAGUAGAUAUUUAUGGCCACAUGCUUGCAGGGUUACCUUUGAAGCUCGCAGUUCAUUUGCAGCUGUCCGGAGAGAGUCAUCUGACAGAAUCAAUCUUGACAAAGCACCAGUACUUAGGCUGCGUUGCAGUCAAUAAUUUAGCGAAAUAUCUAUGAGGCUUCAAUGUAAAACUAAUAUACAUGCUGCCAAUUGCCAUACAGCAUCUGUUGCAACCUAGAAUAUGGAAGUGAUGCAUUACCCUAAAAUCUUUGCUGCAUCUGAUACAGAACCUUCAACAGCAAACAGCAGAUCUAAUAAAGCUUGCAUUCCCUGCCCAGUGGAAAACGAAGGGCAAAGGGAGAUGUUUAAAUAUGCGAUCUUGAGGACAACAAAACAUAUCCAGUAAGCAUAUUAACAUAACAACAGGUGCAUACUGGAGAAAAUUUUGAGUUAUUUGGACCAAUUUGGGGCCCAACAUCUUUUCCUCGUAUGGUGGACUUUAGGGGCAAUAUCUGAAGAAGCUCAACUGGUGGAGUGUAGUCCUCAAGGUUUAUUGGCCUCCUAACUGGUAGAAUCAAGCUGUUAAUGGUCAUGGAGUAUUAUGGCCGUCAGGCAGCAUGAGAACUGAAAAUGGAAGUGAAGUGUCUUAACGCCACCUAGCUACUAGCACUGGAGCUCUAAUGCAGCUGGGUAAUCUAGGAUGUUGAAUUACUUGAACUAAUAAACACUUACUUGUCCAAUACUAAAAUGGUAACUUGGAGCAGACCAGAUUUUACCUUUAAGAGCAAUCAGGGUUCGAAGCCGAGACAAAGCAGAUGCUCGAUUCAUAUGUUGUGACCGAUCCUCCACAGCCUGUGGGAAAUCACACUGAAAAUAAAUUAACAAGCAAAAGGAAAAGAGCUAGUUCUAAAGUUCUAUCGCAUAACAAAGCAGGAGAAGCGUGCACGAAGGAAAUACAAGAAAUCAGGCCAAAAAAAAAUAAUCAUUUAGUUUAUCUGAAGUCCAAUUGAUUUGUGAUUGCAUUAAUCCAAUCUUCCAAUCAUUCAAACUCUAGGAACACAGUCAGGAAGCAUUGUCUGAAAUGUCCAUUUAUUUAAGAUAUCCCCAAUGAAGCGAACAUGUUAACUGAGAAUGGCAGCUAAUUCAGCAAAGUUCCCGACCUGGGCGAUGAUGCCGGUGGGGCGGUGCUUUAGCCGGACGGCGGACUCGCGCUUGUUGCGGUGCUGGCCGCCGGGGCCGGACGCCUUGAACGUGCCCAUCUCGCACUGCCCCAUGAGCUCCUCGUCGCUCAUCCCCAAGUAGUCGACGUAGCCGCCGCCCUCCGCGCCAUCCUCUUCCCCCUUGCGGCCGCCCCCGCCGUCCCUGGGAGCAUCCGAGCUGGUGGACACGGACGAGGCGGGGACGAAGCGGAGCGGGGAGGGCGCCUGGCGGCGGAGCAGCGGCGGCGGCAGGGGCCGCGGCUGGGAGAGCGCGGAUGAGGUCGGGAGAGGCGGGUAGCAGCGGGCUAUUCGCAGGAGCAGCGCUCGAGCCAUUUUCGGGGGCGGGGCGGCGAUGAGCGAGCGGAGCGUCACCGGAGGUGCAGAUGGGAGGUGUGAUCGUGGCAGAGGAAGCGGCCUGUUUUUUGCGUCCUAGAUGUCCUGGGCCGUCUGUUGACGGUUAGGAGGCGCGGAAGCCACGGCCCGCGGGACAGAUCUCAGCAUAUUUUCGUUUUUUUUUAUUAUUAUGGUCUGGAAAAUCGCAAGCAGGCUAGCCUUUGCGGUGCUUGAUUGAGAAUUUGAGAUUCGGUAUGUGAUUUAUGAAUUAUCAUCCUUCUGUAACCAAAGAUCAUUAUAGCUUUUGAAAAUUGAAAAAAAAAAUUAAAACACUCAUAAACUCCGAUGAAUGUGUGAACUUUCUGAACCAAAAAAGAAACGAGCGAACUACACUUAGUGAAGAUCAGUGAACCUAUAUGCUAGUCAGUUCUUGAUUGCUCAGCCACAAGAUCUUCGGCUGUCAUCACGCCCUCCCCUCAAGAAUCAUAGCCUUUCAGUGAGCAAAGUACUCCUCCCAGUCAAAGGCACCACAACGGCCGCUCAUCCGGCUGUUCCACUCUUCCUUUGUCCAGUCUGAAAAUUCGCUAGUGCCAAAACGGGCUCCAUUCGGUUUCGAGGCAUUACGCUUGUUACGCCUAUCAUUAUCAAUUUGCCUCUUCCUGAAGAUCUCGUAUCGCCGAGCCUUCUCCUUCUUGCUCCUGUAUGACCGGCCAUACUCCUUCACCCAGUCCUCAAACCUGGCACGCAUGGCUUCCUCGUCGACCUCCAAGUCCUCCGGCUCCACAGCAUCGUCCCUUCCAGUCACCUCAUCCAUGGCUUCCUUACCAGAAACCGCCUCUGUGGCGUGAUGGUGAUGCUUCCCACCACGAUACCUCCGGUUGUCGAGGUAUUCGACGUACUCACGCCAGUUGACUUUGCCGUCUUUGCCCACGAAGUUCACCUUGAGAUCUUCCUCAUCCUUUAAUUCCUGGAGGACAUGAGGAGGCACCUCCUUCCUGGCCUCAACGCCGGUGACCUCGCCGGCUACAAGCAGUACAUAUGAAGGUGGGCAGUGUGGUUCAUGGAGACAUGGACAUGUCGCACAUGGAAAGAACAAUCGACGAGGAAUCUAGAGGCGAUUUGGUACCUGGCUUCUUUGUGUCUUUGUUGAAAUACAGAAGUGCGACGACUCCGGCUAACGCGGCCGUGGCUGCAGCGCCAUAGGCGCCAUCACGAGCGGCGAGAUCCCUCUGUACCGGGAAUUCGGGAUGAGAAUUUUGAGCCGCGAGUGCAGAAGAACGUAACCAAAUUUUCGAUCUGGGACCUGGGUGUAGCGGAGACUCACCGGUGUGUGUGGAGAGAGCGCGCUGGCCUCCCCGCCACCGACCCUGCAGGGGCCUUCUUGAUGCCGAUCCCAAGAGAGGACUCCGCCUGUGCGCUGGGGACCCCGCGUGCGCGUGGCGCGAACCUCCGGGUGAGGAGGGAACCUAGGGCGCGGAGAGACAUCCACGCGAUCGCUCCCUCUUCCUUCGCCGCCUUGCUCUGUUCCUACGCCGGCCGCCGCCUCCCCUCGAUUCUAGGGCUUUGACGUGCAUAUACUAUAUAAAAAAAAUAGCCGGAUGUUAGUUUGAACCGGAAACUCCCUGUAUGCCGGCCGCCCAGGCGACAGAUUGGAAGUCGUUUUUCUUGACAACGGAUAAUUUGGGAGUGUUGUUCUCUUAUCCUCAGUUUGCUCCGAGCCUCCGACUGCUGGAACAAGGCUUUUGCAACGUCUCAGAUGCAUCUCCGGCUCCAGCUCGCCAUGGCGAUGGACGCGAAGAGGAAAUUAAACGAACGAACUGAGGUGUGUUGUGGAGGUCUGCUGAGAGAAGAACAAAGACACAUCCAAAUCGCCACGGGAGCGGAAGCGAUCGAGAUUCCGCGGCCGGAUCGAACCAACACCGCCUCGUGCACGAGAACGACGCAAAGGCUCGGGAGCUCGCCGGACGCCGGCGAGGCAGCGCCGCGGGAUCACGCCUCGCCUCGACGAGAGAAGAGCUCCGUUCGCUUCGCUAGAGCCCGUAUCGGGUGUAUUCCUAGCCGUCGGUUGCGGAUUGGACGGCCCUCAGGUGCCCAGGGGGUGGACGGUAAAUGAAAUACCUCCCACCCCGGACGGUAAACGAGAUGCCGUCCGCCCCCGGUCGCCGUGUCCAGCGGCAAGGCCACCCGCCGGCAAACCGCGAGCAGGCAAGCGAGGCCAGGAGGAGGACGCUGCUGCUCUGGAGUAAACGCUAAGAGCGCCGGCGAGCCACCCGCCGCCACCGUCGGCACCAUGCACCGCUGCCUCUGCCUGCCCCGUUGCGCACGCGCAUUGCCGCUCCGCACUCCGCAGUGCGCCAGGCGCGCCUGCAGGUGGCCGGCCGCCAUGGCGUUCCGUUCCGUCGCACGGUGCCUGUGCUCUGAGUCGAGCGUCGCACUCGGGAAGUCGGGAACGCGGCCAUGUCCAUGCCGGACGUGGCGCCUUAACGCCGUUGUGGAUGCACAAGUCCGGCGGGGGCGCGGGGGCGGACGGUGCUGGUGUCAGGUUGGGCGGCGAGGCGGGCCGUCGCCGGCUGUCUCCGUGAUGUGAUGAGGUGCGACGGCGAAGCAGAGCGCGGGGACGGUGGGGCGCCGGAACUUGACGUUGGGCGGCAUGGCGCUUUCUUGCUCUACCUGACUACCUCCUCUGCUUCAGGGUAAAGCGACUGAGCCAUUGCGACUUCAUGAUCAAUUGCGGCGGCCGGCGGGGAAUCGCCCCAACGCGAGCUACGCCAUGGCGCCGCCGUAACGACGCCACCGCGCUGCCGGACCAGGGGGCACGACGCGAAGGCGCUGCCCCAAGAACCCGCAGCGUCAGCACGCAAGCGGCGUGCGCACUUGUUACACCCCAGACAGCAGAUGUUCUGCAGACGCAAAAGCAAUAGAGAAAACCUGGUUUCGGAACAUCAUCAUAUGUUCAUAUUGGACCCGCGGGAAUGCUAUCUGUAGAACAUUCAUGUAGUACCAACAUAUUGCACAGUAAGAUACAGAUUUGAGCAAUUCAAGAACUAUUCAAAUCCUACCUACGCACAAGCAGACAUGCUGGGAACUGUUAACAAAGACUACAGUCACUAGUCACUACUACCAAGUGCACUGCACGAAUAAUGAAGAAAUGGUCAGUUGAGAGGUACCUCCAGUGUUUACAUACUAGGAAGAGAGACGCUCACGUCAACACUCAACACAGGGGACAUGCCACGUUUUAGAGACACACAGCUAGGUCGAACAACUAACCAACAGAUAUGUAACCAUAAAUAGAAACGCGGGUUUUACAGGCUAGGAAACUACGCCAUAUCUAGGGGAUGAUCCCGGCGCCAGGAGAUGGUUUCCUCCUGAAAAGGCCGCUGGGGUGCUCGGUCGUCGUUCACACCCUGGCCCUCUUGUUGGUGCAGUCCGGGCACUUGUACUGCUUGAUGUGCUCGGCCCGGGCGGGCGUGAUCUUGACGCACUUCCCGUGGUACCACUUCUCGCAGUUAUCGCAGCAGAUCCAGAACUGGUCCUUGCCGUCGUUGGUUCCGCAGGUCCCGCACAGGGUGUUGUCGUGCUCUUCCGCCUCCUCGUCCCCAUCGUCGUCACCGCUCUCUUCUUCAUCUUUGGGGACCUUGGCCUUCGAACGAGCCUCAGCUCUUGACUGCUGCAGGUGCAAAGUCGUGUUACCGGAAGGAAUCAAGGGCUGGAUGGAAACAGAAAAGGGCAUGUCAUUUACCACUUUUGAACUAGGCUUGUUGCUCUUGCUGCUACUGUUAGGUGUCUUCUCCUUCGUCUGUUUCUUGGCCGAUCCUGUCACUACCUCAAAUAUUGUAGGCAUGUUGUUUAUCAUGCUGAAGAGUCGCCUCCUGCAUAACAACAAUCAAGCAUCAUAAGAAAUGCAACUAACAGUAGCCAUUGCAAAAUAAGUUUUUGUCAAGAUCCAGAUAUUUCCCAACAAGUAGGUCGGUAUUCCCAUCCCAUCAUACUCUAGUGAAUUUCACAUACCACCCAUUUUCAUACCGCUGCCUGAAAUUGCAGCCGGUUUCUAACAAUUUAUGUAGAUCUCGGACAGCCAAUUAGGAUAUUCUCUCUCUUGUGUACUACUGUUCUGCUGUUAUCCUAUGUGAUCAUAUUUAAAACUAACAUUGCUAUCCUCAAAAAGUAGGUACUGGCACUAUAUGAGAUCCGGACGCAAUAAGAGACCAGUUAGUUGGAGUGAACCUUCCUGAAUGAAGAUGAGAGAACAAAUGAAGUGUGAUGAAUCAGAUAAUAAAUUUAUCAACCAAAGGAGUAAAAAGGUUAGACGAUCCAGUCUCAAUACCUAACUCUUAACUAUAUGCUCAGGUGUUGAUAAUUCUAGCUGGGAACUGUGCUAUGUGUUGACAUUUCAGUGGUUCUAGGGAAAGUUAGUUCAGUCAACUGCAUUAAUUCUAUAACACCUUCCUAUAAUACAGUGUACACUUUCUAUGUCCAGUACUCAGUUCCACAGUUUAGUUUGCAAAAUGUAUUUUUCGGUAUCUUUACAUGUACACCAUGUCGUGCCCAGAUGACAUCAUUUCGGUUACAAAGUAACAAAAAUGCAUUAGUGUUUACUCUUGAGUAGUAACAAAUCCAUUUAACAAAUGAAAUCCACCUUUCAAACAGCAAUAUGGAGGUGCAUGCCUAUAGUUGGUUUACUAAAUAUCAAUAUCACAAGUCAAUGGCCCAACAUAUACGACAAGGAUGAGAUCUAAAAGGUUAUAACGGAAUUUUAUGUAAUGCUGAAUUCAGCGUGGCUAACUACUGAUGCCUAGUAUUAGUAGCAUGUAACUUAAUAUUAGCAUCAUUCAUCCAUGCAGCCAUUCAGCAUAUACAUUCAGUUUACCUUUUUUCCUCCUUUCAACACUUAACAGUAAAAUAAAGCUUGACAUACUUCUUAUGGUCAUAAUGCAAUGUCGUAAAUAUAUUUUGUCUAUAACAUGACUUCAGGAACAACCGCCAAAACACAAAUUCUGCUAUAUGGGGGUUCUCAGUAAUGGAUAUAUUCACCCUUCAUCAGUGUUCUUGCAUUAUACAUGAAAGGCAGAACUGGAAAUAAGUUUAAGGAUACAUAAGGUACACAUUGCUAUCUAUAUUACAGCAUUUAUCCAGUUAUUGACAGGGCAAAAGUAGGUGAAAUGGUUCACAUGAAACACAAAUUGUAUGAUUCAAGACAUGAUAAAUUGCAUCUCCUAAAGUGAAAUGGUAUUUCAAAAGUCUCAAGGCCCUCAUAUCCACAUUAGAGCAGGGGAGUUCAUAUUCCUAAAUCUAGCUGAAAAGGGAAAAUUGUAGAAUGAGUGGUUAUUCAAAAAAAAAAGUAAAAUGAGUGUAAAAACAACACCAAAAGAAAACGAAGAAGAUAAGAACAUUCAUUUAGGAAUCCCAUUUUCUUAACUUUCCCUAGCUUAACUUGCCACAAAAAUGCAAACCCAUUUUCUUUACGCGUUCAGCACUAAGCAACUAUGUACAGGACAUAAUUUAUUUUAUAAUCCCAACAUUCAACAAAAUAUUUUUUGAGCAAAACAUUCAACAAAAUAUUAUUCACACUGUUCAGAAUUCAGAAUGUAGGAACAAAUGUAUGGGAGCAACAAGAAACUGAGUCAACUGACCAAAUCUAGAGUAAAAGAAUUCACUCGCAAACUUAGUUGGAUGUCAUAUCCACAUUAAAUGAAUCCAAAGGUGCAUCUAGAAAAUGGCAACUUAGCAAAUCUGUAGACAGUAGAUUAACAUGCAUCUGUACUUUCUGGUAUGCCAAACUGAAAUUCAUCUCUGGGAAGAAAGGAACAGACAACAUUAAUUGAUUAUGAAAACUGCAUAGUUCAAUCAUAGCAGAACAAUUACCUAGCUUCUUUGUCAAACCCAAACCGGGCACCAAAGUAGAAUGCUACAGACAGUAGCCAGGAAUCACUGUGAACUGCAACUAGCGCCAGCCAGUCCUUCUCGUUCAUGCCAUCCCUAGCAAAGUUGAUUCCUAAUGCUGGUUCAGGGAUCUCUGGGGGCACUUCCUCAGCUGGCAAGGUCACCUCCCACGUCUCAUUGGGAUACCCAUAAAGGCACAAGUUCUCCUUUUCUGUUCAAAACCAAUGGAAUUAGUAUCCAUAACAAGAUCCUGCAUAGCAUUAUCCUGCAGCAUUCAAAAUUUAGUAGUAGGUCCACACUAACUGUGCACUGCUGCUCACCAGGGUGCAAAGCUCAAGCAGAAAACGCUGCAGACCAAGCCUUAAUAUUUAAUAAUGAGAAGCAACCAAACCCCACAAUAAUUACAUGAAUAGGGCAAGCAGCGAAAGCAACCACGUAUUUCAGCCAGACGUACAGUGCUAUCAAUGCACUGAAUGAAAAAGAUAUGCUGAUUCAGUAUACCUAUCCAAUUAUGUCAUUGACUCCGCUAUACUGACUCUUCCCAACAACUACGGAAUAGUAUAAGAAACAACAGACGGCACACACUAGCAAGCAGUCAUGUAGAAAUCCAAGCACAGACAAUUAGUCGAUAAUCCCAUGGCACCAAUGAGCCUAAAAUCUCUAGCAACUUUCUGCAGCAUCCUUCUUAUGAGCUACCUAUAUAUGAUUGGUCGCAACACACAUAGUGCUAACAAACUAACAGAAAACGAAGGCCAACCACUAGUUCCACAGUUCCAACCAACCAAAAAGCAUUUUUCUCUCCACAAAACUGUCAUAUCGGUCCGUAAUCUGUCACCAAAAUCCAACAGCUACAAUCUAGCACAGCGUUAAUGAAAGCUACAAGACCAUCAAUAAUUCGAAAUCCCAGGAGUGUAGAGAGAGAGGACAGAUGAGAUAGAGAAAGGGGAAAUUUCUCCAAAUUUAGCUUCCAAUCUCCCCCCAAAGCAACCGCAUCCAAGCAGCAAACCCACGCAAAGCUCCUCGGCUACCGAUCCCCAUCCCGGACGAGCAACCCGAAGAGAUCGAGCGCACUCACCGGGGUCGCAGAGCUUGAAGAACUUGUCCACAUCUGCACAGCACACGAAAAGACACAGCAUCAAUCACACGAAUCCACGCAGCCGCGCGGGAAUCAGAAGCCCAAUCUAGGGUCGAGAGGAGGCGUACCGGUGGUGAGGGCCUUGAUCAUGCCGGCGCGGCGGGCGCGGUAGUCGCGGAAGACCUCCUCAGCGGUGCGCGCGGCGUUCGGCGCCGCCCCAGAGCCCCCUCCGUCCAUCGAGCGCGCGGCGCGGGGGCAAUGGCGGCCGCUAGGGUUCCGGCGCGGGGGAGCGCGGCCGCGGGUCGCCGCGAGACGAGCAAGGCCGGUGGUGGUGGCGGUGGUGGAGGGAACGGGGGGAUGGAGAGGAGGCAGACAGGAGUUGGAGGAAGGGGAGGAGUGGGUUUAUAUUUGUUUUGCGGGGAAUUUCGUGGGCGUUUCGGCGAGGAUUUGGGCCCGGUUUAUUUUGAUCCGUGUGUUGUGCUCGGCACGCGGGCAAAACCGCUGCCGUCUUCCUCGUCGCGGCGUGUCCGUUUACGGCCGGUAGAACCGGUCCACGGUGGACCAAGAGGGUUUCCUAUAGUUUUCUUGGUGGUCUCGGUUUCUUUUACGGUUACGUUUUAUAUAAAUUGAAAUUAUUAAAUUAUUAUACGAAGAAAGAUUAAUGCCAUUUUCUCCCUAAAAAGAAAGACUAAUGCCAUUCAUCUUGAAGAAACUAAGUCAAAAUCUUAGAGAAAAAGGGAGAUCAUCAACAGAUGAUGUUUAACGUUGACAGGCAUAGUUGGUGAUCUUCUAUUUGCAGACGGUGCUCCAACCAAACUGGAUUGUUCGCAACUGAUUCAUGUUGUUGAACAACUGACUUUACACACGCUAUAUGCUAGCAAUCUGCCAAUCUCCCUGAACUUUCGGAUAGCGACACUGCAAACCUGAAGAUACAGUGUCAUGAUCCGGACAAGAAGUACAGGGUCUAAACACAGAAAUUCAGUAUUUCACUGUUCGGCCUCCUCCAACCGUUAGAGUCGACCACUAACUCGUAGCAAUAAAAAGACAUAAAAGAUAACUUGUUCAAUAAUCUAACUCUUAGCACAUAGCUUAAAAUAUAAAUGGACCUACGUACCAACCAAUGUAAUCUUGGAAUAUGUGUAUGAGAUUAUCUCUUGUCAAGAGAUAACUCUUCUCCCUCAUUUCUUUUUCCCUCUUCCACUUAGAUAAAAUAUCAUAUUUUAUUUCUUUCUCCCUCUUCCACUUAGAUAAAAUAUUGUAUUUUAAUUCUACAGUUGGGCACCCUUCCAAGCGCAAGCGCAAGGACAUUAUUGAGGCUCGAGCGGCGAUCGAACCGGGAGAGAGAUAUUCUGAAUCCGCACGCCCCAAUCUGGGUGCAGAUUUCCAUUUGAACGGUGAUGGACUGGUAGUGGGAACGAGAGGCGCAAGAGAGCCCUGGCAAUGGCGGAUUAGCAGCUCGGGCUCAGGUGACCAGUCACCUCACCUGCUCAGCCGCCAUUGCGCUUCUCUUCAGGACCUCGCAUUCUCCACUCUUCAUGUCAGAGAUGCCAUUGCAUGUGUUGCAUUUGGUCAUAUAAAACGCUUGUUUAACUUCGCGGUUUCCUCGGAUCAUGUUCACUGACACUGUCGUGCUCUCCACUGUUUUGCUGGACCCAUUGCCGAGUUGGGACAGGGAGAGCACGAAAGACUUCCUACUUUCAAAGUUUCAUUUAUGGAAACAACGAGCAUGUUUGUAGACGAUUGACUCACUUUGUUGAAGUGAUACAAGCUCGCUCUGAAGAUGAUGAAGGAUGCGUAAAAGGAAAGACACCAGGGCUCACGCAACGAAGUUCAGAAAAGAGAAACACUUCAUUCUGAAGAAGCCUGUCGGUACAGAGUCUGAAUCUUCAAGAUUCCAAACUUGCAUUAACAAAAGAGGAUUCCUGACACCGAAGAAAAUAAACAACAAACAAUAGGUUUCUUAAAAAAACACAGUUAAACGAUCCGUCACACCACAAUUCACAUCUAGGAAUACCAUUAUUUCUUCCGUUCAAUACUGUCAUCGCACUGCUCCGGCUCUGUCUGAAGCUUCACAUCAUAGGCCUCUCCAGCAGAGCCGAGAUGUACCACUCGUCGGCGUUGGGCCCCUUGUCGAGCUUCUUGCCGGUGUUCCACCGGAGCUUCCGGAACCCGACCUUCUCGAUGAUGGGCACGUACACCUCGGCCAUUUCCUUCCCGGUGCAGAAGAAGUGGUCCAGCCAGAAUAUCCCGCCCGGCCGGAGCACGCGGUAGAUGUCGUACAGCUCCGCCUCCAUCACCUCGCCGGGAAUCCAGUUGCCGAGCGCGUGCAUCGAGUGCACGAUGUCGAGCGUGCCGUCGAAGAACGGGAGCCGGCCGGCGACGGCGCCGAGGUCGAGCGGGACGAGCCCGCGCGACGCCACGAAGGCGCCGAGUGGCGCGCCGAGGUCGAGGGUCGUGGUCACCACGGUCACGCCGCGCUCCGCCAUGCGCGCCGCGAACGUGCCCGUGCCGCCGCCGAUGUCGAGCCCGACCCGCACCGUGCCGCGCGGCUUGGACGCCAGCACGGCGUCGAUGUCGUAGUCGAGGUCCCCGCCGUUCCCGACCCACCGCCGCUGCUCCUCGCCGGCGAGGUCGAAGCUGGCCUCGCGGUGGUCGUGGUGGUUCCCCGGGCGUGCAAUUUAACUGAAUUAGCACUGCAACAUCAAGCCGUACGAGAGAAUGCAUUGAACCAUCCAUUGAUAUUAAUUAAACUAGCAUCACUGGCUAACUAUAUCGUUUAUACUGUAAUGUUUCGGUUAAAAAAGAUUUUCGAAGAAAAAAGAACUGAACAAACUAUCCGAUCAAAGUCGUUGUAUGCAGUGGUGCUAUCAGGGCUACCUCGACGCCAUCAAAACAUGUAGCUACAGUCGUGUUUCAAUUAAUCUUGUUGCAUGUCCUGCUGGUGCUCGUCGCCGUUGCUCAAAGCCAGAGACUUGGCGACCUCGUUGAGCUCCUUCAUUGCCUCUGCUUGGAGUCGCAUGCAUUCGUCUGUUACCUCGGCGCAUCUCUGGUCGAUGAGCACCCGACUGGGCGGAGGACAAUGAGGCGCCUCCACUUGCUUGUGUUUGGUGCUUGCCGGCAGCAGCUUCAGAUGCCGCAUGAUCACGCGGUCCAUCGCCUCCGUGCUCCGGACGAGCGCUUCCGAGUUCCGACUUCCGUCGUUCAUCCAUAUAUUUUUACGGAACUUCUCACACACUUUUAGAUACAUAUUUUGUACGUGUGACGCCUAAAGUUGCACAAGGACACUUUGUGGGUUUUAGGAUACACAAUGGAACAGUUGAAUGAGGUAAGGGGAAUAUGAGUCCCUUUGAAGUAGGGACAGAACAUAACAACUGGUCCUUACAUUUGAUCAGGCUCUGCUCGGAAAUGUUACCAAACUGAGAUAUGAGAUGUGACAUGCUAGGGAGUCAUGUGUCAUGGGGUAUUAUACCGCUAGUACUCUAGUUUACUACCCUAUAUGACGAUGUAUGCAUUGAUGUUGAUCUUAUCACAAGCGAAGGUGGCAGAUAUUCCUAUAUGCGAUCACGUUGAUUUCCAAUUAUUAUCGUGAUUAGUUUCAGUCACUCAUGUAGUCAUGUUACGUUUCUUAAUUGUCUGUUGGGAACCAUGUUUCACACAUGCUUGAUUGUGCCACGAUGGAAACUGUUCUGAAAGGUGGAUUUUAGAGAUGGGCUACAUUUAACCGAGCAAAGAUGGCACAUCCUCACGCCCAAAUCUAUUUGUAUUACUCUUGGUAGCACGCUCUUUUUUGAAUUAUCAAGCUUAAAUGUACACUAAAUUUUGCGUGGUAUUACAAAACCAACCAACCGCUACUCUCUUGUUCAUCACAAGCUGUAGGUAUACAUACAAAAAUCUAGAAGAAACUAUGAACAGUAUGUACUUAAAAAAAACGAGAACAUUUUGUACAAUGAGUUAUCCUAUAUUCAAACAUCAGAUUGGAAGAAGACAGUACCGAAUAAUCGCGACCUGAAAAUGUGCAUUAAAAAGUUCAAAGACGCUAUGAAAAUUGUUUGCAAAUAAAUAUCAGAUUCUCAAUCCGAAUCAUAAUCCAAUUCAAGCAUCAGACUGGAAAUCGACAAUGCUGGUGAGAGUAUCAGUUUAGCCGUACGUGUGCAGAAAGGACGUCGGAUUCGGACGCGCUUCCUGUCGGAGUCGGCAAUAGGUCAGGGUUUCGGCUGCUUAUAAGAACAGUCGUCGUCCGCUACCAAAAACAACACCACGGAUCGCAUCAGGCCUCACGGGCAGCUGCUUAUAAGAACAGUCGUCGUCCGCUACCAAAAACAACACCACGGAUCGCAUCAGGCCUCACGGGCAGCAGCUAGUAGCCAUGACGGCGGAGCCGGACGCCGACGCCGCCAGGCGGAAACUGGAAGCGCUAGUCCAGAUUAUGGACCCGGUGAUUGAGCGGCUGGACCGCGUGAUGCUGCGCCACCGCAAGGUCACGCCGGCGGGAACCAAGCGCAAGCAGCCGGAGCCGCGCUCUAGCCGCCCGCUCAGCUUUCUGCUGGAAAUUGAUAAGAGGCGCGCCGAGCUUAAAGUAGAGUUCAACCGGAUCUAUGAGGAGGCGAUGGCGGAGCUGGACAAGGUUGAGGCGUCGGAAGCCGAUGAUGCCGAGCUCCAGGGCAUGCAAGGUUCCGAUGGCAUGGAGGUGGAGACCUCUCAGGCUUCCACGUCCACGUCAAGCAACUUUGAUCCGUAGGCAGUGCUACCGGUCGGGGUCUUUUAGCGUCUUACUCCGAUCCUAUUUUUUCUUCUUUGCACAUUUUUUCCUGAGGGAUUAUAAUGGUGAUGAAUAAAUGCUGUUGAUUUGAAUCAAUGAAAUGAAAAAACGGAAAUACGGCAGAGUGCCAGAGUCGAUCUCGAAUACCAAGUCUAGUCAACUACUCAACUCUGCUUUCUUUAAGUUAUCUCAGUCUUUUUUCCCAUUAUUGAUCUGCAUCAACAUCAUUCUUUCACGUGCUGAAAGACACGUGGCUACAUGCGAGAAUAGUGAGUAACUACUCUUCUAUAUGAUGGUGGUCAUAUUUUUAAGAUGAUGUUAUAUUAGAGCUAUAUGGAUUGUCUGAAUUGAUUGAGAGAAGUAUGUUAAACCAUGUUGUUGAUUACAAACGCAAACUUUUGUUCAUGCCAAUAUCCAACAAACCAAUACACACUGUGGUAGAGUAAAACAAUGCAACUUUGAACUGAUUUUGUUGCGCCAUGUCUAAUAUUUCCCACUUUUACUGUUUCCUCCAAUUUUUUCCAUCAGGUAGUGUACUGUCUUUAAUAGGCCUGAAGUUUAGAGAGUUCACUUUGGAAAUUUGAACUUGCGCACUUAAAAAAAAAUUGAAGGCGUGCACAAGGAGAUUUUUGCUCGAUCAAAACAGGGUCUGAAGGUCCGAGGCAAACCCCUACACAACACGUACUGCUCACGAGUAUGUGCACCAACGCGCGCGCCGUCCACGCACGCGAAGAGUUUGGCUUUGGACUUGUACGUGUGUGUUGUAAGCUUCGUGUCAGAGGACGGAACAGCACAGAUCACACUACCACACAACGCAUAUGGCAUCAAAAGCGAAGAGUUUGGCUUCGGACUUGUACGCGUGUGUUGUAAAGCUUCGUGUCUUUAUGUUUGCGGUUGCGGUGUCAAAUUGCAGUCCAUCCUCUUCAUUUUCUACCCCGACGUUCUCAUAUUCAUGCCCACCACUCUCAAAUAGUGAUUCCUCCUCUACCUCCUCACCUACUACCCCAUCUUCCUCCAAUUCACAAUCUUCGGAACCCAUAGAGACAUUAUCAACAUCUAUAUUUGCUUCAUCCCUCUCAAAAAUGUUAUUGGGAAAAUCAUCAUUGGCAAUAGCCAAGUCAAAAUCACGUUCUGUUUCACCUAACACGUGAUGCAACAUUUCUGACUCCUGGGUACCAUUAUGGUUCACUACCGUCACUUCCUCCCUCAUGACAACAUUUGGGCCAGGCAUACGAACAAUUUCGACUAUAACCUCCAAACAUGCAACAUUAGCUUCGUGCACAACAUCCUUAUAGUGCUUCCAAUUCGCAUCGGAUGCUAACUUCAUGAGAACAUAAUGAGCUCUAGCUUUCCCACAAUCAAAACGACCUCUCAAACUUAUCUCAUCCACUCUACAUCCAUACUUCGUCAUUACACGGUCAACUAAAUCACUAAAACUUGAAGGACCAUCAAAUAUUUCAAUUGACUCAUUCAUAUUCUCUAACUCCCCAUUUUGUUUCACAACACCACCAUGAAAAAAUCGAACUAAACGAUCCAUCUACAAAAUACAAACAUUUCACCAUGUCAUAUACACUACACAUUGCACAUAUUCAACAUAUCAACUACACACAUUACAUAUAUUGGACAAAUUGCAAACAAAAAAUACACAUAUACAUUGCACUAUACGAUUCAAUGAAUAUAUCCUUAAAUCAAUAAGUUCUACACGUCAAUAUCACGGGCAGAGACUCAAUUGCGUAUGAACUACGUAUCAUCUAACACAAAACACCAUUGCAUUUCAUUGAAAUUUCAAAUCACUAACCUAACCCUAAGUCACCUAAACAUCCUCCGAUCUACCAAAUGCAACGGUAAAACACGAGAAUAAGUAGGGGAAUACAUUCCACACGAAGCAGGGAUCGAUUCCCACUACUUUCCCCCACCGAAAACGCCGGAUUUUGGGUGGAUUUGGGGGUGGGGCGGCGGGGGGCGGCGCAGGAGCUUCGGGCUCGGGGGUUUCUGGAGGAGGAAGAAAGGAGAGAGGGAGGAGGAAGGGAGCCGGCGCACGGCCUAAGUGUUGGCCCUGCCGCGCCAGGCGGGCUGGCGCGGCGAAAGCCCGGCCCACGUUAGCGCCCGCCUGGCGCCCGCCUGGCGCCGCGGGUCGCCGCGCCAGCGUGGCAGGGGGCUGCCGCGCCAGUGCAUGUGGCGCGGCAGCAUGUUCCUGCCGCGCCAGGCGGUCUGGCGCGGCCAAAAGGGUUAUGUCGCGCAAAUUAAACCCCACUGAGGUUAUUUUUAAAAAUAAAGAAAAAAAAGGGUUAAAAAUAAAAAAAAGUUCUACUAUUCCAUACUCCGACACGAAGCUUUACAACACACGCGUACAAGUCCGAAGCCAAACUCUUCGCUUUUGAUGCCAUAUGCGUUGUGUGGUAGUGUGAUCUGUGCUGUUCCGUCCUCUGACACGAAGCUUACAACACACACGUACAAGGUCCAAAGCCAAAACUCUUUCGCGUGCGUGGGACGGGCGCGCGCGUUGGGUGCAACAUACUUCGUGAGCAGUACGUGGUUGUGUAGGGGGUUUGCCUCGGACCUUCCAGACCCUGUUUUUGAUCGAGCAAAAAUCCUCCUUGUGCACGCCUUUCAAUUUUUUUUAAAGUGCGCAAGUUCAAAAUUUCCAAAGUUGAACUCUCUAAACUUCAGGCCUAUUAAAAGACAGUACACUACCCUGAUGGAAAAAAAUUGGGAGGAAACAGUAAAAGGGGGGAAAUAUUAAGACAUGGGCGGAGCAAAAUCAGUUCAAAGUUGCAUUGUNNNNNNNNNNNNNNNNNNNNNNNNNNNNNNNNNNNNNNNNNNNNNNNNNNNNNNNNNNNNNNNNNNNNNNNNNNNNNNNNNNNNNNNNNNNNNNNNNNNNAGCGUGCUACCAAGAGUAAUACAAAUAGAUUUGGGCGUGAGGAUGUGCCAUCUUUGCUCGGUUAAAUGUAGCCCAUCUCUAAAAUCCACCUUUCAGAACAGUUUCCAUCGUGGCACAAUCAAGCAUGUGUGAAACAUGGUUCCCAACAGACAAUUAAGAAACGUAACAUGACUACAUGAGUGACUGAAACUAAUCACGAUAAUAAUUGGAAAUCAACGUGAUCGCAUAUAGGAAUAUCUGCCACCUUCGCUUGUGAUAAGAUCAACAUCAAUGCAUACAUCGUCAUAUAGGGUAGUAAACUAGAGUACUAGCGGUAUAAUACCCCAUGACACAUGACUCCCUAGCAUGUCACAUCUCAUAUCUCAGUUUGGUAACAUUUCCGAGCAGAGCCUGAUCAAAUGUAAGGACCAGUUGUUAUGUUCUGUCCCUACUUCAAAGGGACUCAUAUUCCCCUUACCUCAUUCAACUGUUCCAUUGUGUAUCCUAAAACCCACAAAGUGUCCUUGUGCAACUUUAGGCGUCACACGUACAAAAUAUGUAUCUAAAAGUGUGUGAGAAGUUCCGUAAAAAUAUAUGGAUGAACGACGGAAGUCGGAACUCGGAAGCGCUCGUCCGGAGCACGGAGGCGAUGGACCGCGUGAUCAUGCGGCAUCUGAAGCUGCUGCCGGCAAGCACCAAACACAAGCAAGUGGAGGCGCCUCAUUGUCCUCCGCCCAGUCGGGUGCUCAUCGACCAGAGAUGCGCCGAGGUAACAGACGAAUGCAUGCGACUCCAAGCAGAGGCAAUGAAGGAGCUCAACGAGGUCGCCAAGUCUCUGGCUUUGAGCAACGGCGACGAGCACCAGCAGGACAUGCAACAAGAUUAAUUGAAACACGACUGUAGCUACAUGUUUUGAUGGCGUCGAGGUAGCCCUGAUAGCACCACUGCAUACAACGACUUUGAUCGGAUAGUUUGUUCAGUUCUUUUUUCUUCGAAAAUCUUUUUUAACCGAAACAUUACAGUAUAAACGAUAUAGUUAGCCAGUGAUGCUAGUUUAAUUAAUAUCAAUGGAUGGUUCAAUGCAUUCUCUCGUACGGCUUGAUGUUGCAGUGCUAAUUCAGUUAAAUUGCACAGUCGAGUAGUUUUCUAAACAUUUGGUUGCAGAUAGGGAGAUUCCGUUUUCUCCGCACCGUGUGAAUCCUAUAUAUGUAAUAUUAAAAUACCGUUGUUUCUUACCACCGUAACAUAUUUUUCAUAAUCAACCAGUAGUUAUGGAGGAAAACAUCAGCACGAACAUGGCGAUAUUACUGUGGACCAUAGUCUCCAUGUCCAAAUUGGAUGCACGUGCNNNNNNNNNNNNNNNNNNNNNNNNNNNNNNNNNNNNNNNNNNNNNNNNNNNNNNNNNNNNNNNNNNNNNNNNNNNNNNNNNNNNNNNNNNNNNNNNNNNNNNNNNNNNNNNNNNNNNNNNNNNNNNNNNNNNNNNNNNNNNNNNNNNNNNNNNNNNNNNNNNNNNNNNNNNNNNNNNNNNNNNNNNNNNNNNNNNNNNNNNNNNNNNNNNNNNNNNNNNNNNNNNNNNNNNNNNNNNNNNNNNNNNNNNNNNNNNNNNNNNNNNNNNNNNNNNNNNNNNNNNNNNNNNNNNNNNNNNNNNNNNNNNNNNNNNNNNNNNNNNNNNNNNNNNNNNNGAUGUUGAUGCAGAUCAAUAAUGGGAAAAAAGACUGAGAUAACUUAAAGAAAGCAGAGUUGAGUAGUUGACUAGACUUGGUAUUCGAGAUCGACUCUGGCACUCUGCCGUAUUUCCGUUUUUUCAUUUCAUUGAUUCAAAUCAACAGCAUUUAUUCAUCACCAUUAUAAUCCCUCAGGAAAAAAUGUGCAAAGAAGAAAAAAUAGGAUCGGAGUAAGACGCUAAAAGACCCCGACCGGUAGCACUGCCUACGGAUCAAAGUUGCUUGACGUGGACGUGGAAGCCUGAGAGGUCUCCACCUCCAUGCCAUCGGAACCUUGCAUGCCCUGGAGCUCGGCAUCAUCGGCUUCCGACGCCUCAACCUUGUCCAGCUCCGCCAUCGCCUCCUCAUAGAUCCGGUUGAACUCUACUUUAAGCUCGGCGCGCCUCUUAUCAAUUUCCAGCAGAAAGCUGAGCGGGCGGCUAGAGCGCGGCUCCGGCUGCUUGCGCUUGGUUCCCGCCGGCGUGACCUUGCGGUGGCGCAGCAUCACGCGGUCCAGCCGCUCAAUCACCGGGUCCAUAAUCUGGACUAGCGCUUCCAGUUUCCGCCUGGCGGCGUCGGCGUCCGGCUCCGCCGUCAUGGCUACUAGCUGCUGCCCGUGAGGCCUGAUGCGAUCCGUGGUGUUGUUUUUGGUAGCGGACGACGACUGUUCUUAUAAGCAGCUGCCCGUGAGGCCUGAUGCGAUCCGUGGUGUUGUUUUUGGUAGCGGACGACGACUGUUCUUAUAAGCAGCCGAAACCCUGACCUAUUGCCGACUCCGACAGGAAGCGCGUCUGAAUCCGACGUCCUUUCUGCACACGUACGGCUAAACUGAUACUCUCACCAGCAUUGUCGAUUUCCAGUCUGAUGCUUGAAUUGGAUUAUGAUUCGGAUUGAGAAUCUGAUAUUUAUUUGCAAACAAUUUUCAUAGCGUCUUUGNNNNNNNNNNNNNNNNNNNNNNNNNNNNNNNNNNNNNNNNNNNNNNNNNNNNNNNNNNNNNNNNNNNNNNNNNNNNNNNNNNNNNNNNNNNNNNNNNNNNGGGUACCGGAUUCCGGCGAAAGUCCGGUGAGAAGCCAAGCCACGGCAGACCGGGCGGCGCGUAUGGCGCUGACACAGAAACGGCACCGACCUUUUCCUGUCCCCUGUUAAGCGCGUUUGAUGCAGUAGUGGGCUGGGCCGCAUGGUGUUGCAAAGCUUGUGUCCGCCAGCAGGCCGAGCAAGCAGCUGGACAGAGGACAUGCUUGCGUGGGCUGCCUCGGCCGCCAGGCCAUGCAAGCAUGAUGCGUUUGAGUGGGCAAACCACGAGCGCCGCCAGACAUCGAGCAGCACGGCACGGCGGCGCGACACGAGCGCACAGCAUGGUCGUUGGCAAGCUAGGCUCGGUAUUGUGGGCACGCUCAGCAUGAACAUGUGCCGCGGUAGAGUUCUCCGUCGGUCACGAUCCCGACCUUGCUGCACACUGAAAAUCAGUCACCCCAAGGUGAGAAGUGAGCGUCCUUGAGUGCUGCUGCCCCGGCUAUUUCUCAUCUAGAAGCUCUCUCUCUUCCUUGCUGCAAAUCACAGUCACCCAGAUCUUGCUACGCUAGCUGUUUCUCUUCCUUGUUGCAGUGAAUAGGAUUUAGGUGUUCUGUUACAAAUCUUCGUCUCAAUGACUCAAUCCCUAUUUAUUUCUAAUCUAAACCAUCUCAAAUGCAGAGAAUAAAGGGAAAACAUUUAGAUAAGAGAAUCUGAGAAGAAAGAAACAUUAACAUAAAGUACAAAAUAUGGGACACCUUAAUUUGCUACAAUUACGAGCAAAUUUGGGAGCAAUUAACGUGGUUUAUAGAUCAAGUUAUCAAUUGAGCUUCGGGCCAUAUUUGAUGAGCAAGAAAAGUGUUCUCCACCGUUGCAACGCAUGGGUAUAUUUGCUAGUUAUGACUUGUGAGGCAUAUAAAUGUGCUGUCCAGGAGAGGCAUUGCACAAUCCCUGGUUGAUGACGUCGAUAGGAGGCGGUGCGCUGCUGCUUGCGCCGGCUGGGGGCGUUGAUUGUGCAUCCAACGGAUGCAUUCGGCCGGGUGCACGGGAGCGCCCCAAGCAUUGGGUGCAUCCGAAUUGUUCUGGCGUCAAAAUCUGGGAACCCCUUCCACAAAUCAUGUGGGCAUCCGCCUCCUUUCCAGCACGGCCCAGCAACCGAUACGGGCCUUUGGGCCCUUCCUCACAAACAUUGUUCGUUGGUCUUUCCCUCUCCUGACCCGGAGAUCCUAUAUGGCUUCCGAAUGCCGUUUAUUACGUGGCUUCAGAUGUUGGAGAUUCGUGCAAGCUUUCUUAUCCAUUGGAUGCACCUAAUCUCUCCUCAGCCUUGCCUCUCUUCGUCUCUCGCACGCUCGAGUCACCGCCAAAUGGAUGACACACGUCAGCAGUCAAAUGGAGGAGGCGGAGGAUAAUCCCAUCUAGGUUUCAAAGUUCAAAUGCAUUUUUCUCUUAGACCGUUGAUCUGUUUUGAAAUUCGUUUGAACCACUGUUAUUUGGAAUUAAUACACUAAAAUAAGAUUCAAUGUGGGUAUAUUUUUAAUUUUUUAUAUGUAUUUUUUAAAUCAACAUUUGGAAUGUGUUGUUUAAACAUUUGGAACAACUUCUUCAACAUUUUGAACAUACUGCUUCAACAUUUAUAUACAAAAUGUUGAUCUAGUCUAUCCGAAUUGUUGAACUAAAUUUGAGAAAAUGUUGAACCUAGCAUCUGAAAAUGUUGACUGCAUUAGUUUAAGUAUAUCUAUCCAAUUUUUAUGCUUAAAAUGUCAAAAUAGUAUAAUCAGAAUACUAGAUUUUUUUUCAGAAUGAGUUGAACUAGACCCUUCAUGUUAAAAAUCACAUCACCGUACAUCUUAGCAUAUAAUUGGGUAAUAGCUAGGGCAAUUAGAAGAAUGGAUAAAGAAAAAAAACUAAACAAAAGCCUGUAUGUUGUGAUGACUCUACCACUGCAUGUGUUAGGAACAAGACCCUGCGCGCUCGUACACAGGAAAAAAUAUCGGUGGGCUGUUAAUGGAGAGUAAUGCGCGCUCGUACACAGGAAAAAAUAUCGGUGGGCUGUUAAUGGAGAGUAAUGCAAUUAGUAUUUGGGUUUAAUGGGCUUUAUAGUUACGAAGAUUAAUGAUCUUUCGGAAGCUAAAUAGGAAAGAGACAAUUCCCUAUUUGACACCAGAAAAGUUACUUGUGUGCUUUCUUGUCCUUAAAAUUUUUUCAUUCGCUAUUUGACACCGGGUAUAACUUUAGUUCUUAUAUGAUACUCUGUUAGAUUUUCCAUCCGAUCGCCGUUAAAUAUCCCGUGAAAAGACGAUUUUGCCCCUCGAUGAUCGCCGUUAAAUGCCCCGUGGAAGAACGGGGUUCACAUGUAGCUUCUUCUACGCUUCAAGUGCGCUAGCGGUGCAGCCUUCCGCGCUGCACAGUCGCGCCCGUCCUCCAACCCACAUGCCCGCGACGAGCUCGGCGUUACCCUACAUUCUCCAUCCGCAUGCCUGCGGACGAGCUUGGUGGUGCCCUGCGUUCUCCCUCUUGCGGCCGGAUGCGGCUACUCGGGGCUACAUAGCACGGGAGGCGCCUGUUGGUGAUUCACCAUUGGGGCCUCCCGCAGCAGCGCACAGGUGCAGCCUGCCGGGCCCGUUGCCACAUACGCAGAGAUAAAUCAGUCCAUGCGACCGAGGCAGAGAAAAAUAAAGGACUGAUGCUUCAAUCUUCUAGAGAAGGAAACCGGAGGUAGAAAGGUGGAUGCUUGAGCUGCCAGUUUGCUAUGUGCUCUCGAGAAGAAGAUUCGGAGAGAGAGAUACAUGCCUGCUUUGAUUUGGAGAGGAUUAAGCACUGAUUGCUUCUUGCGUGUAGGGUAGGAGGGAGAGGAGAGGUGCUGCUGCUUUCUUGCUGAAGCAAAGAGGUGCAAGAAGUUUUCUCGGUGAAGAGAGAAAGGAGAUGAGCCGCUACCGUGCGCUAUGCUUGGCCAUGGGAGAGAGGUGGCGCAACAGCCACCAAAAUUGGAGAAUUAGAAAUCUGACGAUUGCUCUUCGGGGGAAAUUAAGAUGGAUUGGAGAGGAGGAAGGAGAUCUGCUGCUCCCGAUCAUUCCCUGCUCGUCCCACCAUCAGACCUCCACGCCCGAGCAGAAGCAGCCUGAGCGGAUGAGACCCAAUCCCCAUCGGCGCUGAGAACCCCACGAACGGGACCCCUCAUGAUGCCUUCUCCCUGUUACCGCAUCUUGCCGUAGCAACCGACUGCCAAAGCAUCGGCGAGGCGAGCUACCGCGGUCGCAGUCCACUGAUUGGCGAUGUUCAAUCCGCAGUCGCAGCUCGGGCGCCUUCGUGCAGGUCGCGCUCUCGAGAUGGUCCCUGCCGAUGGAGACUCCAGAGCAACUGUGCCUCGUGCGGUGCCCAUCAGCUGUAGCGGUGAGUGGCGGCACCAGCUCGACGGCAAGAAGCAGCGGCGGCUGGAAGCGGACGGAGGAGGUGGUGCCGCGUAUCGGUGCAGACUGCAGAUUGAAAGAGAAGAUAGCCCCUGCCACGACGCAGCUGAAUCGAGCUCCUUCCGAUGCAGAAUUGAGUUCGUUGCUUCUGGAAUAGAACUUUGAGGCUCUUGCUCCACUCCCCCCCCCCCCCCCCCCCCCCCCCCCCGCCCAGUCCGCAGCCGACUCGCCCACGCGUGGGGAGGGGUGGUAGCAGUGGGAGAGGAGGUGAGGAGAGGAAGGAGACUCGCCCACGCGUGGGGAGGGGUGGUAGCAGUGGGAGAGGAGGUGAGGAGAGGAAGGAGGUGUUUGGAUACGAGAUGCUAAACUUUAGGAGUGUCACAUCGGAUGUUCGGAUGCUAAUUAGAAGUACUAAACAUGAGCUAAUUAUAAAACUAAUUGCAGAACCCUUAUACUAAUUCGCGAGACGAAUCUAUUGAGCCUAAUUAAUCCAUGAUUAGUACAUAUUUACUGUAGCAGCACAUUGUCAAAUCAUGGACUAAUUAGGCUUAAUAGAUUCGUCUCGCGAAUUAGACUCUAUCUGUGCAAUGGGUUUUGUAAAUAGUCUAUGUUUAAUACUCCUAAUUAGUACCCAAACAUCCGAUGUGACGGGUAGUAAACUUUAGGAGGUGUAUCCAAACAUCCCCGAAUAAAAAGGGUGGCUGUGGUGGGGCUCCCAUUUUUCUAGAGGGUAAAAUAGUCUUUUCACAUGGCAUUUAACAGUGAUUGGAUGGAAAAUCUAACAGAGUGUCAUGCAAGGAACCAAAGUUAUACCCGGUGUCAAAUAGGGAACGGAAAAAUUUUGAGGUAUUAAAGUUAUACCUAGUGUCAAAUAGGGAAUGAUAAAAUUUUGAGGACCAAGAAGUAACGAGUAACUGGAAUCUAGCGUCGAAUAAGGAAUAUUCAGUAGGAACCCCCGGCCUCACUCAGUUGACGCAGCACACAGCGCUCCCCCGCAGUGGACGCCGGAGCUCGUUGCCCGUUGGCAAACCCGGCACCAAGCCCUUCCAGCGCCCGCGUCAUCCAUAUGCUCCUGCUGCAGUUGGCGUUUGUGCCAUCGCCCCUGCGUCUUGCAUGGCCAAACUCAACACGGAGGAGAGAAGCAACUUGAGCCGGCCGACGACGACCUCCACCCCACGAUGAACGAAGAUGCGCGUCCGCGUUGAGAUUUGAGACCAACCAUGGAAAAAAAAAAAGCUCACAACCCCAUGCCCAAGUCAAACUGGACAGUGAAAGUCAUCUUGUUCAUUACUUCAAAAAAAAAAGUCAUCUCGUUCAGGAGGCACGCAUCCUCGGCCCGGCCCGGCCCAGCUCAUGCGGCGACUCUUCUCGCCAGAGCUAGCGCACACGACAGACCCCCAACCCGGGGUCAACAGGUCCACCGGUCAACACGCGAGCGCCAGCGCCACCGUGGAAAAGUGAAGAGCCCAGGUCAGGUCAGCAGUCAACAAAUCUAGAAAACCACGGGAUCCUCUCCUCGACAGCAGCUGGAGCCGGUCUGGUCUGAGUCUGACUGACUGGCCUCACAACACCUCUGAAUAGUAUUAUGCUACCGCCUAAACUUUACCAUACAACUGGUCAUGGCGAUGCAUGAAGGAGAGCAAGCUGGGGUGAUUAAACGCGGCGGCGAGCUAUCUCACCGCUGGAAUUCAAUGCUCUCUUCCUCCUCCCGGACAGCUCAAUAUUGGUAGUACCUGCAGAAUGUACUCUGAAUCUGAUAUCUCCCUCUUCCCAUUUUUCUUGACAGAAAGUCCACUGAUCUGAAUGCACAGCAUUAGAGAAGCUGCUGGAUGCGUGCGUAUGCAUUCGAUCAGAAUCAGUAUUUCAGCCUGAUAACGAAUUACAAAUCUUGGGCAUGUGAAAGCUACAUACAAGCCUAUACCAGCAGCUGCUGCACUGAAACCAUGCUGAAAUGAGUUGCUGUAUUUGCAGCAAACAACUGUCUGUCAGCUUAACUCUCCAUCAAGAGUAGGCGAUAUUCAUAGAAUCGAAGUGAUGACAGGAUUCCAAAAGAAGUACUAGUAGCUUGAAGUUAGUUAAUUGCAUGUCCCACGGAUCUCGUUUUACCUUACUCACGACGACCAGUCGUUUACAUCCAAUCCCAUCUGAAUUCCUUACUGUUCUCAGUUUUUAGGAAUGGGAUCGUCCCAGUUUUGUGUUUUUACAUCAGGCUUCUCCGCUCCUGGUGCCGUCUGAAGAACUGUUCGUCACUGAUUAGUGAUUACGAUUCUUCUUAUCUGUGUGGACAGGACGCAUCGGCCGCCGCAGUUUGAAUGCGCGCGCGUUAUUAUCACUGAGAAAAAUUUCGCAGAUCAGAACCUUCUGGCGCCGAGAGAAGACUACCGACUGGAUUUAAUGUUGACAAGGACUGAUUAUUGUACGAUAACUUCUGGGUGAUUCAGUUCACCUGUCGAUGGAAGAGUAGCUAGCCAUCUGCAGCGCGUGGCUCUCGUGUGCGUACGUGUUUGUUUUCAAAAAUAAAAUAAAAAACAAAAUUUCUAAUAAAUAUACACUAGAACAAUAUAGGUUUCUUUAGAAGAUAGAAUUUACAAAUACUUUGUUUCUACACGAGCGCGUGGAUGAUGUCUUGAUUUUUUUUAAAAAAAAACAAGUAACAGACACAUCAUCCUAUGAACAGUGAAAGAAAGGCUUCCGGGCACGGGCUGCAUGGGCGCAGCAUCGUUUUGGAGCCGAGCGCUGCCGGUGUAUCAUGCCAUUAUGGAUUGACCUGUCAGGCACCUCCAUCCAGGCCCUCCAAGAAAUAAUGGACUCUGCCGUGUACGUUCGUGAAUACGUACAAACAUACGGUUGCACAUACCCGAGACGCGCCAAUGCACCCGUACACGUACGUGGUCCACGGAUCCAUGUACGCAUACGCAGCAUGCAUGCGUCCAUGGCCACGUCGUCCUAGUCUGCAGCUAAGGACGUACGGAGUAGCUGCGUAGGUAGACUGGUAGAGAAGAUCGUAUGAUGGUGUCCAGCUCGAAACAAGCUCGAUCGCAUGACUGUACAAAAGACAGGCCAUUGUUGGAUCGUUCCAUGUGGUCCUCACUUGGAUCAGAUCGAUCCGCUCGAAAAUAGCAAUGAUUAGUGAACAAUUUGUCGUGCGUACGUGCAGCAUUUUGAAGCUAAAGUGCUCUUGGAUUUUUGCCGUUUCGCUACAGCGCAGCAGAGAUAUGGUGAUCAGAGAAUUACUGACGAGAGAGCAAUCAGAUGCUUUCUUUUUUUAAAACAAACCAGGAGAGUUAUAUUAAAAAGAAAAAUAAAUCCAGACGGGGCAAACAACAAAGAAACAACACCGGCUGGUUAGAUUGUGGCAUCAAACUGCGCCGUACCACGCCAACAUAAAUCCAGACGGGGCAAACAACAAAGAAACAACACCGGCUGGUUGGAUUGUGGCAUCAAACUGCGCCGUACCACGCCAACGCACAACUCAAACUCAACUCAAACACACAACAUCUGCCGGUUGGAUUGGGACAUCAAUCGGGUCUCUCUCAACUCUGCUCGAUCGGAUUGGGACAUCGACACGAGCCUCAAUGAAGACUCCUCCCGGAUUGGGACAUCGACUCGAGCCUCCACGAACUCUGCCCGGUCGGAUUGGGACGUCGAUACAGGCCACCACACAACUAACGCCACAGAUAGGAUCAUUUAUUUUAUAAGGAAAAAGAAAGAAAGUACCCUCUCGGGAGCAACCAUCACUGAAGCAAGCCACCUUGCCAUGAGUGCCUGACAUCGCCUUCAAGAAGGUCGAGAUGUCGAAGAUAUCAUUGAUGCUAGCCCAAACUGGGUUGGGUUUUCACCCGCCUCAUCCGACAGGGAAGGCCGGCAUCAAGCCGUUGUCCCCGAACAGGAGCCAAGGCCCGCGCAAGAGAUGCCCGACGUCGCUUUCAGGAAGGACAUGACGCCAAUGGCGCCAUUGACGCCGUCCCAAGGUGGGAUGGGUUUUCACCCGCAUCGUCACCACGGUGUAAAGAGACGGCUGGUGCCACCAGCCCCACCACCAUGGCGCUGCUGGUGAGCCUUCGGACGGUCGCAGCCAAUGACACCACCAUGGUGAUGUUGGAAUGCGCCCGAGCACACCAUUGUGGGGCACACCACCAUGACACCACCGACACACCGCUAUACAACACCUUGGAGCCUGUCCACCGCAGGGGAAGGAAGCGAUGCCACUGCAGGUGCCGCGACCGCCAGUCCCCGCGCGCCAGCUGCACGUGGCUGGGCACAGCCGCUGCUGCCUGGAAGGCAGCCACCACAUGCCUGCCGCGGGCACCGCCGCAUUCGAGCCACGCCCGCACCGGCCGCCGACACCGUCAUAGCCGAGCCAUGCCGCUCGAGCCGCAGUCGCCAGCGCUGCUAUGGCCUAGCCAAAGCUCUGUCGACGUGGAAGGAGGAGUCGUUGCUAGCGCCGAGGCAGGGACAAGCGUGACGGGGGGUCCCUCGGGAAUCUCACCGCGGCGGUGUGUGGCUGUGGACUGGCAAACAGGUGCGGCGCGGGGCUGGCUGGACGCACACGCCACUGUAGCUGGGCCCGCCCCCGCCACCGCAAUCCCCGACACGCCGAGGCCUCGGGGAAGCAGAUCCGGCAGCCGAGGGUGAAUAUCCGGCCGCGGCCGGCCGACGACCGCCACCUCCGCCAUGGUCACCACAAAGGAAAGCGCGAGGGGGGAGGAAAGGAGAGGAGGAGGAUGGUGGAGCCCCGUCGUCGCCUUCCUUAUGGCCGCUUGGGCGACGGCGAGGAGGAGAGGCGGCACCGGCUCUCGGGUUCCGCCCGAGCCGCCUCAAGGAGGGAGCGACAAGGGGGCUGUAUAGUAGUUUCUUAUCAGAUGCUUUCUCCAAUCGUCAGAUUUGUCCGUCCAGCUUUGUUUCCAUCUCUCACGAGGAGCUAGAUCGUACCAAUAAUACAGUUGAUCGACCCAUGCUGUGCAUGCUACAACAUGCCUGCCCUAAGUGUGUGUGGCGCGGUCGUACAGUCGUCGACACUGGAGAGCUAACAGAGAGAUGGAAUCUGGUGAUGAUACGAUGCUGUUCCUUAGUUAAUUAUUAGUUCGGGGCUUCUUUAAUUGCUAUUCAGACCUGCAGUACGUACGACGUGCAUGGUUUUGUCAUCACGCGAAUGUCUUUUGCCGCCAUGCUAGCUUAAUUCGUAGGAGCAGUAGGUCUCUUCUUGGAUUCUUCCUGGGUUGAUCGAUGAGAAACAAAGCUGGUUUUUCAGUGUUAGUCGUCGUGGAGGUUAAAUGGAACUGUUGCUUUUGCCCCUUAUCGCAGAUCAAUAUUUGUAUGCAAAAAGGUCGUCAAAAUCUUCAUUAACAAGGGAGAAAACACAACCUACAAGAAAAAAAACUACCGAUUUUUUUUUUCUAUUAGUAAUAUUAACAAGGGAGAACACGCGUACACGCUGCAUUCACGUGCGCAUUAACAUAGGAGUAUUAAUAUCGUCAACUAAUUAUAAAUUCAGGGCCUAAUAGAAGGGCCUUUGUCUAAUCUCAUGGUUUUCUAUCUAGCUAUAGCAUGCACCAUCUUUUUCAUGUGGAUGCUUCUUAAUUUUUUCCACCAGUGGAAACAAAUCAUGUGUCAUUUUCAGUUGGAAAAAAACGUCUCUGAAGAACAUGCAAAAGUGCCGUCAUGUUUUUCCACUAGUAAAUUCCUAGAAGUAGGAGUAGGACAAGUACUCAGAGGUGCAUGCACUUUCCUCUUCGUAGUUACUACGUUGGCAUAGCAUUUUUUUUAAUACUGUUAAAAAUGAUCGGUUAAAAGCACGUCAAGUGGCUGCUGCUUAUUUCAAGUUUAGGGAGCCACAACCAGCAAUUCUCUGUAUACAAUUGCAAAGUGAUCUACUACGGUGACACGAAUGUCGUACGUGUUGUGGCUAGUGGUGGAGAUACAGAGAUGGAUCUAGCGUCUGGGGCAAAGCUAAAAGAGAGAUAGAUCUCAAGUUGGAGUGGUGUGACAUGCACAUCGUCUCUACCUCACCCUUCACCCAACUUGUUGUUUGCACUCGUAGUGUACGACCAACCCAUCGCUCAUUUGCAAUCAAUGUAAAAAGGUCCUGUUGAAACACAUUGUUGUGUGUGUGGUCUCAACCAACCCUGCCAAGAUCCAUCCACGAAAACGAUAGAGAUAUAGAGAAGCUAUUCGACAAUAAAAGGCUUCGCGAAUGGGGACUACUCGUUCUGAUCGAUGAGAGGUAGCUGGUCGGCAUGUAUCGUGGUCACGGGCUUCACUUGAGCCCUCCAUCCAUGGACACACACCGCAUCGCACCAGCAACUGGUUUAUCCUUUUUGAAAUGCGCAGGGAACUAGUAUCUGGUCUAGUAAGUGCCAAGCUCUAGUUACAUCAGCUGGUACAUGUAACUUGGUAGCUCUAGCAUAUAGAUUGUUCAUUUAUCAGUCACCCAGUGUUUUCAGAAUAUUUUUUCCAAUAAAAACAAAAGAAGUUUUCAGAAAAUGACAGUAGCUAGGAAGAGUAUGCAGCCAUGCAUUGAACCCUACAUGUCUCCCUUUCUGAUAUCAAAUCAAACGGCGGGUCUUGUAUGUCUGUCACGAGGCACAAACUUGUUGUGAAGCGUUUUCGGUAGGCACACGACUAGAUGGGACGUGUCAGACUGUCAGCAGGAUAAAAACUGCCUAACCAUCUCAUCCCUGCCUAAAGCUGCAUGCCUUUGGUAGGGACCGGCUUGUUGCAGCAGCCACACUAGUAGUAGCAAGGCUUUGUAUGUAGCAAUGGCAUAUGAUGCCAUUCACCAAUAUGCAUGUGCACAUGCUGCCUUGUCGAGUUCAUGCAACUUGUUAAUCUUCCGUUUCUACUUUCAACCUUUAUAGUCGACAGUCCCUGACCCUGAAUUUCUGACCAAACCUUCUCUUCAGAAGUUCAAAUUAAGUGAAUAUAUUUGUCCAUCUUUACCAUAUGUCUGAAUAAAAGGCAGGAGUUUGUAUCAAUGAAAAAAAAGCAGCAACGAAUAAAAGUAGAGCCUUCUUGAUCUAAUCAUUUAUCCAUGCUGUACCAUUUCCUCGUCUCAAGGCACCCAUCCUCCAUAUAUGAAUCGACGGAAACAUCUGGUCUCGUCUCACCACUUCACAUCCCCCAGAUCACCAUCAUAUCCAUGCUAUGAUCGGCCCAUGAUUCUCUCAGGGUCCAUGCCCAAGUUAAUGCCCACGAGCAGCUCCUAUCAGCAGAUGAAGAAACACUAUGAAGAGAGACAGCUGCUGGUUCGCUCUCCUGCCCAUGCUUUUCCGAUCUGCUUUAUUUGCCUCUGUAGCUCUCCUUUUGCACGAAAGUGGCGGUCGAAAGGAAUGUCUCAGAAGCGUCGCACUGCCACGCCUUCGGGAUUCCACAUUUCCACAGAGAGACGCACCCAGCACUGUGGAUCCAUGCACACCAAGAAAUCUGUCGUCUGUUCACGCAUCGAAAGUUAGCAGCAACCACACCGCUGCUAGCGGAAAGAUGUGUGUGUGUGUCCCAUGAAAGAAGAACAGAUGGCUGCAUACGCAUGGCCUUUUCUUUUCUCCUUUUCUUCUGCCGGUUUCCAUUAUUGUACAUAAACAUGGAAAAAAGGCUUUGCUAAUGCUAGUGUUUGUUGUGUAGACAAGACGAGAUGCGUGCCAACAAGGAUUACUAUAGCUCGAUUGUAUAGCCAAUGAAAACAAUGGAAAUCUAGCGCCAUCGCCGCCGAGCGCAUCGGCCAUGGACGGAUUGAUGCCGGCGGCAACCGCCCAUAGCUGUCGUCUUCCUGAGCCGUCCCUUUCCCCCUAUUUAACUCGCUCCGCCGUCGCUGUCCCCUCCUCCACCGCUCCGGCCGGCGGGCCCCCUCUUCCUCCGCCUCCGCGGUUCAUAAUUUCCACCUCCUCCGCUGCUCAUGUCUGUGUGGCGUGGCGUCAGGCCUCGCUCAGCGCCUUGCGUGUGCCAGCCCGGCGGGCGCGCCAAGACCCUAGAGGGUGCGUAGGCUAGACGAGUGGUUAGAGAGACCGGCCGGCCGGCCGAGCAGCAAUCACCCGGCCGAUCAGCCGGUUAAUCGCCUGGGUUUUGGUCGAUAUAUAUUGGCCCGGACACUAACCCUCUUAUCCUUUCCUCUCGUCCGUCCCGUCCCCCCCACUUGCACCCGCGAGCAGCGACGCCUGCUUUUUUCCGGAGGAAGCCGCCACUGAGCUCGCUCGUGCUAGCUACCUACGCACAUAUCUAGCAGCUACUACUACACCUAGCCAGCUACAGCCGCCUGCCCUAGCUAGCUAGCAAGGGAGCGGCCGGGCUGCAUAGAUAUGCGAGGGAGGCAGGCGAGGACGAGGAAGGAGAAGCGGCAGUAGACGAGCGGCCAUGAGCGGCAGGCACGAGAACGGGCAUGGCGCCGCUGCUACCGCGGCGGCUGCAGCGGCGGCGGUGGGAGGAGGAGGAAGGGCGGGGGAGGGCGGCGGCGGUGACGCGCACGAGGACGACCUGGUCAUGCCGGGGUUCCGGUUCCACCCCACGGAGGAGGAGCUCAUCGAGUUCUACCUCCGCCGCAAGGUGGAGGGCAAGCGCUUCAACCUCGAGCUCAUCACCUUCCUCGACCUCUACCGCUACGACCCCUGGGAGCUCCCUGGUCUGUCUCUCUCUGAUGCUAUCUUCUACCAAUAACACUUGCAAACAACAAUCACUUGCUCUCGCUCUCGAUCUUCUCCCUCCAAUUAAUCUAGCUCUCCUCCGAAUUAACCAAUAUUUCUUCAAGAAAAGAAAAUUAAGGGGGUGGAAUUGCGCUGAUGCAUGCAGCCAUGGCCUCGAUUGGGGAGAAGGAGUGGUUCUUCUACGUGCCGAGGGACCGCAAGUACCGGAACGGGGACCGGCCGAACCGGGUGACGGCGUCGGGGUACUGGAAGGCCACGGGCGCCGACCGGAUGAUCAGGGCCGAGAACAACCGCCCCAUCGGGCUCAAGAAGACGCUCGUCUUCUACUCCGGCAAGGCGCCCAAGGGCGUCCGCAGCAGCUGGAUCAUGAACGAGUACCGCCUCCCGCCCGACCACACCGACCGCUACCAAAAGGUACGCAGCACAUCUAGUCCCGGGCGCCAUGGCCUUCAACUUCAAUUUGCCCAUGCGACGAGCUAAUUUGCAAGCAAAUCCACAAGGCCGGGACUAGGGUUUGGGGAGGUUUUCUUGGAGUUGGAUUUUGAGAGGGGUUUCAAUUUUGGUCUACCCAAUUAUGCUUUCAGCUCGGCUUUUGCAUUCUCUUCUGAUUUUCGAGUUACAUAUUAGGGUUUGUUCAUCUUCUCUCGUUUGCAUCUUUGCCUCUUUUGGUGUUCCUCCCAUGAAUAAUGAUGUUCAUACUUGGGCACAUACCUAAAACCGCACCCUAUUCGAUUACUCCCCAAGAUGCUAUCAUGCAUGAGUUUAUUUCUGAACCUAGACUCCUAGAUUCCACAAUUCUAGAUGUAAUCAGGACGAAAUUUUGGGGGAAAGCAUCAUCACGUAGCAUCUCUUUUCUGGCUUUCCAAUUCUAGCCCAGCUUGCUUGUUCUACUUCCUCCAACUAGUUCCCCAUGCUCGCACUUGUCUAGCACACAACAUUAGCAUCUCGAGAUCUUCAUGCCUGAGAGUAAUGACGAAGUAAUUUGCAGACCGAGAUCUCCCUCUGCCGCGUGUACAAGCGCACCGGCAUCGACGACGGCCAUGGCCAUCCCUCGGCGCGCUCGACGCCCUCCCGCCGCGCCACGGCCCAGCAAGACAUCAAGCAGGCGUCAUCGUCGUCCACGCCCACGCCGCCCACGAGCCCGCCCAAGAUGAUGCAGCUUCUCCACGGCGAGUGCACGUCGGCGCCGACCAUCAGGGACCACGCCGCGGCACACAACGACAACAAGCCGCCGCCGCCGGCGGCGGCGCAGCGGCAGCUACCCACAAAGCCGUGCAACGGCGGCUAUCUGCUGUCGACGGCGAGCUCCGCCGCGGGGGCCAGCGAUCAUCUGCAAGUGGGAGCCGCGGCAACGCCGCCAUCGUCGUACGACCAGUCCCGGAACGCCAACGCGUUCGCCUCCACGUACUCGCUUCUCAGCCUGGUGAACGCGGCCUCCAUGGGCGGCGGCUCCGCGGCCGCCGCCAUCGACGAGCUCAGCUCGCUGGUCGGGCACGGCCCGCCGGCGUACUUCAACCACCAGGCCGGCGGCAGCUUCCUCCCCCUGCCAACGCCGUCGUCGUCGCAGCCAAUGGCGCUCGGGACGCUGCCGAUGUCGCUGGCCGCCAUCUCCGACAAGAUCUGGGACUGGAACACGAUCCCCGACGCUGCGGCUAGAGAUUACAGCAGUGCCGGUUUCAAGUGAGCGGCGGCGCGCACGGGUGCAUGGCGGCGGCGCACAUUCCGACGGCCCAAAUGGUACAGCCAUGUAGAUCUUACUGUAUUUUCUCCCUCUCCCGGUUAAUUUGUUCACGGUAAAAUCUGAGGAAACAAUCUCUGUAGACAAGUGUCAAGUAUACCCUUUUAAUCAGACUAUAGCUCAUACCAACUUGCUUGUACUAGUAGUAUGAUCAAGAGUUCAGGAUAGGUAAGCUGCUGUAAUUCCUACUGAAUUGCAUAUAAUAACCUCCUUCAAUUUGAUCAAUAACGACAUGACAGUCAAUUUCUACUUCCCAAGAUUCAGGACAGUUUUUUUUUUACUCUUGUCAAGUACUGCACCAACCAUCAAGAUUCAGGACAUGGCAAUGCGCAUGCAGGAUAGUUGGGAAUGUUUGUGCAGUCAAAAGCGCCUGUUUUUUAACUGUCUGACUUUGGGCACUGACUCCACUGCACAUGAAAUAAUGCCGGACGGUUGCAUGAUUGGGGGAGACGACCGUGGCAGAGAUUGCCUCCUCGGAAUGAUUGGGAGAGGACCUGCAGGGGGGUGUCGGGUGUGCGUGGAUCCCACAUCUCUUUCUCUCAUCUCUCUCUAGUCUGUAGUAGAUGCAGGACUGUGUCAGAGAGAUGCGAGGAUCGAUCGCCGAUGGGGUUUGGGCCUUUGGGGGCCGAACAAUCGUGUGAUUGGCAGCGUUUGUCUUUUCGCUCUGCGCGCUGUCAGAGGGUCGUCGUCUCAGGCUCCGGGGCCGGCGACUGGCCACCGGAUUACAACUGUGGAAAAUGAUGAUUAUUCCUCUUUGGCUGCUCUCGUGCUGGCUGUAAACUUGUGGGUGUCAUGGGCUGACGAUCAAUGGUCGGAUCGAGCUUGGCCGUUUGGACAAUCUGCUAGUCUGAUCAGGAAGGAGGUUUUUUUUCUGAUUGGACAUUGUACAGUCUAUGUCUUUUGGUAGGGCUGAGAUAGUUUACCUGUUUUGGUACCUUUUGAUUUUGUUCUUGUCAUGCCAGCUGUGAUGUAGUACAUUCUGAUACCUAGUAGUCUCAUAGUCAUAGAGAAAAGAGAAUCCACAGCCAUAAGUUUCAGAUCAACCCAGUCAAGGAACAAAUGAAGGGAAAAGCUUGCAGGGGAUUCUCCUGCGCAUUCUAUUAUUUUUCCGAUUCCUUUAAUAACCUGCAAAAGUUUUGUGACUAACUUCCACAAAGGUAAGGAUUGUUUUUGUCGUCAGAGUUACCGACUUCAUUUUUAUGAGAUGUAUCGCAGCAGACCACACAUUUAACAUGUCAAAGUUUCUCAAAACUAUACAUAUAUUUGAUAUUGAUGCACCAAGUUAUCGCAGAACUAGAGAUUCCAGAAGAAUGAAACAUGUGGUUUUGUGAUACAUUGCAGACGACGUAUAAAUGCGGUUUUGUGAUGGAUACUAUGGCACACUAAAUCUGUAAUUUCGUGAUGUACAAUCUUUAAUUUUGUCUUUAUUAUACUAGCCUACUAGGACAUGUUAAAUCUCUAGUUUUGCGAUGCAACUUCUGGAAUUUGAUUUCGUUAUAGCAUACCCAAACAGUUUGUAGUCUUACGAAAUUUACUCUCAAGUUUGUCUCUCAAAUCAUCAAAGGAGAGACGAAGUGAAAACAGAAAAUUGUUUUGCUCGUACGUAUGUGACAUGUAUGACUAAUGUACUGAUCUGACCAGUGCGGAUAGGAUAAUGACAUUAUGGAUCACUUUUGCUCGACCAAUUAUCUAGUUUUAUGAUUUUCUAUGUGAAGUUUUACAAUCAUGGGAUCAGAUAUGAUCCCUGAAACAGCAGAUAACCACAAGCAUACAAGACACAAACUACUUAAACUAGUAGUGUGAACUGCAAUCCAUUUGUGUGAUCUUGUACUUGUACAACUGUGUGAUCUUUGGCCGUAAACAUUCUCUUUUAAUUGCAUGUGGAGGCCGGAUAAUUAUCCUUUUUUUAAGGGCAGCAGGAUAAUUAUCCUUAAUCUAAAAAAAACAACUGUGUGAUCUUGUUUCCAGACGAGUGCGCAGCUGUGUGAUCUCAACUGAUCCAAAUUAUUGGGCUAUUCAAGGGGGGCAAAAGAAAGUAGUUGAAAUGUAUUGUUAUCUCAUAACAAAACUUGGCUGAAAUAUACACAUGUAAACAUCAAAGCAAAGUUCUUUUUUUUUCCCCGAGAAAACAGAAGCAAAGGCUAUGCAUAUAUCCUGUCAAGCUACAGAGAUGCCAUGCAUGUGGAUUGGUUCUGAAAGGUGGAAUCGACAAAUUAAGGAAGCACUCGAUGUCGUGCGACGUUGGUGGAUGACAUCAUUCAGUGAUUAUAGCGUGCACAAAUGUGCCGGGGAGUACGUUGAUCUUUCACAGAAAACAUCAAAUCGAUCGCCAGGGCCCUCGAGAGCAUGCGGACACCUGAAAGACGAACACGGAGAAGCGAAAAGCGAGGUGACCAUGCUUUUACACACACACACACACACACACACUAGGACACACACACACACACACACACACACACACUUAUGGUGCAAUAAUGUCCAAUGUUAAUUAUACUAGGACUAGUAGGAAAAUUUAAACAGCUUUGUUUGGAAAAGUUGUAUACUCCCAGUCUCCUACAUGGAUGAUCGCAACAACAACAAGUGACAUAUCCGUACGUGCUUUACACACACGCGCGCGCGUGCUUAGGCAGCUUGCUAAACAAAGAUCCAUUCUGCCGAGGGCGAGCUGAGUUGGCUCCCAUGGAUCCAUCCGUCUCCUUGGGCAUGCAGUGCAGGCGCCAUGAUGAGGCGAGCACCACAACCUCCGCGCAACCGAGACGGAUGGAUCAUGGAUCGAUCCCUGUAUCCGGCCGGCCUGGAUCGCCGCUUUUGGCCCACGCUGGCCAUGAUCCUACGCCCACGCGUGCGUCCGGAGCGAGGAGGAGAGGCAGGCCAACAGGGUAUCGGAUCGGAUUCAGCGGCUCUGAUGAUUGAUUAUAGCUAGGCGCGCGCGGGGGUUUAGGUUUAGGAUGCGGGAAAGCGAGCUUUUCCGGGGUAAUAAAGGUCGCGCCUUUGCGCACGCGCGCGGUUACUGUCCCGUGCGGCCGGGUUGUGCAUGCGACGGCGCAUGAUUAGCUCGUUGAACCUUGGAACUGCAUGUCAGCGCUACUACUAGUAGUAGCAGCAGCAGCUCAUCGGUCGAUCGGCCGGUGCCAUCAUACACCUUUUCUUUUCUUUUUCUUUCUGGUGAGAUAUGUAUGUGCGGCUAGCUGCUGCUUGCAUUGUACGAGCUGAUGGGUAGAGUAGGAGUGGUAGCACUUUUUGUUUGGGUAGUCUGGGACCAUGCAUCAUCUGGUACCGAUGGCUCCUUCUGGGGAUCCAGGGACACUGCCGAGCUGCCUGAUCGGAGGAAAGUUAGCGUCGGGCGCAGGGGCGCACGCGCGUUAUUUGGUAUGGUAAGUUACAGGAGAGGAACGUCCAGAUCGACGCGACACCGCCGACAGGGCAGGAACACGCUUCCACAGCUAGCCCUCGUGUCGUGCAAAAAAGCCACUUGCCGUUGUUGGGGGAGGAAAUCGCCUUGCGUUUUGUACAUGCUUUCGCUCCGCUUGCGUUGGGGUAGGCCUAUGGCAUCACUGAGAGCAAAUGCUACUACUACUUUUCAGGCGAACAACAAAUGCUAAAUAAUGGACCCUCACUUCACUGGACUUAUUGGAAAUGCUUAGGGCAGCUCUCCAUCGGAACAGUAGGGCCGUUAUGUGCUGCUAUUUUAGCCCCUGUAGUAGGUUGGGCUCAUUCAGUCGGCCUGAAUUGCCGAAUCCUCACAACCAAGGCCCACAUCACAGGACUUCCCUCAGCAGCUUCAACUUAGAUAAUUCUUACCCACGACAUCAGUAAAAAGGACAUAACUAUAUAAUCUGAAUCUACCACUGACCAGCGCACAACUGAUCACUUCUUGUUUCCCCAUGAUAUCCUUUUUUUUUAUCCAGGACAAACAUAACAAUCAUAUGUGAACGUGUGACCAAUACUUGGUUUCCUUUCAUGCCUAGGGUAAUCGACAAACCAAGCAAAUUAGCAAAAUAUGACGCAGCCAGCUGUUGCCAAUUUAUUCAUUCCCCUAAACGACUGAAGAACUAGUACAAAGACCAGAGAAGCAUCAAAUCAGGCUGAGUAACCUCACCAAGUGUAUACCUGCUGACUGAGCCUGCGCAGGGCGCCUUCGUCGUUCAUACGAAUGGCCUCCGGUGACAUCACAUACGCUGAACGCUGCUGCUCAAAGAGGGGAAAGGCAGAGGUUGUACACCUUCCCUAUGUGUGACAAUGUUCCUAGAUAGAUCUCCAUCCACUUUUAAUGCAAUCUAGCACAAUCAGAGCUCCGAAAAGAUGGCAAACACUAUGAAUGAGGCCUCAUCGAACUCUGAAAUGCUGAAUAACAAAAAUGGGUCAAGAGGUUGUUCAGAGUUCGAACUAGAGACGGCUCAAAGAACAGAAACUUGCGCGUGUGGCCAACUGGCCAUACCUCCCAAUGCUUCCAUUGAACCACAUGGAAAAGAAAUAUAACUUUUCUAGUUUCCAUUUCUAACAACAUACCAAAAGUUUCAUGUUCCAUUUGUCUCCUAAUCUUUUGGAAGUAAUCGUCUUUCUCCCUUCCUGAUUGUAAUAAAGAUAAAGUAGCCAUGUCAGUUGUUGGUAAUACCACAAAGCAAAGGAGGGAGGUAGAAGAAUGACCAUAACCUUUGUUGUCCCAACAUGGAAAACUUAUCUGCGCAAGGGCUGUCUAACUUCUUUGGUAAGAAAUAGAAAGGAAGCUAGCAAGCAGAGCUCUCAUAACUUCCCAACAUGGCUAAUGUCCACACACCAUGCACUUCCAUUUCUUCUGAGAAAGACACUUCACUGGAACUACAAGUAACAGAAAUCAGGAAUACUGAAUCAGCUAGCAAGAUCAUCUAUCUUACCUGCCUAACUCAAAUGCAGGCUUAAGUCCUUAACAAAAAAGGGCAGGCCUAAACGCAGCCAGCUUCACAGCUGACAUGCUUCUUCAGACAAGCUACGAGGGUCAUAACUCAUAAGUCAUCAGUCUUCAGACAAGCAAUCCAACCAUUUGAGACAGAGUGGUCAUUAGUCAUCUCUGAUGAGAUGUCUGCAAGCUCUGAUGACUAUAGAGUAGUGUGUUCAUCACUGAUGGGGUGUCAUCUUCUUCAGUGAAGCACAUGUUCUUGGUGGUGGCCUCUUCUUCAUCCUGCAGCAUUUUCAAUCACCUUGUGACCUCGCCGUUCUCUUUGCCGCUGGCAUCCUCCAGAAUCCAUAUUACACGCCGCUAACCUCAUCCCACAAGCGGACGUCGGAGGCGGCAUCAGCGCAGGGGUCCCGCUUUACCAGGUCUCGCUUCACCAUGGAGCGGGCUCCCGAACUGCCGUUCCUUCCAUACCACCAGAUCUCGUUCUCCUCAAAUCCCACCGGCGUCGGGGACGUCCAUGGCCGCCGUCGCAGCCGCCGCCGCUCCCAGAAUUGGAGCGCAAAGACGGAAGCCGAGCCGCCAUGGCCGCGCUCCCAGAAUCGAUAGCGAUCCAAUAUUUAUCAGAAAGCCCCCCCAAAUGUUUACAUAAAGCCCCUAGAUUGGAGCUGCUACACAGCCGCUGACGGAGCGUUACCCGAUCGACGGCGACGGAGCUGCUGCACGAGCGUCCCCGGCCUCGGGCGGUGUCGAAUGGCCGGUGAAUGCACGGGCGGCGGCGGAGGAAGGGGCACGCGCGCGAGAGAGAGCGGGAGGGCUAAUAUGUCAAAAGAUGGGGUAAAAUGCAAAAUAUCGGAUCGCUAUUAGUAGUCGCGAUCGAAAAUAGGGAGUAAAAUGAAAAACUACUGGAUCGCUAUUAUCCAAACUAGGGGGUACAGUGUAAAAUAUUAGGGGUCAAAGUGCAAAAUUAAUGGUGUAAAGUGGAUGCAAUAAGAGCAGGGUAACUUUCCAAUCUUCCCUCCUGCCCUGAGUCCUCGAUGCGGCGGCGCGGGCGCGGCAGAGCUCCGGCGCACCCCGCCGCGAGCCCCACGACAAACAUGGAAGAGGAUAUGAUCCUGAAACGGAGGGUGGCGUGUAUGCGAUCCAUCACCCCAAAUCUGAAGCGUCUCCCUCGACAGGCGGUCGCCUGGAGCCCGUGCCGCCGGGCUGUGGUCGGCGGGGGUUCGGUCUCCGUUCGGACUCCGGAGAGCGAUUGUUCGCGGCCAGCUGUUUGCCGCACGAUCACGCUGCGAGCCAGCGAUGCCUAAUGGCCGAGGGAAACGCUGCUUCGAUCUCAUUUUGACAUGCCAAAUCCGGGCUGCAAGAUUCAGGACCCUGAACUUUUGUGUGGCAACUUGACACCUUGCCUCCUGCUCAAUCUGUCUGGGUCUCUGGGAGAUGUCAUCAUGGCCUCCUGAACCUCCUGGAUCCAUUCGUGGCCCAUCAGUCUCGGCGACACGAAUAAUCUUAGAUUGGCACUAAUGUAUCUACGUUGCCUUUUGCCAGGACUAUUUGCAGCUGCUCUGACCUGCUGCAUAUCCAUCAUUGAUCAUUCCAUCGACUAAUCACGCGAAUUUCUUCGCUGUUUCCGUCCUGCACUGCUCGUACUGUUCAUCCAGGGCCAGCUUUUCUCUUCUCUCGGCGAGGUUCACCAGCCAGCCAGCCCUUCACUUUCACCGACGCCACGUCCUGUCCCCUGUCAGCGAGCAGCCAUGGAAAACAGCAACGGGGACACGCCGUGACGCCAUAACAACAGCAGCCGUGGCCAUCUCGCGGCAUCAAUGGGUGGGAACGGGACCCGUGCUACUGGCGUCGAGCAGUUGGGCCUCCAUUCCGUUCCGUUCCGUUCCACGCGUCGCUGACACGUACGCGCGCCGCCGCGCUGCCGGCGCCGGUGGCCGUGCCAGCGGACGGACGCCGCCGUGAGCGAUGGAUUCCGCGCGCCAGCCCGGCCUAAUUAGUGCAAUAGUAAAGUGAUGCGCGUUAUUUCGAACCAACGUACGCUGCGCUAACUGCAAACGACAAGACAACGCGCCGCGCCGCGCUCCGAGCAGAGCGAAGCCAAACCAAACCAAACCAAACCUCACUGCCGGUUGCCAGGUUUCCAGGCGAACCACUCCACUACACCCCGGCGCUCGCCGCGCUGUGUACCUGCAGGGAAGGAGACGCUGAACCAGUGAACCCAGGGUACGGCGCCGGAGGGAGGCGGUAGAGAGAGGGGCGGGAAUGGAGGGUGGCGGCGGGGACUCGGAGUCGACGGCGCUGGAGUACACGCCGACGUGGAUCGUGGCGGCUGUCUGCUCCCUCAUCGUCGUCAUCUCCCUCGCCGCCGAGAGGUGCCUGCAUCACCUCGGCAAGGUAACCGACUGGUGUUUCCUUGCGUUUCGCAAAUCUCAACAUCUAAAACGCGUUGCUUGUCUCCCUCCUGAAUUAACGCUGCACCUUGGUGUCCACUGUGAGAGCAGACGUUUAAGGGGAAGAAUCAGAAGGCGCUCUUCGAGGCUCUCCUCAAGGUCAAAGAAGGUAUUGAUCUGUUCUUUUCUGCCAUUUAACUUACAUUUUCAGUUUCAGGUGAAGCUGAGGUUUAUGUGCUUCUGUCAGAAUUCAGAAAGCAGGGAGAUUUGUUCAUCUUCAGUGCAAAACUUGAUUUCUCUGCUCAUUUCUAAACUCGCAUCAAGCUGUAACAACCGUGAUGCUUUAAGCAGCUUCCCCUCAAUGUAUCUGAUGCGACUUUGCAGAGCUCAUGCUUCUGGGGUUCAUCUCCCUGCUGCUGACUGUGUCCCAAGGGAUGAUCCAGAGGAUCUGCAUUCCUCCAGUGUGGACCAUCUACAUGCUCCCAUGCCAUAGCGCAAGGGAACAGGCCGAGCUGAGCCCCUCGGAGGCGCAUGGCCUUGCUGCCGGAAUUUUAGGCCUCACCCGUCGGCGCCUGCUUGCCGAGGGAGUGCCAAGGGCCCAGCAUUGCCAAAAGAAGGUGCGUGGAUGAGUUAGAACAACACUUCUUGCUUCAUGCUAUUUCAAUCCAAAGCUUGCUAUAGCAGACUAUGCUUCCAAUCAUUGACGUACCAUCCUGAAGUUUGCUAGUAUCUGUAUUCAUAUGACUCGUGCUUCAUGUAGCAUGCUGCUGGUCGCGAAGUUGCUUCAUUUCCCAGUGGCCGUUUUAGCGUGUAGAGUGUAGAAAAAGACGAGGACACAUCAGUGUUUUUCCCCAGGCGCAGUUGUAUUGGCUAUUAUCCAAUGAAAAAUUGAAAAUUAUAGGGAGCCUGAAAUAGCCUCAAAAUACAGAAAAUUAGUUUAGGGGUAUUUCUGACAGAUUCUCCAUUAGAAAAACAGCAAAUUUUGUCAUGUGCUAUCUACUGAUAUUGGUUUUCUUGUAUUCCAUUCUGGGAUUUGUCAACAGGGAGAAGUUCCUUUGCUGUCCGUUGAAGCACUACAUCAGUUGCAUAUCUUCAUUUUCAUUCUGGCUAUUGCGCAUGUGAUUUUCUGUGUUUUGACUAUGCUUUUAGGAAGCGCAAGGGUAAAGUACCAAUGGAAUUUCAUUUGAUCCAUGUGUAUAUUAACCUUGGUUUCAAGUAAUUUUAACUCCAUCUUUUUGCUCAGAUUCGUCAAUGGAAACAUUGGGAGGAUGAAUUUCAGAAGGAUGCUAUAGAAAAUGGUAGUAGUACCUUGUUUGCAGCUCCUGAUUUGGUCGAAUAAUAUGCUUGGUGGCUGGUAGCAAGUAGCAACUGUCCUUUUGUAAACAAGUUAAUACUAACGUUAAUGAAAAAAAUUAAGGCUGCCUUUUGGGUACAAUUCUAUGGAACUGCAGGGCAAAGGAACGUGACCUAUGUGCAUCAAUGUGAAUUUAUCAGGGAACAUUUCAAGGGUAUUGGAAGAGAUUUGGCGAUAUUGAGCUGGCUGGUAAGAAAUGGAUCUCAUGUUGCUUUCCGUCAAAAUAAUGUAUCUUCUGUAUGAACUAUUAAGCUUACACUAUCCCUUUUCAUACAAUCUGGUAAACUUAACACAGACUAGGCUGCCUGGGUUUUCUGACAGACUUGUGCAACCUACGAUGAUGUUUCUUCUGGUCCCUCUUACACAGUUCCACUCCACUUAUCUGUGAACUAUAUUGGAUAACUUCUUAACAAAAUGUUUUUAUAGCAACAUUCCCAAACCAAAAUACAUUUAAUGCUUAAUACUACAUACAAGUACCUUUUUAUUACUGUAUCAUUAAUGCAUAUUUACAUGGUAACUAAUUAUCAAGUAUCAAUUUGACCAACUCAUUAAGCUUUUACUUUCAGCAUUCUUUUGUUAAGCAGUUUUACGGGUCAGUUACUAAAUCAGACUACACUACAAUGCGACUUGGCUUCAUCAUGGUAAGGAUAACACGACAAUAAGCAAAAAUUUUGUUCCUUCUCGAUUAUAACAGGUGACAAUUAUUUGUUUGCAGACACAUUGCCGGGCAAACCCAAAAUUUGAUUUCCACAGAUACAUGUUACGAGCUUUGGAGGCUGACUUUAAGAAGGUGGUUGGCAUUAGGUACUCCAGUCAGCGAAUUCAUACAUUUUCAGUUCAUGUACUAGCAGUUGUUGAGCACAGUAUAUGAUUAUGAACCUAACUACCUUGCCUUUUCUUUUAUCACUUAGCUGGUACUUGUGGAUAUUCGUUGUGGUAUUCAUGUUGCUGAAUGUCAAUGGUGAGUUCAAUCUCACCGAAAGAGUCUAAGUCUUCAGUUCUUUACAGGACUGCUUUUCCACUGCUUGUGUACUGUAGUCUUGCUAGUAUUCAAUGUAAACUAGUAUUGUUGAGUGUCUCACUAUUAACGAUCACAUAUCACUUGCAAAUCUACAGGAUGGCAUACAUACUUUUGGAUCUCUUUCAUUCCCCUUCUUGUAAGUGGCUCUUUGUAACUAAUGAGUUUCUCGGAAAGCUGCAAACUUAAUUUGGUGAAAUUUCAGAUCAAGCUUGAAUUUUGCCCUUGAUUCGAGACUCUGAACUUACUGGGCACUUCCUUAUUUGCUUCGUGCAGCUUCUGCUGGCCGUUGGCACCAAGCUAGAGCACGUCAUAACUCAGUUGGCAAUUGAGGUUGCCGAGAAGCACUCCGCAAUCGAGGGCGACUUGGUCGUCAACCCGUCAGAUGAACACUUCUGGUUUGGACGGCCAAAAAUUGUCUUGUACCUGAUCCACUUCAUCCUCUUCCAGAACGCGUUUGAGAUCGCCUUCUUCUUCUGGAUUCUUGUAAGCGCAACCAAACUCCGCAAAGUACAGAACAACUAAGAUUGAAGGGUUACUGCAACUUAUUUUCCCUUCCCUCUUUGCAAGACUACCUACGGUUUCAACUCCUGCAUCAUGGAUCACGUCCCCUUCAUCGUGCCGAGGCUCGUCGUCGGGUAACUAACUACUCAUCCGAUUUUGAACAAUCCAAGGGGCAAGGGCCAUCCAUAUGUUUCAGAGUCAUGAUGUUAACCUUGCAGGGCCACCAUCCAACUCGUCUGCAGCUACAGCACCCUGCCUCUGUACGCCAUUGUCACCCAGGUGUGCGCCACUAUACUCGCCAUCAUGCCAUGAGUGAUUGGCUACCAUUUGGCUGCUCAAAAACCAACCGAAACGUGGUUUUGACUAUUUCUUUUGUUUGCGAAGAUGGGGACCUUCUUCAAGAAGGAGAUCUUCGACGAGCACGUGCAGCAGAGCCUCGUGGGCUGGGCGCAGAAGGCCAAGAAGAGGAAAGCGCUCAAGAACAAUGGCGGCAGCGGCAGCGGCGCGGCCGGGUCGGCAUCGGCACGUCCGCCGGCGAGGCUCGAGCUGAUGAGACGGGCUGCCGCUCUUGAAGAAGGCAGCACCGGCGGCCAUGGCAGCCAAGUCUAGUGCCAUCCAGCGUCCAGAAACUCGCCAUGCUACAACAGCAGGCGCGUGGGAGACCGUCCGAGGAUGCAAGUGUCCAUGUCCUCGUACGCGCGCCUUACGCGAGCCAUCAGUGGUUGUUAGAUAAGUAGUGUUUGAUCAGCCAGAACGGGUGUUGUGAUAUGAAUGUGAUGUUUGUAUGCUUUGGAUUGACUCGAGCCAAAUGUUGUGGAGUGGGGUGCUUUCUGUGUAGCGUUGUGCUGAACUGCUGAUGGAGGCGACGAGCUAUUCAGGUAUCAGAGGGCGCGGAGCACCCAACGCUGCAUUGCCUUGCCGGUUCACUGGCAUAUGGGGUUGCCUCGCCGUCGCCGGCGAAGGAACAAAAGCAGAAACCAUGAUCCUGAGAGCCUGUACGCCUGCCGCAACCGCAGCGAGAGCGUCUCCCAUCACGAGGGCGUCGUGUACCCGCAGCAAGACAUUCACAGCGGGGGUCUGGCGGUCUGCAAUGCUUCUGAAAAAACUAAAAGCCCGGAAAAAGGAACAGACGCUGCUGGGUUCUUUUCCUCAGGAAAAAGGAAAUACCAACACAGCGACGAGGGGCCGCACUGAUUAGGCAGCUGCCAAACAUGUAUUCUCAUUCUCAGAUAUUAAACAGAAGCAUCACUCAACUGAUCUCAUCAGAACCGCAUACAAAAAGGCACGAUAGAAAACAAUAUUGCCAGAGUUGAUUCUAUAACAGGGGGGCCCUCAGUUCUACAACCCAUACAAAUCCGUAUGCUUGAUCUAAUCUUUUAGCAUUGCAGUAUGAAGCGCCGCAGGUGUUCAACUUCAACCAUCACCACUUGCACGCCUGCCUCUGAAUUUUGGAGUUCAUGGUGCCCUUCCCCUUGUCCUUGUAGGCGUUCCUGGAGGACACGGGCCUUCUCCGCCCAUGGGCAGCUGCGAUUGCCUUUUUCCUUUGCUUGUUUAAUUUUUUUGUGAGCUCCGCAUCUUCCUCGUCAUCAUCGUCACUGUCCGAUGACUCAUCAUCAUUAUCGUCAUCUUCCUGGGGAAGCACCUUGCCCUCUGAUUCAAGCGGUUCCUUAGCGUCCCCAUUGCUAUCUGAGGGAGGACUUUCCAAUCUGCUCUCACCGCUACAACUUGUUCCAUGCUGCGCAGUGAAGAAAUGUGAGAAAAAGGCCGUCAAAAGUUUGUUUAUUCAUUCAGAUGGAUAGAUGACUAACCUCUUCAGAAAAAGUUCCAGGUCCACCUGAAUUCCUUGAUGUAAGAUUACAAUCAAGCUCAUCGGAACGGUCCUGAGAAACACCACCAAAAUACAAUUGAAUAACAGUGACUUCUAAACUAGACUGACUACGGGCACAGUUUACGCAUAUUCAAAUAGCUUGUUAUAGGCGUACCUGAUCUAUUUUCAAGGAAUAAAUAGGCACAGCAUCACCAAUCUCAUCAUCAUCAUCUGAGCUGGAAUCCUGUCCUUCAGCAUCUUCUUCAAUGUACUGUAAGCAAGUUAGCAAAAAAGAAGUAUAAGAAAACUAAGUUGGAAUACAAUCUAUAAACGUAUGCAUGGAUAAAAAAAUUCCAGAAACAUCUGACCUACCUUCUCCAUAUCCACUUGCGCCUUCCUGGUAAAUCCACUAGCAGCUAGUUCCUUGUCCAAGGAACCAGCAGCCUUGUUCACAGACAAAAAGGAUGGCCUACUAGUCCCUUCACCAUCACUUUCAGAUCCAACUUCUUCUUCAUUUUUCUCUGACUUAAGAUUGAACCUAACAGGAAGAAAAGAAAUCACAAGAAAAAUAUUAAACACCAAAUUAGGAUGAUUUAAAUCUUUCUUGCAUUUAUUACAAACCUCUUGUUAAAGAACUUGUAGAUACACUCAAUGUCUCGGUCAAAGAACCUGCAAAUGCAAAACGCAUUUAAAAAAAAUACAAGACACUAUAACAUCAGUUAUCUGAGUAAGCAACAUACAUUUGGGCAUUACGAUGAGAAACAGAUACCAUCUGUGGAAAGUCAAUAACCGUAAUUUUUUCAUCAUCAUCAAUCUGCAUGACAUUGGCAUUGAUGAAAGUAUUAUACACUGACAUAUAAAAAAUGUAACGUAUUUAGUAUUAUUAUGUACUAUAUUACAAAACUAAGUACCUUAAAAUUAUUGUGUACCAUUUUAGCAAUUAUUCAAAAUGGUGCAUCCAGUUCAUGUGUUUACCACACAAACACACACAAAAAAGAACUUGUUCCAUAGUAUCUUAUCCACAUAAGCUUUAGUUCUAUGAAUGGUCAAGGAUUUAAAAUUUAUAAAUCAACACAACUGGGAGAGGAAAAGGAAGAAAUACCAUGAUAUUGAACUCAUUAAAGUCACAAUGUAUCAGCCCAUGCUCUGCCAAACGAACGAUAAGACCAAGAAUUGUGUCAAAAACAUCAUCUGGAUUCUGUAACUCUUUCACUUGAACACUGCAUACCAUAAAGCAACAUGUAUCAGGCUUUGUGACAGAACAUACUCUUAAACUGAUAUAAGAAUCCACGGAUGAUAAACAUAUACUUACAGAGGAUAUCCCUGUACAAGCGACAUGAUCACACAAUGUCGAUUGCAAUCCACAGCAGUUGGAACAGGGAAACCAUGGUCUCCUAAAGCCUGCAAAUAUGAGCAGUCAAGGAUAACCAAACAAAAAAGGUAAACCAAAAGAGCAUAUAGUUCAGACAUAGCUGUAGAAACAUAAUGAGGAAAAAAGACCUUCAUAAAGGCAAAUUCCUUCAAGGCUGCAAGUCGUGAGAGGUACAGCCAAUUAAAGCUCCUUCGAUGCCUUAGAUAGUCACGCUUAGAUUUCACAGCCCUAAAAGAUGUCCUGCCCAGCCUAUGAAGCUUCAUGGCAAGCACUGUACCAUCCUCUGUCGCAACCUCAAAUAUGUCUGGAUAUCAGAGAGAUUUUAGAAUUAACUUCUUAUGCCCCUGUACCUUACUAAAACAGAGAAUUAACACUAGACCGCAAUAUACCUGACUCCUUUCCAACACCAAUUUGACGGCCAACUGAAGCAAAAACUCCUCGAUUAACCAAAGUCUUGAUGGCAAGGAAGUCAUAUCCAAGAUAGGUGAGCCGAUAUCCAUCAUCUGUACAGAACAGAACCAAUAAAGCAACAAAACUUGCUGCUAAAGUACUAGCAAGCAAUAGUCAGGAUGAACUAUCAAUGACUCACAUUUAGUGGCAUCGUGAUGCACCAACUUGUUCUUCAAAAGAUUCCUCAGAACUUUGUAUGUGCCUCCAUGCCUAGAUUUACAAUGGAUAAAGAACAUAUUCCACUCAGCAAAAAGUUUCAUAUGUUAACAGGCAGAUCGCCAAUAAACACUAAGAUUAAACAUUAGCUGCUCUGAAGCUUCCAUGUUCAGCCUAAUUAAUUUCAGCACAUAAAUGUUUAUGCCGAAGUACUACAACAUAUAGCUUCAUUUUUGCUAAAUGGAAAGAUAAGCAUAUAGGAUGGAGAUUUAAUGUUAUUAUAAGAAUAUUAUCUGCCUAACUGUGCACCACGAAUUGCAAGUUGUAAGCAAUUCCAGAACUAAAAAUCCUUUUGUAUACAGUGCAAGGUCCAAACACCAGUAGUACUACCUCCAAUAACAAGAUAAACAAGCAAUUACAUCUCAAAACAAUAAUUGGAACAUCACAGGAAACAUAGCUGACAUCUUAAACUAGCAACCACGAGCAUAUAGUCAGGUAUAGCCACAAAUUUCAGGAUUUCGAACAAAAACGUCUUACUUCAGUCCAGCGAUCCUGUCAACAAGCUCUGCGGGGACAAUCUCGUGCUGUGAUCAGUCCAAGGCAAAAGGCCAACGUCAGAUGCGGAAACGGGUAAUCUCUCACAGGCAUAAUAAUAUGUAACGAGAUGAGAGAUUGAGAUGCAAGGUUUUGGGGGUCUUACGUUGCGCAUGCCCAUCUCCACGGCGGUGAGGACGCGGAAGUCGUCCUUGGUGAGGUAGCGCAGGGCGUUCACGUCGAGCUUCAUGGUGUCCUGCUGCUGCUGAAGCUACAGGGCAGUGAGGGGGCGGCGGCGAAGGUGGGAGCUCUUGGUAACCGAGGACCCAGUAGGCGGUUGGUCGGCUCGGCGGUUGAAUUGAAACUUGGAAUUCGUCGCGGCGCACGCGCCCUCCUCCGUCCUCCUCGACUCGGGCGGCGACGGAAGGCGCGGCGCUCACGUGGACUAGUAUGGCCGCACGAGAGUUGAGGUGCGGGCCGCGUAUAGCUGAGCGGCGGCUGGGGCGCCCGGAGAAGAGGCAGCGACGACGAGCCGAGGGACGCAGGAGGUGGGGUAUCACCGACGGGAGGACGGCGUGGUCGCGUGGAGGUGCCUGAGGGGCUGAGGGCGGAGGCGGCCGAGACAAACACGAGAGCUAGGUUUUCCCUUCGCUUCUCCAAUUUGGGCCAUUGGGCUAGACACACACUACUGUUCUUUGGUGGGCUUACCGGCGAGAAACGAUGAUGGGUCGUGCAAAAGCGGCUGCUGCUAUUUAGGCCACAAAGUUCCAUGGGCCCAUGAGUUCGCUUUUCACUUGCAUGGCCUCUCCGCACUUCUCUGUUUCAACUGCAAUUCAGGGCAAGCUUGGAUCCACCUCGCCUUGCGUUACUGGGCAAACUAGCCUUGCCUAGCAAGGUUCGAUCCAGCAAGGUGGUGGUUUGGUUCAUUUGCGUGACUAAGCAAAAUUACUUAGCUAGCUGUUUGGUUAUUUUGCUGGAAUAUGCCUUUGCUGGCAAUGGUCUGAUUGGUACUCGAGCUCGUAAUGAUCAUCUUACCACUUUGCCUUGCAGGUGAGAUUACCUCCACCCAUCUAAUUGAACAAAAUGUUUUGAAAAAAUUGCAAAUCGUGCAUCAUACCAAGCAAAAAAAACAUGUCACUUGCAUAUUUUUAAUUAAACAAGACAACCAUAUCUGGCAUAUGUUAUACAACCAAAUUACAUUGGUGUCAUAUAUAGUUCAUAAUGGUCAAAAUAUACAUAUGUCACAGCCAAAUGGUCUCGGUCUCCGAAGAACAUCCUUCUUGCGCAAGUGGCAUGCAUGACCACACGCAAAACUAGAAUUGACCGCAAAUGGUUCUUCAAAUUGCAUGGAAUUCCACAGAUUGCAUCUUCAAAUGGUCAAAUUGUUCAAACACCUGCUACUUGCACCUUGAAGAGGAUUUUAUUAUCCUUACAAAUGUUGCAGGUAAUCCAUCCACCGCUCAGGGCAAGUAUAUUGGUAUUUGUUUAAUAGACGGUCUCAUGCAUUAACACAUAAUCUUGAGAUGACUUAAUAAACAAUCUGUAUAAUGGAUUAUCUUUUUAAAUUGUCUCGUUGUAAUUCUAUUUCCUUAAUUUGUGCAUAGAAAAAAGAAAUAUUAUGAGUUGCAUGACUACCACAACUCGUACAAUUGUGGAGUAGUCAUCUCGUAGUCCUAAAAUCUAGCUUAUGAGAUGGUUAUUUCGCGAAACAACGACAUCUUUCUCUCUCUCCACAUCAGCAAAAAAUUCUAUAUAGCACUACAUGAGACGACCUAUGAGACUGAUGAGGUGUAUUCUCGCAGCCCUCUCGCGUUAAUUCCGACAAGCCCGUCUCGGACGUACUGUGAUCAUGCGCAUCCAGAAGUAGAAAGGGACGCGAUUUGGAGCCCGUUUGGUUCCCUUUGCUUAUUUUUAAGCAAGUGUCACAUCAAUGUUUAGAUACUAAUUAGGAGUAUUAAACGUAGCCUAUUUACAAAACUCAUUACAUAAGUGGAGGCUAAACAGCGAGACGAAUCUAUUAAGCCUAAUUAAUCCAUCAUUAGCAAAUGUUUACUGUAGCAACACAUUGUCAAAUCAUGGACUAAUUAGGCUUAAUAGAUUCGUCUCGCCGUUUAUCCUCCACUUAUAUAAUCGGUUUUGUAAAUAGUCUACGUUUAAUACUCCUAAUUAGUAUCUAAACAUUUGAUAUGACGGGUGCUUAAAUCUAAGCAAGUGAACCAAACCAGACCUUGGACAAUCAUACCGCACGCUGCCGCCUGCGUGUCCCCCUCGCUCCCUCAGCCAGGGGGGACGAACGCGACCCUCUCCGAGCAGCCGAACGCUGAACCUGCAGGCAGCCGUCCGACGCCGAGCCCUGUCGGCCGGCUCGCGGCACGCGAGGGCCGGCCGAGCCGAGUCGAGCAUACCAAAACGCGACCAACAACCUCGCACCCAGACCUGAGACCCCAGCAUCCCACGCCGCCGCAACGCAACCAACACGACGAGCUGCUACCAUCCCUGGACUUCACCAUCCAUUCAUACCCCUCUUGUGGCCUUGUCACCCCGCCGCGCCGGCCACAUACGCUGCACCUGCACCGGCCGAAAAGGCUGGGGGGUGCAGGAUCUCUCGGGGCUCGGGGAACCCCCCCGUGAUCCCGACGCCGAUCUCCCUGUCAUCUCGUUCAAAAGGGCACUAGCCGACUGGGGUCUGACGGUUCAUGGAAUACGAGGUUCCGCGGGUACAGAACUGGUCAAAAUGUGCAGCUGCCUCUGCCUGGGCGGAGCAAAAGCACAUGCCCUGCUCCUGGUUUCCGAAGGCAGGACGGAGCCCCGCGUCGUUCAACGAACCUGCUUGCUCUGUGCUUAGCGAGCAAGCAGCCGCCCGACUUGUAUAUUAGCUGAGCUCCCGUUCCUUGGCAGCCUUCUAUUCUUAGGCUAGCCAUCAACCUGCUACGACUGAAUUGAUCAAUUCCCAUUCGGCUGCUGAUCAGAGACAGAGAGGAUUCUGUUCGUGGAGCCAAACUUCAGGGCGGGAACUGCUUAUCUGGACGAGCUUUGCGAUCGUCGGCAGCGCUGAGCCUGAGCUUUGGUUCUUGAUCCCGUCGUCAUCAAACGAAGAGUACUCUCGUCGUCCGUUCGCGAUGGAGAGGAGGGCGGCGAGGAGGAGCGGCGCUUACCGGAAGGGAGCAGCAAUGCACCCGGAGCACAAGCAGCAGAUGCAGCAGCGGCGGCCGCAGGGGACGGCGGCGAGCCGGGGGCAGGGACCGGUGACGCCGCCGGGGUACUUCACGGCGGAGCUCGUGCUGGCGUUCCUGUUCGUGGCCGUGUCGCUGGCGUUCCUGCCGCUGGUCCUGCCGCCGCUGUCCCCGCCGCCGCUCCUGCUGCUGGUGGUGCCCGUGGGCCUGCUCGCCGUGCUCGUCGCGCUCGCGUUCGUCCCGCUCGACGCGCAGAGCCACCUCGUCGGAUCGUCGCGCUGAUCCGCCGAUCGGAGGGAGAGGCUUAGAUCGCCUUACAUAAAGUGGCUGCUAGGAUCGGAUUAGUCAGGAUUAUUAUUUUUGGAUAGUUUGAUGUAUUUGUUGUAACCCGAUCAUCAGAUCGGCUGGAUUCGAACCAUGGGGAGCUCCAAUUCGUUGAUCCCAUGAAUUUGAUCCAAAUGCAGGAAUCAGAUGCCGCAUGAAUGAACACCGUGCUGUUUCGUGUGUUUCCUAUACGAACGUGUUCUAUUGAACAAGAAAAAUAACUUCUUUCUUAGGAGGGGUUGGUAACGAAAAGGAACUCCGAGACAGUGAGAUAAAGUUGCUUUAAUUGUUCUUCUUUAGAAAGGAUCUAAGUUCUCUCUCUCUCUCUCUCCUGUUGUAGAAUUCCUUCAGAGCUACUAGUACCAGUAGUAAAGGAAAAUCCAUGCACGCAUCUCACGUUUCGGCCAUGGCCGGCGUGGCAUCUCCUCCGUACGUUGCGAUCCGAUCCGGAGCUGCGGCGGCGGUGGAAAAGGUCGCACCUGCGUCACAUGGGCUCUGACGGAUGACGACGUGCUCGCCGUCGCGGAACCCAUCGAUUCAAAGCCGCCUAUCAUUAGAAAGAAAAUCGAUCAGCCCAGAAGACAGGAUGGCGUGUGCAUCGCCGCUUGUUGGUGACGUGCGCCGCACCAACCGAGCAGGGAAGCUUCCUGGCUGCUGUCGCGUGCCGGGGCCCGGCCGGGGUGGUGGCGGGGUUCGCCGCAACUAUACGUCGCAUAUGCGUGGAUCCCACCUGUCAGCGACAUGUUUGUAGGUCUCACCUGUUGUAUCCUUCUCCUUCCUUCGUCCGGCUCCUUCCUCUUCCUCCAUCUGUGUGCUGCCCUCCUCCCCGUGGAGAUGAGAUCUCGACGGAGCCAAGUUAAAGAGGUGAAGGGUGGUGGUAGCAGAUGCGACGGCGGGAGCCGUCGGAGACAAUGGAGGAUGGUGGCGCGAGGACAAGGAGGAGGAGAGCGACGGCGCAGGAGCGACUAGAUGAGGCAGUGGUGGGCCGCGUGCUUGCUGAAGACGACACGCGUCAGCGACGCCCAGCCGCGCCCGGCGGGGUUGCCCACGCACCUUCGGCCGGGUUGCAUGUUUUCCACUGUGGACACGUCCGGUCCACGGCUGAUUGGCGAUGAUCGAUGCCGAUGCGUUUGCGUCGGAGCACGCGUUGACCUAAGCUGGACGACGGGGCCAAAAAGGUUCCUCACGAUCGGGAAAGAUCUGUACUACUGUGCUUCGGUACGGAUGUAUCUUGCCAUUCCUGAUUUGAAUGCCUCGGGUUUUUUUCUUCUCCAAACCGCGUAGUCGGUCAUCUCUCGUUCAUAGUCACACCUGAUGAUGCCUAGUGAUGAUCCUGUGUGUCCAGUGACGUGUACAUGUUACCUAACGGUAGGAGGGGCCUCGACCUUCAAGUGUGGGCUGGCGUGUAACAUGUAAAACCAUUCUUCCCCUCUCACUGUCUCGCACACAUAGCACGUUCGGAAUAGGACUAGUCCACGUGAUAGUUGAGUGAAUGUUACAUUGUUACAUGCAUACAGGCAGGCCCUUUUUCUGGGCAGGCUCUCGACAGCUACCACUGCCGCUACUCUUGGUCCCGACCCGAGGCGAGCAACACGGGCCGCCAAGUAUGCUGACACGCGCAUAAUCCGGGCCUGGAGGACAACGCAUGCACCAUGCAUUCAAGCAUGGAGGAGGUGGAGCUCAUCUUUUUUUCGACGCACCAACCGCAGGACUUGCCGAGCCCAGGCGUGAUGGCAGAUCGCACGUCUGUGAAAUGCCGAAAUAGAGGCCGAGGCUGGACCGGAUGUGGCUGGAUGCCUGCGUGGCUGACCCAACAACAAAAACAACACUGGUCCCUCCUCCUCAUCGUCGGAAUCGCGUCACGGGCCGGCCCCGAUCCAAUUUAGCCAUCAGGCAUCGCUCAGCGCUUCACUCCGGGGCCUCCAUGGGCCUGCCUGUUGAAUUCUGGCAAAAACUGCAGGAUGGUAGUAGGCCCAGGCAUCUCUGAAUUAGUAACAUGCAUAUGCCUCAUGUACUCUUUUGCUAAACUCAGGGUCCCACCAUGGAAGCGGCAUUCGCAAUCAAUUUGAACUGGCCGGUCGGAACUGUUCAAGAGAUCAAAGCUCGAGUACCAGACCACUACUACCUGUUGAAUGUUGAGUGACGCUGCUGCCUGCUGGCGCGUUGGUCUGUCUCGCUCCACUGCGUAGGUCGGGACAAGGAACCGUUCAGAGAGGCGAUGUACUCCUCCCCGCCCGCUUUCCCGAGCUCCGAAAAGGUAACGACGGCCUUUGUCACGAGGUUGAUGGCGUCUAGCAUGCUGUUCGCUGCUAAGCUCCACAUUGAUGUUCCUAGUUUCCUGAACAUACUGUAUCUGGUAGUACCAAAAUGGCCUAGAGAGUACAGGAAGCGUGAUUACCUUCUCUGAAAUGCUAUAAUUUUUGAAAAAAAAAUCUGAAUUGGUCUUACUGUUGCAGUCAUUAUUGGUGUACAUGUGUUCGUCUAAUCAUAAGAUUAGUGUGCUUUUCUUUUUGCGAGGUCAUGUGAUUACUUGAUUCAAGGACCGUACUUGAACUUAGAUUUUAUGACAAAACCCUCCCAAAAGGCCUGAAUAACAGGACCAUCGCUUUAUUAUGUAGUAAUAUGUUCUUCGCUUGACAACUGGAUCGACCCUUGGGCUCGAAAAGGCAAACAGGGACCACGGUACUCUCUUGGAACCAUUCAAUUCUGUCUACUGCUUGUGCAACCACAAACCAUUUGAACUCAGGUUCAGGCGUUCAGCUAUGCAGAUUUUUUUUCCCUCAAACGAAAAUGGAGAGAGCUUUUACUUUUGGAUUAAUAUCCAUGAGAACCACGUCAAAAAAAGUAGUUCUCUCUCUGCCUGUUCGUGUGUUUUGAAAUGGAUCUCUCUCUCUUUUUUGAAAAGUGAAUGGAUCUCUCUCUUGUUUUGAGAUGUAUGAACCCAAUCCCUACAGUUUCGGCAACGUAAAACGAAUCAUCCGCUGGAAGAGAUGUGCAGUGGUUACUUCUUGGUCUUGGGUCUUGCCUGCACUAGUUCUUCUGUGCCACCCAGGACAGUCAACGCUGUGUCCUCUGACCUCCUCUCAUGUGCCGCUCUGCCAGCAGGCUGCUACACAAAAGGCUGGCCUGGCCGCUCCACCCGAUGCCAAACAAAAGGGCCGGGAGGGACGCGCCGCUCCCUGCUCCCUCGUGUCACCGCGUACGGACCACAGCAAAGCAUAACGCCACCUCACUCAAGCUGCAGUGACUGACGGCAGUGCCGCGCGCGCGAAGAUGAGUAGAACGCGAGCACUGGAACAGUGCACUGAGCAGGGACUGGACACUGGAGGCUAAACGAGGAGGAGGAGAAGAAGAAACAAACCGUGUCGAACAAUGGGUUAUGGUCUUAAUGGAGCGCUCUCAAAGAAAAAAGGAGAAGGAACAAUGAGUUACGGAGCGUGUUAAAUCAGACAUCAAAUCCACUCCGCUUUGCACCCCACACACAUAUCGCCGCAUCUCCGACAGCAUCAGCAGAAUUCAUGAGCUAGCCUCCAAGUAAACAGAGACAUGCAUUUCUACAGAUUAGGAUUCCAAAAAAAUCCCGACAAGAACUCCAAGACAUGUUUCAUGUCUGAGGAAACAAUUUACAAGGCUUAUCCUCAGGACGCGAUGCUGAUGCCCUCUCCUCGCUCCGUUCCUUCCGGCGGCGGCGGCUCCGCCUCCGCCGUCGCCGCCGCGGCGUCCCCACUGCCGCCGCCUUCCUCCUCCUUCACUUGGUCGAGCAUGGCGGCGCCGACGCAGUGGCCGCACGUGCGCUCCACCCAGGCCUCCAGGUCGUGGCCGCCGCCGGCCUGGCCGAGCGCGCGGCGCCCGAAGCAGAGACGCCCCACGGCCAGCGCCGCCGCCGCCAGCACGGCCACGACGGCCAGCAUGGCGAUCACCGGGCCGUACGACCCUCUCCCCGUCACCGCCCCCUCGGGCGCGCCUCCGACGCCGUACGCCACCGGCACCGUGAGCGCCGGCGGGGUUGGCGCCGGCAGCGCGGGGGGCAUGAACGCCGACAUUGCCUGCGGGCUGCGAAGGGCAGCGCGCUCCAACCGCGCGGCUCGGCUCCAGAUGAGAGCUCCCUAGGGUGUGAGAGAGAGAGAGAGAGAGAGAGAGAGAGAGAGAGAGAGAGAGAGAGAGAGCUUGAAAAGCUACCCCUGGUGUAGGAGCAAGAGGAGAGUGUGUGUGGAAACUGGAGAGGAGCUUUGUGUUGUGGAUUCCUCCCCCUGACCAGAGUAUCAGAGAGAAGGAAAAAGACGUUUCAGUUCACUCCUUGCGGCAACAUUUAGGUCAGGUGCAGUGGAGUGCAGUGCCAGCGACUCGAGUCUCUGGCGCAAAGGGGCUAGGUUUUGGCCCUACGGUGAAAAGGCUCUCCCUUCCCUAGUUGCGGGUGGCAACUGGCAACGCUGCAACGUUCCAGCUCGGCCAAAGGCUCGGACGCAUGGUUUUACGGGCUCGUUCGCGCGCGCGCGUUUGGGGCGACCACCGUCCUGUGGCGUUCCGUCUUUCUGCUGGGUCGGUGGGUCCUUUGCCCCAUGCCGGUAUGCCACUGCUGGGUUCUCUGCGGGGUUGUGACGCUCCCGCGCGCGUUGUCCUUUUUGCUGCUUGGGAUCCACUUCCAACGAAUUUUUGCUUAGGCAGGCCGCAAUCCCAGAUUUGUCAGCUUCGUCACUGGUGGGUACCCAAGUCCGGCCCAUGCGUUCAUGUCUUCAAGAAUCGAGGUAUGAUACUGGUGGGUAUCCAAAUCGUGGCACGUUUCCUUAAGCCCAUUACAAACUACGGCCUGCAACCGUACGCGACAUGCAUCCAUAUCAGAGCGAGCAAUCAACCUUGGCCGUGUGGCAUGCUACUUUCAUUCCGUGCUGCCAAAGCUAGAUGUCCAGCUUGUAGCAAAGACAAACGCUGAAAUUAGGCUACAAUGCUCCAUUGUGCUCUGAAUUCUGAUAGAUGCUGACCGAGGCAGCUCAAAUUUCCGCACAGGCAAUCGCCAAUGUAGAUUCUUCAAUCCUGCGCGUGGGUGUGCCUCCUCACGUGCCGCUGAUGCACGAGAAGGCCCGCCCUCCCCGGCGCCUCGACAGCGCGCCCGGCCACCGCCGCCGCCACUCGGGCGAGGCCCCCACCUCCCCCGCCAUCAGCUCCUCCAGUGACCCGUGCCGGCGGUGCGUCAUCUCCGUCGCCGCGGAAACCUUGCUGUCGGAGUCCCACUGGUUCUGGUCCCGUUCCCAUCCGCUGUCCUCCACGCGGGCCCCGAACCGAGCGUGCGCCGAGCCGGUGGGGCUGCACCGGGGGUACCUCCGGGCCCGUCGCUCCUUGAUGGCGCGGUGGAUGGAUGGGACGAGCCCAUCCCAUUCAUCCAUCCAAUGAGAUGAUGCUUGUUCCAGAAUCUCCUCCUCAGGCCAUGUUUAGUUACUCCCAACUCCCAACUUUGACACUAUGCAAAAAGAAGAUUCCCCAUCACAUCAAACUUGCGGUACAUGGAGUACUAAAUGUAGAUGAAAUUAAAAACUAAUUGCACAGUUUUGUUGUACUUUGCGAGACGAAUCUUUUGAGCCUAAUUAGUCAAUAUUUGGACAAUAAUUCACAAAUACAAACGAAACGCUACAGUGUGCUACAGUGCUGUAACAGUAAUUUAGCACCCCCAAAUUCGCCAAACUAAACACGGCCUCAGUUGCUUUUGAGUCUGACGGAGCCACUACAUGGCGUCACCAAAAAUGCAGCCAGCUGAAUCGACAGAUGCAGGAGCAGGACUAUCAGUAUCAGUGAUGUGAAAAAGGAAGUACCUGUGUCGGAUCUCGAGCGAUGCUUCUCUGCAUCCUCACGUAGGCCACCGAGCUUCACAAUUUCACCCGUUUUUGCAUCUUCUCUCCCAAGCAAGCAUUUGAUCCGAGCUCGGAGGUUGUUGAUGUACUUGGUAAUUUGAUAAUUCUUCCCCUGUUCACCCAAUCGUAGCAUGGAAAGAGAGCUGACUGUCAGAAUGGGGAGGAUGUCCAAGAGUAGUCACAAAAUCAGAGGCAGAUAACUUAAUAAUUUACGCAGGAACACUGCAGUCAGCAGGAGCUAGAUUUUUUACAAGCUGUAUGCAAAUUUAAGUCCCCAUCCAUAUACAGAAGGCUAAGAGCCACACGAACUAUCGACAGGAACAAACUAAUCGAAGCACAACAAUGCCAAUCGCAUCUCCCGUUCGUGCUGAGAAGUUGGAACUCGCCGUGCGACCCCUCCUGUUCGUCUCGCUCUCCAUCUUCACACCCAGAACAGUCCAAGUCGUCCCUCCCGGAGAAAUCGGCGGGCCCCUCCUCAUCCUCCUCCGCCUUCGCCGCCAGGGGUGGUGCAUCCCACGCGCCUGGGGAAGGAGGCUGCCUCCGGGCCGCCCCUGCCGCCGCGCGCUUGCGCAGGCGCAUGAUGCCGGAUUGCGCGUCGCCGGGGGUGUUCCCCUGGGGGUGGAGCAUCGCAGACCGCGUGCGUGCGACGCGCGGCAAUGGCAGAUCGAGGGUUUGAUUGGGGGGGGAUGAGGAGGAGGAGCUGCGGCCUCCGCCUCGCAUUUUUGGGUUUGGAAUGGAAGGGGGAGGAAGCGUGUGCUAGUAGGAUCGUGGGAAGCCAGGAAAGGGGAGACGCAACAAAGAAGGGGAUUUGAAUUUUGAAAUCGUUCGAGUUUCUUUGGUGCGGCCAGGAGUUGGGCCGGUUGAUCCUGGCUCAGCUGGAGGUCCAGAGGCCCAGUACAGCGAACAGGCCUGUUUCUGAUUUCCAUUGCUUGUGUCACUAUCACUAAAGACACCGACUUGAUCACACAUCAGCUACAGCUGCUACAUGCUGACAUCCUUGCUGCAUCAAGUUGAUCGGGGACUGUCUCAAAAAUAAAUUUGUUUGUUUAUAUACCUGUAACUGGAUUGGACCAAGCCAGAAAAGGGCUGUUCCAGAGAUAAGAUCAGGAUUUGUGUUCCAUUUAUACUCGGCCUGUUCGGUUGAUCCAGGGAUUGGAGGGGAUCGAGAGUGAUUUUUAACUUCUCCCUCCCGAUCUCCUCUAGUCCUCGUCAGUUAUUUUCAAAUCGAACAAACUCAAACUGAGAUGGAUUUUGCCGAGCUAGUGACAUGGAUGGGGAUUGGAUCUACGCUAGAGAAAAAGUAAAAAUCAAUUUGCACACACGGUAGAUUGUGAGCCCAAAUUUUCUAAUUCCAGCUCAAUUUCCCGCAAGCACAUUAUAAUGUUAUAAUUCGCUUCGGAACCUCCUCUGGAUAUAAUAUGCUCGUUCUGAAUUCUAUGCAGCUAAAAAUUUCAUUUCACAAUUCCCUGCAUACACCUUCAACGAAAAAACAUACAGAGAUUCGUCGUCGCAUAAGAAAGAAAGAAAGAAACAAGAAUAUGUAAACCAUCAUUUGCAUCUUCGCAAAUCCAGGCGUAUGUACAAUUUAGUUGGAUAACAUGGUACGAGUCACUGCACAAUUACUCCUUACUACCACCUCGAGAACUAAGCAAAAACACGAGCAAAUUCCUGCAUCCUGCACGAACCCAAGCCCACCGGCCGGCUCCUGCCGAUGCAGGCCUGCAGUAAGCUAGGCACGGAGCCGCGCGCGGGCGUGCGUGCACCGACCGGUCCUCACAUACCGCCGAUGCAGGAGAAGAUCCUGACGCUCCGGCCCCUCGGCAGCGCGCCGGGCUGCCGCCACGCCGGCGAGGCUCCCACCUCCCCUGCCAGCUCCUCCAGCGACCGGUGCCGGCGGUGCGCCAUCCCGCUCUCCGCGGAAACCUUGCCCCCGCCGCCGCCGCGCGGGGCGGCGGCCUCCCACUGCUCGCUGUCCUCGACGCGGGCCCCGAACCGGCCGGCGUGCGCCGAGCCCGUGGAGCUGCACCGCGAGUAGCUCCGCGUCCGGCGCUCCUUGAUGGCCCUGUAGAUGAACGGGAUGAGCCCCUCCAUCUUCCGGUGACUCUGGCGGCUAUGGCUUGCACGACGACGCGAACGCCAAGCGCUGCUGCGGGGCUUUCGCUGGAGGAGAUCGGAAUGGUGGUUGGCUUUCGGUGGUAAGCUAGCCCGGACGGGUGAGCGAGACGCUCCGUUGUUUUAUAGGCGGGGAGUGCUGGGUUUUCUGUGGGUUUCGUUUCAGGAGACGGGUUCAGAGACGUCGCUUGACGCGGCUGCUGGCUCGAGCUCUCCUCUUGCGUGUGGGACAUCGGCCAUCGUCGCCUCGUGGCGUCGCGGUUGUGUUUUGGCUCCGGUUGCUUGUGCCUGACAGCGUUUGAUGCUGAUGGAUUUGUUCAGUUCCUAGCCAGUGCAGUGUUGUGUACUUGCCGUCCCUCUUGCUUUUGUUUUUUUUUAAAAAUCCUGUUAGUAAUUGGGACGGCCACAUGGGUAGCUGUAGUUUUCUAUGUGAUGUUUUCGGUUGGUUGCCUGUUUUCUUUUCGUUGUUAGGCUGCUUAUGUAUCCCAUAAAGGAGAACAGUAGAUGCAAGAACUUGGCCAGGACACAAAACUCUGUCGGUAAAAAUCUCAAAAACUUUGCCAAUCAUUUCUCAAUAGCAGGUGCCUAAAAAAAAGGAUAUGAUUGAAGCGAAAUGAGAAGAUAAGGAGAAGAAUGCAGUAUGUUCGUGUCAUGUUGCUUGUUAAGUCAGAUUGUGAUGCGAUCGAAAAAGUCAGCUCAACGGUGCCCUGACCCCUGACGCCAUAUCGCUCAUCACGAUUUUCUAGAGGCUAAAGAUGGGGUUCAUUUGAGGUAGGCAUAUUCCCCAGACUUGCACCAAUCGACCAGUGCACCAUGUUUUUGCUAGACAAGUUUGACAAGCAUCCCUUCCCUAAAAAAAAAAGUUUGACAAGCAUCCCAUCAGUUGAGCAAUAUACAGGCUCAAUCAUGAUCUGAUUCAUUCCAAAAUUCCGUUCUGGUUUGGAUGACCAAAUCGCUACGGACUACUCCCAUCUCAACUCUGCACAAAUUUGCCUGAAAUGCAUAAAACUGGUGGUGUCUGGUAACAUGAACACCCAACGACCUAACAUGUUUCGAUUCCGUUUGCAAAAUACAAGAUGCAAUUGCAUGCCUGGCUUUGUUUAUGCAGGAUACAGAUCGAGAUGCCGUGCAACAACGACCACACACGAACACCACAUGAUUUAGCAUGCUAUAUAGUCCUUAGGUCUCCGCACGCAUUUCGAAUAGAGGAACACAACCUGAUAAGAUUUUAUAAUUGGUCUGGUGCCUACCAACCUGGUAGCAACAGCGUUGAAACUGAAACGCCAAGGCUGCUGGUCCAUGGGAUUCCGAUCUUGAUUGAGUUGUUGAAGGAGAAGGACGUGCUGCCGGUGUCGCGAGCAGGAGGGAAGCUUGAUUCGCCACGGCAUCUUUGAUCUUUCUGCUGGAGACUUGGCCUGGAUAACAAAAUUAUACAGAGUGAUCAACUCCAGUUUUAAGCAAUGUAAAUUAUCAUCUUUUCUUUACUGUUUACAUUGAUCCUACCUAUCUGUUUUAGAACCGAAUUAAUGAAGAUGGCCUCAACUGCUGCACAUGCAGCAUUUGAAAAAUACAGUAUGGUAGUCCAUGCCUUUCCCUUGAUUCGAAGUCUUCAAACUAUCAUCCUGAUAGUGUUUUUUUAUGUACAAACAGAUAUGGUAAAGAAAUGAGAUUAGCACUUCAUCUGGAUGCAUGUCGUAAGGUGUGGAGUUCUCUGUUUACGUGUCGCCCUUUUCUAAGAGAGAAGACUUGCUUUGCUGAGAUACCUAACCUAACCAAACCAGAUCCGGUUUUGAAAUGGAAUAUAACAACCGGUGCUUUUAUAAUCAGAUAAGCUUUCCCGGAGUUAUUAGUGCUUGUUUUAUACAAACUGCCAAAAUGGCAGUACGUAAUAGCAAUGGAAAUGAUUACCACUUACCAGGUCAUUCAUGAGAGGUACUGUUUGGUUCCAAUCAAGUGAAGCUAAUAGCAAUGGAAAUGCCUGGCAAGCAAAGAUCACACUGAAUCCUUCAAAAUCUGUCUCAGAGCUGCAACUCGUAUCAAACAUCAACUGAUUUUUUUCCCAUUCAGCCCAGAUGCGUAUGUUCUUGCGAACCGUGUAAAAACCAUGUGCUAUUUUAACUGGCAGGGCUGGAGACGAGAUCAAGCUGUAGGCUGUAGCCUGCACCUUCAUUCCAUGCAACUUGUCACACUGAAAACGUGGAAAGCGAGUGAAGCAAUUGCAAGAAGACAGCCGAGUAGUUACAAGUAGCAAUCAAAGCAUUAGGGGGGAUCAUCGUCGUCUGUUUUGGAUAUACUUCUUUUCGACAAUCUGUUUCGAAUGCUAUCCACUUAACUAAUCUGUACAAGUGUUUCAUUGUUCUACGGAAAGUUAAUUCCAUAGUUGAAAUCUAAUGUGUACAGUCAUCAAUGGUCGCCAUCACUCUUAACAGGAUCACGAAGCAUGUUUUGGUGAGCAAGUAGGUUGAUUGGAUCAUCUGUGUGCAAGUGGACUUAAAAGUCUAGAUUACGGUGUAUGAACUCGGACGAGAUAGAGGCAUCCAGCUUGAGCUUCCAGAUAACGUAGAGAAAUAUCGUUAACAAAUUGGAUGCAGCCUUUCCUUAGAAAAAAGAAGAAGAAAAAGAUGCUUUGCCGUUGAUUGUUGAAGUCGCCUAGUUGAUGGGAUAUUGGGACGAUGCCUGCUGGAAGCCUGGAACAGACAUGCGAUGGUUCAGAAUUUCAGUGGGAAGUUUGCCGAUGCAAUCCACAGCAGGCGUCCGCCGUGGCCCAGCUGACCAAGAUCUCCUCCAAUCCACGCCUGUACUGAAAAGAAUAACGGCACACGUUGUUCUCAAGUUUUAGGUGGUGGUGUUGACGAGGUGAGCAUAGGAUGGGGCACAGCAGCACGACAGCUCUCACUGCGCGACAGACCGGCCACCUAACCUAACCCAAGCAGCUGGCUUCAAUCUCCUCCGUGACUCAGUCCGGACUCGUCAGGGUUUUUGAUUGAGCAGAUAAUUGUCUUCUCUUUUGCUUCUUUUUUUUUAACAUACUCUUUUGCUUCCAUUUCCACUGUAGUAACACUAGGACUCGAGAGAAAUGGUCUGAAUUGACUCUGUCAGGUGUGGUUCUGACUGUAUUUCACCUCUGUGCUAGCCACAUCCAAAUUAAUCCUGCCCUGGCAUAAGGCUCUCUUUGGAACAACACCUCAGAUUCCCUGAUGAGUGUUCUUGACAUCUUCUCGUCAUUCUUUGAAGGGAAUUAGGUCAUUGGGUGUCCGGUCAGCAAAAGGCGAUCGAUGUUGACCGGCGUCGGGGAGAAUCUGUGGACUCCGGCUGCGGCUGCAGGAAGCCGUUGUUUCGCCGCCGUUUCCUCUCUGUGCGAGUGCGCCCAAGCCGGAAAAGCGUCAGGGUGGAAGAGACUCGUCGUAAAGAAGAUGCAAAUCCAGUGAACCGAUUGACGUAGUAUAGUAUUGGCAUGUCGCUAGCUGGUUCAACGCGACAUGAAUACAUGAUGGGGGUUGUUGCUAACAGUUUCUCUUGCGUCGUCUUGACAAGGUUUGGAUAAACCUCACCUAAUCCUUACGUCAGUUUUUUUCUUCUUUCUUUUGGAAAGAAAGACACUAGCAUCUCAAAUCAUCAGUUGUUUUUUUUUUUGGAGAGGACAAAUCGUCAGAGUUUAGAGCCCUGAAAAGCCCCGUCUACUAGCAUUUAAACGGGCCCUUAUGGCCCGAUAGACAUCAUAGUCCAUACUGGACUGACUCGUGUGGUCAGGCCUGGCCCAUAUAAUGCAAUUUCACACUCCAACCAACUAUAUGGGCUUCUAUGCUUCUCAACAAAAUUGGGCCUUCCUAUAGGAAAAAGGCCCAAGGAAUUCCAAGGCCGAAUUAAGCCUUUUAAUUAAUAGGUUCAGAUAGGGCAAAUUAAACCGUAUGCCUCCGUUAAUUUUGUCGAUCACGUUUUGAGUUUGAAACUCUCUUGAAUUUUCACGAGUGCUCCUCAUCAAAAGAAAAGUAUCUGGAAAAUAAAUACCCGAAAGUAAAGGGUGCACGGAAUUCCGAUACAGCUUUCUCGAGAAGAGACGAAAAACGUUGACAGAUUGGCAGCGCGGCGAACCCGUUUUCUCGCACCGCGUGCUGCCCUCGCGAGCAGUGUCUUCCCCUCGUGCUAAUCCACCUCCCGAUGCCGCCCAAAUCGAAGGCGGCGGCCGCCGCCGCGGAGGCGGUCUCCGUCGAGGACCUCUUCACCUCGCUCCACCGCCACAUCCAGGCCGGCGAGUUCGCCAAGGCCGUCAAGGUCGCCGACCAAGGUCAGGCACUCCUCCCCCAGCGCGUCUCGGGAGUUCGUCUCACGCCCUAGCGGCAUAGCCCCGUUUGAUCUGACCCCGACUGGUUCCGCAGUUCUCAAGGCGGCGCCGGGGGACGAGGACGCGGUGCGAUGCAAGGUGGCGGCGCACAUCAAGGCCGACCAGAUCGACAAGGCGCUCGCCGCGAUUCGCGACGCCGAGCGCCUCCCCAUCGACCUCAGCUACUACAAGGUCAUCGCCUUUAACUCUUUGUCCCCCGUUGAUCUCUCUGUUGCCUUGUUUGUGAUCACUGCUUGGCUCACUGGGCCGUGGUUAGGAUACAGGUGUGGUCAGAUCUGUUUGUGUGUAUGUCCUAGGAUAACAUGAAUUUGUUGAUUUGAGUAAUUGGAACGGAAGUGUUCACUUGGUGAGCUUCUCCCAAUGUAGUUUAGUGCUGAUUAUUAUAUUGCAAACUGCUGAUGCUGGCUACUUUGCAUAGUGAAUUUUCCUAUUGUGGUCAUGUGGUUCGGCGUAAUUGUUGCAUCCCAUGCUCUACCAAAACCUAUGAUUCAUAUGUUGGGAGAACUGUAUUGAGGGGUGGGAAGGAAGGCAAAAUCAUAUGUAUAGUUAUCUGUGACAUAUUGGCAAGAACUGCUGAUGGAUAAGAAACUUCCGUUUUAUGUUGGGACGCUUUGACUUCACUGUGAAGGAAUUCAACAGUCCUGCUGGUUGAACUCAAGUGAUUACAUUUGCUGUUCCAAUAUUCCCUAGUAUAACUAUGAUCUCGAUAUAGUUCUGCUGGUCAAACACAACUGGUAGCUGAUCUUUGCCUUUUCAUUGAGAUUCCUUACUUAUGCGCUGUUUCUUUUUUGUAAUUAGUUGUUUGAAUUAAAACGCUGCACUGGAGAAUUGUGCGCUAAUUUUUGGCCAAUAUGAUGCUAGAGUAUCGUUGUUUUUGUUACUAAAACAACAAUUUGUGUGAUCAAACUAAGUUUUAUUAUUAUUAAUAUUCAGGCCUACUGCUACUACAGGCAAAACAAACUGGAAGAAGCACUGAGUCUUUUAAGAGGUCAGGAAGAAACUGCAGCUAUUCUCCAGCUGGAAUCCCAGAUUUUGUACCGGCUAGGAAGAAUGAAUGAUUGCAUGAAUAGCUAUGAGAAGCUUAAAAAAUUUAAGAUUGACUCAAUGGAUCUGAAGAUAAAUAUCAUUGCUGCUCUGGUUGCUGCUGGGAGGGCUUCUGAGGUACAGGCAGCUAUGAAGGCGCUAAAGGUUGAUCUUACCACAAGAGCACUCAGGGAUGCUCGUAGCUUUGAGCUGGCAUACAAUUCUGCUUGCUCCUUGAUAGAAAACAAGAAGUAUUCAGAAGCUAAGGAGCAGUUGGACUUGGCUAAAAGGUGAAUUUCCUGGUGCUGUGAUUGCUAAAAUGAAUGUGUUCCUUCAGUUGGCUAAACUAAUCCAUCCGUUACGACAACAUUUUAAUAUUAUCAGAUUGAUAAUUUAAGAAAAAUCUGAUUUUUUCAAUGGUUAACUAGUUUAAUUCAUUAUAUUUGUUUGCAUAGAGAAAUUAGGCUUUCAUUUCUUGCAAGGAAAGGCUAAAAUAUUUCUUCUUCAUGAUCCCAGAUAUUCUUUAUAUUGAGAUGCCUCUCAACUCAAUUAUGCAAUAUGAAUGGGCAGUCUUUAUGCGUAAAUUAUUAGCUGGAUUAUAAUCGUUUUUGUUUUAUACUGUAGAAUUGGGAAAGAAGAGCUUAUGGUGGAAGACUUUGAUGAAAACGCGAUUGAAUAUGAACUAGCUCCUGUAUCUGCUCAGCUUGCUUAUGUGCAGCAGGUAACUAUGGAGAAGUUUUCUUACAUAAAGUCCAACCAUUAUUCUUCUGACUUGUCUUCUUCAUUGUAUUUUCAGCUACAAGGACAAUCUCAAGAAGCUAUGCAAACCUAUGUUAAUAUGGUAAACGGGAAGUCAGACGAUUCCUCACCACUUGCUGAUUCAUCAUCACUUGCUGUGGCAACAACAAACCUUAUUUCACUAAAAGGUACAAAAGAUACCGCAGAUAGCUUGAAGAAGCUUGAUCGGCUUAUUGAAAAAUCUAAUGCUCCAAACCAGUUGCAACUUAUUGAAAGCCUUGAUUUCAAGUUGUACCCAAGGCAAAAGGAAGCUCUGUAUUCUGCCCGUGUUCUUUUACUCCUCCAUGCAAAUAAAAUUGAUCAGGUUUGUUUUUGCAAAGUCGAUUCAUCUCCCCCUUUCCUUUUGUGAAGAAAAUCACCUAUUUUCAUUUGUUUCUAGUGAGCAGGUGUAAUGAGAUCAUUCGGUUGUCUGAAUUUCUUUUCCCGUAAUUAUGAAAUUUCUAAAUCUUAUUUCACUCAGAAUGUCUACCAUACUAAACUAUUGCAAAUUAGUUUCAGUGAGAAUUUCCCAUAAUUCUAACCCUAGCAGUUGCAUGACUAAUGAGUAUUGGAUUGCAAAUUAGUGUGAGGAAAGGUCUGUUACGAAACUAGAUUUGUUACAUGCACAUCCUGAACCUCUUCCCUGGCACUUUAGCAAGGAUAUCCCAACAGCAGUUUAGUUGCACAUGCUAUAGUUUUUUUUUGGUAUAAUGAACAUAGUGUUGUUUUUGGUAUAAUGAACAUAGUGUUGUCAAUUCAUUUUGACCAUGAUCAGUAUAAUUUGUGUGAUUGUAAAAAUGACCCUUGCAUGCAAGUCCUUGCAUCUGUAUAAUCACCUCAUUGGAAAAUUAUUAUCAUCGGUAUCCUUUUCAUUUGUUUUGUGGGCACUUUCUAUGGUGAGGCUCUUUGAUUGCUCAUUUCCGUUCUUAAUCCUUUUUGUAGGCACAUGAGUUGGUCUGUGGACUGCUUGGAAUGUUUCAAGAUAGUGUAUUCCCAGUUUUGCUUCAAGCUGCUGUUCAUGUGAAAGAAAAAAAGAUCCAGAAAGCUGAAGAAGUUCUUAGCCAGUACGCUGAGAAGCAUCCUGAGAAUUCUAAAGGGGUCCUCCUUGCACUUGCUCAGAUUGCUGCUAACGCCAACCAUUUUCAGCUUGCUGCUGACUCACUGUCCAAAAUACCUGACAUCCAGCACAUGCCUGCAACAGUUGCUACACUAGUGGCUCUAAAAGAGCGCCUAGGUGACUCCAAUGCUGCAGCUUCUGUACUUGAUUCUGCUAUCCAGUGGUGGAAGAAUUCCAUGACCGAGGAUAACAAAUUAGAUUUGUUCACAAGGGAGGCUGCUGCGUUUAAGCUCAGUCAUGGACGUGAUGAAGAGGCUUGUCUGUUGUAUGAGGAACUUGUGAAGAGCCAUGGAAGCAUUGAAGCUUUGGCUGGGCUAGUAGCGACUGCAGCUCGCACUAACCUGGAGAAGGCUGAACAAUACGAGAAGAAGCUUAAGCCAUUGCCAGGCCUCAAAGGAGUUAAUGUUGAGAGCUUGGAGAAGACAUCUGGCGCAAGGCACGUUGAAGGGCCCCAAGACAUGAAGGUAGACACACCAGAGGAAGUGAAGAAGCAAAAGGCAAGGAAGAGGAAGCGGAAGCCUAGAUACCCGAAGGGCUUCGAUCCAGCAAAUCCUGGCUCGCAACCGGAUCCUGAGAGAUGGCUGCCCAGGAGAGAGCGAUCCAGUUACCGUCCAAAGAGGAAGGACAAGAGGGCUCAGGUCAGAGGUGCUCAAGGAGCUGUGACUAGAGAGACAGCAGCUACCAAUGCUGGUGGUUCCUCGAAAGGAAGCCAAACCUCCAGUUCAUCAAAGACUCCGGCAGCAAACACUGACCAGCCAAAGCCUAGCAACAAAUCCAGGAAGAAGAAGUCGAGGUCUUAGAUGAGAAAAUUUAGAGUUACAACAAAUUGACAGUGCAAAAGGAUAUACCCAUUUACCUUCUUGACUUGCAAUUUUGGGUUGGAUUGCUUGCAGAUUUGCUUUGCUUUUUACAGUCAUGUUUAAAGCGACCGGAAACUAUUGAAAAAUUAGUUUGAGCUGUAUCGCGAUGGGAUGUCCCAGACUCCCAGUAGAUUUCUGUUUCCUUAACAAGUUUAUAAUCCUUUCAACUGAUCAACUCACUUCAAGCGUGCGUAUGCUCCAACAGUCCAACACUUCGAUACAUACCGCUAGGCCCGAAGCCACCUUCGGUACAUGACGACGUAGCGGCACAUCGUUUCUUUGUGAGGACGCAUACGGGUACAUCUACUUUCACUAGAUGAGCUCUGAAUUUGAUCCAGGCUUGCAAUAUUUGAAUCAGUCGGCCAAAGUGUGCAUAUUCAAAUUUAAAGCAUUUUUAUAGAUUUGAAAAGUGAAUGUGUCAGCAUAUAUGCUUGAACUGAUGUCUGGGGAGGCAUUUGUAUAUUUUGUAUUGUGUGCUUGCUUUUUUUUUUGAAAUUUUUUUUCCCAAGCGCACUCUCGAAAGUCGAACCCAACGGGGCCACGGGACACCUACUUUUUGAAGUCUUGAACAAUUUGUUCGCCGCCAGCCCGCCAGGCUGAACAUUCAGCCACAGCCACGACGCAGCGCAGAGCCAGCGGGCUGAUGCACGCGAAUGGACUUCAUCCUCAAUCUCCCCUCCUCGCCGCCCUUCGCCGCCGGCAUCCCCUUCCACAGGCGACUUAUCGGUGCGCUUCUCCCGCUCUUCCCCCUUCCUCCCCGAGUCCCCGUUGCUUGCGGUUGCAGAGAAGACUUGCUGGUUUCUGACUCGGUCGGUUUGCGCCAACAGCCUCUCGCGGCCGCGGUGGCGGCGCUCCUGGGCUCGCCGGCGAUGCACGGCCCCCGUUCUCCGCCGGGCGCAUCUCAACCGCUUCUUCAUCUCCGCCGCUUUUCAGAAGGGUACUACUAACUGAUUUUUUAAAAUUUUAUAUUUCUUGCACUGCUCUGUGGUCUUCGCUUCUUUGCUGGGUCUUGGGUGUGCUUCUUCCGAGUAGAAUGUUACAUCCUCUGUGAAAUCUAUGCACAAAUGAUUCGCCGAUAACUUGACAUGCUAGUUUACGAAAAGCUGCCAGUUCAAUUGGAAUUUGAUUGACAGAGGUAAACACGUGUGCUUGUAUUGUCAGAUUAACUUUUGAAACAAGAUAGACAAUUAAGUAUAGAUAUCGAAAUGCCCAAUGGAAAAUUUAGUUUAUAAUUCAUCUUAGUAACUGGAUGUAAGAAGAACUCUCAUCAGCCUCAGUGCCUCACUGAACAUGCCUUCAGCAGGGAAGCAAGAGAACAGGGUCAGUGGAUCCAAAAGUGAUUGAAAAUGAGGCAGAAUGCAUUGUCAGCGGCAGCCUGACUUCAUCGAGGAGAUUCAAGUGGAGCAAAGACAGGAACAAGUUCCUCACCAAUUACUUGAUGCAACAGGCUUCAGGUGCCAAGGGAAAAGAUGCAUUGUUCAGGGAGGAUACCCUGCGAGAAGCUGCAGAGGCUGUUUCUCAGCGGUUUCAGCGGCAGUGCAGUGUUGAUGAUGUACAGAGGAGGUUGACAGCUCUGAGGGAGAAAUGGCAAAGGAUAGAGAAUAUGAAGGCCCUUGGUUCUGCGUCAUGGGAUCAUACCACUAGGAUGAUAAACAUGCGAGAAGCGGACUACCAGCAGUAUGCCAUGGUAAUGGGAAGAUGUCCCCUUUUAGUUUGAGAUUUGCAAGUUCUAAGUUUCCUUAGAUCCUACUUAAGUCAAGUCACCUUUUAUGGUCCUUGCAGUACAAUGCCACUAUUAACUGUCAUGGCUGAACUUUUUUUUUUUUGCAAUGAAGGAUCACCCCAAGGAUUCAGGGAUGCUGAAUAGGCCUAUUGAGGAUUAUGAUGAGCUUCCUUCCAUCUUCAGUGAUGAAUAUGAUCCAUCAGCAGAUGGAAUUCAGUUGAAAAAGGGCCAGAAUGCCCACUCUGAUGAUACUAAGGUAUCUGAAGAUCCCAUGGAGCAGAAGAUAGCUAAUGAGGACAUCCACUACUUAGUUCUUAAGAUUGGGGAGUUAAUAGAUGCUAUAAAAAGCUUAAAGCCCAGAGACUUUGCUGACGACUUGUGGAAAGCAGUUACAGCUUGCGGUUAUAACGACAGGAUGUCAAUCACUGCGUUUGAGUAUUUUCUGAAGAACGAGGUUGAAGGGAAGAUUUUCCUUGUGCGUAGCCCAGAUCUUCGAAAGGAAUGGUUAGCUAAGUUCUUCUCUAGCCUUAUGUAAUCAUUCUUUAUUUGUUCUAUCCAACAGUUUAGUUCAGUAUUUUGAGUUUAGUUUUCUUUUCAUUUGGAACCACACUUCAAAUGACGAGCAUCAUUGUGGGAACCCUUAAAGCUGUAUCUGUACGAACAGAAGGCUUAGUAUAGAAGAAGAAUGGUAAGAUGAGAUAAGAUGGUCUGAUUUUUAUUUCUUUCGAUUCUACUAAGGUCAAAUGUAAAUUCUAACAAACAUUCAUCAACUGCGACUCUGCAAGAAACUGUUCUAAGAUUAAUGCAGUACAAUCACAAUAAAACGUACAUAAUCAUGCACAACUGAAAUCCUACACACCGAGUGACAAGAUUAAUACGAUUGGUACAGAUCACAACCUAACCCUUCACAGCUACAAGCCUACACACCAUAUGUAACAAAGCUGCUACAGUUGAUGUAUAUAUCACAACCUAACCUCUACUUGUCAUUCAGCAAAGAAUCAACGUCCGGAGUCACAAUGACAUGCCGAUUCUCAAUCUCUCCAAGCAAGCAACAAUGUUUCUCUUGGGUGUUCAGAGCUACUACAUGUUGCGGCAUCCUACUCUCUGCUCCUGGGUUCACCUGCAGAGAUAGAAAUUAAGCAUAAAAUACAUGCGAUAGCUUGCUAAGCUCUGAACAGAAAGAUGAGAAGGUUGCACUAACAUCAAACAUGACAUCUCCUAACUUCAUUUUGAUCUUGCCGCUUUUGUAUACCAGCAUUUUGCCCAAAUAACCCUGAGGCAGCUGCUGAAGGUUGGAUCCUUCCUUCACCUCUUUGCCAGCAGCCUUCCCUUUCCUUUCAACUAUAUUAGAUGACCUUCUGGGCAAAGGAAGAGAUUUUGGGAGCUUGAAGAGGAACAUUCUUUCUUUGCUAUCAUGUUCUUGCUGCUACAAUUGCAAGUGAAGCAUGUGAGAGUUCAGAAACUAUGAAUACAAUUUAGCAGAGCUCAAAGGUUCAUACAAGCAAAUGAAGCUCCUCUGCUGGACAUGUUGAAGCUUCGCAUUCAAUUGAACUUGGCUGAGUCUCCUGCAACUCAACAUUGCCAUUAUCGUCGUCGCUGUCGUCAAAAUCACUACUCUCUUCACUGUCAAAUGUUCCUGUCAAGAGUUGAAUAUUCCCAUGAAAAUUCUUAUUGGAAAGUAUUGUUCAGAAGAAUGGAACUCAUGAAUCGUCACAUUCACCUGAAUCAACAGUAACAGGAAAGGAUCUGGGGAUUUGUAGUGGUUUCUUUUGACAUGGAAACAAAUCAACAAAAGGUACACAAGACUAGUCAGUAAGUCUGUCAAGAAAAUCAGGAUGUUUUCUAGUACAACAAGGCUGAAACUGAGAAGUUCUCGCCUUCUAGGGGCACUCACCGAUUGAUUUUGCUUCUGCACUCCUGAUUGCGCUGGUGACAAGCUAACAACAUCCGCAGAAGGUGGUGUCGAGGGAGGUUUCUGUGUUGAGCGCUCGUCUACAAAUAAUAUGUGUUGAGUCUGAUUAUUUUGAGGUUACUGACUAAAUCAAUGACAGUACAACCCAUGAUCUUAUAUGUGCGUUAUUUCAGAUCUGAUGGAAAGGCCUGACCUGUUGCUCCUAAAAUCUUAAAAAAAAAACGCCUGACAGUAGGAUCUCAGUGCCCGUGUGGCAGUAUAUUACCUUUUGUAUUUGGCACACUGUUUGCAGGCACCUGGCGAGUCUGAAAAGAACAGAUAUAAGUUCAGCCAUCGAAAGAGUGUGCUACUCCUUUUCUUUUCCUCCUAAGCAAACUACAAUAUUAUCUGACAUCAAGAUGCGACCAUUGGAUAAUUAGUUACCCUCAGUAUCUUCAUCAACUGUUCAUCAAUUGGUUUUGGUUCUUCCAGUUGUGGCCUGAAACAGAACAAUACGUUGCGCUAAGGUUACUGUAACACACUAGGCAAAAAUACCUUAAAGAUGACGCCAACACCUAAAGACAAAGAAAAAUUACUUUUCAGUGGCCAAUUUCUUUGGCUUCUGCGGUGGCACUUUCGGUUUAAACUUGAGCUUCUGAAGGGAUUAAGGGAAAGAAAUGCAAAAAAGACGUUAAUACAUAACCUUCUUUACAAUUCGCUGAACCAUGGAGAAAAGAAAAACUGUAUAAAAAAAAGUAGAGAGAAGAAAAUUGGUGAACCACCUUCACGGCACGACGAACUGGGCGACUCCUCUUGGAGCUACCAUCUGCAUCCAUUUUUGUUUCUCUGCCAUAAAGAAUUAAGAGCAUAAGCACUUGCUUUUGCUUACUGAUGAGUACUUCACUAGUAUAUAUAGUAUCUUUUUUCUGAAGAUCCCACGUGCGUUUCUGUCUCACUAGCAGUACGAGGAAACCUAUCAGUUCUGUGUCAGCUAGAUCCUUUCAGCCUUCGCAUCGUCAGAAGUCCUUCUAUAGUCAUACAACCGUACAGUUUCUGCAGGUGUUCGAAGGAUCGUCUAUGCACUUCUCAUCUACCCUCCUCCCAAACCAUUGCUGUCCAUGACACUAUUGCAAGGAAGCAACCAAGAACCUAAGUCCUAACAAAAAGACAAGUCCUCGCCAUGAACACCAAGUGCUCCCCGGAGGGCGUGAAAGCUGAUUUCUCACUCUGCAACCAUGAAUUCUGAUUUGGUCUUGGGCUCUGCACAGCCAGGAAACCAAGAGGAAGCAAGAGGGGGAAGCCGAGAAUUCGCAGCUCGUGCGCGUAAUCCUGAGUCCUAAACCGUAAACCCUCCCCCCAGCUCAGAAGUCAGAAGCACGCGUACCUGCUAGCUCUACGGCUGCAAGAGCUCGAGCUCUCCCUCCCCGCAGAAAUGGCUGCUGCUGCUGCUUCGAGGCGUUUGGGAGGGAGAGGAAAAGGACAGGUGGGACGAUCCUACAGCGGACUGGCAUGUGCGGCCCCACGCUUCAGCGAGAGGUGUCUCCUGGAACCGGUCCAGCGAGGGUGGCGCGGGGGAUUGGGAGGAGGAUCCUUUGCGGCGACGGUUGCAGGGAAGAACGGUAAAGCACAGCUGGGAGGGACACGUGUCGAUCCGUGGUGUUGGGUGCAUGAUUGGAGCCUUGUGUGAGCGGCACAGGGGAUCGGAUCCAGAGCGGAGGGCUGCGGCUGGCCUGCUGCUGCUGCCGGAUUUGUGAGUCGGUUAAGUCCGCCGAAGCAUCGAAGUGAACGGAACGGGGUACGUUAUCUCGUUGGUUGUUUUCAUUGUUUGGGAGAGGAGUGGGGUUACGCCGUGCGGCCCACGGCCCAGACUGGUGGUGGCGUUUGUUAAGCCGGUUACAGGGCGGUAAGUGUCACACUCCGUUGCAAAUUACAGAUCAUUUUAAUUUUUUAUGUAUAGUUUUUACUAUGUAUCUAAAUAUAAUAUAUAACUAAAUGUAUAAUAAUAUUUAUAAACUUAGAAAAACUAAAACGUUCUACAAUUUGGAACGGAUGGAGUAAUUGGUUAUUUGAGAGAUACGGAGAAAAUAGAGUAGAUCGGUAUAGUGUAGCCACUGAUGUUGAUUGUUUUGGAGAGAUGAGAAUUACGUUGUGGGUUAUUUGAGAGGAGGGUUGAGUUUGUUUGGUUGAGGAGUGAAAAAAAAGAGAGCAAAUAAAUGCCAAACAUAGUUAGUUAUUUGAGAGAAGGGGAUUACCUCUGAGCCCCAGGAGGCUGGGGAGGUGUUGUUUGUUUGUUGUGAUAGUGAGAUAGAGAAAGUAGUGUUACAAUGAGGACACUAAAUAUUUCGUGAAAUUCGAUUUUCCUUCCUUCUAGAAAUUGUCAUACCAAAUUCACUGUUUUUUAAGAGUCCUGUAAACAGUAUUAUUGUCAUAUCGAUCGUACAAUAAGGCAGUACGAUUUCUUUCUCAUCAACUCGUACAUACAUGAGUUUGAAAGAUGGUCCGUUACUGUGAGUUUUCAUGUUGAAUUACAAUUAUAGAAGAAGUUUUCUACUUAAAUCUUCCCUAGAAGCUCAGCAAAAGGCAAGUGGGCAGCAUGAGCCAUGCUAAAAAAGUUAAAGGAAUUAUUAUUACAAUAAUGCUACAGAACAUACUUCCAGAAUCUUAAAAAAAAACUUAAAAAAAAUCGAACGCUCGAUAUAUGUUGCGGAUGGAAUUUUCUAUCCAAAGUCAAAUAACGUAGUCAUUUUUACACAUUAUUUUUCAUGUUGUAAAUAGUGUCUGCUAGUGUUGCACUAGUUAAUUUUUUAAUAUUUUAUCGGAGGAUCCGAUGGAAAAUUUCCCAUCAGACGUCUGAGCGCUAGUAGCACAAUUAUUAUUAAUACAUGAUCAAAAUAAAAUUUUAUAUUGAUCGAAGGUCAAACUGGUGCUAAAAAAUUAUGAGUGAAACGUGUGUUUAGAGGCAUAAAUAAGCUGAGCAUUAAGUUUCAAACACGCGUUAUUCCAGCUCAAAUGUUUGCCUUGUAUGAAAGGAAGCAUGCAAAAUAUAAAUACUACGUGAAAUAUAAAAGUUUUCAUGGAAAAAAACGCCACCGUAGAAUUUACAUAUGGUAUCCUAGUUAUAACGCAAGCUUACAUUUACUCCUUUCAUUUUAAAUUGUAGGUCAUUUUGACUUUUCUAAAUUCAUAGAUAUUAUUAUACAUCUAGACAUACACUAUAUCUAAAUGCAUAAUAAUAUUUAUAAAUUUAAAAAAAUUAAAAUGAUCUAUAAUUUAGAAUGGAGGAUCUGGUAUACAUACAGGAAAACAGAGAAAACAGAGAAAUGUAUCGAUGCAAAAUCGGUGCUCUCCCGUACCGCAAAAUCGGUGCUCUCCCGUACCGAAUCACAAACUAAUCGAGCAACCUAAUUUCGGAGAAACAAAUCCUAACAAAACAUAAACCUUCCUUAAACGGAGAGCCCAAACGCGACAUCCUUCCACACUGUGGCCGCCUACUGCUUCUCGCCUUCAGACGACGACGAGCCCUGUUCCUCUUCCUUUGACGGCGGCGCUUGUACCUGCGGGCCGAUGUCAAUGCCAAAGAGACGCACCCUGCCAGCAGCCACGGCCGGUGACGGCGACGGCCGCCGCUCUUCCGUUACGGUCGACAGCGCAAGCCUGAGGUCGGCCUCGCUAACGGCCGGUGCCGGCGGCGGCGCGGGGCACCUCCUCUUGUUCCUCUUGUGCACGAUCGGCGGGCCGGUGUAGUGCAUCCUCAUGUGGCCUCCGAGCGCCACCCCCGUGGCGAACACCUUGUGGCACUUCUGGCACUCGUGCGGCUCCUCCGCCCUGCGGCCGCGGCGGAACGCGGCGCCGUCCUGGCCCAGACCCAUCAUCAUCUCCGCUGCCGCCGCCGCGGCCUCCGCUUCCUUCUGCCUGUUCCUGUGCCCGGCCGCGUGGCCGCCCAGGCCCUGGUGCGACGAGUACGACUUCCCGCACAGCUUGCAGCUGUACACACGUCGCGGUUGAGCGAGGCUUGCCGGCGGCAGCGGCACGGCCGGCUGGUGGACUGGACGAGCUUGCGGCGGCGGCACUGCCGGCUGGUGGACUGGACGAGCUUGCUCCGCUGCAGGAAUCGGCGCAGCCUGCUGGUGGUGGACGACGGCCCCAGUGGAAGGAUUAUUGGGUCCUGUCACCACCGUCGCCACGGCCGGCGCCUCAUAGUCCAUCGGCUGCGCGGUGGCGCUGCUGCUGCUCUCCUCACCGGAUAGAUUGGUUCUAGUGGACGACAGAACGGGAGUCGACGACGGACUGCUGGUCACUGCGAUCGCCAUGGGUAUCGGCUGCGCCACCACAACGGCCGUGGAGUGGUCGUCCGUGGAUUCAGAGUUCAGACAGACUGCUGCGACUGAAGGUUUACCCCCCGUCCAACCUCGCUUCCCGGUGGCGGCCCAGCCGCCGCCGACCACCGCCGCUUCCGCCAUGCGCCCGUUGCCGUGGACCCUCAUGUGGCCGUCCACAGCCUUCAGGCUGUUGAACCCCCUGCCGCAGACGUGGCACGCAAACCUCCGCGCCGGCGCUUCGGCGCUGCUGACCACAGCAGACGAGUCCGCGCUGGGGUUGCUGCCGUCGUCGCUGAUCGUCCCGUCAGAUUCGCACGACGAACGCGCGACGAGUGGCCGCGGCACCCCGACCGGCCGGCCCGACGCCAUGGCGACUUCCAUCCAGCUCACGCCGCGGCCGAGCUGGCCCUCCAGACGGCGCUGGAGCCGGUAGCCGUCGUCGUCGCCGUCGGUGUCGGAGGACUCGUCGCGGCCGCCGGGGACGUACUCGCCCUCCUCGAGGUCAUCGUCGUCGCCGUCGCCAUCCAGAUCACGCAGGGGGCGGCGGCGGGAGGAGGAGGAGUCCAUUGGGNNNNNNNNNNNNNNNNNNNNNNNNNNNNNNNNNNNNNNNNNNNNNNNNNNNNNNNNNNNNNNNNNNNNNNNNNNNNNNNNNNNNNNNNNNNNNNNNNNNNGGUUUGAAACCAUCGUUGUUGUCCGUUUUCACACACCGACUCGUGUUUACAUUGAACUGCGAUUUUUGAGAUGGUGAAUCAUGAUCCAUUACUGCCUACCCGUCUAAACUAAUACGCUUCGAGAUCAUAAAUGGACGUUUUAACUUAACUAACACAAUUUGGACCUCACGUGAACAAAUUAGCAAGUUUGGAGAUUUAGACGUGCAUUUUGGAAGUUUGGGACCUGGAUGGCAUCCCGAGCCAAGUUCGAGUAAUCAUGUGGGCAUGGUAUGUGCCGUAAAUUGGAGAAGGCCUUCAUGAAAAUCUCCGCCAGCCAUGGAAGGAUUUCAAUCGAUAGACUCUGCGCUCAGUUCUUUCCCUUCAUUUGCAAUGUGAUGCUUUAUUGCAAUCCAUUAUCAUAUCAACUAAAGCUGAAUGUUGAAACCUGUAAUAAUGGACGGUUGUAUGGAAGGAAAAGGGAAUUUGGAUAAAUACAGGUGAAAAUUCAGCCCAGCACGUCUUGCGAUGUACCUCGACCAGCCCAGGAUAAACAUGUGCGGCCCAAAUCAGAUGAUGGGCUGGGUCCGGGCUGAAGCUGUGUCUUCGUGGUGGGCUGGUUCGCUUCGAACUUUAAAUGGCGAAGCCCACUCUCAGCACUGCCGGCAGAGAGAGAGCACCGGCGGCGGCGUCCCCCUCUCGUCGGUUCGGCGAAUGGAUCGGUUGAAUCCGCUGCAGCCCCGCCAUCUUCCAAAUCCCCACGUCUCCGUCCUCCUUGGGUGAUAAACCACCUCGUGCGCGAUCACCGCACAUGACGGGGCACCGUACGUGAAGGGUUUACGUUUCCACCCGAACCAUCUCGUUGCCGUCACGACGCACGCAAAUGGAAGCAUGCAUCGACCGAUCCUUUUCUUUUCGUUCAUGCGCAUGGACUCAUCCGCGCCACGACGAGGGAGUAUGUCUUGGAGAAGAGGCCGGCUAGCUCUAGGCUCUAGCUCCCUGCUGACACCGGUGACACGUCCACAGAGGAGAACAGUGACCCGACGGCGGGCGAUCGAUGGAGAGCACUCGGAGCGAACCGCAGUCACGCAAAGCUCGCUGCUGGUGGGAGCUACCAGCAGAUCGUGCAUCAAGCUACUAUGCCACUCGUGCUCGUGCAAGCAGCUGCACAGGCCAGCCGCACGCAACAAGACGAGAAGGCGAAGAAUUAAUAUCCGGCUACUACUCAUCGUGGACGGACGGACGAGCCGGUCAACCCUCCCUGCCGGCCGGCCCGCCGGCUCCAACAAUUCUCCCAACAGGAGCGCCCGGCCGGCGGCCGCAGCUAGAGCCGAGGGAGACUGGGGAGAGUGUCAACGUGCACUCCGAGGCGCCCUCGCCGCGCACGCAUUUACUCCUCGCUAGCCGCUGGGGGCUCCCUCCGACCCUCCCUGCUGCAGGCACGCGCGCGCACAAUGACGACACAGCACAUGACAGAUGACACAUUCAUUCGUUUCGUUCGUUCGUUCAUUCAUUCAUUCGGUCUCGCGUGCUGCCGCUGCCCUGCUCCAAAUUCGGAGGACUUGUCACUUCCAGUCAGCCUGCAGCCCUAUGGUACGCGCAUCGCUGCGCUUCCUGCACUGCUAGCAGACGCGUAUUUACGCGCCCAUCGACCGCUGCACGACGUCGUCGGCAAUUGCAGCUUGAUCGCUUGGCAUUCAUUCAUCUGGCCUCUCGCGCCGGCCGGCACCGUUGCACGCCGGUGACGAGCUCGGACUGUCACCGCGGGGCAGCGGCGACCGAGUGCAUGCCAGUGAGUGCGCGCGCGCGCAUGCAGGACGGCGGUUUGGGAAAGACGGACCGGGCCUUUCGGGUUCAGCAGUGGGGGAGGCGAGGGAUUGAGGGAAUGCCAGCCACAGCCCCCGGGGGAACUGGAAGUACGGGGGCAGUGCAGUGCAGCGGCGUUCGCACUGCAGGAAUGCAGACACGCUGACAUGGAUGGGGUCCGGCGGAGGCCGAGAGCCCGAGAGAGCGGGAUGGGACGGCUCGCCUCUACAUGCCGCGCAUUCACUCUGAUCUCCACUCCCAAGGGGGCGCUGCAGGCUGCAGCUGCUGCUGACUGCUGAGCCGAGGACGACGACGCAGGGCGAAGGGGUGAGGGGGUGAGGCCAGACCACGGCGGGUAGCGGCAGCGGAGUAGGCAGAACCACCGGGGGAGCAAUAACUCCCUCGUCAUUCUCCUCUCCUCCGAAUUGUGUAUCCGUAUCCUCCCCGUCCCACACCCACACCCUGCCCCUGCUGCCUUACCCCCGUUUUGUCCCCCUGGCCUUGCCUGGCCCGGCCCGUACGAACCACGUACUACGCGCGCGCGCCCAUCUGACGCUGGGCCCCCGCCGGCUCUGCUGCGUGCGUGCUGCCCAUAUUCUCUCCCCCCGCUGAUGAUCUGCUCUCACAGUCCCUCCCUCUCUCAUCUCUCGCCAUCAAAACAUUCAAAACGCACGGCCUUUGUCGUCGUUCGUUCCUGGUCUUCUUCUCUCCUGUUGCAUUGGGGCACGCAUGGGCGUGCGGCUGCUCGGUCAGCCGCACAAGGCGCUCGUGUACGCGCUCGCUAGUCGAACGCAGAGCGAGAGGCGGUACGCGAUGCGUGCACAGGGCCGAGCACAGUGGAUGCCGCACGGAUCCCCAGGGUGACGAGGGAAAGAAAGGGAUAGUGGUGGUCGUCGUCGCUGCCGCCCCUGGCUCGAUCGGGGCGCAUUUCCUCCGCGCAGGCCGGCAGAUGGGAGGAUCAGUGUCGCGCGUAACUCCGCGCCCCCUCUUCCCGAGCUCCCGACGUUGACGGGGUCACCUCGGACGGGACACGCGACUUUCCUCGGCCUCUGAUCGGCGGCUCGAUCGGCACCAUGCAUCCUCGCCCGCCGCCUCCCCGCUCCCGCACGCUCUUUCGCCCCGCGCGCAUUGCUUUUCUGCGCCGCCGUACCGCCUGUGCCCGCGACAACCCCGCGCGCGCGGGCGCGGCGGCCGCCCGACACGAGCCCCACGCCCACGCCGCGCGCCCCACCACCCCGCGAGCGCAUGGUUUUGUUUUGCCUGCAAGUGUUAGCUGCAUCAUCGGUCGUCAUCAGUGUCACGACCUGUGCGCAUCGAGACACUGUAACUGAAGCUGAACCUGAAACUGAAAUUUUGUUCCAAGCCAGCACAUGCACCGUGACGACGAUCGAUCGAACGACGGCGGAUUACAUUGACAGCGGAUAAGACCGGAGCACGUAGAUUGCGCCACCAUCAUCACAUCACGCCCAGCAGCAACCAACAUGGGCGCCGCCGCGGCGGUACCACACGCCGGCCGCGCCGGUCGAUCAAAACCUCAUGUGAAAAACCGCCGGCCGGAAUUAAUGGCCGAGCUAGAAAUGGCAGCCGGCCACCUGCCGCGGUCCAGCCCUCCCCCUCUGCAAGCAGGUAGCGCAACCUGUCGACUCCAUCCAUUUGUUGACGACGACUCUCUCCAUCUCUCUCUCCUGCCACAGCCGCCCGGCUCCGGAAUUACGAGCUGAUCUCGAGGACGGAGCGCGCGGUUGCAACGCGACUCAGGCCUGGUUCACUGACUUAAAUUUAAACACCCGUCACAUCGAAUGUUUAGAUACUAAUUAGGAGUAUUAAACGUACUCCCUCCGUUCCAAAUUAUAAGUCAUUCCAGCUUUCUUGGAGAGUCAAACUAUUUUAUGUUUGACCAAAAUUAUAUAGAAAAUCACAAAAGUUUAUGGCACCGAAUAGAUAUACUAUGAAAAUAUAUUUAAUGAAGAAACUAGUGGUACCUAUUUGAUAUCAUGAAUGUUAGCACUUUAUUGUAAAAAUUUGGUCAAACUUGAGAUGUUUUGACUCUCCAAGAAAAUUGGAAUGACUUAUAAUUUGGAACGGAGGGAGUAGACUAUUUACAAAAUCGAUUACAUAAGUGGAGGCUAAACGGCGAGACGAAUCUAUUAAACCUAAUUAGUCCAUGAUUUGGCAAUGUAUUGCUAUUCUUAUUGUCCCCCUUCGGAGUCUGAGUAAGGAUAAAGCGAAAUAUCCUGGUGUAGAUAGGCAAGAAGGAAAAUGAAGGCGGACCCUGCCAAACUAAGCCGAUCCAAAUCACUAGGGGGCGUUAGACAACGAAACGUCCAUGGGAAUCAGUGCUCGAGUUGGAAGAUGGAAGCCACUUAGAAUAUAUUUCAUAAUGGUUAGGCCCAUGUUCAGGCNNNNNNNNNNNNNNNNNNNNNNNNNNNNNNNNNNNNNNNNNNNNNNNNNNNNNNNNNNNNNNNNNNNNNNNNNNNNNNNNNNNNNNNNNNNNNNNNNNNNNNNNNNNNNNNNNNNNNNNNNNNNNNNNNNNNNNNNNNNNNNNNNNNNNNNNNNNNNNNNNNNNNNNNNNNNNNNNNNNNNNNNNNNNNNNNNNNNNNNNNNNNNNNNNNNNNNNNNNNNNNNNNNNNNNNNNNNNNNNNNNNNNNNNNNNNNNNNNNNNNNNNNNNNNNNNNNNNNNNNNNNNNNNNNNNNNNNNNNNNNNNNNNNNNNNNNNNNNNNNNNNNNNNNNNNNNNNNNNNNNNNNNNNNNNNNNNNNNNNNNNNNNNNNNNNNNNNNNNNNNNNNNNNNNNNNNNNNNNNNNNNNNNNNNNNNNNNNNNNNNNNNNNNNNNNNNNNNNNNNNNNNNNNNNNNNNNNNNNNNNNNNNNNNNNNNNNNNNNNNNNNNNNNNNNNNNNNNNNNNNNNNNNNNNNNNNNNNNNNNNNNNNNNNNNNNNNNNNNNNNNNNNNNNNNNNNNNNNNNNNNNNNNNNNNNNNNNNNNNNNNNNNNNNNNNNNNNNNNNNNNNNNNNNNNNNNNNNNNNNNNNNNNNNNNNNNNNNNNNNNNNNNNNNNNNNNNNNNNNNNNNNNNNNNNNNNNNNNNNNNNNNNNNNNNNNNNNNNNNNNNNNNNNNNNNNNNNNNNNNNNNNNNNNNNNNNNNNNNNNNNNNNNNNNNNNNNNNNNNNNNNNNNNNNNNNNNNNNNNNNNNNNNNNNNNNNNNNNNNNNNNNNNNNNNNNNNNNNNNNNNNNNNNNNNNNNNNNNNNNNNNNNNNNNNNNNNNNNNNNNNNNNNNNNNNNNNNNNNNNNNNNNNNNNNNNNNNNNNNNNNNNNNNNNNNNNNNNNNNNNNNNNNNNNNNNNNNNNNNNNNNNNNNNNNNNNNNNNNNNNNNNNNNNNNNNNNNNNNNNNNNNNNNNNNNNNNNNNNNNNNNNNNNNNNNNNNNNNNNNNNNNNNNNNNNNNNNNNNNNNNNNNNNNNNNNNNNNNNNNNNNNNNNNNNNNNNNNNNNNNNNNNNNNNNNNNNNNNNNNNNNNNNNNNNNNNNNNNNNNNNNNNNNNNNNNNNNNNNNNNNNNNNNNNNNNNNNNNNNNNNNNNNNNNNNNNNNNNNNNNNNNNNNNNNNNNNNNNNNNNNNNNNNNNNNNNNNNNNNNNNNNNNNNNNNNNNNNNNNNNNNNNNNNNNNNNNNNNNNNNNNNNNNNNNNNNNNNNNNNNNNNNNNNNNNNNNNNNNNNNNNNNNNNNNNNNNNNNNNNNNNNNNNNNNNNNNNNNNNNNNNNNNNNNNNNNNNNNNNNNNNNNNNNNNNNNNNNNNNNNNNNNNNNNNNNNNNNNNNNNNNNNNNNNNNNNNNNNNNNNNNNNNNNNNNNNNNNNNNNNNNNNNNNNNNNNNNNNNNNNNNNNNNNNNNNNNNNNNNNNNNNNNNNNNNNNNNNNNNNNNNNNNNNNNNNNNNNNNNNNNNNNNNNNNNNNNNNNNNNNNNNNNNNNNNNNNNNNNNNNNNNNNNNNNNNNNNNNNNNNNNNNNNNNNNNNNNNNNNNNNNNNNNNNNNNNNNNNNNNNNNNNNNNNNNNNNNNNNNNNNNNNNNNNNNNNNNNNNNNNNNNNNNNNNNNNNNNNNNNNNNNNNNNNNNNNNNNNNNNNNNNNNNNNNNNNNNNNNNNNNNNNNNNNNNNNNNNNNNNNNNNNNNNNNNNNNNNNNNNNNNNNNNNNNNNNNNNNNNNNNNNNNNNNNNNNNNNNNNNNNNNNNNNNNNNNNNNNNNNNNNNNNNNNNNNNNNNNNNNNNNNNNNNNNNNNNNNNNNNNNNNNNNNNNNNNNNNNNNNNNNNNNNNNNNNNNNNNNNNNNNNNNNNNNNNNNNNNNNNNNNNNNNNNNNNNNNNNNNNNNNNNNNNNNNNNNNNNNNNNNNNNNNNNNNNNNNNNNNNNNNNNNNNNNNNNNNNNNNNNNNNNNNNNNNNNNNNNNNNNNNNNNNNNNNNNNNNNNNNNNNNNNNNNNNNNNNNNNNNNNNNNNNNNNNNNNNNNNNNNNNNNNNNNNNNNNNNNNNNNNNNNNNNNNNNNNNNNNNNNNNNNNNNNNNNNNNNNNNNNNNNNNNNNNNNNNNNNNNNNNNNNNNNNNNNNNNNNNNNNNNNNNNNNNNNNNNNNNNNNNNNNNNNNNNNNNNNNNNNNNNNNNNNNNNNNNNNNNNNNNNNNNNNNNNNNNNNNNNNNNNNNNNNNNNNNNNNNNNNNNNNNNNNNNNNNNNNNNNNNNNNNNNNNNNNNNNNNNNNNNNNNNNNNNNNNNNNNNNNNNNNNNNNNNNNNNNNNNNNNNNNNNNNNNNNNNNNNNNNNNNNNNNNNNNNNNNNNNNNNNNNNNNNNNNNNNNNNNNNNNNNNNNNNNNNNNNNNNNNNNNNNNNNNNNNNNNNNNNNNNNNNNNNNNNNNNNNNNNNNNNNNNNNNNNNNNNNNNNNNNNNNNNNNNNNNNNNNNNNNNNNNNNNNNNNNNNNNNNNNNNNNNNNNNNNNNNNNNNNNNNNNNNNNNNNNNNNNNNNNNNNNNNNNNNNNNNNNNNNNNNNNNNNNNNNNNNNNNNNNNNNNNNNNNNNNNNNNNNNNNNNNNNNNNNNNNNNNNNNNNNNNNNNNNNNNNNNNNNNNNNNNNNNNNNNNNNNNNNNNNNNNNNNNNNNNNNNNNNNNNNNNNNNNNNNNNNNNNNNNNNNNNNNNNNNNNNNNNNNNNNNNNNNNNNNNNNNNNNNNNNNNNNNNNNNNNNNNNNNNNNNNNNNNNNNNNNNNNNNNNNNNNNNNNNNNNNNNNNNNNNNNNNNNNNNNNNNNNNNNNNNNNNNNNNNNNNNNNNNNNNNNNNNNNNNNNNNNNNNNNNNNNNNNNNNNNNNNNNNNNNNNNNNNNNNNNNNNNNNNNNNNNNNNNNNNNNNNNNNNNNNNNNNNNNNNNNNNNNNNNNNNNNNNNNNNNNNNNNNNNNNNNNNNNNNNNNNNNNNNNNNNNNNNNNNNNNNNNNNNNNNNNNNNNNNNNNNNNNNNNNNNNNNNNNNNNNNNNNNNNNNNNNNNNNNNNNNNNNNNNNNNNNNNNNNNNNNNNNNNNNNNNNNNNNNNNNNNNNNNNNNNNNNNNNNNNNNNNNNNNNNNNNNNNNNNNNNNNNNNNNNNNNNNNNNNNNNNNNNNNNNNNNNNNNNNNNNNNNNNNNNNNNNNNNNNNNNNNNNNNNNNNNNNNNNNNNNNNNNNNNNNNNNNNNNNNNNNNNNNNNNNNNNNNNNNNNNNNNNNNNNNNNNNNNNNNNNNNNNNNNNNNNNNNNNNNNNNNNNNNNNNNNNNNNNNNNNNNNNNNNNNNNNNNNNNNNNNNNNNNNNNNNNNNNNNNNNNNNNNNNNNNNNNNNNNNNNNNNNNNNNNNNNNNCUAUUUCGUCAUGGCCUCAUAGUCAUCAUCUUCUGUCAACCAGGUGAAGUCCCGACCUCCCCUCUUAGAUCUUAGGAAACGAAUACUUCACAUUUAUUCCUUCUUUGUUUCAGCCCCAACGCCUUGGUCCGGAGCUCGUGCGCGCCCAUCGAGUGCAUCCACUCUGAGGACCCGUUGACCCCGGAGGACAAAUUAGGCUUAAUAGAUUCGUCUCGCCGUUUAGCCUCCACUUAUGUAAUGAGUUUUGUAAAUAGUCUACGUUUAAUACCCCUAAUUAGUAUCUAAACAUUCGAUGUGACACGUGCUAAAAAUAAGCAAAAGGAACCAAAAUACACCUCAAGGAGGAGCAUAGAGAGUACUCGAUCUCGAUCGGCACCUGCUGCCAUCCAUCGCAUCGAUGGGGCAGGGUUAAAUGAAUGGAAUGAGCGGGUGACUCGAAAUUCUCCUAAUCAUUCGUACGGGCUGCAAGCGGGCUUGUCAUGAUGAGUGCCCGGUUUGUCGACGCAUGAGUUGUGGCCAUCACGGUAUUGAAGGCCGGGGUCCUGCCGAGGUGGGGUUGGAAAGGGACGCCGGCCGGGGGCGCUGCCUCCCUCCCUCUCAAUCAUGCCGCAUUGCAUCCUUCUCUACUGGUACAUGCUGCAUUCAAAGCCAUACUUGGGGUGUGUUUAGCCCGCCCUGGGGCUCCUCUGAUUGGCCUGCUGGCAUAAGGUCGGUGGCCCCACUUUCUGACGUUAUCGUAUGAAACGGAAGGAUUUUGUAUAUUUCAUCCAGGACGAGCAUGAUCCUUCGUUCUUUUUAUGCCAACCAUGCACUCCUGCAACUUCCAUGAUCUCUGCUCCGUGGAUUCUAGAGAUGAUGAAUGAUGUGAGCUCAAGAUGUUUAUCUCAAUUGGCAUUGCUUCACCACCCACUAUGUAAAUUGAACAGUUAAUAUAUGAGCUCUUUCACGGUGCACGAUACUAUCAGGGGUAGUUCACGGUGCACGAUACUAUCAGGGGUAGUAUAGAGUAUAGACUGUUUUUUGGUAUCGGUAAAAUUGUAAUUAGCAGAACAUAUAUUAUUCAGGAUUUCAAGUCGCGAUCUUGCAGUAGUUGAUGGAUUUGCUGCAGUAUACAUAGACAGAUCUAGACGCGCGCGACGAAGCCUCGAUUUGUUCGGGAAGCAACAACGGCCGCGGGGUGAUGGAGACACGGUGGCACCGACGCAGGAGGAAGCGCCUCCUCCUCCUGCUCUCGCUGCUCUGCCUCGCUGUGCUGCUCCCAAGCACGCUGCUGGCGCCGUCCGCCUCGGUGUUGUCAUCGCCAGAGGCGGCAACGGCGGGUGGCAGUAGGAAGUGGCGUAAUUAGCACAACAUAUAUAAUGCCACUUCACAUCUUUCCCAUCAUAUCCUAUACCGCAUAUACUACUCAUGCAUACUAACUAUACUACAGCUUAAUGUUUUAGUAGUAUACAAUUAAUCUCAACCGUCAGAUCCUUACAUGCGAGUUCUUUUCAAACAUAGUAUAAGAUAGUAUUGUGUACCGUAAAAUACACAGGCACACGCACUUUAUCCUAACGAGCUAGGUGAACGACUCGUGGUUUUACUAAAAGGAAUGCCAUCUCCACCCCCUUCCACCAUAAAAGAGGCAUGGUUCAAAAAUAUAUUGAGUUUCAUCUUUUAUUUGCUCCCAUCCAAAACAUAGUCAAACCCUUCUGUAAUUCCAUCAUGACUUAUACUUAAAAAAAACAGCACUCCUUCCACUCCAUAGUAUUUGUCCAACUGAUGAUUUACUACAUUAUCUUCAAAAAGAGUUCAAAAAGACUUGUAUUGACUUCAAAAAGACUUGUAUUGACUCUUUAUUUAACUAUUUGCCUCCCAUUUCAUUUUGAAAUCAUACUACUAAUUUUUAUAUUAUUUAAUUUUGAAUUUACAAUAAUCACCAUGAACUGGUGUACAGAUAGCGAAAGGGAACGCAAAAAAACCUACGCAGCCAUCCACAGCUAGCAGCGGAUCCGAUAGCAUCUUCCUUUCUUUUACCCACUCAUUUUCACCGAUUCUCUCACCAUACAGUUGCACUUAACGUCAUUUCUCUCAUACGCGAAGUAACACUCCUUUUCUUGUUGGUUCAAAUAACAGGGCAGCCAUUGAUCCAAGAGAAAGCACAUGUGGAGAUGUUAGUUUAAUUAACAAGUUUUUCCUCAUUAUGGGUACACAAGCAUUUGUCAUCUUGCAAAAGAAACCUAAGUUUCAAAUGCUCCACUGCUAUCAAAACAAUCAAAACAAAAGAUGUAACAAACAAUCAAUUCUUGACUUGGCACUAGAGUAGUUUUCAUCAUAUGCAAACAUAAACAUUAAGCAACAUUAGAUGGAGCAAAGUUUGCAUCAAAGCUGGAUGGAUGUUUAUGAGCCUACUGCCUUAUUAUCCUUCUUCUCCUACUAUGUGAUGGCAAUUUUUAAUAAAUAAUAGAUUGAUCUCAAGAAAUCAGUUGUGAAACACUUUCAUUUCUGACUCAUAAAUAUUUCAAAAUCACCGUGGGAAGAUAUGUUCGCCGGCGUACAUGCCACUGUACAUUUGUUAACUUCGUGCAUCUGUUUGUACGUUUGGAACUUGUUAAACCAAAGUAAUAUAACCGUACAAAUUUACUUCAGUAAAUAGAUCGGUACCCUACCAAGUCUUUCAUCGAUAAAACCCAGUCCUGCGCUGCUCUUCGGGACGACCCGAGCGCGUCGCCGUUGCGUUUCCACUUCGACACCUCCUUUUUAUUUCUCCGCCACGCCUUCCCACCCGCCCGCAUACUGACGCACGCACACACCCCAAUCUUUCGGCCUCUCUCUUUCCCACAGAGAGGCGACGAACAGGGGGAGCGGCGCCGCCGUUUGGCCAGGUUUCGUCGGGCGCUUCUUCACCAGCGACUCCCCCAGGUGUGCUCUCCCAUUCCCUUCCCUUCCUGCUGUUCGAAACCGAACGUCUCAAACCCUAAUGGAUCGGAUGCUAUUCUGUAUUCGGAUCUGACAUGUGCUUUGCCUACUAUAACUUGGAAUUUUUGCACCCUGGCGGUGAUGUGAUUUUUUGCCCAUGUAUGUAUGGGUUCGCUUCCUUCUUUUAGAUCGAGGGGUGCCAACGCAUGAACAUUUUUGUAUACUUUCCAAUGUAUUUGAGGCAGUGUUCUUCAUUUUUGGCAACAAAAUUAAGAGGAGGGCCAGCGGGAUUUUCUAUUCUCUCCCCUUCUGAUUUCCAGCAGCUUCCAAAAGAACGCCGCAAGAAGAGUCUAACAACAAAGCUCGUGAUCCUUCCGCCAGGGGCCAGGGCAGCAGACGGAUGGCGUCGUCUGUGCCGGCGCCAUCGGGCUCGGUGAUCACCGUGGCGUCGUCCUCGUCGUCGGCCGCCGCCGCCGCGGUGUGCGGCACGGGGUCGCCGUGCGCGGCGUGCAAGUUCCUCCGCCGCAAGUGCCAGCCGGACUGCGUGUUCGCGCCCUACUUCCCGCCGGACAACCCGCAGAAGUUCGUGCACGUGCACCGCGUCUUCGGCGCGAGCAACGUGACCAAGCUGCUAAACGAGCUCCACCCCUUCCAGCGCGAGGACGCCGUGAACUCGCUCGCCUACGAGGCCGACAUGCGCCUCCGGGACCCCGUCUACGGCUGCGUCGGCGUCAUCUCCAUCCUCCAGCACAACCUCCGCCAGCUCCAGCAGGACCUCGCCCGCGCCAAGUACGAGCUCUCCAAGUACCAGGUGAUCAUUUCACUCCUCCGUACUACCACUCGAUCGUUGUUGAGUAGCUAACGCAUGUAUUAACUAGAGACUUCUUCUUCCUUUCAGGCGGCGGCGGCGGCGGCUUCUGCGUCGACGGGGUCGAACGGCGGGCCGCAAGCCAUGGCAGAGUUCAUCGGCAACGCGAUGCCCAACGGCGCUCACAACUUCAUCAACAUUGGCCACUCGGCGGCGCUCGGCUCCAUCGGAGGCUCCCCCGCCGUGUUCGGGCAGGAGCAGUUCGCCAACGCGCAGAUGCUGUCCAGGAGCUACGACGGCGAGCCCAUCGCGAGGCUGGGGAUCAACGGCGGGUACGAGUUCGGGUACUCGACGGCGAUGGGCGGCGCUGGUGGGCCUGUCUCUGGCCUCGGGACGCUCGGCAUCAGCCCGUUCUUGAAGUCCGGCACCGCCGGCGGCGACGAGAAGCCCAGCGCCGGGCAGUAGGGCGCGGAUCCAUCGUGUCAGGUUUGGCAUGCCUGCUCCGUGUUCUUAUCCAUUUUUUCUUCUGCUGCCGUCCGAGUAAUUCGCGAGUUUGGUGGAGUACGGUUAGUUCGUUAGUUUGCUAGAUGUAAGAUGCAUAAUCAUGCAUGGCUAAUGAGGAGUAGCUAAAUAUAGCUUAGUGCAUGCUUUGAUGCUAAUUGGAGCGCUCUUGUGCAAACAAAUAAACAUUAUUGCGCAACCUUUUGGAUUAAUACAUUAUCGGUGGCUAGUUUCAUGUGUAGCAGUGAGAUAGGUUGAGCUAUUCUCAUCAACGGAAUCAAGAAUCUGUUUUGUCAUGCAUACUGUUUUGCUCUUAAGGUCUGGUACUUGUGCCCAUGCACAGCACACUUUGUGUGGCCAACAAAUCUCUCCUAGGUUUGUGUUGACCUAAACAGCUUGUUUUAUUAGUUGAAGCAGAAGGGUCAGAAAGUAUUGCUUUCGAGAACUUUCGUUUUAAAAAAACGUUUUAAAAAAAUAUUGCUUUCGAGAACAAAUCAGCUUGCAUGGCAGUGUAGAAAGUUUUCUGACAAAAGCCAUUGGUACCAAGAAGAGCACGCACGGGUGUUCUCUGUGAAGUAAUACAGCUAGAGUUUGCCAGUGAUCAUGAAUAGCUACUGAGUAUCUCUAGGAAAGAACUGAUAUUUCAUGCCCUAAUGAACGCACACCGUAUUAUAAUAGCAGCAUUCUUUUUGUCUAUUCAUAAGAUGAAAAUGUACCAUGUAUUUAAUUAAAUAGCAGUUACUACUUUCUACGGUUUGUUUGGUGUGUAGCAAUCAUGUUUGCAUGCCAGCAAGAAUACUCCAUUUCACGACCAUAUUACCAUUUUCUUUCGGUUACCAACCGAUUGAUAUUUGCAAAAUUGUAUUUUUCAGGUUAUUAGUGACGUGAAGAAAUGAAAGGAAAAAAAAUCCAUGAAGUGCUGAAUUAAGACUAAGUGGAGUGCGACGAUUAUCUUAGAUUUCCAUCGUUAGGACGGAGGGUCAGUGUUCUCAGUCGAUUUUACAUGAAGAGUGCAUGCUUAUGUUGUUUAAUUGCUUGUUUGUCAGUCACCGCCUCCCUCUCCAUCCAUCCCACAAGAUGAUCCAACAUUUCAUGCAGGCAUCCACAAAGUGUCUCUGUUGGUGUAGUAGAAGAAACACGCGUGCUUAGCUUGUUCCGGGCUUUUACCACUCGGACGGACGGCUAGCUCCCCCUUCCUCUUGCUAGUUUCUACUCCAUGUACUGCUAGAUUGGCUCUACAACACUACUGAAGUUGACAUUGAGACCUGAUGGGUGUAUCUAUUUGGUACUGCUGCGUAUCCUUGCUUUGACUUUGUGAUGAGAGUUGAUAGGUCUGAUUGAACAAGGCAUGCUAAUGUCCUAGCUAGAGAGGCUAGCUAGGCAUGUCAGGGCUGGAAAUAUACUGUAUCAUCGCAUGGAGAUCCUCACUGCAAGACUCGACCUCGGCAGGCAUUUAUGCGCUGGCUGCAUCCUGCACCUCCUCCCUCUCCCUCGCCCUGGUUUUGCUUGCGAGAGAGGCCAAAAUGGCAGGAGACUAUUAUAUAAAGUCUGCCCUGGCCAUGUCUCUGAAUCUGAAUCUCCUUUCCCUGUUGUUUUCUUGGUUGCAACUAGCGCCGUGCCACUUGGCUACUUGCGUGCGUUCAGCGAGCGUGCAGCCGUGCAGGUGCUUAUAUAGGUAGUAGAGGUCCAGAGCUACUAGCUAGGGAUAGCAGACGGGCAUGCAGUGGCAAUGGCAUGGAUGGGAAGCGCCCCCCGGAUACUAUGGCACCUCGACCGAGAGCCAUCAAAAUAUCACAUCCUGAAGCGGUACUGGUCAAUCCAGAUUGCCAUCUUCCCGUGGUGAACCCAAAAAAGAUCACGCAGCCCUCAGGCUUUAACUGGUAGGUUUAGGGAUCCUGGUGGGCAGGGCUACCUAGUAGGAUACUAGCACGCAGAGCAUUUGCAGCCCAACUGCCAUCGAAUCAGACAUGACAUUUCACCCUGGAUUCGCAAAAGAUAAAGAAACCAGAGCCCUAGGAGACUCCAUUUUUUUUAAACAAAAUCCAAUCAGGGAGAGGUAGAGCCUGCGAUGGAGCGCUGCGCGCUUGCUCUAUUCCACGCGUAAAUGCACGAAUAGUUGCGCUUGCGUCUGUGCAGGGCGACGAUACGUUACACGAAGCUGGCCUUGGCGUCCUGUUCGUGUUCUUGCACUGCUUCGAGGCAUUGGCCCGGCGCAUGCAUGCGGCAUGCAUUCUGUUUGCCUGAUGGGCUUCCUGCUGAUGUGAAGAGAGUAGGAGACUCCCCCCCCCCCCCCCCCCCCCCCUCUCUAUUUGAAUUUUAUUUUAUGAUUAUUUGAUUUGCAAACAUUUUUCAACAAAUCCAUUUGAACAUAUUGCAGUAAGUGUGGUGUAACAUCACCACUACUCCAAUCGAAUAGCUAGGAAACAUGGCAGGCGAAGGCGAGAUGGAGACCCCGGCAAGUUUUGCACGGACAGGGAGACGCACGCACGAGAAUGAUGCAGGCAUGGCACGCAGGCAGCAGAGCGCAAGGGCAGUCAUGCAGACGAGGCGAUGCGUGCACUGGCACUGACCCGCACUGUUGCCCGGGGGCGCGUGGUACGAGCCCUCGGUCCUCUCCUUCCUACUCGCAUUCAUUCAAGACUCGGCGAUGGAUCGUGGAUGCGGGCAGGAGGAGGAAUGGACGGAACAACAAGAUCGCAAGAGGGAGGCGGCGAUCGCAAUGAUGGCGCGGCCGGGGGCGCGAUCGGAGGGAGGGGGCCGGCGGCAAUGAUGGCGAUCGACGGUGGCAGCAGUGACCAGCGCAGCACUGUGCGGGCGUACGCGCAGCCCUGCCGGGCGCAGGCGCGGCGAGAAGGGAGAGGAGAUAUCCCAUCGCAUCGGCGCCCCAGGCCGGCCGGGGCGCGCGUUAAUGCGAAUGCUUCGCCUGCGCUGCGCCCCUCCUGCGGCGCGCGGCGUCGGCCACGAGGCCUGGCGUCUGCCGGGUCUGCCGCUGCCGCGCCUGUGCCUGCGCCCGGGCGCCUUCCUCACACGUCUCCUCGCUCGCUAGUUCUAGCGCGCAGCCGCGGCUGUCGUCGUCUGCCCGGGCCCCUGCGGCUGGACGCUGAUCCGCCGCGCGGCCGGCGCGCCGAGUUAAUGCGCGCCAACGGCCGGCGCGAACAUCCCUUUUGCCGCGCUCGAUCGAUCGCCGCCUCGCGCCCUUGGAUUCUCGCAUCCAGCCUUGUCUCGCACGACGCCUGCCUGCCGCGGACCAUCGUCGCCAGUUUCGUCACUGUGGCCACGCACGCUUGCUCGCUCGUCUCCUCCCCCGUUGUCUCCGCCCCCGUCGACUGCUGGCUCGAUCCUGCAACGCGGCGACGACUGGUGAUUUGACUUGGCUGCGCCUGGCUCCCGUGGACUGAUCGGACACCAGCAACGCUCCAUGGAGGAUGGAUCGGAGCAGCCACAGCCAAGCGCAGCCUGCAGCGCUUCGUCCAAGGGGGGUAAGGGCCUCUUCAAUAUUAUCAGAACCCCAGUCCUAUAAUGUUUAGGAGCUGGUUCUAAACAUUGCAGGGUCGGUCCUAUAAAAAAAAUUAAAGGACUGACUCCGUGCAAAGGACUUGGGCCUUAUUUAGUUGCCUAACUUUGACCAACCAAAAUUACUGUAGCAACACUGUAGCGUUUUGUUUGUAUUUGUAAAUUAUUGUCUAAAUAUUGACUAAUUAGGCUCAAAAGAUUCGUCUCGCAAAGUACAACAAAACUGUGCAAUUAGUUUUUUAUUUCGUCUACAUUCAGUACUCCAUGCAUGUACCGCAAAUUUGAUGUGAUGGGGAAUCUUCUUUUUUGCCUAGUGUCAAAGUUGGAAUUUUGAAGUGAACGGUUCUAGGAAAUAAAAAAUUGAUUUCUCCCUCCCACCCUCCACACCUCUCCUGCCAUGGAAGUGAUUGAGAAGGAAGAGGUUGGGAAGAUGGGAAUUUUUUUCCUCUCGUGGGUCCCAUGGAUGGUGGUUCCAAACAGUUGACGGUUUACAACAGCACAAAUCAAGACUUAAGGGGUGUUUGGUUCUUUCGUCCGGACUAAAGUUCCUAUCACAUUGAAUGUUUAGAUACUAAUUAGGAGUAUUAAAUAUAGAAUAAUUACAAAACCAAUUGCACAUAUGGAGGCUAAUUUGCGAGAUGAAUCUAUUAAACCUAAUUAGUCUGUGAUUUGACAAUGUGAUGCUACAGUAAACAUGUGCUAAUCAUGAAUUAAUCAUGCUUAAUAAAUUCGUCUCGCGAAUUAGCCUCCAUUCGUGUAAUUAGUUUUAUUACUGUUUAGUCCUCCUAAUUAGUCGAUAUAACAUAGUCUAGACUUUACCUGAUCAAACACCCCUUUGGAACCGGGGCCAGUUCCAUGCAUUGGAGAUGCCCUAACCCUCUAGCUGCUGCCUACACGAAGGCCCCUACCCGCCGUCGUCGCCUCGCGUCACGUCACGCACUCACCAUUUCACCAACGUGCGUGCGGCUGCGAUCGGACAGGGGAUCAUCAGAUCUGACGACCGACCCCCCGCGAAUUAAUUCACUGCGCGCCACGCGUUGGGCACAGUCACCUUGCGAGCCGCCGAGCCGGGGGGUGUAGAACAGAACAGAAAGAAAGCCAACGACAAGGACGCGGUGAAAUCAUCAUGAGAGGUGAAAAACAUCAGGUGGGUGGUUGUACUCCCUCCUGGUUUUUAUAGCUUACCUGCAGGGAUAAUUCCGGUGGCCCGGCCGCCGGCCGACAUGCGGACACGUACCAGCAGGCAUGAUCUCGCGCGCCGAUCGCCGUCGCUCGCACGAAUCAUGACGACGUUGCUAUCAGCAUCAACAGUAGUAAGAACUGAGCUAAUGAGAGUACUGCGUCCAGGUGGUGUUCAGGAUUACGGUGCGAUGAUCGAGAUCGAGACUGGACGAAAGGCUAAUCUUGGAGGGAUACAAUACUGAUGCCCGGUGAGCGAGUGAGCAGAGGGCAUGUAUGCCAUCCUGUCGUCGUGCGCCUUCAAGACGAUCGUUCCUCGUCUUGGCAUUUGGCUUGCUGAUCUUCCGGCAUGAACAGGGGCAGGCAGCACUCGUGGUGAUCGUCACUCCUCGAGUCCUCGGGAGUAGUAUCAGUAGUCGCAGAGGGCAGGCUGGGCGCAGAGACAAUUGUGAAACGUUACUCCUGCGAGGAGGGAACAGGAUGGCUUCGGGUUUCAGCAGUGGUGCUUGUAGCCUGUGGCUAGUUACUGCAGUACUGGACAGGAGACGGAUUUUUAGAGAGCUAGUCUGUGUUAGAUGAAGGGAGGUCAAUGCAUUUGACUCUCAAAUUCUUCCGUUACUAGAGUCAAAAGCGGCAUGUCUAGAACGUAUGUGUACGAUUAAGGAAGUUUAGCUAAGAAAUCACCUGGUUUGUUCCACCGUUACUGUCGCGCUGCCUAUGACUAUGUGGCAAUUUUCGGUAAAAUUUUUUCGCUUUGGAAAUAAUUUUGCAUAUGGCCAAGGUCGCAGGUUCGAGACCUGCAUGGGCCAAUCCAAAAUUUUAAGUUUUUGCAUUGUUGCCUUGAAAGCUGCUUUUUCCGUCGUAUAUACGACCUCCUAUGAUGGUCCAAUAAUUCCAGAAUUCAAAUGACUAAUACUGAGCUCAUUGGUUUAAAUUUUUCCUACAACAACUAAUCUGAACUGAAACCAUGAUGCCAUGAACAACAUAAACUUGUGGUUGGCGUAAUUUUUUUUUUGACCAUAUACUUCAGCAAAAGUACAGAACAACUGAUGGAGGCAUAUUCCUGAUCAAUAUGCUGCGUGGCACUCUUUGCAUGGGAUGGGAGACCUGAAAUUUGAUUGUAACCUCUUUUGGUAUCAGGAAGUGUGCCCUAGGAGUUCUGAAGUUCCAUUCUUGAUUUGGAGAAUCGUGGAACGUAUUCUCCAUUCGCCCAGCUUUUAUGAUGGGUCUUCUCGGUUGAGUGCAGCUAUCAGAGACUCAUCAUCAGAGAAAAGCAGCAAUGAUGAACCUGCAGAGUGCAGACAACUGACAGCAUCUACUCCUUGAACGAGUGCUAAAGGCUCUGCCUGUACGGAUGCCACAUGAACAGAAGUCUGAAUCUGGGGCGUUUUCUUCCCGUGUCUUAUUUUUAGCACGUGUCACAUCGAAUGUUUAGAUACUAAUUACGAGUCGUGUACGUACACCAUCCACAUAUUCUCACCGCGCAUUGCGACGCUAGCGGAUGACUUGGACCCGCUGUACAACAUAUCAAUCUGCUGCUCGAACAUGAGGAGUUGGGUGUACUACUCCCCCACGGUGAUCCACUCCGACCGUGCCAGAACGGCUGAAACACCGGGUGUACUCAGCGUCCAACUCGGUGAGGAUNNNNNNNNNNNNNNNNNNNNNNNNNNNNNNNNNNNNNNNNNNNNNNNNNNNNNNNNNNNNNNNNNNNNNNNNNNNNNNNNNNNNNNNNNNNNNNNNNNNNCACUGAAAAUGGUAAGUUCGUACAGCAAAUAUAUGGCCGACUUUUGAAUGGAUUUCAGAUAAAUGUAUAUCAAAAGGGGUAGGUGUUCAUGAGCAAAAUGAAAACUUUGGAGAUGGUAGAAAUCAAAUGGGAAGAAGGAAAAUCUCUGUAUAACCAUUAAGGGUCUUGAAAAUCGUUCACAACCAUACUGGUAAAUUAGUAUCUAAACAUUCGAUGUGACGGGUGCUAAAAAUAAGUCAGUGGAAGAAAACGGGGCGAACUCAUUUACAACUGUAGUAGUAUGGCCUGAAUGUAGAUGCAUGAACCAGUCACGGCAAAAUGCAGAGCUAACCACAGUUGCCAAACUGGAAAACUCUACAACACCACAAAAAGUUUGAAGUCACAUAUAUGAGGUCAUUUUCGCCCCCACUGCAAUUUACAACCAAUCAACAACACCAGAAACUGGGACGAGCUUAACAACUACAGAACUAAGAAUACACCAUAGCCUCAAUAGUAAAGAAAAAUUCCGAUGCAGCCUGUGCUCUUCUUAGAUGUGAUCCCCAUACCCCAGCAAUCUCCUCGACAUCAACGGUUAGAAGUGUACAAAAAUGUUUGUGCAGGAGUUGUCUGCUUCUGACUUCGAGUUUCACACGUGAUUUUCCCGCAUUGCUCUUAAGUCCUUGGUUUUGAUGGUGUUGGAGAUGACGGUGGCUUCAAGUCAGGGUACUGCACAAUAAACUCAAAUGCUUGUGACUGCUUGUACAGUUGUAUCAUAGGUUUUGUGGUCAGUUUGCAUCAUAAAGAAUGAAGAAACAAAGGACCAUGGACGAGCGAAGAUAUUUACAAGCAGAACAAGGGGAGUUAUUUAACUGGGCAGUCAGUCUUGUCUCUAGUUUAUGUCAGUAAAUAGCACUUGGACUGCAAUUCACUGUCCUUGCCAAUUAGUAAUUUCUGUGGGCCUGAAUCAAGCCAUUUAAGUGCCUUGAAAUGUCAGUAUCUAACUUUCAGGUAACCAUAAAGCUAAGCUUCAAUGAAUUGCCAAAAACUAUAGCACGUGCUCAGAUAUCAUGAUCUAAUUUCUUCCUAAAUUAUUCAUAUAUGGCUUUAAAAAUAAAUACCAUAUUCAUCACUCUAGUCUAGAAGCAUAGCAAAUACAAGCAGACCAAUGCCAUUUCUUCCUAAAGUAUUUAUCGCUUUAGAAUAGAUGCAAGUCAAAUAAUGUUUCGUACAUCUAAUACUCUAGCGUUGUACAUGUUCGCGUGACAGCUGGAGAAAACUUGAGUUUAUUGUCAGUACGAAAGAAAAGCAGUAAGAUGUGUGCAAAUACUGUUGAUUUGAGUCAUAUACUAAAUGGUAACCAGUUGGAUCUAUGAAGAAAAAGAAGAAGCAGGAUAAUUUUUUGUGUGGCAGUGAAAAAGCAAAAAGAACCAUACAUUUGGAUAUGGCGAUAAUGGUCUCCUAGUUGCAUGUUCUGCAGAAGUUGUACUUCCAUUGGGAUUUUCAUAAACAUCUUUGGAUUCAUCACUUGCAUUGACUACAGUGGUGCUUGGAGGAGCUAGUGGUUCCUCAUUUUCCCCCUUCAUACCAUCUGCUCCAUCAGCGCUCACAUCUGUGUGAGCUAACUUCAUGCCCUUCUUUUUCCUCGGGAAAACAUGUACAGAUGGGGGAAGGUAGUUUUCUUGAACAGCCUAACGGAGAGGAAAGAGUUAGAAAAAAUGUAUUAUAUCCUUUGCCCCACAGAAUAGAAUGACACCUUACCUGCCACCCUUCUGGGCCUCGCAAGCCCCCUUGAAUUGCAUAGGCUUCCUUGAAACCAUUCUCGAUCAGUAGCUCAGCAACUCUCAAAGAAUUACCAUCAAAGCUACCUUACACAGCAUAAACUUAAGUUGGUAACAAAAUGGCAGCAUGAUAAAAGACCAAAGGGCCUGUAGGAAUUUAAAUACAAUCUCUUUCACAAGAAGCAAAUGUACAACAAAUGCAGCCAAAAAAAAUUCAUUAACUCUGUUCAUGUAGCAAACUGAGGGACAAAAAUUUAGACAACAUCCAUUUUUAAUAGGAUAAUUAUGCAAAUUAAAGCUUAUUAAAUAAUAAACAGAAUAACAAAGUUCCUCCUUCUAUUGAAUAGAAUAACACAGUGGUGCUCGUGUGAAUGCAUUCCUCAUUCUUUGAGAUUUGAGAAGGUACACAGAUCAAUCCUAUUCACCAAAAAUUGAACCGAUUUCAGAGUAGUAAAAUCAACACAGCAUUUGGUUUGCUUAGCUAUAUGCAUUUUACUAGAAGGCUUGUAACUAUUUUUUACCAAAUUCUAAGUUGUUCCAUGCUAAUAAUAAUCAUUUACCACUAUGUACAUUAACCUUUUACAUUGUGGCGCAUUUGUGGUGGGCACAUCCAUGAUUGCCCAGAUUUUGCAUAAUUGUAUUCGAGGCAAAACCUUUCUAGUCAAGGACGCAUCAGAUGUUGCAUCUGGCAUUAUAGGGUAAGUAAUUCAAUCGGUUUUCCAUGUCACUCACUUGUCAAGGACGCAGACGACGGUGUUAGCGGGGUCUGGGAACCUCGCCAGCACCUCCUUGACGAACCCCUUCUCGUCCUCCUCGUCGAACUCAACCUGCACGGCACUCUUCUCGACAAGCUUCAGGUUCGGCGGCGCCAUGAAGCGCACGCUCUUGGCCCGGCGGAUGUCCAGCAGCUGCGCCUCCGGCACGUCGCGGAGCGUGCGGAACGCGUCGAUGGCGCUCACGGGCUUGUACUUCUUGAAGACGUACUCCUGCACCAGCGGGAUCACCACGAGCCACACGAACACGACCCCGGCCACGAAGAAGGGGUUGCGGUUGUUGAAGUCGUCGAUGGCCACCACGAUGGACUCGAGGCUCACCUUCCCGUCGCCCUCCGCCGCCAGGGAAGGGAGCGGCCAGGACGCGACCGCGGCGGCGACGGGGACGAGGGCUUCCCGCCAAGGAGCCGCCUUCCGCGCCGGGAUUGCGGUCUUGGGCGCCGCGGCGGGGGCGCGAGGAACCGGGAUUUCGGAGGGGGUGGCAUUCUUGGCCGCAUUGGGCGGUAAAAGUUGGGUCCUCCGAGGAUUUCUUGGGGGUUUGAAGGGAUUUGGGUGGUGGGAGCUGGAGAUGCGGAGGAGCGAGCACUGUUCUUGGAGUCGGAGGAGAGCCAUGGGAGCGCGAGGCCUGAGCUCUCCGCAACUGCAAGGAUAGCAGAGCUCAGGCUCUGAGCUGCGAGCUGGAUUGCCAACGAUUUCAGCGUCUUCAGCUUAGCUAUCCGAUUGAUCCGCUUUUUUAUUUUUUUUUCUGAAGAAAAACAUAAUCACUAAAUAUGUUGGGAAAAAGGCCUUGGGCUUUCACGACGCAAUUGGGCCUGUACGUAAUAUGUGGGCUUUCGUGAGAAGUUGGGCUGACAGUUUCUACAAAAAGCAAGUUCGUCGCAAACAGAGACUGAAAAUUCGCUGCAUUACAGCAGAAAAAAUUCACCUGUUGUAUGCAAUCGUUAUUGCUUUCAAUAAAAGCAGAGUGAUCUCCUUUUUUCCAUAAAUAAAAAACAAAAAGGAAGAAUUUCACCUGAACAAUCUGAUGCAGUGAUGCCCCUCGACGGCAAUACGUCCAAGAAAGGGAAAAAAACGCAAGCGAAUUUUCUUGCAGUGGACAUGUAUAUGACUUUGGAUUUCGAUACAUUUCAGAAUAUAUUCUAUGUGGUUAAUAAUCGUACAAUACUAAAGCACUUCUCUGGAAAUUUUUCUUGGCUCUGUGCAGUACUAGUAUUCUACUACAAGCUUCGUGUCAGGAGUACAGCCUCUUGACACACACACACACACACACACACUACUGCUAAGUUCGUGCCGCUAGCAGUGAAUCUCAGGUCGACGGCAACCCUGAGAAGAACUCGACGUACUUGGCCGGAUCGGCGAGCACCUUGAGCGACUUCGGGAUGGGCGGGACGUCGACGUCGACGAGCCCCUCCAGGACCUGCACCACCAUCCCCAUGCUCGGCCGCAGGCUCUCGGCGUCCUGCACGCACCAGCACGCCACCUUGCAUGCCCUCUCCACCUCGGCGACGUCCGCCUCGCCGGCGAUCCGGCAGUCCACCGCGCCCCUCAAGUCGCCGUCGAGGAGCAUGCCCACCGCCGUCGCCGGGAAGAAGUCCACGGCACCGUCGCCGCGCUGCCCGACGUUCCUCCGGCCCGAGACGAUCUCGAACAGCAUCAUGCCGUAGCUGAACACGUCGGCCUUGGUGGUGACGGCCGCGCCGCCGAUCCACUCCGGCGCCAGGUACCCCACCGUGCCCCGCACCGUGGUGAGCACGCGGCUGAAAUCGCGGCCCAUGAGCUUGGCGAGCCCGAAGUCGGCCACCUUGGGCACGAACGCCUCGUCCAGGAGGAUGUUCUCCGGCUUGAUGUCGCAGUGGAUGAUGCAGUCCCGGCACUUGUCGUGCAGGUACUCCAGGCCCCUCGCGAUCCCCAGGGCGAUCUGGUACCUCGUCUCCCAGCUCAGGACGCCGCCCUGGCUGCUAGCCCCGAACAGGUGCCUGUCCAGGGAGCCCCUGGGCAUGUGCUCGUAGACGAGCAGCCGCCUCGUCCUCUCGGAGCAGAACCCCAGCAGCCUGAUCAGGUUCACGUGCUGGAUCGUGCCGAUCGUGCUCACCUCGGCGCGGAACUGCUUCUCCNNNNNNNNNNNNNNNNNNNNNNNNNNNNNNNNNNNNNNNNNNNNNNNNNNNNNNNNNNNNNNNNNNNNNNNNNNNNNNNNNNNNNNNNNNNNNNNNNNNNGAGUACAUGUUGAGAUUACGGCGCGACGUCACCGCUUCAUCCCCCUGCCGAACGCCUUCAAGCUUCUUGACCGCGACGGGCGUCGCGUCAGGCAGAGAACCUUUGAACACCGACCCGAACGCGCCGCCGCCGAGCUUCUCGGUGAAGUUCUUGGUCACGAAUUGCAAGUCGCGGUACGUGAACGCCAUGAGGGAUCCUUCGACUCUCCUCAGCGACUUGAUCCUUCUGCUUCUCAGGAUGAGGAUUGUGGCCAGAACGAUGGCGGCGACCGCGGCGACGGACCCCGCGGCGGCGAGCCCGAUGACCAGCUUCCUGGCGUUCCCGGUGCCUGAGAACUCGGACGCCGCCAGACGGAUCGAGAUGCUGCUGCCGCCACCGCUGGCCGUCGUGUCUUGGAGGUUGAUGAGGUCCCCGUACCACAGCGAGCAGCCGCCGCCGCCAGUGUAAGAGUACGCGGUGCAGGAGCAGUUGCCGAGGCACGCGAGCUCGCAGUCACGAGCACUCGCCGCCGCCGCGCUCCGCGCGCUGCUCGGCAGCCUCGCGUCGUCCAUCGUGUAGAACCUGUCGUCGUCGUUCUUGCUGUUCUUCUGGUGCUGCCCGUCUCGAUCGCUGCAUGCGAGGCCGGCGUUCCUGGCGCAGCCGGCGGUGUGGUCGUUCUGCAGCCACUCGCCGGGCCGCCGCUGGCUGAAUCCCCGGGGGCAGCUGCAGGACGGCAGGGCGUUCUCGGUGCAGACGCCGAAGGGCCCGCAGACGGCGUAGACGUCACACUGCUUCUUGGGCUCCGACCAGAAGAGCAUCCACUCCUUGGCGGCCUCCACCCACGUCAGGAACUUGAUCUGCCCCGUGACGUCGAAGAGGAACCGCGUGACCACGGACUCGUCGGUGACGUCGUAGACGAAGUAGCUCUCGUCGGCGCCGUCGACGUAGCCGAAGGUGUACUUGGACAGCGGCGACGCGUCGGUGGGCGUCAUCUCCGGCACGGCGGUGAACGCGUGGCCCGUCCAGUUGCCGCUGCUCCAGUACUGCUCGCCGCCGUUCCAUUUGAGCAGGUACUGGCUGGAGCCGCCAGGGUCGAGCUCGAGCGAGAACGGGCUCGGCGACGGGUCGUUGUAGCCCUUCCACGCGACGAGUUGCGUGACCUCGCCGGUUCGCUUGUUCCGGCCGAGCUUCCCGCCGGGGAGCCACGUGUCGCCGAAGUGGUCGAAGCUCUGCCACCGCACGGCGGAGGUGUUGGACGCGUCCGCCAGCACGAGGUUGCCGGUGUCGAGGAUGACGCCCACCGUAGUGGAGUUGGAGGCGACGACGCCGGUCACGUUGGUUGACCAGACGGUGGACCUCCGGUGAUCCAGGAUGACCAUGUUGCCGUCGCUCGCGAUGGAAAGCUGGGAGGACGCCGGGUCGGUGAUCGCCGCCUCCCGGUUCGCCACCCACACCGUGGUGUGCAACGAGAUUUGGUUGUACCAGAUGCCCAGGUACCAAUGAUCUGACGAGUUGUCUGUUGCGCACAGAAGAAGAGUCAAUUACAUGAUGAUCCAUGCACCGUUUUUUUUUUUAAAAAAAAUUUAAAUUCAUCAUCACACUUGUCCAUCAGGAGUAGUUGUCAAUUUUGGUUGAGGCCGAUUUUCUCGGAGCAAAGAGCGCGUGGGUCACUUUGCGCCAAAAAAAGACUUUGAAAAGGUCAAGUACUAAAUCCGCAUGAUCGGGAAGAACAUUAAAAUAUGAACACGGCCAGGUGCGAUUCCAGAAAAGAAGAUGCUUUCAUCAGUUGAUUAGCAGGUCUUCACGCUAGCUGUUGGUCACUCUUUGCCUACCUUGCUCUUCUUUCCUGAUACGUGACAAUCGGCUGGAUGUGACUUCAGGUUCGGAAAAAAGUUAGCAGUGACCAGUGACUAAGUGAGGCGUUUCCAUGGUGAAUCUUAUCAUAACACUGGACGGAAGAAACGUGCCUUUCUGCCAUGGAUUUUCCCCGUGUUGCUUUCUUGAUUCGUUGUUUAUUUCAUAGUUCAAAUGUUAGUAUCUAGGCCUACAUGUAUAUUUGUUUAUUAUCAAGAAAAACAAUACAAGUUCUUAUCAAGACAAAUACCAAGUUACCCACUGAAAGCAAAACAAAAAAAAAAACAGUCCUGCUCCAGUUAAUUGUGCUCUUGUAUAUGGCUUAAACUGACUGACAUGCUCGGGGAAGUAUUUGGAUUUUGAAGUUGCAUCUAGUACCUAAGAGUUAUGUAGUACUCGAUCAUAUGUAAUGAGCAAAUAAAAAGGGUGAUCAUUAGCUUAUUUUUCGUUCAGUGUGUGUUGCACGUACCGACAGAAAUUUUCACUUCAAUAAAAAACAACAAAUUUGUUUAGAUAUAGAUACAGAGAAGAGUAUCAAAGCUGAGCUUCACGCCAAAAAAGACAGCAAAAAUCCGCAGUUGUACGGAUGCAGCUGGGAGCAAAAAGCCAUAGCAAAAGGUAGUACCUGGCUGGAAGAAGCCGAGCCUGAACUUGCCACGCUUGGACACCAGGCUGUCCCCGCCGGACAGCGGCCGGCCGGCGGCGACGGUGUCGCCGGCUUGCGACGGAGCUCCCUGCAGCAGAAGCACGAAGCCGAGGAGGAGGGGAAGAAGAACACAUGCCGGAGCCGACCUUCCACGGGGAGCCGCCAUUGCUGCAGCCUCCAAGGUCGAAGGGACAACCGAGAAUACCGAACAGAAACGGAAAGGGAUCAGAGUCUCAGCGCCAAGCAACUAGUAGUAGGUGGCGGCUAAUGAGCGGGCACUCGAAUGCGACGCGGGGACGGGGGUGGAGAAAGCGAGAGGGAAUGAAAAAGAGACGGCCCUCGCCCGACCGGUGGUCUCUGGUCACGUACAUGGCGUCGCCGCGACGCUGCUGUGGGGAGAAGGGCGACGGCAAGCGACCGCGGCCGGGGGGCUUAAAUGCGGCCAUCGUACGGGGGCGGAGGAGUAGCCCCGGCCCCGUCGGCACGCCGCGCGCCCGCGCACGCCACCAUCCUACGUCUCCACAUGCUUUGACGCUUCACGGUGUGAAGCUAAUGAAAUCCUCCAUGUGCAGCGCGAUCCAUCGGGCCGCGGCCAGGUGGAAAAUCACAGCUGGUUCACAUCGUAGCACGGUACGUGUACCGGACAGUAGGAUCAGGACCGGCACCAUGCGUUCCUGUAGCAAACGACGAGCUCGAUGGGAUGGGCCGUCAUUAACGCGAGUGGGGGCGCGCCGGCCUCUGUACCGGCGGCUUUGCAGGCAGGACGCGGGCAUUAACGAGCCAACGGCGAUGCGCCACCACCGAACGAACUCCCGCCGGGUUCGCUGGUGUCGCGCUCGUCGCCGCUCGCACAGCGCCCCUGCCCCCUGGUGGCGUGGUGGGCUGCCGCGACCGGUGCCUGGCGGCAACGGAGAGUUCAGUGCGGCACAGCGCAGCGGGACGGAGGGCAUGUGGGAUGUGGGCGCCCAUCAAUGCCGGGCGGGGAGCGCGACCGCGACGCGAGCCCCCGGGGGCCGGGGCGGCUACCUGAGACAACAGAACAGAACCGUGAGCCCGUGACUCGCGGUCGUCUUUGUUCUCUUCUCGUCGUCGUCGUCGUCUCCGGCCGGCCAACCUCGCCGUCGCCGUGGCCAUCGUCAAACUUGAGGUGCCAACGGGCCCCGCGCUAGUUUUAACUUUCUUGGCCCCAAUCAUGCGGGAUUCUUUUGCUCUUUCUCUGCGGCUCACGCGGUUAAAAAAAUCACAACCCCUGUCCACACUGCGCCAGUGCGUCCUACGGCAGCGUGACAGUGUCAUGUACUACUCAGGUGCGAUCUUUUUCUCUGCCGACUGUGUCGUACCGUCGUAUGUAGGAGUGAGACCUAACUCAACUGUGGUUCGUUUAAGAAGACACGACUGCAGGUGUACGGCCGAAUCACAUGUGAUCGGUAGUGCUUCUAAUCACACUCACAUGAGUACGCUUCAAGAGCACUAGUAUGCGCAAUUGGCGUUAUGGCAGCGUACGGGCCUUGGACAACAGCGUGAUAGAACGUGACUAGUGGGUAAGGUGCUCGUGUUUCGUAGCUAACGGAAAUGAUUCAAGUCCAACUACCUGCACGUGUGGUUGUAAGGCUCUCGUGUUUCGUAGCUAAAGGGGAUAUUCUUUUUUUUUAGAGGAUGAGGGGAUAUUCUUUUUUUUUAGAGGAUGAGGGGAUAUUCUUACGAGUCCAGGUCGCCUGAAGAGAACCAUAUGGCCCACUGGUCUCGUACCGAAGCCCACGGAUCUCUCACAAAAUGAAGAAGGCCAACUUGUAGGGAACGAGAGGCCCAUUAGAGGUGCAAAAUGCGCAGAGCGGUUCCUUUGGCACCUGAAACCGGUCGGCCUAGCAGAUCCUUUUGAAAACAGACAAUGUCUAAAGGCAAAUAAAUAUUUAUUCGAAAAAAAGGCAAAUCAACAUCUGAUAUCCAUGGAGGACACAAAAUCAAUCUAUUUGGGCGGCAGAGGCUGAUACGAAAAGCACUAAACUUCUGAAGGAAAAUUGACAUAGGAUGGCCAGAGCAAACAGACAAGUUUGCUGAAUGGCAGAUGCGAUUACGGAUUACCUAAUGAUGGAGCAGAGAAGCAAACAGUGGUGUCAAAGGUUCAUAUGACUGUCGACCUGUCUGCUCCAAAUUUCGACAAAAAUCCAUCUAGGUGUCAAAGGUUCACAACUUCAUAUGACUAAUUUGCGCUAAUUCCAGAACAUAGACGGAACGAGAAUCAAACCCAAUAGGGGAAGUCGCGAUGACCAAAAACCAGAUGAGUCAACAAAUUGCAGUUGUGACUUGUUGACUUUGAACCUCGCAGGCUCGCAGUCGCAGCGAACCCGUCAAGUGGCCGAGCUGCUGCCUGAACGUUGGUCAUCAAAUCAUCUUGGGACUUGGGGGUACCACCAUCCCUUGUCAUGGAGUGGAGAUUCAGCGACACACUAUGCUCUUAAUGUUUAUUAAAGCCUUACCGGCACCAUAAUUCGCAGCUUCUUUACCAACUCAACGAUUCUCAGAGCUGGAGAAUAAAGACACAAUACAAGUCAGCCUGGAUAGCAUAAACCUUAAUUGAUAUAACCAGAAUUAUUACUGAAAGCUGACCUUGUUCAGAAUAUAGCAUUGUUGACUGAAAUGUACAUCCAACAAAAGGGCCUUUUCUUACUAACGGCUUCAACAUCAGGAGAGCGUCACAGCAUGGAUUUAACUAGAGAGGAAGAGGACAGGAAUGCGUACAAAAGUCAGAUUAAUGCUAUGAUUAACAUGAGGAGCUUCACAUAUAAACAUCCAAUCAUCCAAUGUGCUGCUGAACUAUGAGUUCAUAGCAAGUAGCCUUUUCUCACCUGGAAACUGAAGACCAUCCUUUUUUCCCUUUGAUUUCUUGUAUGGCUACCUGGCUUUCUUCAUGCACCAUAUCCUUACUUUUACUUCUAAUUUCUCUCCAACAGUCUCCAUUGCAUGCCUCCGAUACCCUCACUUCGAACCAGCAGCUCUCCGGGAACCAGAAGCUGAUCUCUCGGGAUGGCAAUUUUGCACUGGGAUUCUUUCAGCCUGCAGGUGAGUCUUAAAUGAAAACACACAUAUGUUAGACAUACAGAUGAACUAACUGUGAAGUUUUCGAAGGGAUUCUUUUUCCCAGAAAGCAAUCAGUAGAGAUUAGAGAAGCACUAAAGUGAUUUGUACACAUAAUAUAGAUCAGUAGAGAAUCAGUAAAGUGAUUUACACACAACAUAGAAUUUCAUGUUCAAGUUCCAAUCUUAUAAAUACUAGAAAAGACAGUAAACCUUCCAUGGUGAUCUCUGAAUUAGAAUGCAAGGAGUUAAUUUUUUCGUAGCAUCAUUGGUUGAUGAAUUAUGAUCUGACAGUUCUCCUAUACUGCAUUUGUGGCUGAAGGAUCCAAUGGCAGGUGGUACAUAGGCAUCUGGUAUAAUAAAAUCCCAGAACAGACUAUAGUGUGGGUGGCGAACAGAGAGAAACCAGUCUCUGAUCCAGUCUCAUCAAGCCUAACAAUCUCAGAUGAUGGUAACUUCAUUCUCCUGGCUAACCACUCUAAAUCCCCCCUCUGGUCUACCAAUAUUAAGAACAACACAGCUGCUAGUUCAACAGUUGCUGUGCUCCUCGGCAAUGGCAACCUUUUAGUCAGACAUGAGUCUAAUGCCUCUGCUGUGUUAUGGCAAAGUUUUGAUGAUUUCACAGACACAUGGCUCCCAGGAAACAAGCUCAGCCGCAACAAAAAAACCGGUGUGAUCAAACGGAUGAUAUCUUGGAAAGACCGAGGUGACCCAGCACCAGGGUUGUUCUCCAUUCAGUUGGAUCCUAAUGGUUCAAAGCAAUAUAUUCUCCAAUGGAAUAGCUCGGAAGUGUACUGGACUACUGGCAAUUGGACUAACAAUGGAUUCAGUGGUGUGCCAGAGAUGUCACCUGUCAAUCCCUAUCCCAGCUCAAGGUUUUUGUUCCAGUUUGUUGACAAUGAUGAAGAGGCAUAUUUCACGUACAAUAUUAAGAAUGAUGCAUUAAUAUUUACAAGAACUAUUAUUGAUGUGUCAGGCCUGUUUCAGACUUUGGUUUGGGCAGAGGCACAGCAAGCAUGGGCAAACUCUUUCACGAAACCAAAAGCUAAGUGCAGUGUUUAUGGUGUGUGUGGGGAAUACAGCAAGUGCAGAGAGAAUGCUGCUUCACCAUGCAGUUGCCUCAAGGGCUUCAGCGAGAAUCACCCAAACAACUGGAAACUAGAUGACCAGACAGCAGGCUGUAGGAGAAACAUACCGCUACAGUGUGCCAACAAUGGCUCAAUGAAGGCAAAGCAUGAUAGAUUCUACACUAUUGAUAGUGUGAAGUUGCCAGAUAAUGCACACAUCACCGAUGCAACCAAUGUUCAUGACUGCGAGUUGAUUUGCCUGAACAACUGCUCUUGCUUGGCUUACUCUCAUAAUGGCACUUGCUUGGUUUGGUACAACCAUUUGAUGAAUCUUCAAGAUAAUAUUGAUACAUCAAGUGAUAGUAUCUUUAUUAGAGUGGCUGCAUCAGAACUAUCCAACUCGGGAAAUAAAAAGUUGUGGCUUAUUGGGAUCAUCAUCGGUGGAUUUACUGUUCUAAGUUUUGGAGUGGCCAUUUUAUAUUUUCUCCAUAGAAGAAGAGCAAUAAUUAAUGGUUUAAAUCAUGAUAACGGGUCUUUGAUCAGUUUCAAAUACAGUAAUUUGCAACUCCUGACAAGAAAUUUCUCAGAGGUGUUGGGUGCAGGGUCUUUCGGCUCUGUAUUCAAAGGGGUUGUAUCAGACACCACAGCAGUGGCAGUCAAAAAACUUGAGGGCUUUCAUCAGGGGGAGAAGCAAUUCAGGGCAGAGGUGAGCACGUUAGGAAAUAUUCAUCACAUUAACUUGAUUCGCCUGCUUGGAUUUUGUUCUGAAGGAGCGAAGAGAUUGCUUGUCUAUGAGUAUAUGCCCAAUGGUUCACUUGAUAAACACUUGUUUGGUAGUAGCUCUACCACUUUGAGUUGGAAAAUAAGGUAUCAAAUUGCUGCAGGGAUUGCCAAGGGUUUGGCUUAUCUGCAUGAGGAAUGUCGGGAUUGCAUCAUACACUGUGAUAUCAAGCCAGAAAAUAUAUUGUUGGAUGAUUCAUUUGUUCCAAAAGUGGCAGACUUUGGAUUGGCAAAAUUACUAGGUCGGAAUUUUAGCAGAGUUUUGACAUCUAUGAGAGGCACAGUAGGAUAUCUUGCACCAGAAUGGAUAAGUGGUGAAGCCAUCACGACAAAGGCAGAUGUCUUCAGCUACGGAAUGAUGCUUUUUGAGAUCAUUUCUGGAAGGAGGAAUCUGGAGCAUAAGGAGACAACCAUGGAAACAUUUUUUCCCAUGUUGGUUGCAAGGAAGCUUCUUGAAGGAGAAGUGCAGGCACUGUUGGGCGAAGGAUUGAUCAAUGGUGUAAAUGAAAGAGAGCUAGAAAGAGCAUGCAAGGUUGCUUGCUGGUGCGUUCAAGGUAAUGAAAGUUCCAGACCAACAAUGGGGGAAAUUGUAAAAAUUCUGGAAGGGGUGAUAGAUGUUGGAAUGCCACCGGUUCCAAGGUAUCUUGAAGUUCUCUGUGAAGGUUCAGAGAAUGCGAAAUUCUUUUCCUAUGAAGCAGCUAAGUGAAUAGUUUAGGAAAAAUAUGUUUUCUAAAUACAUAUGAGUGUGAUCCUAUACUGUAAUUUUGACGAGUGCAGUGUGAAGCCCCCUUAAGUGAACCCAUCCGGAGUCCUGACAAUGAUUUGGGAAACAAAAUAAAUCAAAGGCUGGCUCAUUCGGUUUUUCUACUUGUGCCACCAGAUCACCUUUGUCCCUCUACUUUUAAAAUGCUCAAAUUGGUUCCACCUCGUUUACAAUGUUUUUUCCCCGAAAGAUUUGGGCCAUUGUGUCUGGCGUGCGGCGUGUAUUGCUAAGAAGAGAAUUGACCCAGUUUAUAAGGAAAACAGAGUCCAAAAACCAUACAUUACCCACUACCUACAACUACCAACCAGUUUACAGUUUUUCUUGAACUGCAUGUAAUCUGACAUGGCAUCCUGUACAGUAGACACGGGUUGGAUGCUGCUAGCUCAAUGAAAUCUUCGUCCAAAUUUCUCGCCCCAAAAAAUUCCAAUGUAAUGCCAGUUCUGCAGCUUGGGUUGCAGUGGCAAAGCCAGGAUUCAAACACAUCCCGAGCUGAAAACUAACCGGCUAAAUACAAAUGCUUUAAACAGAAGAGCAUAAAUGUGCGUUUAAAUAUAAGUUUGAACUCAUCGAUUAACAAUCGUAACAGAACAGAUAAAACUUGACAGCAGCUACCAAAAGAAAGGUUACGACAGAUCCCACAUUGCGAGAUUUAUCCUACAUAUCCCAGACAGUAAUCCCUAGCAAACACAUCACAAUCAGACACUAUCACACAUUAUAUUCGAGCGCUUCGUAUCACAGAUUUCAAAGGCUAGGGUGACUUAUCCUGUUACCCAGGAGACACGGCACGACGAUGUUGAAUUGCUGAUGGUUCGCAAGGAACGAUGCAGCCAUGAAGAACCGAUGCAGCGCCUGCGGCGAAGGAGAGGCCAGGAGGGGCAGGCCGACGACCGUCGGACGCGGGGGCCGAGGGAAACGCGGGGCCAGGAGUCGGGACGGGUCGACCGGGAGGGAGGGGAGAUUUCAGCGGUGGCACGGUCAGGCGGACAGCCGCAGUGGUGCGCCGGAGUCGGAGCCGUGGAGCCCGCAAGGCGCAAGCGACGGGGAGAGACGACAGGUGGGUGGGGUCCUGGAGCGUCCGAUUUUUUGAUGGGCUGUGUUGCUUCUGUCCUACUGGGCUAACUAUCAGUGUGGGCUUCAUGGGCUGGCGCUUGCUGCUUCGAAUUCGAUCCACAGAAAACAUUGCACGGGUAUCAUAGGAUUGUUGAUCCUCUCCAUAUUUUGAAAGAAUGUAUUUUCUGUUUAAUCUCGAUUUUCAAAGUUCCAUUCCAAUGCAUCGCUUCUUUUUUAUCUCCUCUCACUUAGAACAUUCACCUCUAAGAUUCAUGCAUUUCUCCUAUGAUGCAUCCAGAUAACCCAUAUGAACAAUGAUCUCCUGUUUAUAGGAUUAGGGAGCUAGACACUUGCAACGUUUCAUUUUUCGUAGCUGGUUUGAGAAUUGAGAAAACUCGCAUACCAAGGAGGCCUCUAACCUCGUAGAUGAAUUUUAGGUAGGAUUAAAAAGUAGACGUGUAACCACUGAACCAUGUAAAAAGAAACUAAAACAGCUGACUUUUUUUUUGAAAGGGAAACAGGCAGGAGUUCUGCCGUUCCAUAUAGUAACAAAGAAGAGAAGCAUAGUUUGACCAAACAAAGAUGGACCAAGGCCCAAAAUAACAAGACAGGAAAGAAACCAAAAAAAUGCUGAAGGUCAGCUCAUCUGAGAAAGGACGCUAGGCAUCAACUCCCUGAAGCAUCUGGCGCCCGCCAAGCACCACUACUAGACCAGAUGGGAAGAAGAUUCAUAUGACUGGCACUAAUAAUUCUAGAACGGAAAGCAGAUGGAAAGAUAAGUGAAGAAAAUCCGACGUCCAGACCACCAGACCAGUGGAAUUUGGUGCGGAGCAAGCCAAUGACAGAAGCAGUAAACGGAGGACAAACCCGUAAUUGCCCAUUGUGGCUGCCUGACCGUUGAAUGCACAGUCUGGCCACGACAAGUCAUCCACAGAAAUUUCUGACACCACUACUUGUCCUUUGAUCGUCUUUCUGGCCCUAUUUUCCCUUUACCGAUUCAACGGUUAGGGUGCGUUUGGAUCUUUAGUCACAUCGAAUAUUCGAAGAUUAAUUAGGAGGACUAAAUAUGAGCUAAUUAUAAAACUAAUUAUACAGAUGGAGGCUAAUUCACGAGACUAAUCUAUUAAGCCUAAUUAAUCCAUCAUUAGCACAUGUUUACUGUAGCAUCACAUUGUCAAAUCAUGAACUAAUUAGACUUAAUAGAUUCGUCUCGCAAAUUAGUCUCCAUCUGUGCAAUUAGUUUUGUAGUGAGUCUAUGUUUAAUACUCCUAAUUUGUAUCUAAACAUUCGAUGUGAUAGGAAUUUUAGGAGGUGUUAAAGAACAAACACCCCCUUAGAGUGAAGACAUACUGCAAGUCCCGUUCGUAAUGAUCACUGGCCAGAAUUAACUGACAAAUAGAAUAAUAUGACUGAAACUGGACGGCGGUGGAGACAUCAGAGGCCGUUCAAAGAUGAAUCUAGAAAACUCAAGCCAGACAAACAACGGCUUCAAGCCUUCAACACGAGAAGGCGACACAGCACUGUACUUCCAACGAAAAACAACAACAAAUACGCAUGAAGUCAGAUUAAUGCUACGACUAACAUGAGUAGGUGCGGCGCAUAUAAACAGCCAGUGUGUUUGUGGGUUCAUAACAAGUUCUUUCCCACCUAAAAAACCAAAGCCUCUCUUCCUUGAAUUUUGUGAAUGGCGACCUCUCUUCCUUCAUGCGCCCUAUACUUACUUCUGCUGCUUUCUCUCCAACAUCCAUCUCAAGCCUCUGAUACCCUCACCGCAAACCAGAAGCUCUCCGGGAACCAGAAGCUGAUAUCUCAGGACGGCAACUUUGCACUAGGAUUCUUUCAGCCUGCAGGUGAGCUCUUUUACCAAUCACAAAUCUGUUGUGAUAUAUAGCUAUGCAAAUGAACAAGAUCCAAAACUGUAGGGAGCAAAAAAUCCAAAAGGUUAUCAGUGGAGAGAGCUGUGAAAGUGACACACACACACACACACACACACUGUACUAUAGAAUCUCACUUCGGACCAAUGUUAUCAGAAUCUUUGAUUGGAGUCGAAUAAGCUGAACAAAUCAUGAUCCUAGAUUGAGAAGAGCAAUCCCAUACUAGGUAGAAUCUUAACAAAAAAUAUGAUCCAAGACAAAAUGAGUACGAUUUUAAUCAUAAUUUAUAUUUGAUUCUACAAUAUUCUUGUUAAAACUACAACGAACAGAUCUACUGCAUUUGCACUAUAUUAUUGAAAAAAAGAUUAAAAGUAUGACUUAAAACAUGAAAAAAAGCACUAUAUUAUUGAAAAAAAGAUUAAAAGUAUGACUCAAAACAUGAAAAUAUAAUGCACACAGAAGUAUGCAUUAUUCAGCCAAUAUUCAUUUAACCAUUUGCGCAGCCAUCAUAUCAAUGAGUGCAACUAUAACUCUAAAAGGGUGCCAUUAUGAGUAGAUAAAUACUAACACCACCACUAAGAGAUCACCCUACAAUGAGAUCCUAAUGGUCCGAUGAUUUCAAGGUCACAAGUUUGAAUACAUUGUUUCCAAAUCUAUCAGUAUUGGAAAUAUCAACAAAACUUUUCAUGAUGAUUUCAGAAUUAGUAGAAUACAUGCGGCAUCGUCAGUUUUGUUAUCUGACCUUAAUUUUUCUUUCCUAGCUCUUGUAGGAGGAUCAAAUGACAAGUGGUACAUAGGCAUUUGGUACAACAAAAUUCCAACUCAAACUAUAGUGUGGGUGGCUAACAGAGGGAAACCAGUCUAUGAUCCAGUCUUGUCAAACCUAAUCAUCUCAGAUGAUGGAAAUCUUGCUCUUUUAGCUAACCAUUCUAAAUCUCCAAUGUGGUCUACCAAUAUUAGGAACCACAUAGCUACCAGUUCCACAAUGGCUGUGCUAAACAACUCUGGGAAUCUUGUAGUCAAACAUGAUUCCAAUAACUCAACUGUGCUGUGGCAAAGUUUCGAUGAUUUCACAGACACAUGGCUCCCAGGAAACAAGCUCAGCCGCAACAAGAAAACUGGUGUGAUAAAACGACUGGUCUCCUGGAAAGACCGUGGUGACCCAGCACUGGGACUGUUCUCCAUUCAGUUGGAUUCUAAUGGCUCACCCCAAUACAUUCUCCAAUGGAAUAACUCAAUAGUGUACUGGGAAAGUGGCAAUUGGAGUGGCAACGCAUACACUGGUGUGCCGGAAUUGUCACCUUCCAAUUCAUAUCCGAACUCAGGAUAUACAUUCCAGUUUGUUGACAAUGAUGUGGAGACAUACUUCACAUACACUGUUAAGAAUGAUGCACAAACAUUCACUAGGGGUAUUGUCGAUGUGUCAGGUUUGUUCCAAACUCUUGUAUGGACAAAUGUAACACAGGCAUGGACUCCUUUUUUCACGCAACCAAAAGCUAAGUGCAUCGUCUAUGGAGUGUGUGGGGAAAACAGCAAGUGUAGUGAGAAUGCUGCAUCAUCAUGCAGCUGCCUCAAGGGCUUCACUGAAAAGUACCCAGAAAAUUGGAAACUGGGUGAUCAUACAGCAGGCUGUAGGAGAAACGUCCCACUGAAAUGUGGGAACAAUGGCUCAAUGAAGACGAAGCAAGAUAGAUUCUAUGUGAUCAAUAGUGUGAAGUUGCCAGAUGAUGCACGCAGCAUAGAUGCAGCUGACGUUCGUGCCUGUGAGCUAACUUGCUUGAACAAUUGCUCAUGCAUUGCUUACUCUUACGAUGGUAGUUGUUGGGUUUGGUACAAUCAUUUGAUGAAUCUGCAAGAUAAUAUUGGUGGGUCGAUGUAUAGUAUCUCUAUUAGAUUAGGUGCAUCAGAACUACCCAACUCGGGAACUAAGAAAUGGCGGACCACUGCGAUCAUCAUUAGUGGGCUUAUUGUUCUAAGUUUUGGAGUGACCAUAUUAUAUUUUUCUCAUAAAAGACGAAGACCCAUAAGUGGUAUAAAUCAUGGUGAUGGGUCUUUGAUCAGUUUCAAAUACAGGGAUUUGCAAUUCAUCACAAGAAACUUCUCAGAGAGAUUGGGUGCAGGGUCUUUCGGAUCUGUGUUCAAAGGGGUUCUACCAAAUGCAACUAUAGUAGCGGUAAAAAAGCUAGAGGGCUUUCAUCAGGGGGACAAGCAAUUCAGGGCAGAGGUGAGCACCAUAGGAAAUAUUCAUCACAUGAACUUAAUUCGACUGCUUGGAUUUUGUUCUAAAGGACCAAUGAGAUUGCUUGUCUAUGAGUAUAUGCCCAGUGGUUCACUUGAUAAACACUUGUUUGGUAGUAGCUCUACCACUUUGAGUUGGAAAAUAAGAUAUCAAAUUGCUGCAGGGAUUGCCAAGGGUUUGGCUUAUCUGCAUGAGGAAUGUCGGGAUUGCAUCAUACACUGUGAUAUCAAGCCAGAAAAUAUAUUGUUGGAUGAUUCAUUUGUUCCAAAAGUGGCAGACUUUGGGUUGGCAAAAUUACUAGGUCGGAAUUUUAGCAGAGUUUUGACGUCUAUGAGAGGCACAGUAGGAUAUCUUGCACCAGAAUGGAUAAGUGGUGAAGCCAUCACGACAAAGGCAGAUGUCUUCAGCUACGGAAUGAUGCUUUUUGAGAUCAUAUCAGGAAAGAGGAAUCUGGAGCACACGGAGACAAGCAUGGGAACAUUUUUUCCUGUGUUGGUUGCGAAGAAGCUUCUUGAAGGACAAGUACAGACAUUGUUUGGUUCUGAGAUUUUCAAUGCUGUGGGCGUAGAGCUAGAAAGGGCAUGCAAGGUUGCUUGCUGGUGUGUUCAAGACAGUGAAAGUUCCAGACCAACAAUGGGGGAAGUUGUCAAAAUUCUGGAAGGUUUGUUAGAUGUUGAAAUGCCACCGGUCCCAAGGUAUCUUGAAGUUCUUGCUGAAGGUUCAAAGAAUGUGAAAUUCUUUUCCGAUGAACCAGCUAAGUGAAUAGGUCACAAAAAGUAUCUCUUCUAUAAACAUAUUAAUAUGUUCCAUAGUGUAAGUAACUAUGAUGGCUCAGGUGUAAAGCCCCUUACGAUGAGUUGGGAAAUAAAAUAAAAUCAAAGGUUGGCACAUUUGUGUUCUACUUUUGCCACUCACAUUUGUAAUUGGUUCCGACUCCUUUAUUUGAAUCGCAUGUAAUCUGACAAGACACCCUAGAUACUUGUGUUGACGCGAAAAUGUGCCAAUUUUGGUUGCCAACAACUUGGUUGGAUGCUGCCUCUUUGGACUGGCGUGUUUUCUGAGGCCCAGCAGUAUGCAGCAGAGGGAGAGAGAAGCUGACCCAUGUACCUUUUAAAUAUAUUGUUUGUAGUUGGUUAUCACGUUAGUCUCACACACUUAAGGUCCCAGUUCGAACUUGGGCUCAGACAAUUUUCUUUUGGGUAUUUUUUUUCCGAAGUGCUACUCGUCUUCCCCUUCUGUUUGCAGCAAAUUGGUUUUCUUCCUACUUUUAAAUCUCAUUGUUAAUUCUAGAUUAAAAUGCAGCAUGUGUUUUACAUCUGUUUCUGGGCUCUUUCUUUUCGCUGAAGUUGCACGCCUUGGUCAAACAAUGGAGCUGCAAGAGCAUGCUGCCUUGAUUGCUGCAUUCUUUCCUCCUCCUUAAUAGCACAAGCGCACAAGAUCAUGCAUGCUACUAAAAUAUUUGCAGUUAAAUGCAUCAAUAAUCUCAGAAUUCAGUCCUCCGUUGAAGUACGCCAUUGCUUUAAAUUCACUGCACACCUUACUGCUAAACUUAGCUCAAAAUAGUAGCUUUGGACAGAUUUGCUCCCUUGCUUAAUGUUCUCCAAAUGAUACAAUAGCUUUUUCUCAAAAUAUGGUGGAACAAACUCAGAUCGCAUACGCAUCUUUAAUUUUUCCCAAGAUGUAACAAAAUUUCUAACAAAGAGAUGUUUCUAACAAAGAGAUGCUGCCACCAACUACAAAUAUAGUCAUGAAACUCCAUAGUAGCUCGCUUUACUUCUAAACCUUUUGGAAAUCUUCUCUAAUGAUAACAAUUCCUCCAUUUGCUCCUCCCACAAAAUAUACUCCUCCGGAUCAGUGCUCCCGAGAAUGGAAGUUCCACAAAAUUUUGACCUGCCAUGGUUAGUUUUAGAAAUAAUUUCCUACACUAACAUGUGUAUAUAUGGGGAAAAUAUGAACCCUCUCAACCUCACACUUCUUACUAAUAGAUGCUCUUACCCUUCCUCUGAGAUGAGGGACUGAUUACACUAUGAUAGAAGUGAACAACUCAACUGUGAUGGUCAAGUGAAUUCAAAAUUCAGGAGUAAUUGCACGAGUAGUAAAUUUGUGGAACUUGGAAGGCUGUGUUUAUCCUAGCAAAUCUGAAUUCUUGAUAUUGUCUCAUUAAGUAGUAAUCCAAGCUAGAACACGAUGCCUAGUUGCUGAUCAAAGAUGUAAGUGGAAAAUAAGUAACUUGCACGCAAGAUAAAUGGAUCUUGAUGCUACGUAUAUGGACCUAGCUAGCUAGCUUGAUGAUUAUUAUUAAUAAGGAUAUAUACCUUAACCAGCCCUGCCAGGCAAUGCACGUCGACGCCGUCCGGAACGACGCCGGAGUUGUUGAGCUGGUCCCUCGCGCGCUGCUCCUGGGCUCCGUCGGCGGUGAUCCUGAAGAUGCCCUCCGCGGCGAGGCCGCCCUCUGGUCGUAGAGGCGGCGCUGCAGGUGGAGGAGGAUGGUGAGGACGCUGUUCCCCCUGCCGUCGUAGGAGCACUGCAUCGACUCCGUCGACACGCCGAGCACCGUCGUGCUCGCGCUCGGCGGUCGCCCCUCCACCUCGCGCUGCAGCUCCUCCGGCACGCCGCGGAACCCGUGUAAUCGGUCGAACGUCACGUGCGCUACGUGACGGACGUCCGUUGGCCACCCGAUCUCCAUCGCCUGCUGCUGUUGGUUCUGCUCGCCGGCGGCGAGGCCCCCCUCGUCGUCGUCAACGCCGCCGCCCUGCGUCGAUAGCGCGCGAGUCCACCACGACGCACGAAAGAGACCGAUCGAUGGGAGCAAGCAGUUGGUUGAGACUUGAUGGAGACCGAGUCGCAGCAGGAAGCUAGGUAAGUUGUUGGUGGGGAUCCAUGCUUCUCUGCUGCUGCAUCAUACACGGUGAGAGAGACAGUUGCAGCGACGUGGGCGGCACCACUACGCCAACAUAGGAGUAUACUACAGUACAUCAUGCGGUGCCUUCUCUUCUAAUACAAGAUCUUUAAUUCGUUCGUCGUCUCGAUCCGGUCUAUCUGUUGGAACUCUAGCCCGAGGAUCGCUCUCUCUCUCGCCGAACAAAGGUAGAAGACGAUGAACAGUAGAUGUAAUUUUUGGCGACGAACCCCGCGGCCGCCCGCACGGCCUGUAUCUUAGCUGUUCUAUUCACCUCAAAGGCUUGGAACACAGAACACAACGAUUACAUCCGGCUUUAUAGCCUCACGCGCACAGGAGCUGUGCACCACCGAUCUCUCAAGAUUUUGACCUUUGAAAUAUGCUUCACGCACACAGGAAACCCCCAUGAUAGCAACUAUAUCAAACGUAUUAAUCUCUCAAGAUUUUGACCUUUGAAAUAUGCUUCCUUUUCACCAUGCAUGGUGUUCAUGUUUAUCUCUUGCCCUCUUGUAUAUUAGCUUUCUUACUUGUUUAUUGGCCCUGAAAAAUCGCCACAUCAUAUACCAAAUACUGAAGAUUUCAAUGACCCUCCUGGAAAAAUCCCAACAGUUUUUCCUCGAGACCUUUACCAAGGAGGGUGUAAAGCAUUCAAUUGAUUAUAUAGUAUCAUAAGAAAAUAACUCUCAUCACCUGUCGAAAACAAAGAACAACAUGAAAGAAAGUUGCCUUUGCUUUGACCUGGAGUCUUCCUCGACUGGUGAGUGGUGAGGCAAGGAAAUCUCUUCUCAGAGUUCGUAUAAUACUCAGCUCUCCCAUUCCCACGUGCAAGAAAACCUUCAGCACACAUGGUUGAAGGACCCGUUUUUCAGUGCCAUGCUUCUUGGCAAACUUCCUAGUGAUGAUCUGGAUGGGUCCGAUCCAUCGUACAAUCUCUUUUUCAUGCUGAAAGUUCUUGAAGGGCUGAACCGUUUUUCGUAUCAACUGUUGAUGGAUGAACUGAUAAACAAAUUUGCUGAAGGAACUCUACAAGAUAUUGAUGAUCUUAAAGUGGCAAUUUAUAAAUUCAAGCUUCUUGGGCAUGUUGUUGUGAGAGCAGUCCUGGACAUUCCACUUUCUAACGCAUAUUACAAGAUCGUGCUUGAGCAGGUAAUUCUUUAAGCAAUCACCCAUGACCCUUCCCUCUUCUACGAGACUACGACCCUCAUUUUCCAUCUCCAUUGUUCUGAUCACGGUGCUAUUUGUUUUAGGAGCUCGAUAUGAACUUUAAUAGAGUUUGAUCAACAGGAAGACUUUAAUAGAAUUUGAUCCUGAGCUGGGCAAGACUUUAAUAUAGUUUAUUUCAAGCACUUGUCAACAGGAAGAAAUGUAUGGAAACAUCGUCAAGAACAUCUAGCCCUACUGCUGUUGUCCUACAAAGACAUGAAACUGGAGGAUUUGUGCCUUACUUCACUCUUCCUGGAAGUCCUGAAUAUGAACUUGUUCCUGGAGGUUCACACUUGACAGUUUAGAGGAAUAUGUAUCUUUGGUUGUCGAUGCAACACUGAAAAGUGGGAUUGACAAGCAGAUAGAGGCUUUCAAAUCUGGAAUUAACGAGGUAUGUUUCCCAUGGAAUAGAGAUAAAUGAACUCCUCUCUCCUUCAGUAGACAACAAGUACUGAUUUAGGUCUACCACUUGCAGGUUUUUGCCCUUAAAACCCUCAAAAUGUUUACUGAGGAGGACAUGGAACGCAUACUAUGUGGUGAACAGGAUGCUUGGGCUGUACGUGUCUUUCUGCACUCCUUUAAGUUGUGUGCAAAAAGCUCAGAGUAUUCUAAUUUUGUUUUUUUCCAUACAGUUAAAGAACCUUGAGGAUCACAUGGAGUUUGAGCAUGGUUAUGACAUGAGCAGUCCAUCUAUUACUACUGUAAGUACAACAGGUAUGCCAAUGCGUAUCAAACUUUAUAUUUCUUGAACUCUUAACCAAUUAAUUAAGAGUUCAACCAAUUAAUUAAGGACUCAACUGUAAAACUAGGGACAAAAACAAAAUGCAUUUUAAUCAACUGUGACAACUGACAAGUAUCAAUGCAUGGAAACUGGCUAAUAUAAUAAUUAACAGUUAAGAAACAUGGUGGAAAAAUUUCACAUACUGAGGUGCAGUUGUGUGCAGAAGGUUGUCAUGGAUUUCUACAGCUCUUGAUGCAAAAGCAUCGAGAACACAUUGUACAUGACAUUUGAAGUCUGCAAACCCUCCUUUGGAAUCCUCCAGCUCUUUGUUUCGUCAUGAAAGAGCUUAAACACUGACACAAAACUAGGAAGUUAUGGGAUUAAAAUGGAUGAAAGGCAAUUCCUUAUGUACAUGAAAAUGUUGUUUUUAAUAUUUGAAAACCCAAGAUAUUAAGUUUAGAAUUUUUCUGAAUUGGAAUUGAUGUGAUGAAGAAAUUUAGUUGUAUAGUUGACCUUAGUAUUUUUGGAAUUUUUAUGAAAAAGGAAAGGGCUACAAAUAGGAUUUUUGUCUAUAUGUUCUGGUGACGUGUGGAACCAGAACGGUGGGGUCGGGUGCUGCCACUGAGCUGUGGGCCACGGCUUGGUUCUGCCUCCAUGUCUGUGGCUCAUGUGCACUAGGUGCACGGAGGCGGGCGGCGUGGGUUGGCCCGCUGACUGGUGGGCUCCGAUGGCGGUGAGCGGGGUUGGACGUGGACCAUGGACCAGGGGUCUUUUGUAUCAUUGGUCCAAUGCACUAGGUGUAGGGAGAUGAAGGCGUGGUUGCGGCGGCCAGUGCGGCUGGCAGACGACGCCUGCGCAACCGAUGCGCCGGCUCCCCCCCUCCUUAACGCCGUUGAGGACUCCAUAAGACCAUAAUGUCCUCCCAAUCUCUUUCCCUCUCCCGCUCGGUCGCUCCGCUCAAUCGGAGAUGGCCGACGAAUUCAUCGAAGCCACUUCCCGCGCGAUCUCCAUUUUGGGGGAGGGGGGCUCUGAGAAGCAGAGCCGCCGAGCUCGUGAGGCUCGCCCUCGAGCACGUCGGCGUCGACGGUGUGCGCGACAACAACCUGACGGCAGCCGUGGAAGCGUUGUCCUAGGCGGACAGCGCGAGAAGAUUGCAGGCCGUCCUUGACCUCCUCAAUACGGCCACCGCGCUGGAGGGCACGCUUGGGGUCAAGCUGGAUGCCCUUCGAGGUGUCGCGUCGGACUUGGCAAGCGCGUGCCGCGAGCAUCUGAAGACCGUAGAGGACACCGGACAGGGCGGCGCGCCGCGGCGGAGCUGGGGGAGCAGGGGGAGGAGCGGGUUGCGGGACCAUGGUGGUGGUCGCUGCUCCGGGGGAGGGGGAGGGUCCAGCGCCACCGCGGGAACAGCUUGGAGACCCGCCUUUUCGCCGAUGAGGAUCCGCCUCCGCCCCCUCAGGUCAGGCAACAACAAAUCGGGAUGAAUUUUUUUGGGGGUUCAUGCCCUUCGCUGGGGAUUGCGGGUUUACGCCCAUUCAAUUCGGAAGUGUUUACAGGCAACAGGGGCGAAGGAUCGUCCGGAGAUCUCCGUCGAGUUGCUACUGGAGGAAUCGAGGAAGCACGUGCGCUACGAGAUCUUACCGCGAGCCCGCAUUGUCUAGAAGCUCGCCAACGAUGUCGGCGUGCCCCAUUGCCACCUGGACCGGGCCAUGCACGCAUUGAUGGGGCCAGGCAACGCAAGCGCGGACGUCGCCGAGCUCGGCACCGCGGCGACGGAACUGGAGCGAGAGGCCACCUCACGGCUCCGCGCUCCAGUGGCGGAGCUCGCGAAAGCGUGCCUGAGGCACCAGCAAGCAGCAGAGGCCAAGGAGGCGAUGCAGCGCGCCGCUGAGGAGAGGGCACAACAGAGAGGGAAUGCUGCUGGCGGCGUACAGAAUGAGCCACCACCUGGUCCUGCUUAGGCGUUGUUAUUGGCCAUGGAUUGAUGGCAACGCAAAUACCCAAAUUCGACCACAACACGUAUUAUAUUAAUCUAAUCAAAUGGGUUUGACUUUAAUAAUUUCUUAAUUAGGGUAGAUUGGGAUUAUGCUAUUUGAUGACAUGGGAAUUAGUUAUUGUGCAGAUGGAUGGCACAUAGACCCAAAUUUGAUUGCAGCACAUGUACUAGUCUAAUUGUUGUCUGAUUGUUCACUGGCAUUUUGCGUACCAAUUGCAUUGUUCUAGUCGAAUUGCUGUCUGACUGUUUACUGGCACUUUGCGUACUAGUUGAAUUGUUGUAUAAUCAUUUACUGUCGUUUCGCAUACCCGAUUGCAUUGAACUAGUGGAAUCGCUGUCUGAUUAUCCAACGGCAUUUUGGGUACCAAUUGCUCUUUCUCAUUAUUCUUAUUCCUGCAGGGAAACCAGUGGGAGGCAAGCAUGCAGGGAUAUGCUCUGAGUGGUUGGUUUAGUCUGGUGCCCUACUUGGCAGCCAGCACUGGUAAUGUGCCAAGGGCUCUCAGCGACGAAGAUAGAUGGGAAAUUAAUCUAGUACUCUCCUCGUGUUUUACUAUUGUGGUCAUUGGUGUUCUGUUGACUUCGACUGCAAGAUCUUGGGUUGAGCGCUUGCUUGUGAUGAUAUCAUCUCGAGUUGGAAUGUUUGGUACGUUUUUACCUCUAUUGCUAUAUAUCUGUCAUAUUUUGCUCAUCGAGCAGUUCUAGGUCUCAGCUGCUUCUCCACAUCCAUUGUAGGUAUCAACAUCUUUGCCAUAAGACCAUAACAUUCUCCCCCCUCCUUAAUGUCGUCGAGGACUCCAUAAGACCAUAACGUUCUCCCAAUCUCUUUCCCUCUCCCGCUCGGCCGCUUCGCUCAAUCGGAGAUGGCCGACAAAUUCAUCGAAGCCGCUUCCCGCACGAUCUCCAUUUUAGGGGAGUGGGCUCUGAGAAGCAGAGCCACCGAGCUCGUGAGGCUUGCCCUCGAGCACGUCGGCGUCGACGGUGUGCGCGACAACAACCUGACGGCAGCCGUGGAAGCGUUGUCCUAGACGGACAGCGUGAGAAGAUCGCAGGCCGUCCUUGACCUCCUCACUUUCGUGUGGCAGAUCCUACCAACAAAUGAAGCUGACUUCCAGGUGGCAGAGCCAACCUACGAUGAAGUCCAGACCCUUAUGAUCCCGGGUGACAGAGUCAACCUUCGAUGGAUCAUAACUUAUGCACUAAGUACUUAGAAACUAUAUGACCCAACCGGGAGACUAAUACUUGUAAGAAACAGAACUUUAUUACAACAUAACAAUAUUACACAAAAGUGUACAGCACCCUCUCUUUAGUGGCUAGCCUGGCACUCACCCUUUAUUUCUACCAUACUCCACUCAUCUACCAUGCUCAUGGUUGAAUGGCAUGGCAAGGAAAUGGGACCUCUAUUUAUAGGCCAAGGGAGUUUAUAGGAUGAUGACAUGUGUCCCCUUCUAGAGUUUUCACUAAACAAAUAUCUAUGUUCUACAUUAUUCUAAUUUCUUCAUGGCAACAACAUCUAGUGUCUUCAUAGAAAAUAUCAUGGAUCAUGAGUUGUGGAAAAGAUUCUAGAAGCUUGUAUUUGCUUUUCUUCAAUACUGAGGAGGAAACGGAACGCAUACUAUGUGGUGAAAAGGAUGCUUGGGCUGUACGUGUCUUUCAGCACUCCUUUAAGUUGUGUGCAAAAAGCUCAGAGUAUUCUAAUUUUGUUUUUUUUCCAUGCAGUUAAAGAACCUUGAGGGUCACAUGGAGUUUGAGCAUGGUUAUGACAUGAGCAGUCCAUCUAUUACUACUGUAAGUAAAGUACAACAGGUAUGCCAAUGGGUAUCAAACUUUAUAUUUCUUGAACUCUUAACCAAUUAAUUAAGGACUCAACUGUAAAACUAGGGACAAAAAUAAAAUGCAUUUUAAUUAACUGUGACAAUUGACAAGUAUCAAUGCAUGGAAACUGGCUAAUAUAAUAAUUAACAGUUAAGAAACAUAAUGGAAAAUUUCACAGACUGAGGUGCAGUUGUGUGCAGAUGGUUGUCAUGGAUUUCUACAGCUCUUGAUGCAAAAGCAUCGAGAGCACAUUGUACAUGACAUUUGAAGUCUGCAAACCCUCCUUUGGAAUCCUUCAACUCUUUGUUUCGUCAUGAAAGAGCUUAAACACUGACAAAAAACUAGGAACUUUCACAGUAUGGAUUACAGAAAUGCCUUCUGCUGGGUUGUACCUAUCAAUGAUCUCUACCUGUUCAUACUUGUACAUUGAUCAUCAGGUGUAAAUUCAUCGCAGUCAGGGCACCACCGCACCAGUUCUAGUACAGAAAUGCCACCUGAAACUUUCUCACACUUGACCCUAUGUGAGAAAACUCUCCACAGGUGUCGAAGUACCCAUAUGAGAUCCAAAUUUAUCGCAGUCAUUUGCUUUGAGGUAGGCAGUCUAGCUUUAAAACAGCGAACGGAGAGAACUUUACUAAUCAAAGAUAGUAGCGAGGCAUACCAUCUGCUUCAUCAUAUAUGACUCAUACUUGAUCACUUUGAAAAUAACUAAGCAUGAUCAGCGAAAUUGAAGAAAUCUGCAUGCAUUCCACCAGAGCCUUUUAUCAGGACAUGAUUCUUGGUUCAAUCAGCCAUAUUUUUCAGCCACAUGGUGCUCCGUUGCUGCAUUAGCACCAGUUGCGCCAUCUCCUAACUCCUAAUUCUUUGUCGUGUGCCUUGCAGUUUCUCCUUGUAUAUACUACGAAAACUUCAUGUCUUCACGUGACCUCCCAUCGCGACUUCAGCUAUUCUUUUAAACAAACCUGUUUACAGUUCAUCUCCCCCUGAUUUUCUUCUGAAUCAACUCUUUUGCUAACCCACUCCACGACAUCAUCUUAAAUCUGAGCCCUUAAACAUUAGGAGAUAAAACAAUUAACUAUAAAGGAAAGGAAAACAGUAGGUGAUUAUCUCGAUUUGCGUGUACACAUGCAGUUUGUUUUUUUAAUUGCAACUAACGGCAAGAUCUACGUAUGGCAAAUUGCCAAUUCUUUUUUUCAUCUGCCGGCAUAAAUACAAAAUACAAGAGCCCAACGUAAUCUAGAAAAAUAUCUCCUAACUAGAGUCUAGAGAUUACAUAUUUUCAUGCCACAUAUUCCACAGCUAAAGGAGAAGGAAGGGGAUUGGUUGGCUAUGUGUAUCAAGCGCGAUGUGCAGACUUUUUUUUUUUUGAAUGAAACGAUACGUGGACUUGACGUAGAGGACGAGAAGCAGAGGAAUGGUGCCGGACGUGCUACAACCGAAGUUCAAGAAAAAACCAAGUAUGCUAACAGCUGUCACGUUCUUUUUACCUAUCCAUGUCCAUGUCACGUUCUUCUUUCUCCGUUUUUUUUUUUUUUUUGAAACGCGAUAGCUGGCCGGCCAUAAUCAAAGUUAGCCUCGAUGGUAUUAUUUGUCGCAUCAUUGUACUGCUUAUCCUACUUUAUCAAGUUUGAAUGCUGGCAGUACCAUGAAUUGCGUCAGGUGAAGGUUGGAUCAGAUACUGUGGCUAAAUAGUUCAUCUUUUUGGCUGAUGAAUGUCGCUGCCUCUCAGCUUCUACACCUUUAAUACGAAAACUUAACAAACAAGGCUCUCUGGAGUCUGCAACAUCAGAGAAUUUGAUUUCAAUUAUCUUCAAUGUAUAAAGAUGAGAAACUUGCAAAGAUGGAUGAAUUAUCGUUACUAAUACGGCUUGGUUUUUGCUGAUCUGCAGUAACACAAGGAUAAUACAGUUUUAAACAUCAGAUAUACAGUUAAUACAACUAAACAAAUGAACGCCUAUAGUAUUGGCAAAUCCCUAUUUUAGAGUGAAAUCAUGGUGUCUUUGUAUCCUAUGCUAUAUAAAAGCACCGUUGGAAAUCUCUUUUUUUUUUACACAUUCUACAUUAUUACUUCAAAACAAUUUGAAAUCUAUAGCUUAUAUUUUUGUAGUUACCAUCUAUCAUCCGCACAUGAUAGUGUCCUAGAAUGAAAUUGCUUCAAACUCUGGGACAGCUGCAAGCAUGCUGCUGCAAGUUCGACUCUGUGCAUUUGAUCGAGUAAGCUGUGCCAAGAAUAUGGUUUUGAAUUUUGAUGGGAUGAGUUUUUCAAAAAUAUUUUAUGGGAGGGGGGUCAAAAGCAUGCAAAAAGGAUGUGCUGCCGGAUUCCCCUCGUGAUUUCUUCGGCGUUCACGACCUUCCCGGUCCGAACGUUGACGGACGGGUGAAAGUCCGGCCUCUUGGACACCCGCAGAAACCACCGACGACCCCAGGCUUCACAAGUCACAACUGACCCGUGCAAGAACCUACCAGAACUCAGCUCAACCAGCACCCCGAACUCAAUGUCGCCUCUGAGUUUGGCCUCGCCUGCCGUCGACCAUCUCCAUCAGAUAGCGCAACCCCACUCCCCGUUCCACGCCAACCCGGAGCGCACAGCGGUUCACGCCCUCGCUCCCAAGCAUUUCCGCGAACUGCGUCACCGAAGACGUUGUACCUGACAUACACGUGCACCAGCGACGACGUGACGGCGACAGAGCCGGCAUUGCUGACGAGGAUACCGUACUUGCGUAGUACGCGUCCACGGAGGCGUCAACGACGAGCGCAGUGGCUGCCGUGAGCGACGCCGAGAAGCGAGAGGGCCGAGGGCCCGAGGCGACCAUGCAGCGCUGGGUGGCGAGCGCGGUCGCAAGGUUGGAGGUGCAGACGAGGCACAGAGGAAGGCGUAGGGGGCAGUGGAAAUCCGACCAGGCUAGCGCCGCGAGCGCAAGGUGCCCGGCAGAGGAGUAAGCAGAGACGAGCUCAGGCCCUGGCAGGGACGACCGAAACGAGAGGAAGCGGGAGAGGAUGGCGAGAGGAGCGGUCCCAGGCGAUGGUGCUCGAGCCGCUGCCCGGCGAGCUCUCCGCAGACGCCGCCGUGCUUGCAACCUGGUGGCGGCUCGCACGGCGCGUGGAGCCUUUUGCCAAUUCGAGCGUCCCGUUGAGCGCUCGCCGAACUUCUCUGUCCGCCGCUGCAAAAAUUCGAGCGUCACGGUUGAUUCCCCCUCCCCUUCUCCCGUUCUUCCCCAUUCCCCCUCGUGGAGCGCCUCCUGUAGGCUGCAGCUCGUCCGCCAUGGCGCCACGUCCAGACCAAAGACCUUACAUUGACAUCCAAUCGUAACGGAGCAGGAUCGUAGCGCAGUCGGAUGAGCUCCCUUGACGCUCAAUCGGUGACGAAGACGACGGCAUUGAGGUCCAGCAGAAAGGAGCCCCGGUGGUGGAGCCCGACGUGGUUGUCAGCCUCCGCGAGUUCACGCUAUCGGACGCGGGCACUGAAGUGCUCAUGCCGUGGACGUCGGGCCUGCGCGUGGUCCGCUUCCAGCGCCGCGAAGCCUACGAGCAUGUGGACCAUGCCCGCUGCUGCAUCACCGACUAUGCCCCACCGCACCCGUGGUACCGCCCCAUCUGCGCCGGUGCCGGCGUCAUGGAGGUGGGGUCCGUCUCCGUGAAGCCGGCGCCGGCGUCGCGCGGUGCGGGCGGCGGCCUAGGCCAUGUACACAGCGUGAUCGUAGCUGCUGCGGCUGGAGGCCGUGGCCGAUGUGGAGAACCGCAGUUUGCCGUGCUAGAGAAGACCGGCUUCGUCAAGGACAGCAUGCUGCGGAAGUUCAUUGAUCAUGCUCAAAGGAAAGUUGGGGACACGCACAGCUAUGCAAGAGAGAUAAGGGGCAUGAUAGACAUCUCAUGUGGCUUGAUAUGAGAAAAGAAACUAAAAUGAACUUUAAAGAUCAAAAUGGAAAGAAAAUCAAAGUUGCAGCGUUAUUUCUGGCAAAUUGGCGAAUCGAAUUUUUGGCAUAGCAAAUUUUUGGCAUAGCAAAGUGGCGAAGCCACAUCUUUGAAAUGGUAAAUGGGCAAAAAGCUCGUCAGCAUCGUGGCACGCGAGACCAGCCGAUGACUCGCGAGACAAGCGCUAGGCCGAGGCUGCGGCGUGGCUCCCCAGCGACCGAAGCAGGGUGAGGCAGGAGGCGCGAGAAGCAGGGAGGCGGGGCGACGCAGAAUGACGAGGAAAGGUUCCGAUUAAUCUAGAAACCUGCAAGCAAAGUAGCUAAUACCGACGGUGGAAGAUCCAACGGACGAAAUCAUGGAAUGACGUGGCCCAAUCACAGUUGAGAAAGUUCACCAGAUUUAGGUUUUUACAGAUUGUUAAUUCUAGAUUAAAAUGCAGCAUGUGUUUUGCGUUCCAUUUCUGAAGUGCUAUUCCUCCUGUUUGUAUAGCAAACUAGAGACACUAAUGUUUUCUUCCUACUUUUAAAUUGCAUUGUUAAUCCUAGAUUGAAACUCCCUCCGUUCCAAAAUGUAAGUUGUUUUAGGUUUUUAGACAUUUUUCUUUUCUUUUUUUUUCUGAAGUGCUACUCCUCUUCCCUUUUGUUUAUAGCAAACUGGAGGUACUACUGUCUCCCUGUUCCAAAAUGUAAGUCGUUUUGGAUUUUCUAGAUGCAUAGAUUUUGAUAUGCAUAUAAAUAUAUAGUUAUGCCUAUAUACAUAGCAAAAUCUAUGCGCCUAGAAAAGCCAAAAUGAACUACUCCCUAGUCCCUCCAUUUCAAAUUGUAGGUCGUUUUUGCUUUUCUAGUUUCAUAGAUAUUAUUAUGCAUAUGCAUUUUGAAAUGGAGGGAGUACAUUUUGAAAUGGAGGGAGUAGCAUAAUUUUUGUGUUCCAUUUCUGAAGUGUUAUUCCUCUUCCCCUUCUGAUCGUUGCAAACUAGAGAUAAGAAUGUUCUCUUCCUAUUUUGAAUCACAAUGUUAAUUCUAGAUUGAAAUGUAGGCUAGAAGUUAGUGAGUGUUUCUGUUUUAUCAGAUUUGAGGCACGGCCCUAUUCUUUUUUUAUAUCAAGGGCCGAAUAGAUAAGCAGCUCCAACAGAGAUUUGCAGGGAGAGAUUCACGGCUCUUGUUUCCGUGGAUAAACCAAGGGUUAAUCGUUGAUGCAACCAGUGAAUUUCUUAAUAAUGACAUAGUUAAUCGAGCGAUUUUUGCAUUGGACCUUGGGAUCAUUUUUACAGUGGAAAAAUAACGACGCGAGCGCAACCAGUUCAUUCCUUCAGUUAUCUUCCUUCCGGAAUACAGAGAGGAGCCCCAGCAGUCGGCAGCCGUUCAAAAUUCGAAUUCUCCCCCACUUUCCCGUGCCCGAAUCCCUUCUCCAGUCUCCGCUGCCGCCACUCCCACGCCUCGCCUCGCCUUCCUUGUCGCCCAAAAUCUCCCAAUUCGAUCGGAAGCUGCCGAAUCCUCAACCCCCAUGAAGAUCUCCGAGCUCUCCCCCGAGUACCGGCAGCCGCCGCCGCACGCCGGCCUCCUCACCGACCUCAACAGGGUCGUCGCCGACGUCGAGGCGUUCGACACCUCCGAUCCCUCCUCCCCGGAGAAGCUCGCCGCCGAUCUCCGCCGCCUCCUCACCAAGCUCGCCUCCGCCGCCUCGUCUUCCCCCUCGGGCCUCGACGAGGCGUUCAGGCUCAAGGUGUGGAACCUCGGCUUCCGCCUCUGGAACGCGUGCGUCGACCGCGCCAACCACAGCUUCCCCGCGAGGGUCGCGGAGGCGGAGAUCCGGCAGGCGGCGCCGGAGCUCCUCCUCGUCGCUGGCCUCCCCGAAGACAUCCCCAACGCCCGAGCGAAGGCGGCGUCCUUUUUCCACCGCACCGGGCUGAUCUGGCUUGAACUCGGCCGCGCCGACCUCGCCUCCGCCUGCUUCGAGAAGGCCACGCCGCUGGUCUCCGCCGCCGACACGGAAGGGGAUCGGGCCGUCCUGCUGGACCUCAACCUCGCGCGGGCGCGCGCGGCGUCCAGCGCGGGCGAGCAAGCUCUCGCCGUCGCGCUGCUGAGCCGGUCCAAGCCCCUCGCGGCGGCGUCUCCCGAGGGCGUCAAGGCUCUCGCCGAGGAGUACCUCCGCAUCGGCAAGGUCGCUCUCGCCACGAAACCCCCGGAUCCCGCCCUCGACGCGUCCAACCUCUUAACCGAGGCGCUUGAUCUCUGUGAGAAGGCCGCGGCCUCCCCCUCCCGCGCCACUCCGCCGACCCCGGGAUCCACUCCUGCGACUCCGAAUCUCCAAGUGAUCAAGGAUCAAUGCCUCCGCUUCCUCGCCGUCGAGCGUCUCGAAGCCAACGACUACGAGGGCACCCUGCGCUGUAUCAGGGUCUGGAGAGCCUCGCUGGGGCUGGGGGAGGAGCAUCCCAGCAUUGGGUUCAUGGCACUGCGCGCGUGCCUCGGCAGCGGGAACUUGGCGGAGGCCGAGAUGGAGCUCGAGACGCUCAUGGCGAACGCCGAAGCGCCGGACUGUGUGUGCGUGUCGGCGGCUGAGCUGUACCUUGCCAGCAGGGGGGCCGAUGCUGCGUUUAAGGUGCUCGUUGCGCUUGCCGCACGGUGCCGUGCCGGUGCGGCAGCUGCUGCAGCAGUGAGGGUGUUGAAGAAGGUGGUUGAGAAUGCAGGGGGCGGAACUGGGCGUGCAAGAGCGAUCUCUGAGCUCGUGUCGGAUGAGAGGGUGGUAAAGCUGUUCGAUGGCCCUGCUAACACCCACGAGCGUAGCACAAUGCAUGCACUGCUAUGGACCUGGUUAGCAUUCUCUUACACCACUGAACUUAUAUUCUUUACUUUGAAUGAAAAUGUGUGCACCUGCUGAAGCUUGCAUUUGCAAUUUGGGACAGUGGCACUGAGCAUUUCCACGCAAAGAACUAUGAGAUCAGUGCGGAUUUGAUUGAGAGAUCGAUGCUUUAUGUUUCCCGUGACGAGGAAAGCAGAUCCCGCCGCGCAAGCUGCUUCCGAGUACUUUGCCUUUGCCAUAUGGCACUUCAGCAUCUCGAUCGUGCCCAGGAGUUUAUCAUUGAGGCCGAAAAGGUAUUGAUCGUUCUCCCUGUCUCCUUGUUAAAUGAUCUUGUGUGAUGGUUCUUAUGUUGGCUCCAAAUGUAUAUAUCUGUAGGUUGAACCCAAUAUCCGCUGUGCUUUUCUGAAGGUAAUACUCUCUGUGCAUGCUGUCAGUUUUAGAGGGACCUCAUUUUAGUGUUAGCACUUCUUACUAAUACAGGUAUAUAUUUUUUUUAGUUUAAGAUCCUUCUGCAGAAGAAGGAGGAAGGUGAGGCUAUCAAGCUGCUGAAAACCAUGGUGGGCUAUCUAGACUUCAACCCUGAGUUCCUGACACUCUCAGUUCAUGAAGCUAUUGCCUGCAAGUCUGUCGGUGUGGCUAUUGCUGCAUUGACCUUCCUUCUAGGCCGAUACUCUGCUGGAAAGCCAAUGCCAAUGCCAAUGACAGAGGCUGCUGUCCGCCGGAACCUUAUAGCCCUCUUUCUCCGUGAGCCAGGCUCUGAGGCUGAGAUCCUGAAGUACUCAAGACGUGCCAAGCUACGGAUGGCUGAGCUUGGAAUGGAAGCUAUUUUUGGGAAGGGAACUGUAGGGCUGCGUGAACGGAAUUGGUUUGCAGUCAGUACAUGGAAUAUGGCUGUAAAGAUGGCAAAGGAGAAGAAGCAUGAUUACUGUAGUGAGUUCUUUGAGCUUGCAGCUGAAUUUUUCAGCUCAGGUAAUGGUGAAGAUGAUGCUAACCGUCUCUUGGCUUGCAAAUCAUUGAUCAUGAGUGUCAGUGCCAUGCUCCUUGCUGAGGAGCUAAACAAAUCUCCAUUAUCAGACUCUGACCUUAAAAAGGGCGUUGAGAUGCUCAGCAGAGCUGGCAAGGUAAAAACGAAGCUUGCCAAUUAUCAAGAGUCACUGAUAUCUGUGUGUUCUUACGUGAUUUCAUUUUGUUGGACAUUCUUUUGAUUCAGUUGUACUUAUCUGCAGCUAUUACCCUUGACUUUGCCUUCAGCUCCAGUGACCUCUGAUCAAUUGGAGGAUAACAACUUGCUUUUUCUUCAUACCUUCAACUUCUACCAUCUUCUCAACAGGAUGGACACUAGUGCACACCCUCAGCAGCUCCAAUUAGUCAAGAAUUUUGCAGCAUCUAAAGCAUGUACACCAGGUCAUCUUCUCAGACUUGAAGAAAUAGCUUCUCAAGGUACCCAACCAAACCUACAGGUUGCUGAGUUUCUCCUGAAGGCCAGCAUCACUACUGCCCUUGCUUCUCACUCGCCAAACUAUGGGAUAAUCAGCACUGCCCUCAGAAGGCUAGUAGGCGUUGCUGGUCUCCAAGACUUCAGUGGUAGCAUGAGUGAUGCAGUCUAUGACGUAUUUCGACAAGCUUACCAGAUUGUGGUUGGACUUAGAGAUGGUGAAUAUCCAUUUGAGGAAGGGAAGUGGCUUGCAAUGACUGCAUGGAACAAGUCAAAUUUAGCUUUGCGGCUUGGGCAACGUUCAGUUGCUAGAAAAUGGAUGAAGAUGGGAAUAGAUCUUGCUCGGCAUUUUGAGAGCAUGAAGCAGUACGUAUCAGGAAUGGAUGAAUACUUUGAGCAUUUUCAGAAAGUAUCCGGUAAAGAACCUGAUGAAUGUAGCCAGCAAGAUGGGGCACCAAGUAUUAGCUUGUCUGGUAGCGUGUCUCAACCUGGAUUAGUUUAGAUAUUUGCGAAUGCUGGAAAUUCAUGGCUGGAUAUAAAUAGAGCAUUUGUUUGAAUCAUGCAUACAGCAUACCAAUAUUCUUCAUCUGAUUGAUGUGCACUCACACAUUCUUUCACUUGAUGAUGAAAAUUGUGCAUCUUUUCAAUGAUUUGUAGACAAGUAUGUGGAUUAUUUUCUUGGCAGUAUAAAUGUCCACGAAUUUAAGUACGCUCGUGUGCAAGGAAAAGUCAAAAUUUUGUCUUAUAUUGGUGAUUUCUCUAUAAAGUAUGUUGAUCUUUGUGUUGGCAUAAGGGUCUUCUUCAAUUUUAGCAUGCUCAUGUGCAAAAGAGACGUUGAUUGUGUACAUUAAAAUUUACUUUGAUGGCAAAUUGGUUUUCUUGGACGAGUUUUCUGUUCAAGACAACUAAUCAGUGAACUCUGUCGGAACCUGUUAUCCUUUUGUUACCAUACUAUGUAGACUUCAUAGCCACCAAAUUAUUGUGGAAGAAAAUUGGGAUUGAAGAGGAGCAAGAAAAAGGACACGAAACAUUCUACACAACUAAAUACCACCUAUCUGACGACUGACGGACACUAUGCUGAACAUAUCAACAGGGGUAAAAGUGACUCCUUCCUCUGUGAAUACAUGUUUCCCUUUUGUUAUGGAUAUUCUAUUGCCUUACACAGGGACCAGGUUCUGCUGGUGAUGCACGACCAUAACCAGCUAGUGGUGCAGCAGCUACUCCUCUUUGGUUCAGCAAACACCUGAAGCGUGCCAAUCUUGAUGUGACUAAUCUUGUGUCAUUUGCAAGCUUCUCAGUCGGAGUCCACAGUCUCUCUUCAAGCCAAUGCAAUGUAAGAGGAUUGGUGAGUCAGUAAUUACUCAUACAGAUGGUAGUGCACUAGAUGAGUAUUUGCCAUUAAGUUGCAUGCACAUUUCAUACUAUCAUAGGUUAUGAGGUUGCAUGUAAACUCUCCUCCUGUUAUUCUGAAUCAUUCCCUUAAAUGAUGUUUUGAUAUAUAUUAAAUCUACCGAAAUAAUGUGAGCUGUUAUCUAUCAUUGUUCAACAACCUGUAAAUUUUGUGUGCGUUUGGGAAUUUAUACUGUGCAGUAUGCUCUUCUUUCUUUAAAACAAUGUAGUAGAUCUGAGCAGUGAGCAUAUAUCUGCAACUUUUUUUGCUAGAAAUUUUGCUGACAUAUUGUAUUGUACUACACGGGAACAUGAAUAUCUGCUUGUUUUUCAACAUUCUCAGUUUUUUUUCGCUCAUAUCUCCAUAGAUUAUGGAUGUUGGAUAUAUUUGGAGGAAUUUACCAUUCUAACUAGACCAUGUUGCCGCACAAGUUAAGUGAUUGGAGUGCUUUGUCACAUACUCUAUUUCUCCUAGAUUCAUAAAAAAGAAUAUAGGUGGUCUUGCCUUGAGAAUAAGAUUAGUUUGGGUAAUGAUGCAUGCAUUAAAUUUCAUUUGAAAUAUUUCAAGGCACUAACCAGGAUGAUAAGGUCAUUUUAGUCACUUACCUGCAGCUGCUGCAGCACGUGGCCAAAUUGUUUGUUCAAUGUCUGAUGCAUCAAUUUCCUCACCCCACAUGCAUACCUCACCUCCAAUGACCAAUUGUUGCUGUUUCGUGUCAUCGAUACCUUUCAAGGGUUCGUUCAUGUAAAAUCCUUCCCAUGAGGCAUCCAAGUGAUCCAGGUACCACUUAUCCUGGUUGCUUACUAUGCAUCUGAGCCCUGCAGCAACUACUUUUGGUGCUACAUCUUCUCCAAGCCUGUUAAUUUGUGGGCAAAUCUGCCAAUUGUCAACUAUUGAUAGCAGGAAAAAGAACCAGAAUGAACUUUUUUUUUGAAUAAAAACCAGAAUGAACUUAGUAUGAGUACGAAUUGCAAUGUUAGCAUCUAAAUCUAUUUCACUGAAUUUGUAUAACCCUAAAAUACUACAUGCAUGCAUGCUGCGAACUACUACUAAAAACUCAAAGGAAAACAACAUAUCAAAGGAACACAUGCAUGCUACUGUUGUAAGCAAAGCCUUUCCAAUGUUGCAAAUCAAGCACAAUGAGUAAAAUACCAGUUAUGCACAACGGUUUUACGAUCCAGUUUGUCUCCAAAGUUGUUAAACGUUUCUUCCCUGUAAUAAUGAAAGAUGUCUGUUAAAUUUUUAAGGGUUAGUAGCUUCUUGGUGCCUAUCAGAUUGGCAAAUAGGCAUACCAGUUAAUGAUAUCGUAGCCAUGUGAUAUUGCUAUCUUUUGAGAUCUUAAUACAAAAUCUCUGUAUGCAUCUGAUACGUUCAUAUGGUUAUUAUUCAACCUGUAAAAGGAUAAUCUUGAAUUAAUUGGAUGAUACAAGAACAUGGCCAAUUUAUAGUUGUUACAAAAGGAAGUCAUCAAAACACCCAAGUUAUCAAAUUAUGAGUUAUAUACCAUCCUUCAAUGUGUGGUGUUGUGGUCCAGCAGCCUGAAAUUCGGAGAAAAGAGUGAAUGGGUAUGAUUUGUAGAUCUACUAUUCUAUCACUGCAUUAUAUCAACUGAACAACUGCAGAUGCAAUCCUUAUGCUUACUUGUAUUGACUUCAUCACCGCCUAAGUGGGCAAAUUUGAACUUAAAAACCUUGCUAAAAUCUGAAAAACAACAGAAAAUUUGAACUCUGUUAGGCAGUUGUCUAAGAUAUUUACUAUUUUCUGUCAGUGGUGAACUGGUGAUUGUAUGCAGAUAAUGUAUUCAUAUAUAUUGUUCCCUAUUUUUAUGAAUAACUUUCUCUUUUGGAGCAUGCCCACAAACUAAUGAUCUUUUUAAAUAAAAAGCUUAGGAACCACUUCAUUUUCGUUGACAAAAUCUGUAUGUAUCACCUGAAAGAAUGCCAUCGAUGACUUCAAAUGUAAAGUUUUUACUGACAUCGAGUGGUUCUCUGCAGCUAUCUGAUGGCCACAAUGAUGGGUAACCAACGCCCCUGAAAAGGUACAAACGUCACAAUUUUACUUAUUGAAUAACUCUAUUGAGUCAUCUUGAAUGGCUUCAAUGCAUAAUAAUGGUAUUGGUCUUGUGCACCGAAUGAUUCCAUGUAAUCUCUAGUGUAUGAUUUGCAGUAUACAUCAAUGAACAUUUGAACAUAAUGAAGUUACUUACCAUGAACGGGCAUGGCCAGGAACAUCAAUCUCAGCCAACACAUUUACACCUCGCCUUUCAGCAUACCUGCAAAGGUAGAGGUCUAGCUACCUAAGUUUAUGGAUACAUUGAAUAUGCAAUAAAGAUAUUCAGCUUUUGACUGACAAAUUAGCUUGCUUGUGUGUGUGCUUACAAAACUCUGAAGGUGCCAUUGAAGUGCAUGCAUAUUGUUUUCCAAUCAUACUGCUUUAGUGCUUAUGUGUCAUUGCCUGAGCCCCAUUAAGGGCUCUAUGUUGGUGCACCCAAAAAUGUGGUUCGACAUAAGUAUACUAAACUUGCAAACUGUUCUGUUUCAUGCUUUGUUUUUUUAAUACAAAAUUCUCCUUUUUGUGCACAAAAUUGUCGGACAAUUACAGAAAGAAAAUCCUUUUAUUGGACAUGUUUGUGAUGUUUCUGUUUUGAAGGCAAUUACCUCCAAUUUUUCAGUGCUGGUAUAGUAUUGGUAUUGUAAAAUUUUGCAAUGUUGAUAAUGAAAUAGAACGCACCGUACAAUGUCAAUUGCAUCAGACAUUGUGUAUCUCUCCGAAUAAGAGUAUGAACCAUUCCACAAUUUAGGGUAUGAAGGUAUUUCAAUGGGAAAGGAUUGCUCGUCUACGAUGUGCCAAUGGAGAACAUUCUGCAUGACGAGAUAACAAAGGAUUAACAUACAGUAACCGGAACUGUAUUUUAGGAACAAAAACGGAUUACCCGACAACAGUUCAAGUCUUCUAUAACUUAUCAGUCGAGGAAUUAAAAUUGAAUGGCCAUCAAACCUACCAAUUUACUGUAGGUCAUUGCAUCAAUCACUCCUUUGAUUAUCUUAACAGGUAGGUAGUGCCUUGCAGUAUCUGCCAGCAUAUAUAAGCAUAAGUUAAUUUUGUAAUUGUCAGUCACUGGAUGUCCACAUUAUUAACAUUUGGUAUGGUGGAAAUGCUGAUUAUAUCUAACCAAUAAGCAGUCCCCGGUAAGGAAAUCUUGGUGUGUCAGUAAUUAUCCAAGGAGCUGAGUUGAGUUCAAUGAGUCGUGAUGUGAAAUCAAAGUAACACAACUGACCAAAUGUCUGCAUUGAUAAAAAGAGAAAUUACUGUUGGACAGGGUUGUGAGCCUAAAUCUUGCUUAUCUUAUGUAUUGCUUGUCUACGGACCGUACAAAGUACUUACCUGUAAGCCAUGAAGUGCUCCAAAAACGGUUUGAGCCUACAGAAAGCAAGGUGUCAUCAGCAUGAAACGAUUUGAAGUGACUUGCAUUGGGCAUAUGAAUGAUAGAUGUGAUCCCAUUACCGGUUCCACUUUCUUUUGUAACCUAACAACAUUUCCCAUGUCAUGAAAAUUUAAACAUAGACACCUUGGGAGGGGAUAUUGCAUUUCACUGUUGAGUUGAUGAUAUAUUAUAUUAUUAUAUGAUAAUCAUUCUGAUUUGCUUGCAAGGGUCCAUCUGUUGUAUAUUUGUAUUAUAUGCUAAUUUGUAUUUCUGAGACUUAGGCUAUCAAGAGGGUUUUGUACAGCAAUAUGCAUGCUACAGGAGAUACUGAAGGCAUGGACUGUGCUAGGAUUCUCGGAAUUCAUUAUCAUGAAAAAAGGAAUUGCAGAAACUACAAGUAAACUUCAAGUGUCUGUAUGCCCCCCAAAAAAGCUUCAAGUGUCUGCCUACAGUGGAUGCACUAGAUGAUGCUACUAUAUAAGGCUCACAACAUAAAACAAUGAGUUUUUUUUUACUAGCCUCAAUCUGUGCAUACAGUGGAUCUCCUGUUGUUGGAACAGUUAAGUUAUAUGACUCAUCUGCUCCAAAGUUGAGCUGCAGAAGAUGAACAAUGCAGAGUAUUAAUUGAAAGAUGAAAAAGGCAAUCUGUAGAUGGGUUUGCACUUUGUCAGAUCAAGCGAGCAGGUUACCUCAUCGUCAGGUGUAUGGACAACUAUAUUAACACAGGUGAGAACCAAAGAACUUGGGUUUAUUCCAUCGAUGACAUGGUUCAGUGUGAUCAAAUCAACCAUCCUCUGGAAGGCGUCCUUCAGGAUUGAUUUCUCGUCAGAGUACGUGCUUCCCACCAUUGACAUUGUGAUAUCUUUCUUGACGUAGAGCUUCUGUGUUCCAUGGGACACCGUCUUCGGCAUCGGCCACAAGUCGAUGUUAUCGGCGGCGAUGCAGGAUCCAAUCGCCAGAAAUGCAAGGAGCAGCCCCAGAGCCGUUGCCAUCUUUGCAGAGUGGCUCAUGCCCUUCUCCACAGAAUCUGCAAAUGCCUAAAGCAAGAGAAGAAUCAAUGAGCUGCGAGUUUUGACAGACAUCCCGCAACCACUGCAGGUGACACGAUCUUUUCUUGGCAAGCUCGGAUGGCCAGCCUCACCUCAGAGAAAAAGAAAUGAUGGAAAAAGAGAAGUCGCAAGGAAGAAUGCAGCAAUCUGCAAGCGCAAGGCAAGUACCUUUUUCUCUCCCCUCAAGUCUUCCUACACAUGUCUGGAAGAGAACCAAUGGGAAAGCAUGUUGAACUCCUAUCUUAGGAUGAAGACGAGCGACGAGGAGGUAUAUGAGGAGGAGGGCCACCACGGCAUUGCAGACUGGGCUCAAGGGGUGGUUAGAUGGAGGGAAGAAAAGGCAUGCACAGGCACUGGUCUGGUGCACUUCGGUGACCCAGAACACAGGUACGGAUGGCCAAGCAAUCAGCUCAGCUCACUGAUGCUAAUUUUGGUAGCUUCACUGCUCCUGCUCCAUUAUAGCCUAUGUGCUGACCAAUAUUUUUGCAGCGUAGGAGUAUGUGAUAUUAAACAAAUCAUGUGCAUACAUUUCGUGAUAAAUACGUGCCUAAACGGGGACGUUCUGCCAUUCGCGCUAAUACGAUUUUUCUAAACAUAAUAUGAACCGGAGGCACCGAGGGAUGAUAUACUGAUUAUAUAUUCCUGGCUAUUUUGCAGAUUGCUGCUUCUGGCGGGUUGUGGUUAGUAAAAAAAGCGUGACAAGGAUCUGGUUGGUAGGUUGAUCACAAGUUGUUGCCCGUUGUCACUGCCCAACGAAGCGUCACGGCGCUGCGCUCUCGAGUGAACUAUAGCUUGUUGGCCUUCCCGGCUUCCCCUGCUGUUGGUUAAUCUUGUUGGCCUUCCCCUGCUGUUGCUGGUUAAUCUUUUAUUAAAUUAUUAUAUCUAUGAGGCGAAAGCUGUUAGCUAAUCUAAUGAUGGCCCAUGCAGGGAUGCAGAUGCAUUCAGACCGAGAUAAUUUUGUCUAUAACAAUUUAAAAAAAGUUUGCAAGAUCAAACAAGGUAUCGACCCUGGCUGUUUCCUCAGGUGGUGCUGGCAUGGUGCGUGACUUUGCAAUAGUGGGACUAUGAGAUGUCACAUCAGUGCGGGAUUCAAGCUGCUAACUCCUCCGUAGGUAAGUCAUUCUUAAGGAGUUGGUACACGGAAUUUGCGUGCUGGUAGCGGUAGGCUGAAAGAUGAAGGGUGCGAAAGUUGUGCCCGCCUUGUCUGUGCUUUUGUGCAUGGCACACGGGGGACACGGGUGGACGCGUUGUGGACUGGUAGGUCUUCAAACCCACUGCAUGAACUUGGGCCGAGUUACUUUGGACCUAUCCCAUUUAGGCUCUCUCGGUUCACUGAAUCGGGGCUGAUCUGGCCCAUGCACCUAGAACCGGAUCGGACUGCUAUUUUUAGCCCAUCAUCACUAGUUGUAGGACGUUUGUCGCUCAUUAUCUUUAUGGACUGGGUCCAAAAGCUUUUGCCAAAUGAUCACACAGUAACAUUAUCGUGUACUGUAGGUUAUUUCAUCAAAUCACUUUCAAAAAGUUACAAGCUGAUGGUGAUUGGUGAACAGCAAGCCAAACCUAAGUCUUGUUUGCUUGAACGAAGUAGUUGUUGACUUGAACACAUGCCAGGUCUGCCCAGGCUGGGUUGAGACGUACCCAACCCACGACUGCAGUGGUAGUCAAAUUUGCUCUCUCGCAACAGUCACACGCCCAACCCAACAAUCUCAGGCCCUUUGGACUUCUACUUCGACGACACGACAUUUUUUUUUUGCUUUGGGUCGUUUCAGAUGGUCAAAAGUUUAAUCGUCUUGCAGCCAGUUUCUGCCGAUGGUAGUAGAAAGCGAGGUCGAUGAAAACCUAAUUACAUGAGCCUCCAAUCUUGAUUCCAAAUGCAGAUGGAGAAGUUGGUGAAUGUUCCACCAACUGAAUGGCUCCAAAUUGGUGUAGAUUCGGAAACGGGAUAGCUUUAGUUUCAGUUGGUUGAUCAAGGAGCUUUCGUUAUUAAUUCUGGAGACGCCUUUUGGAGACGAUGGGUGAAGUUUCGGCUGAUUCACGAAUUGUCUUGAAAUGGCUUUGUUUCUUGAUUUCGGUAGAGUUCAGCAAGUUUCAAACUCCACGUGUCAAUGUCUGCCAUUACAUUCUUUGCAAAUUUUGGAGCUCUUCUCCGGAUGGGCUGCAAGAUGCAAAAAAUUGCGUAAGCUGACGCUGGCACCUUCUUUUCGUCUAGUGAUGAUAUUGGUGGUCCUGAUGGGACUGGAGUAGACGAGUAGUUGCAUUUGUCCAUAAGCGCCAGAAAUACGCCCGAAUCUUGACGUGCAUUCUAUCGGUGAGCUCCAACCCUUGGCCGGUUACGAAUUCCUGCACCCUUCAACAAAUUCAGUGACCAUUUCAACUCCAGAUCAUCAUGCAAAGCAAUGCUGGUCAGUCAAAGACAAUGUGUGUAUGUUCGCCACUACUAUCCAUCACUCGGCACAGCUUACGCAUGGGAGGUGCGUAGCCUGCCAUAAGUUGUUUCCAAGAACUCACCAAACCUAUACUUUGCCCAGCCUCCAAUGGUCAAUGCCGCAUGUAAAAGUUUACUAACCAACCUGUGGUCUCGUCUCCCAUUCCCAGGUUAGGCUUCUGAAUCUCGCACUCAGCUGCUUACCAUGCCCUGCAAGGCUCUCAAAUUCUCCCCCUGAUUUCUUUUUCCCCCCCAAGAGUGCACGCUCUCGAAUUCUUUCUUGUUCGCCCACUUAAUUCAUUCCAAAAACAAUGUUACCCAGAGCCGGUGGAUGUCUCCACUAUAAGUACACGUGUGCAAGUCAUCACAUCAUCGAACGCAUACCUAACUAUCACCUGCAAGCCGGCGGCAUCCCAACUCGCCGCGUCGCGUACACCCGGAGGCGGAUGGCCAUGGCAAAGUCUGUCCUGAGCUUGCUCGCGCACCUGCACGCCGCCGUCCUGUUCCUUCCGGCGGACCCGGCGGCCGGCGCAGCAAUGUACAACGUGCUGCGCUACGGCGCCCGCCCCGACGGCGCGGCGGACGCGGCGGGCGCCUUCCUCCGCGCGUGGGCCGACGCAUGCCGCUCGACCCGCCCGGCCACCGUCUACGUGCCGCCCGGCCGGUUCCUGGUAUCGAGCGCCACGUUCACCGGCCCGUGCCACGGCCACGCCGCCGUGACGUUCGCCGUCGCCGGCACGCUCGUCGCCCCCGCGGGCGCCGGCGGGCGCGGCUUGUCGGGGAGGUGGAUCACGUUCGAGAACAUGGAGGGCCUCGUCGUCUCCGGCGGCACCUUCGACGGCCGCGGCCGGGCGCUCUGGGCCUGCAGAGCGCGCGGCGGGAACUGCCCGACGCCGGCGUCGGUACGUUCGCCGUCGUCGAAACUCGGAACCUGAAAGGUGUGUUCGCUUGCUACCUGACGAUCAACAGCUAACUUUGGCUCGCCGUGGUUGCAUGCAUGGGUCGUCGCAGUCGCUGACGAUCGCGAACUCGAGGGACGUGGUGGUGGCCGGGGUGCGGUCGGUGGACAGCGAGCUGUUCCACGUGGUGGUGCUGCAGUGCGUGGGCGUGACGGUGCGCGGGGUGACGGUGGAGGCGCCGGCGGACAGCCCCAACACCGACGGGAUCCACAUCCACAUGUCCAGCCACGUGUCGGUGUACGACGCCAGGAUCGGCACCGGCGACGACUGCAUCUCCGUCGGCCCCGGCAACUCCCACCUCUGGAUCGAGCGCGUCGCCUGCGGCCCCGGCCACGGCAUCAGGUACGUCGCCGGCAGUGCGUGGGCGAGGGCGCCAUGACGCGCGGUGGUUUGUCGUCAGCAUGAAUAACGCAGAAAUGCUCUUGUUUUUAGGAAUUAAAUCGAGAAAGUAAUCACAGGCAGCAUAGGAAUGGUAGCUUGAGCUAGUGUUUGGAAAUCAAUCCACUAUAGCUGCUGGUUUGACUGAAACGGUCUUUAUUACCAUAUUAAAAGUAAAGAAAUCUUGAAGUCGACUGAGGCAACAUUAGUGGAAACGGACCAGAUCUGGGUCCGGUUCAUACUCAAGUCGCAUGCAUGGUGGCGUGUGCACAAAACAUUCAGGUUCAGUUUGGGUUUGUACCUAAUCCGUGCACUAAUUUUGUGUCUGUGACUUGUGCAAUUAAUUGAUUAGCAUCGGGAGCCUGGGCAAGCAGGAAGGCAUGGCGGUGGAGGCGGUGCAGAACGUGACGGUGAAGACGACGUGGUUCGCCGGCACGACGAACGGGCUCCGGAUCAAGACGUGGGGCGGCUCCAAGCGCGGGUUCGUCCGGGGGGUCACCUUCGCGGACGCCACCAUGUCCGGCGUGGACAACCCCAUCAUCAUCGACCAGCGCUACUGCCCCAGCGGCAGCGGGUGCCCCGGCGGGAGCUCCAGCAUCAGGAUCAGCGACGUCAGGUACGUGGGCAUCCGGGGCUCGUCGGCGACGCCGGUCGCCGUCAACUUCGACUGCAGCCGGAGCAACCCGUGCAGCGGCAUCCGCCUGCAGGACGUGGCGCUCACGUACCGGAGCCGGCCCGCCGCCGCCAAGUCCUACUGCCGGAAUGUGCAGGGGAGCACGCUCGGCCUCGUUCUGCCGCCGAGCUGCCUCUGAUGUAUCAGACGGCAGCCGAUCGAUGAGCCGAAGCAGAUGCAUCAGUGGCUGCAUUGCCACGUGUAUAUAGAUGCAUACGUCGAAUGUAUCACGUAUAUGUAGCGAGUGCUUAGACUACACGGACGGCACGUACUUAAUUACCAUCGUAGAUGAAUCGUAGAACAUCUGUUGGUUGUUUUGUUCUAUCGUCGUCUUUGCCUUUUCAUAAAAUGAUUAGUGUAGCUGGCAGAGUGACUGGCUGUAAUUAUCUGACUUCAUCUUACAAAUAAAGACCAUGCAAUCUGUUGCACCAGUGCAUAAACGCAAGUACACACACUCUUUUUCAAGGCGAGAAAUGCUCAUAGAUAACACAAAAUGGGAAAAAUAGACGCUCAAUCACACCAGGCUGACAGAAUCUCCUGAGCUUGGGCCGUUUUAAUACUGGUACCGAAGCCCACAAUCAAGUGGGGCACCACGCUUUCACACACACACACACGACGGUCCGGCGAAGAGCACAAGGAAGCCCAACUCUCUUACCGCACGAGCGGGCCGGCUCUAUCCAGAGGCCCAAAACACUCAGGCCCACCGCGCGCCCGCGGCAUUUGUUGUUGUUGGUUGGUUGGUUGGCACGGCACGUUCACAUGGCGCGCGGUCCGCACAAUCUCCAGAGUCCAAACCAACAGACUGAAUUCAACCACCAACCCGGCGCCCGCCGCCGUGGCACGGCCGGUGUCCUGUCCCAUCCCAUCGCGCGCCGCGCAGCUACCCCGCGCACAAAAUCCUGGCGAAUCGUAGGGACUCUCGAGUCUCGGCACAAGAACGAGGCCAACCAAACCCCAACCUGCUGCUGCUCCGGGACAGGUCCACGGCGGCGCUGCGGCAUGGAGAAAGAGGCGGCGGUGGCGAGGAACAGGAAGGUGGUGCUGCGCGGGUACAUCGACCGCGCGCCGAGGGAGGACGACAUGGAGCUCGUCGACGGCGGCGCCGUGGCGCUGCGCGUCCCCGGGGGAGCCGGCGGCCCCGCGGUGCUGGUGAAGAACCUCUACCUCUCCUGCGACCCCUACAUGCGCGGCAGGAUGCGGGACUUCCAGGGCUCCUACAUCCCGCCCUUCAAGCCUGGAUCCGUGAGCUUCUUCCUUCAAAUCGUUUUUCCUCAGCUUGGGCUGGGUUGUUAGUUGCUGAAGCGAUCGGUUGUGCAUUGGUCUUGCGCAAAUUCCAUUAAUUGCUUCCACUGAUUGAACGAUUUGUUGAUUGUGAAGCCUCUUGAAGGAUUUGGCGUGGGGAAGGUGAUCGACUCCACUCAUCCAGGAUUCAGUGCUGGUGACUUUGUUUCGGGGAUGACUGGUUGGGAGGACUACAGUCUGAUCACCAAGCCUGAACAGCUCAGGAAGAUUCAGCAAAGCGACAUACCGCUCUCUUACCACUUGGGCCUACUUGGUUAGUUCCUUAUGUUUUUCAAAUUUUUUUAUCAGUUACAUUCUAAGCAUAUAUAGACAACACAAAUGGUGUAGCUGUUGAACAGCAGCAGUUGGAUGAUGUUUUUGGUUGGAAAGACUAAACUAGGUUGAAAAUACCCGCAAAUAAAAAAACUAGGUUGAAGAGACUCAUUGCAUCUAAGGGACAGGAAAAGGAGAGGUGGGUGUAGGAGUAGGAGUAGAACUGUGAUAAUCACAAAUGGUGUUUCUGAAUUUUUCUUUCCAUGCUAUUCUUCGCUCCAAGAAGCUUAUAUCUCUUAUUAUUCCUCCACAGGCAUGCCUGGUUUUACAGCUUAUGUUGGAUUCUAUGAGAUCUGUUCACCAAAGAAAGGGGAAUUUGUCUUUGUUUCUGCUGCAUCCGGAGCAGUUGGCCAGAUCGUUGGUCAACUUGCAAAGCUCCAUGGCUGCUAUGUUGUGGGAAGUGCUGGAACAAAUCAGAAGGCACACACUCAUACUAGUCCCUUCUUUUCUUUUUAAUAAAAAUUCACUCCAACUAGUAUUAGUUGCUUGCAUUGCCUGUGUAGUUGCAUCAUCCAAUAUCCACAAUAUAUAUCUUUCAGGUUGAGCUCCUGAAGGAAAAACUUGGGUUUGAUGCAGCUUUCAAUUACAAGGAAGAGCCUGACUUGACUGCUGCCUUAAAAAGGUCAGAAUUUCUUCUUCUGCAGAAAAUGAUAUCAGCUUGAUUUAGCAUUCAUGAACAGCUGAUGAGCCAAGCUAGGAUCGUACAGAAAAGAAUUAAACUUUGAUGGAUGAUGAACCUCUGUGAACUAUUGAUGAAUGAGAAACACUGAUAACAUAAAAAGCUGUACCUACCUAGAACAUACUAUUCCUUAAGACAACUGAUUGAUAUAAAAGCAGUUUACCUUUGUUGUUGUUAAAACUGGGGAAUUAUGCUGUGAUCUUGUGGAAAUGUUUUCCUGUGUAGGUACUUUCCUGAAGGUAUUGACAUCUACUUCGAGAACGUAGGUGGGCCAAUGCUUGAUGCCGUACUACUCAACAUGCGAAUACAUGGACGCAUUGCAGUGUGUGGGAUGGUUUCCCAGCACGGGGUAACUGCUCCUUCUGGGAUCCACAACCUGUUCUCCCUGAUAAGCAAGAGGAUAGAGAUGAAGGGAUUCAUCCAGAGUGAUUACCUCCACCUGUUCCCACGGUUUGUCGAUGACAUCACCAAACAUUACAGAGAUGGCAAGAUUGUGUAUGUGGAAGAUAUGAGCGUCGGGCUGGAGAGUGGACCUGCGGCUUUUGUUGGCCUGUUCAGUGGUAAAAAUGUUGGCAAGCAGGUUGUGCGCGUGUCACAAGACUGAAACCUGUGUACACUCUGGUAAAUUAUAAGGCAUCCUAAUACCAGAAUCUCUGUUGGAAAGAAAUAAGAAAAAUAGAAACCUCUAUUCAGUGGAGCAAUUGUUGUAUGUUUUCCUGAUCAUGUUCAGAGUUCAGACUUGAUCUUCACUUUCUCCACUUGUUGGGAACUUGGUAGUACAUCGUCUCUUUGAGACUACAAUGUGAAGUAUUGACUAUGCAGAUUCUUUUGUUCUGAAGUUUAGCAAAACAAAGAAAAAGAAAAUAAAAUAAAAAUAAUAAAAAUGGUUCUCGAGUUUUAGCUCCCUUCAUAUAUGAUAUAUAGCUUAGUCACUGUCCUCUUCAUUAGUAGCAUUUGCGGUUUUUAUGGCAUUAGAGCCCGUAGAAGCAAAUGGAGGCUGAGGUUGCGAAGGAUCAAAGAUGAGUCAGUUUUGGCAGCUCGACGAGAAGUGCGUCCUGUUUUUUUCUAAACGAACCAGCCAAGAGAGCUGCCGAUUAUAUUAAAAAGAAGAAUACACCCAUACUGCGUACAACAACAAAAGAAAUAGCGGAACAACAACACUGGCCGGUUGGAUUGGGACAUCAACACAGCCGCACAACUCCACUCGAAACACCAACUCAAAAUAACAACCGGUUGGAUUAAGACAUCAACACGGCUGCACAACUCGACUCAACUCCACCCAACUCACCACACCACCACAACCCCGGAGAAUAGCCAACAAGUGACACUCAUCGCAAGUGCCGUCAUUCCUGAUGAUGUCCCAUGCCAACCAACCGUUGCCAUGCAGAACUAGCCGCCGCAAUCCGCUGCAAGCCAUGUAGCUACCACGAUUGUUCCACCAUGCCACCAUCAUCUUCAGGCCACACACACGAUCGUCGAUCUUCCAACCACGGUCUUGCGUUGGUAGAAGUCAGAAGAAGAGCCCACCACACCUCACCGAAGAAGCCACCACCAUGCAGGACCCCUCGCCGAAGUACCGCUGUUGCACCUUACACGCCAAAAUGACUGAAGCACUGCACCGGAUCCUGAACCUCCAAGGCAACGCAGAACGCAUGGGACCUCGCCACAUCCACCGCCGCACACCAUUUCUCGGACUCUCUUCGGACGCACCACUCCUUGAACACACCACCUUAAAGCGCAUGGGGGCCUCGCCUCUUCCGCCGCUGGACUCUCCGAGGAUCUGGGUUUGCUUCGCCGUCAGGGUGACUUGGUACCAGUCCUAUGUGCCUAACUCAAUCGGCGAGUUUUGUUUUGGGACAUGGAUACGUAUGGAUGUACUCCACACCUACACUGGCGGAGCCCUGUUGGGGCCAUAGUGGGCUCCGACCCCCACUUGCUUGCUCGAGGAUGAAUGGGCGUCUCCGAUGUAUGGACUCACCCAUGGACUCGACCUGGGUUUUAGAUCGGGCCCAACAUUGAUGUAAUAUCAACUAAUGCAAGAGCUGCGGUAUAGAGAUGGAUACUUACAAUCAGUAGAUUUUGUUUUGGGGACAUGGAUACUUAUAUGGAUGUACUACACCUACACCUUGCAACUAAUGUUAUCAAAGUAGUUCAUGAAUUCAUUCUCAUACCACGUUACCAACCUACAUGUAGCGAGCAAAGAUGUUGUCCAUAAAAUAUAAAAAAGAAAGGAAAAAUAUAAAAAAGAAAAAAGUAUUAUACAUAAAAUGAAAAAAAGAGAAGGAACGAAAAGAAAAAAGAAUCUAAAAGAGGGGGAAAUGAACAGUCACCGUUGGCUUGGUCAACGGUCAACGUUGACUUGGACAACGUUGAACGGUCAACGGUCAACUGGGCCCCACCGGUCAGUGGGCCCUAUUAGUCAGUAAGUGGACCCCAAGAGUGGGCCUGACCCUGGACACGUCAGCACCACGUGGCUCCACAUGGCGUUUUGGUCUGCUUGUAUUUAGUGAAGACUUUGCUCCUUUUCCAUCCUUGCGAAUGAAAUAUAUAUUUGUGAAGUCACACACAAAUGAGCUGCAUCCAUGACAAGUACUCCCUUCGUUCCAAAUUGUAGGUCGUUUGGGACUCGCAGAGAGUUCAUAUCCUUCGCAAUGGGGCUUCUAAGAGCAUCAUGCCUCGUUCGUGUCAGAAACGGAAAAAGUCUGACAAAAAUAUGAAGAAGAACACUGAAGAACAGGAUAGAUUUAUGUAUAGAUAGUUGGGAUUCGAUUUCAUUCAGCAGAAGCAGAUAUUAGAAGGUCUAGAUUACGCUACUCUACUGAUAAUUAGGGUUCGUAACAGGCUCAAACGCACUUUAGCUAAACGAAGAAUGAACACUGCUUACAGUCCGAAAACGGGCAAUAAAGCGAACAAAGUGAAUUGCUGAAAACUGUAGGAGGGAUAAUGAUCGUUGUUCCUUGCAUGGCUGUGUUUGUGACUUGGAGUCCGCGUCAAAUCGCUGAACAGAGGACGACUUCAUUUGGUACCUUGAGUUUCUGAACUUUCUGAACCCGCAGAAGAACGUCACCUUGCCCGUCUGCAGGGACCUCGACCUAAAUUCUCAAGGUCCAUUAUUUUUUUUAAAAAAAAUCUCAAGCUCCAUACCCAGAUCCAAAUUGAGCAAAAGUAACACUAACAGUCACACGGUAGGCAUUUAUUUGCUGAGAAAAAUAAUCUCCAUCCCAUUAAUAACAUUAUCAUUCACAGUCACGGGGCUUGUUUUGCACAUCGAUAUCCAUAUAUGAUUUGAAGUUUGUAAGAUAAAAUUAGGUGUUUUUUACAUAUGCGCUUAAACCCAAAUUAAUAACAAAAUUGAACAACCAAGUAUUUCUAUUAUGCAAGUAGCUCUAACUAGCUAUAAGAUUUUCUGGAACUAAAUGACCGGCUCUAAAAAUUCUCAUCGAAUGGAGCGGUUAUGUAUCUUGUUCCUGUGAGCAAUUCCAGAAGACGGCUAGUCUUAUCCACUUUUUUAAGGGAAAACUAAAACUACGACCCGCGCACAUUUUUUUCCCGGACCUUCACCGCCCCUCGCCCUGCCGCGCACCCGAGCAGCGACCUUCCCGCGCGGCCCCUUCGCGCGCGCGCAGCGGCGGCGGCAGAGCGAGGGGCUGCAGCGCCGGCGGGGCGAGCGGCGGUGGCGGCGGCGAGGCGAGGGGCAGCAGCGCCGGCGGGGCGAGUAGCGGGGCGAGGUGCUGCGGCGCCGGUGGGGCGAGUUGCGGGGCGGCAAGGCGAGGGCCUGCGGCACCGGCGGGCACUGCCCAACGGUUACAGAUAAUCCAACGGGUAAUCACUGUGGGUGCGGCUGUGGCGUCUCGGAGACGGAGUUCAUCGUCGACGUCAACCUCGCCAGUGGCUUGGGUCAAUUUGGGUGCGCUGGGAGGCUCCUGGGAUUGUGGUGAAGGUUUGGGCGAGAGGAAUUGAACUGAGAUGAAUUGCAGCUCCCGAAUUGAUAGGAGCCGCGAGCUCUGUCUCGGUGCGCAUGGCGCGACUGUGGAAAAUGGCGAGCUCGACGGCGGCUCUGGCUUCCGGUUCCGAAUUUGGCAGGCCAGCGCGCGUUCGUCGUGAACGACGACCAACGUCUUCCCCUUGCGGACCCGCUCCUUCUCAGCUCAGUUGACGGGGGGCGUUCUUUGGUUUGCUUGUCGGUGAGGGUGUUAGAGAUAUAGAGAUCGUAAACUCGUAGGAUUUGACUUGUAUUAGAGAUAACCGAGAUUUAUAAUCGGUUUAGACUCCUAGGUUGCAGUCAAGUCAAACUCCUGUAAUCUCCUUAAUAUAUAAACAGUAACCGUGGCGCCACGCAAGUUCUCCCAAACUCUUUCACCCCGCCACGCUCAAUCGGACAUGAACGACGAAUUCAUCGAAGCCGCUGCCACCGUUUUUCGCUUUCUUGGGGAGGAGAUUCUCCGGGACAAUGCCGCGAAGCUCGCGAGGCUCGCCCUCGAGCUCGCCGCUGUUGAUGUCGGCGUCGGCGGCGUGCCCCGUGGCAACCUGAAGGCGGCCGCGGACGCGUUGUCCCAGGCGGGCAGCUCGGGAAGGUCGGAGGCUGUCCUCGCCCUCCUCGACGCGGCCACCGAGCUGGAGGACGCGCUUGGAGCCGACAUGGAGUCGCUUCGAGGAGGCGCGUCGUUCUUGGCGCUCACAUGCCGCGAGCUUCGGGAGGAGCAGCGGGAGGAGCGGCCGGCUGCGGGUCCGUGGUGGUGGCUGCUGCUCCGGGGGUGGCUUCCGCGUCGCCACGAGAAGAGCGUGGAGAACUUGGAGGCCGCUCUUCUCGUCAAGGAUCAGGUACGCAGGCAGCAACCCGAUUUAAGGUUUGUGCAAUGUGAGAUGGCGGGUUUAGGCUUCAAUUUCGGGGGAUGUUUGCAGGGAGCGGGCGAGACCAACUACGCCGCGCAGAUCGCUAUCGAUUUCAUGUGCAAAGAGUCGGCGCAACGCGAUAACCUGGUGAAGAUGGCCUGCGAGAUACAACAAUUCGCCGACGAUCUCGGUUUUCCCCACCACGACCUGGACCGGGCCACGGCUGCAUUGAUGGUGGCGGACAAUGCGAGCGCCGCCUUUGUCGAGCUUGGCACCGCGGCAACUGAGCUCGAGCGGGAGGCCACCGCACAGCUGCACGCUCUCCGCGCUCCGAUGGUGCAGCUGGCGGACGCGUGCCGGAAGUACGGGGAAGAGGCUAGGGUAAUGAAGGCGGUGCUCCUCGCUGAUGAGGAGAGAGCGAGGCGGAAGGCCGCAGGUGCCUCGACCCGUUCAGGUAUGCCUAAUUCUCGGCUAUGGAUUGUGUGUGUUGCAUUUGCGGAUUACUAUGAUGCUCCUAUUCAAUCGUUUCAAUUGCAUCAAUUAUUGUAGCAGGAUUUCUCAAAGUACUUUUCCACCGGCUUUCGGUGAAGCUCUACCAAAGACGCAAUUGAACUGAGCAUGCAGGCUUGUACCGAGGGGGAUAUUCUAGCUUUGUUCUAUAGUUUUCGUGCAAACUUAAGUCCAUCGUCCACCAGGCUUGGUACGAGGGGUAUAUGUGAUUCAAGUGAAUGGGAGUGAUAUCCACCAAAUGAGAAGUGUGGGCAGCCUCCGGAAGGCCCGAAUUACAGAGUCAGAUUAGAUAGGUAUAGGUGUUCUUUACUAUCGUUGGCUACUGCUGAUAUGUGAGUGCAAUAGUGCAUUGUGACGAUCCAUUGGUAUUAGUCUAGCACUUCAAAAGAUAUGAUUGGAUAAUAUGAUCCUGCAACUUAACAGCGGGAGUAAACAGGAAUGCAACUGUUAAUUGUUAAUGGUAUAAGGUCUUCUACCCACGGAAGUUCUGGUGAAGAAAUGUUAUACUGCACCAUCGACGUGUUUGCUAUUCCAAAAUACACUGAACCUUGCACGUACCCGUGCAAUGUUCCAUACGCUAAUGCAGGAGCUUUAAUGGGUUUAUAAAAUGUAAUUUCAGAACGAAUUCCGAAUUAACAUAAGUUCAAAAACCAAUGCAUCAACCAUGAGAAAUAUAAUUUGUUUUUAGCAUAAAUCAACAUGUUAAUUUGUUUGUAACUUAAGGCAAGGAACAUCAGCUAGAAUCUGCGAACAGCCACGUUAGGCGGGAUAUGGAUUGUUGCUGCCGCAGAAGGAUAUUGUGUCGACAGCAAUUAGAACUAUGACUCGCAUUAAUAAUAGUGAAAGAUGAGAGCUGAAAUCUGGCCAAAAUAUACAUGUAUGCUCCUCUCCUUAACAUUGCUGACAUUGUUCUCCAUCCGUCGCUGGGUCUUCUGCAUAUAUAGUAUGCAAAUGAGAAACAGAAUCCGAUCACCAUGAGAGCUGAAACCAAAUACGCUAUCAUUGCGAAGUUGUCCUCAAAGUCCGGGAUGCGUAUUGGUACACGAAAAGGCAGGCCAGCAAUACCAUGCCCCAAGCAACCAUGAAGCACUGCAAAAGCACAAACAAGUUAAGGUAUAAACCUGCACAUGAACCAUGGGUGAUGCAUGGUUUCUAAGUUGUAACCCACUAUGGAUUCAAAAGAAGAGACGGCAAGAGACUCGCUACAUGAUGAUCAUCUGGAUUUAUUAACAGAUCACAGGGGCAACGGAUUCAGUACCACCAUGAAGGGUUUGCAGAACUUCCUGGUGGCCUGGCUCGGUCUCGGGAUCAGAGGCGGACCAUAGGUAUUCAAAAUUCCAUAUGGUAAAAAAAAAAUUUGGCAGCUAAAAUUAUAGUUUUAUAAUACAGAAUUAAGUCGCAGCAUUAUUGAUUAAUAAAAUUGAUCGCAACUGGAAAUUAUUCAGCUACCAAUGAUCAACAUAUCAAAGUGGCAACAUGUGAAAUAAAUAGAGGAUAAAACAACACCUCUUGCCAAGAAAGCUCUCAAAUCAGUAAUGGCACUAUUCUUCCUCUUCAUGUUUCAAACCUAAAAUUAAAAUCACACAAGUAUUGAUGCUUGAUAGAGUGCUCACCUGUAUCUUAUUGUAGUCCUGGGCUUGAAUGCUUGAUAAAGUGUUCCCUGCUUGGCUGCUCCCGUGCUCCGGCACCAGCCACCCGCCACCCAGAUCAGUAGACCGCCGCCGCCACCACGCUGGCCGCCUACCGGCUACUAUGGUGCUGCGCGCGCCGGCUGCCGUGCGUAGUGCGCCUGCGCCAAGGGCGCCGCCGCGGCGCCGCGCCUCCACCUCCACCCUCACCGACCGUCGUCAGCUCGCUGUCCAGCCUCCCCGUCACUGUUGGCCUGGUGCCGUUAGGGUUACAUUGGAACGUGCGUUGAAUCGAUUGAGAAAUGAGAAAGAGGAGGGCUGCAUAGGCAGCUCUGUGCUCGGACAGGAGGGAGUUGGCCGACUAGGUCAAUUGGACUGUUGGGCCAGCACGGGGUAUAGGGAAGGAGGAGCGGUCCAGAACUCCAGGUUGACUUUUGCUUUGUUCGGAUUGAAUUUCUUUUUGUUUUUUGAUGUAUAUAUAUAGGAUACACUAUAUAAAAAAUGCAGAAAUAAUGGGUAUUACCCUUGAAUACACGUGGACUCACCCCAGCUCGGGAUUAUUGAUCGUUCUUCCAGCCUACGGUAUGCGAGGUGCUUGGCCGGCCGUGGCGGCAUGUAAGGGAGGAAGGCCAUCGCACGCGUGGAGCGCGCACGGCGCGGGGUGGCCGGACCGGAGGCCCUGGUUCGAAACCUAACUACGGCGGGGGCAGAUUCCCAGCGGCACAGGUGAUAGGACCAGGCAAAACCAAGGGGGGCUCGAGACUGGCAAGGCCUAUUUUAUUAUAACACAUCGAUCGCAGAAGCAAAUUGCCUCCGUGUCUUCCGUGUUUGGCGAGCGCGUGUCUGCAUACAACUCUGCUCCUUCGAUUCCACACGAUCCGCUUUCAGCUAACAGGCCGCGAAAUAUAUCACAUGGGCCGCAAAAUAUACAUGGACCGAACGAAGGAAAGAGUAAGAAAAUAAAUCAAGGCAUUUAUCUUAAUUGGGCUUCAACCGGCUCCUAACAGGUCACGCGCGUGCAACUUCCGGUGGUGAGCUGCCAAUGGGCCAAAUGUACGGCACUAGAGCCUGCUGGCGACAGCUUUUCCCGUAACCCUCAGGCGGCACUGCGGCAGCGGCUUCCAUGAGAACAGGGCAAGCUCAGUAGCUUGCGCUUGGAUAGAUCGUCGAGUUGAACCUUCGAAACAUUCACAAGGAGCAAACCUUUUAAACGACCUGAAUUUCCAAUUCUAAGAAAUCAAGCCUACACACCUCCACAAUAAUCCUAGAAAAGAUAUCACGUGUGAAUCACUAUCUCAGAUAGUACAAAUUCAUACCAACAUAGAAAUAUAAAGUAGCAACAAAAUAAUAAUAUCAUAAAUAUCGAGUACAACUCUUCAGCUCAUACCUGUACAAGUCCAUCAGAACUGAAUCACGAAAGAUAAAACAUAGAUGCGGUGUAAACAUGAGCUAUGACGAACACCAUUUUCAGAGGUGACUUGAGCGAGGGAUCAUUCCUAGUCUUCUCAUCCAUCAUUGUCGAAGUCGUAGUCGAGCUCCGAUCCUGAAAAGCUACCAUCUACCCGAGAAGCGGGUAGGCCAUGUCAACUCCCAAUAGUAGCAAGCCAAGAAAACGGGGGAAUAAUACUAUAUGCAUGGAUAAUCCUAUAUAUGGAUGUAUAGGUUAUGCAGUAGCACAAGCAACAAUCAAGGAUGCAUCAAAACAAUACCAUCUUCAAGAUCAACACCUCACAACAAGGAAGUCGUCACAAACCAUCAUAUCUUUUACCCAAGAAUCCAGCACACAAACACUAGGCGAUGUGAGAGCUUCCUCUCAUCACAUCUCAACGGCAAACGCCGACCCAUCUCAAAAUAGGAAGGUAGAAGAGUUGUAAAAAUCUAGUUAGAGUAACAGAUCAAAAAACUGUCCAUACUAGUGGACACGGACUAUAGCUAUAGGUUAUACACUCUGCAGAGGUUCUACAUCUGUACCCGCACGGAUGGAGCCUGAAUAGAAAUCAGCCGUCCAAACCCUACCUAACGGCUGAAGCCCGAGUAGGUGGCUAACACUCUCCUGUUUCCUCGAGUUUGGUAGUGUCUUCCACUACAGGGCACGCCGUCACCAGUUGGAGACCUCGAAACUGUGAAACCUACCCACGCGGGGGUGUAGUCUGGUCAGAGUAGGACAACGCCUCGAACUCCGUACACUAAUACUCCAAUCCGCAUAUAGGUUGAGCACUAUCCACCACUAGUCUCGGACCGAACCCCGCCCAUAACAAGGCGAUUGGUAUAUACGUAAAUAGUCCAAAGAAACAUGGUUAAACUGACUCGAGCCAAAAGUGAGCAUUCAACUCCACAGAGUAUGUGCUGAAGCACCUGCAACAUACAAGUACACCACCUGCUCCUCAAUGUCAAACAAGGUACCCACCACAUGCAUAUAGGGUGGAGAGAAACCAUAAUGCUCUUUGGACAUUUCUUAGUACAUACUAAGGCAUUUCUUAGUACCAACUGUGCCUCGCUCCCGCCAAAAUACAUCAAGAUCACCUGGAUUUGGUGUUUGACCGGUCUUGGUGUGCCCCGCAUAAUCGUACGAUCUCGGGUUCUGCAUUUUUAUACCCGGCUCGCCAGCCGCAUUGGCAUGCUAGGUAUGAAGAUAUCUCUUGUUAUACGAGUUGCCAAAUGGCGUCACUUGUAGAUUGGUAGUUUAUUAGUUCUACUGAAUAAAUUUGAAUGCUCCUUCUUGCAGCUGCCAUACUUCUCGUGAUCUUUUACUGCCACUGGUUGCUCUUCCCAGACUCAGUAGCAGCGCUUUGGAUAUUGGUCAUUGUUUCAGCCGGUCUACACUUUAUCAUUUUCUUAUGGGUAAGUGUAGGCCAUAGUUAUCUUAUUUUAUUUGUUCCCAACUUUCUAUUAAAAUUGUCAGCCUUUGACCUUUGUUAUGUAGGCUUGCAUCGAUGGUGAUAUGUGAUUGUGAAUGCGGUGGUACUGAGAUGAGCGUGGCAUUCCAGAAGUGUAGCUUUGAUUCUUUGCCAAAAUUGUGCUCAACUGUACAUUGGCUUCUCUUGGAUUAGUUCUUUUGAUCAACCUGUGACCUGUCUGUCAACAUUAUUCUUAGCCCCGGAUUGUGUAACAGCGUGUGCUGUUCGCUGUUGAUGGAAUUGUCUGACCAGUAGUUCACUACUCAUGCUGCUUUUUGUUUUUGCAAAAGGAUGUAUUGUAUCAAAUGCAACAUACUCUCACAAUGUUAUCUGAUAUGUUCUGAAAUGAAAUGGUCUUAUCCUUUACUAGUUCACAGCCUCAUGUCUUUUGAGCCUGCGAUGCGUCGCUGAAUUUACAACAUAUAUCAGCUCAACUGUCCUUCAGCAAUUUCAAAGUGUAAAUGUGUACAGAAUAGAAAAUCAGGUGGAACACUCAUGCUCAAAUUGCAAAAAACAUGUGAGUAGGGGGAGCUUCAAUGAAAAAUAAAAAUCUAUAUAGAAUUAGUCAAUCUUGAAUGGGUAUCAGCAAACCAUGGUGGAUUUUAUUGAGAUACUCCUUGCAAUGAAGAGACAUGAAGCAGAAUGCAUAAUAGGUUGUUUCCAACUGUUAUCAUAGAAGUGAGAAGCUAAUAUGGUAACCUCUAGCUUCCAAGAAUCAAAAAAAAGGUUCUCUCUAAAAUACUACCAGCACAAAACCAGAGCAAGUUCCAAAUUUUUUUUUCCCAAAACGCUGUCCUAAAAAAAUUUUCUCCCAAAAACAUAACAGGCCAUAGCAGAACGCUAAAACUUACUCUCGAAUAUUUACCACAUCAUCGUAAUUGGACCUACCUCCAGAACAGAGCCCUCCUCUACCUCCAGAACAGAGCUCCAUCGCUCCUUCGAACUUGCUGUCGGCCAAAUCCGCUGUAUCCCGGCCGCGUCUGCUCGAUUCCUCGCACUCCUUCGAACUCGCUGUCGGCCAAAUCCGCUGUAUCCCGACCGCGUCUAUUCGAUUCCUCGCACCAGCAGCUUCCCCUCGCCAUCCCGCAUCUAUUUCACCCAUCACCGACCUCUCUCGUCCAUUGUCCAGGGUCUCCCCUCCCUACUUGGCUGGCCGGCACGGGGCGACCGACGUGGGGCGACCGGCAUGAGGCACGGGACGACCGGCGUGGGGCGACCAGCGGCAGGUGCGGGGCAAGCAGGCGCGCCACGGGCGGUGCCUGUGCGGCAAAAAAAAACAAGCACGGGAAGUAUAUGGCGCGUGCGGGAACGGAGCUCGGGGGGAUUGGGGAAGACCGCGCGACGCGAAAAUAUGUGGGGUGAGAUGGCGUUUUUUCUCACCAAUCUUUUAGGGGAGUUUUGGGUGGACUAUUGAAAUUCUUUUUUUCUUUUUUCCCUAAAUAAGGUAUUGGGGGGAAAGAUCAGCCGCCUUUUGAAGUUGCUCUAACUGACUCGAUAGAAAAAAAAACAACUUAUAUCUGUAUACUAUCUUGAUUUCUAUUCAUGAUACAUCCCGGGGCACAAGCUGAUACUGUAUUAUUCAGACUCGCCGUUUAAUUUGUUCGAACUCUCUAUUUCUGCUUUUACUUCGUGGCUUUCUUGAAACAACCUUGUAAUAUCACACCAUAUGUAAGCACUGUUUGAUCUAAAGGAAACGUAGCAUGUAGGUUCAAUUUUCGGGAUGUCUCCGAAGAGAUCCUACAAAGCUUGAUCCUAGAGCUUUGUAGAUUUUUAGGAAAUUUCUAGGAAGUUAUGGGAUUAAAAUGGAUGAAAAGCAAUUCCUUAUGUACAUGAAAAUGUUGUUUUUAAUAUUUGAAAACCCAAGAUAUUAAGUUUAGAAUUUUUCUGAAUUGGAAUUGAUGUGACGAAGAAAUUUAGUUGUAUAGUUGACCUUAGUAUUUUUGGAAUUUUUAUGAAAAAGGAAAGGGCUACAAAUAGGAUUUUUGUCUAUAUGUUCUGCUGACGUGUGGAACCAGAACGGUGGGGUCGGGUGCUGCCACUGAGCUGUGGGCCACGGCUUGGUUCCGCCUCCAUGUCUGUGGCUCAUGUGCACUGGGUGCACGGAGGCGGGCGGCGUGGGUUGGCCCGCUGACUGGUGGGCUCUGAUGGCGGUGAGUGGGGUUGAACGUGGACCAUGGACUAGGGGUCUUUUGUAUCAUUGGUCCAAUGCACCAGGUGUAGGGAGAUGAAGGCAUGGUUGCGGCGGCCAGUGCGGCUGGCAGACGGCGCCUGCGCAACCGGUGCGCCGGCUCCCCCCUCCUUAACGCCGUCGAGGACUCCAUAAGACCAUAACAUCCUCCCAAUCUCUUUCCCUCUCCCGCUCGGCCGCUCCGCUCAAUCAGAGAUGGCCGACGAAUUCAUCGAAGCCGCUUCCCGCACGAUCUCCAUUUUGGGGGAGGGGGCUCUGAGAAGCAGAGCCGCCGAGCUCGUGAGGCUCGCCCUCGAGCACGUCGGCGUUGACGGUGUGCGCGACAACAACCUGACGGCAGCCGUGGAAGCGUUGUCCUAGGCGGACAGCGUGAGAAGAUCGCAGGCCGUCCUUGACCUCCUCAAUGUUGGAGGUAUGCCCUAGAGGCAAUCAUAGAGAUGAUGACAUUCCAUUUGUAUCCAUGAUUUGUAUGUUGUGUUCAUUGAAUAUCCAUUGAAGGCUACUUGAAUUGAUUUGCAAUUAUGUGAAUUGUAUGUGAAACUCUUUACUUGUAUGGUUAUUCUAAAGUUGUCCCUAGUCGGAGUUCAUGUGAGGACACACAUGAAUAUUAGACUAGCACAUGUAUUAGUUGAUGACUAUGUUUCACAAGUCAUGGACAUGGAAAUGUUGAACUAAUAAUGUGGACACAUGUGGAGACAUGUGUUAGGACUGACCCAACACGAGAAGUAGUUCUCUCUUUAAACAACAUGUACGCUUUGUCCUUUGACCUGAGAUUGUCGAAUGUAUUCUAGAUGUGGAUUGACCUACUUAGGGGCUAUUAAACGCUACGCCGUAACAGGGUAGUUAUAAAGGUAGCUUUCGGGUUUGUCAAGAAGCAUGCUAUGAGACAUGGUCAAUCAAGAUGGGAUUUGCCCCUCUCUGAUUGAGAGUGAUAUCUCUGGGCCCCUCGAGUGAUCGGAUCCGAAAAUGCAUGGCCAUGCUACGUACGGUUAAGAGUUAACCUACAAAGGGAUUCCGAAUCACAGGAUCGAGAAAGAGCGGUCGGCUUGAAGCUAGACCAAAUAUCGUGAGGCAAAGGGAAUAGCAUGUAUAUUAUGUUGUGAUGGUUCGUCUGAUAUGAUCUUCGUAUGCGUAUAGGAGUUGGCACGUCUUGCUAGAGGCCGCUACCGACUAUUGGGCCGAGUAGGAGUACUCGGGCCAUGUCUAUACGUAUCCGAACCCAUAGGGUCACACACUUAAGGGGCUGGAAGCCCAAUUCGGAUCUGAUCCGAGUUGGAUUAGGUUUAGGAGUACUAAUGGGCCUCGGAUCCAGAGGCCCGUCAGGAACCCCUAUAAAUAGAGGGGUGGGGGCGCCCUAGGGUUUACACCUUUUAAAAAAACAGACUUGCCGCGCCUCCCACGCCCUCGCCUGUUGCAACUCGCGGAUCUAGCAGUCCGGCUUGCGACGCUUCCUCCCUGCACGUGUGGAUACCUUGGAGGUGUUGCGCCUGCAGCACUUGGACGAGCCAUCGACGAGCCGCCGACGAGCCACGACGAGCCGACGACGAGCCGCGGCACCGGAGGCGAUCUUGCUGUGCACGUGGACGAGCUGCUGAGGAGCUGCUGGACGUGAUCGACUACGUACGACUACGUUGAUCGACUACGUACGACUACGUGAUCGUCUUCACUGCACCGACGCGUAUCUACAUCUUCCGCACCAGUAGUGCGUCGAGUGGUAAUCCCGUGAUCCUUAUACGGCAGUUCUUCCUGGUUAUACGCGGUAGAAAUUUUGAUUUGCGCUAGCGUAGCCUACCUCGUAUUCCUACACUCAAUACGGCCACCGCGCUGGAGGGCACGCUUGAAGUCAAGCUGGAUGCCCUUCGAGGUGUUGCGUCGGACUUGGCGAGCGCGUGCUGCGAGCAUCUGAAGAUCGCAGAGGACACCAGACAGGGCGGCAUGCCGCGGCGGAGCUGGGGGAGCAGGGGGAGGAGCGGGUUGCGGGACCAUGGUGGUGGUUGCUGCUCCGGGGGAGGGGGAGGGUCCAGCGCCACCGCGGGAACAGCUUCGAGACCUGCCUUUUCGCCGAUGAGGAUCCGCCUCCGCCCCCUCAGGUCAGGCAACAACAAAUCGGGAUGAAUUUUUGGGGGGUUCAUGCCCUUCGCUGGGGAUUGCGGGUUUACGCCCAUUCAAUUCAGAAGUGUUUACAGGCAACAGGGGCGAAGGAUCGCCCGGAGAUCUCCGUCAAGUUGCUACUGGAGGAAUCGAGGAAGCACGUGCGCGACGAGAUCUUACCACGAGCCCGCAUCAUCUAGAAGCUCGCCAACGAUGUCGGCGUGCCCCAUUGCCACCUGGACCGGGCCAUGCACGCAUUGAUGGGGCCAGGCAACGCAAGCGCGGACGUCGCCGAGCUCGGCACCGCGGCGACGGAACUGGAGCGAGAGGUCACCUCACGGCUCCGCGCUCUAGUGGCGGAGCUGGCGAAAGCGUGCCUGAGGCACCAGCAAGCAGCAGAGGCCAAGGAGGCGGUGCAACGCGCCGCCGAGGAGAGGGCACAGCAGAGAGGGAAUGCUGCUGGCGGCGUACAGAAUGAGCCACCACUCUGGUCGCGUUGUUAUUGGCCAUGGAUUGAUGGCAACGCAAAUACCCAAAUUCGACCACAACACGUAUUAUAUUAAUCAAACAGGUUUGACUUUAAUAAUUUCUUAGUUAGGAUAGAUUGGGAUUAUGCUAUUUGAUGACAUGGGAAUUAGUUAUUGUGCAGAUGGAUGGCACAUAGACCCAAAUUUAAUUACAGCACAUGUACUAGUCUAAUUGCUGUCUGAUUGUUCACUGGCAUUUUGCGUACCAAUUGCAUUGUUCUAGUCGAAUUGUUGUCUGACUGUUUACUGGCACUUUGCGUACUAGUUGAAUUGUUGUAUAAUCAUUUACUGUCGUUUCGCAUACCCGAUUGCAUUGAACUAGUGGAAUUGUUGUAUGAUUAUCCAACGACAUUUUGGGUACCAAUUGCUCUUUCUCAUUAUUCUUAUUCCUGCAGGGAAACCAGUGGGAGGCAAGCAUGCAGGGAUAUGCUCUGAGUGGUUGGUUUAGUCUGGUGCCCUACUUGGCAGCCAGCACUGGUAAUGUGCCAAGGGCUCUCAGCGACGAAGAUAGAUGGAAAAUUAAUCUGGUACUCUCCUCGUGUUUACUAUUGUGGCCAUUGGUGUUCUGUUGACUUCGACUGCAAGAUCUUGGGUUGAGCGCUUGCUUGCGAUGAUAUCAUCUCGAGUUGGAAUGUUUGAUACGUUUUUACCUCUAUUGCUAUAUAUCUGUCAUAUUUUGCUCAUCGAGCAGUUCUAGGUCUUAGCUGUUUCUCCACAUCCAUUGUAGGUAUCAACAUCUUUGCCAUAUUAUUCGUCUAUGACCGCAGGCCGUCCUUGACCUCCUCACUUCCGUGUGGCAGAUCCUACCAACAGAUGAAGCUGAAUUCCAGGUGGCAGAGCCAACCUACGAUGAAGUCCAGACCCUUGUGAUCCCGGGUGACAGAGCCAACCUUCGAUGGAUCACAACUUAUGCACUAAGUACUUAGAAACUAUAUGACCCAACCGGGAGACUAAUACUUGUAAGAAACAGAACUUUAUUACAACAUAACAAUAUUACACAAGAGUGUACAACACCCUCUCUUUAGUGGCUAGCCUGGCACUCACCCUUUAUUUCUACCAUACUCCACUCAUCUACCAUACUCAUGGUUGAAUGGCAUGGCAAGGAAAUGGGACCUCUAUUUAUAGGCCAAGCGAGUUUAUAGGAUGAUGACAUGUGUCCCCUUCUAGAGUUUUCACUAGACAAAUAUCUAUGUUCUACAUUAUUCUAAUUUCUUCAUGGCAACAACAUCUAGUGUCUUCAUAGAAAAUAUCAUGGAUCAUGAGUUGUGGAAAAGAUUCUAGAAGCUUGUAUUUGCUUUUCUUCAAUACUGAGGAGGAAACGGAUCGCAUACUACGUGGUGAAAAGGAUGCUUGGGCUGUACGUGUCUUUCAGCACUCCUUUAAGUUGUGUGCAAAAAGCUCAAAGUAUUCUAAUUUUGUUUUUUUUUCCAUGCAGUUAAAGAACCUUGAGGGUCACAUGGAGUUUGAGCAUGGUUAUGACAUGAGCAGUCCAUCUAUUACUACUGUAAGUAAAGUACAACAGGUAUGCCAAUGAGUAUCAAACUUUAUAUUUCUUGAACUCUUAACCAAUUAAUUAAGGACUCAACUAUAAAACUAGGGACAAAAAUAAAAUGCAUUUUAAUCAACUGUGACAAUUGACAAGUAUCAAUGCAUGGAAACUGGCUAAUAUAAUAAUUAACAGUUAAGAAACAUAGUGGAAAAUUUCACAGACUGAGGUGCAGUUGUGUGCAGAAGGUUGUCAUGGAUUUCUACAGCUCUUGAUGCAAAAGCAUCGAGAACACAUUGUACAUGACAUUUGAGAACACAUUGUACAUGACAUUUGAAGUCUGCAAACCCUCCUUUGGAAUCCUCCAGCUCUUUGUUUCGUCAUGAAAGAGCUUAAACACUGACACAAAUCUAGGAACUUUCACAAUAUGGAUUACAGAAAUGCCUUCUGCUGGUUGUAACUAUCAAGGAUCUCUACCAGUUCAUACUAUUACAUUGAUCAUCAGGUGUAAAUUCAUCGCAGUCAGGGCACCACCGCACCAGUUCUAGUACAGAAAUGCCACCUGAAACUUUCUCACACUUGACCCUAUGUGAGAAAACUCACCACAGGUGUCGAAGUACCCAUAUGAGAUCCAAAUUUAUCGCAGUCAUUUGCUUUGAGGUAGGCAGUCUAGCUUUAAAACAGCGAACGGAGAGAACUUUACUAAUCAAAGAUUGUAGCGAGGCAUACCAUCUGUUUCAUCAUAUAUGACUCAUACUUGAUCACUUUGAAAAUAACUUAGCAUGAUCAGCGAAAUUGAAGAAAUCUGCAUGCAUUCCACCAGAGCCUUUUAUCAGGACAUGAUUCUUGGUUCAAUCAGCCAUAUUUUUCAGCCACAUGGUGCUCCGUUGCUGCAUUAGCACCAGUUGCGCCAUCUCGUAACUCCUAAUUCUUUGUCGUGUGCCUUGCAGUUUCUCCUUAUAUAUACUACGAAAACUUCACGUCUUCACGUGACCUCCCACCACGACUUCAGCUAUUCUUUUAAACAAACCUGUUUACAGUUCAUCUCCCCCUGAUUUUCUUCUGAAUCAACUCUUUUGCUAACCCACUCCAUGACAUCAUCUUAAGGCCCCGUUUGGUAGGGCUUCUCAAAGUGCUUCUUCACCGGCUUUUGGUGAAGCCCUACCAAAGGGCCAAUUUCAAAACGGCUUCACCACCAAAGCCGGGGAGAAGCCGCAAAACGGCUUACACUAGAGAGGAGAAGCCGAAAAAAGUGGCUUCACCGGCUUCUCCUCUCUCUCCAAGUAUUAAGUGAUCAUAAAAUUACAUAUAUUGCCAUUGAGAAGCCGUUUUACCAAACGUUUUGCAAAACGGCUUCAACUUCACUAAAAAAGCCACUCCACCGAAGAAGCCACUCCACGGAAGAAGUCUGACAAAAAUAUGACGAAGAACAGGAUAGAUUUAUGUAUAGAUAGUUGGGGUUCGAUUUCAUUCGGCAGAAGCAGAUGUUAGAAGGUCUAGAUUAUGCUACUCUAAUGAUAAUUAGUGUUAGUAUCAGGCUCAAACACACUUUAGCUAAACGAAGAAUGAACAUGCUUACAGUCUGAAAAUGGGCAAUAAAGAUACUUAAGCAGCGAACAAAGUGAAAAGCUGAAAACCGUAGGAGCGAUGAUGAUCAUCGUUCCGUGCAUGGCUGUGUUUGUGACUUGGAGUCCGCGUCAAAUCGCUGAACAGAGAACGACUUCAUUUGGUACCUCGAGUUUCUGAACUUUUUGAAUCCGCAGACUGAAGAACGUCACCUUGCCCAUGGUGCUGCUUGUCCGCAGCGAGCUAAAUUUUCAAGGUCCAUUAUUUUUUUAAAGAAAAAUCUCAAGCUCCAUACCUAGAUACAAAUUGAGCAAAAGUAACACUAACCGUCACACGGUAGGCAUUUAUUUGCUGAGAAAAAGAAUCUCCAUCCCAUUAAUAACAUUAUCAUUCACGGGCUUGUUUUGCACAUCGAUAUCCAUAUAUGAUUUGAAGUUUGUAAGAUAAAAUUAAGUGUCUUUUACCUUGAGCUCGCCGCCGUUGAUGUCGGCGUCGGCGGCGUGCCCCGUGGCAACCUGAAGGCGGCCGCGGACGCGUUGUCCCAGGCAGGCAGCUCGGGAAGGUUGGAGGCUGUCCUCGCCCUCCUCGACGCGGCCACCGAGCUGGAGGACGCGCUUGGAGCCGACAUGGAGUCGCUUCGAGGAGGCGCGUCGUUCUUGGCGCUCACGUGCCGCGAGCUUCAGGAGGAGCAGCGGGAGGAGCGGCCGGCUGCGGGUCCGUGGUGGUGGCUGCUGCUCCGGGGGUGGCUUCCGCGCCGCCACGAGAAGAGCGUGGAGAACUUGGAGGCCGCUCUUCUCGUCAAGGAUCAGGUACGCAGGCAGCAACCCGAUUUAAGGUUUGUGCAAUGUGAGAUGGCGGGUUUAGGCUUCAAUUUCGGGGGAUGUUUGCAGGGAGCGGGCGAGACCAACUACGCCGCGCAGAUCGCUAUCGAUUUCAUGUGCAAGGAGUCGGCGCAACGCGAUAACCUGGUGAAGAUGGCCUGCGAGAUACAACAAUUCGCCGACGAUCUCGGUUUUCCCCACCACGACCUGGACCGGGCCACGGCUGCAUUGAUGGUGGCGGACAACGCGAGCGCCGCCUUCGUCGAGCUUGGCACCGCGGCAACUGAGCUCGAGCGGGAGGCCACCGCACAGCUGCACGCUCUCCGCGCUCCGAUGGUGCAGCUGGCGGACGCGUGCCGGAAGCACGUGGUAGGGGCUAAGGGAAUGAAGGCGCUGCUCCUCGCUGAUGAGGAGAGAGCGAGGCAGAAGGCCGCAUGUGCCUCGACCCGUUCAGGUAUGCCUAAUUCUCGGCUAUGGAUUGUGUGUGUUGCAUUUGCGGAUUACUAUGAUGCUCCUAUUCAAUCGUUUCAAUUGCAUCAAUUAUUGUGGCAGGAUUUCUCAAAGUACUUCUCCACCGGCUUUUGGUGAAGCUCUACCAAAGACGCAAUUGAACUGAGCAUGCAGGCUUGUACCGAGGGGGAUAUUCUAGCUUUGUUCUAUAGUUUUCGUGCAAACUUAAGUCCAUCGUCCACCUUUGUUAUGCAAGCUUGGUAUGAGGGGGAUCUGUGAUUCAAGUGAAUGGGAGUGAUAUCCACCAAACUGAGCAUGCGGGCUUAGUUUGUUUCAUAUGUUUUUUCCAAUUUUUCAGCUGUAUUUUAAAGCACACAAAAGACAACAUAAAUGUGAAGUACGAAAAAAGAUGUGAUGUCGAGCAGCAGCAGUUGGAUGAUUUUUUUUUUGUUGGAAAGACUAACCUAGAUUGAACAAAUUCAUUGUGUACAAGGGACAUGAAAAGGAGAAUUAGAUGUAGAAGGGAUAGGAAAAGGAGAAUUAGAUGUAGGGUUAGAAGGAAAGAUAAAUAAACCAGUUCCCCUCACACCUUGUAGACAGAAUGCUGUGACAAGAUAUAAAUAGGCCAAAUGAAUAGAGGUUGUGUGAUUGAAAGAAAUGUGGAAGUGUAUAUUCUUGACUGACGAAUUACCACUAGCAUCGCCACAAAGAAAUAUAGUCUACACUGUGCUGUGGUCAUGGCAAAUGAUGUUUCUGAAAUUCUCUUUCCAUGCUAUUCUUCACUCCAACAAGCUUAUGUCUCUUACUGUAAUGUACAGCAGGCAUGCCUGGUUUUACAGCUUAUGUUGGAUUCUAUGAGAUCUGUUCACCAAAGAAAGGGGAAUUUGUCUUUAUUUCUGGUGACAUCUGGAGCAGUUGGCCAGAUCGUUGGUCAACUUGCAAAGCUUCAUGGCUGCUAUGUUGUAGGAAGUGCUGGAACAAAUCAGAAGGGCUGUACUCAUACUAGUACCUUUUUCAUUUAAAAUGAAAUUCGCUCCAACCGGUAGUUGCUUGCAUUGCAUGCGUAGUUGCAUCAUCCAGGAUCUGCAAAUCUUUCAGGUUGAGCUCCUGAAGGAAAAGUUUGGAUUUGAUGCAGCUUUCAACCACAAAGGAGAGCCUGACUUGACUGCUGCCUUAAAAAGGUCAGAAUUUCUCCUCAGGAAAAUGGUAUCAUUAUCAGGCUAUCAGCUUAAUUUUAGCUUGCUCGAACAAAUUGAUCAACCAAGCUAUGAUCUAAAAUAUCUGAUUUUUUAAUUUGAUUGCGAGCCUCUUUUUAGCUUUUGAUGGACCUAGUAAGUAGUAAAUCAUGGAGCAACACAAAAACUUUUACCUUCCUUGGGCAAACUAUUUGUGAAGAUACCUUAUUAUUUAUUCACAUGGGGCACUUUAUCUUUUUUGCUUAAACCUAAAUGGUGGAACUGCUGAUGCAAUCUCAUAUGCAAGUGUGUUCCCUCAUGUGAUAAAUUAAACUUGUAUAAGAAUUUUGUUUAUACAACAAUACAGUGAUCUUGAUGUGCAAGUGUUCUCCUGCGUAAGCACUUUCCUGAAGGCAUAGACAUCUACUUUGAGAACGUAGGUGGGCUGAUGUUUGAUGCUGUGCUACUCAACAUGCGGGUGCACGGCCGCGUUGCAGUAUGUGGGAUGGUUUCCCAGCGCGGGGUAAGUGUUCCUGCUGGGAUCCACAACCUGUUCUGCCUGAUAAGCAAGAGGAUAGAGAUGAAGGGAUUCAUCACCUCCACCUGUUCCCACAGUUCUUCGAUGACAUCACCAAACAUUACAGAGAUGGCAGGAUCGUGCAUGUGGAAGACAUGAAUGUCGGGCUGGAGAGUGGUCCUGCUGCCUUUGUUGGUCCAUUUAGUGGUAAAAAUGUUGGGAUGCAGGUUGUGUGCGUGUCACAGGAUUGAAAGACCGUGUUCAUUCUAGUGAACAUUAAAAAUUACUUUGUAAAAUCAGAACCUUCGUUUGAUUGCAUAAAAAAGAGAACUCUUGUUCAGACUUCACCUUUUAUUCUGAAUGAAUUCGAGUGCUUACUAGCAUCGAGAUAUGUCAUCUUUACUCUUUACGAAGUCUUAGCUGCCGGUCAUUAGUAGCUUUGUUAUUGUCCUGAUAAAUCUGUGAUGUGAUGGUGGGGUCAGUGUAGCAAUUUUUACCAUCUACUUUUACAUGGUACUAUGGUAGUGUCAGUCUUCGGAGAAUGUUUCAUUCUGGAGACCGUUGACUCAGCGCAACUGUUUGUAAGUCUCGAGUCAGCAGGACUAGUAUAUGCAUAGCAAAGCAAUUAUCCUCCCUCUUCAAGAGCUCCAUGCCUGUGGUCAUUUAUCUAUUGCGGGUGGUGGCUUUUGCUUUGCCUGGACGGUGGAUCAUCUGGUGAGUUUUUUGCUACACCUAUCUUGUCCAUACACUAGUAUGAAGAAUUAUAUAUCAGUUGAGCAUCUAGUCAGUCCUCGUUAGUAUUACUUUUGGAAGACGAAUCAAAAAAUUAUUACAAUUUUACUUUGAGGCAGCGAGGUGCCUCUCUGUUAUCUUGUCUUAUAUGCCUAUUCUCACUAGUUUUCAGCAAGUGACACAGGAGUUGGGAAGCUGCAAUUGGCUGAGAAAACUGUUUGUUUUCAUGCCAUGUCUAAGAUAGCUGAUGAUAUCAAGUUUGCCCUUUGGUUGCUGCUGUUGAGCGGCUCAUCAUCGUGUUUUGGUUCUGAUCCUGAUGUCCAAUGCUUGAAGACUGUACAAGAAUCAGUGAUUGAUCCCAACGGCAUGCUAAAAUCCUCAUGGAUUUUUGAAAACAACACCGCCGGUUUCAUAUGCCGAUUCACGGGUGUGGAGUGCUGGCACCCUGAUGAGAACAGGGUUCUCUCGCUGCGUCUAAGCAACCUGGGUCUUCAAGGCCAAUUUCCUCAAGGUCUCGAGAAUUGUACAAGCAUGACCGGCCUGGACUUGUCGAGUAACAAUUUUUCAGGACCCAUCCCUUCCAAUAUUGCAUGGCAGCUGUCCAGUCUGACGUUUUUGGACCUCUCAUAUAAUAAAUUUUCGGGUGAACUCCCAAUCGGCAUCUCAAACAUCACAUACCUGAACACUCUCAACCUUCAGCACAACCAACUCAGCGGUCGAAUUCCAUCGCAGUUCGCUCUGCUUCCUCGAUUACAGGAGUUCAAUGUUGCGGACAACCAGUUGUCUGGGGCUAUUCCGCCUGCAUUACAGAGGUUCCCGUCAUCUAACUUUGUUGGUAACCAAGGGCUUUGUGGUCCACCGUUGCAUGACUGUGGCGGUAGAAGCAAACGGAAACUGAGAUUGCACAGGAUCAACGACGAGUCCAGUAUUGGUGCGGCUGCUGGGUUCGUGGUGGGAUUUGUUAUGGCCUUCUACUUUCCGCACCUGUUCGUCUUCUCCCAGAACCUCCAUCCCUACGUCUUCCGCAUAUGAUCUGCCUACUCUGAAACUUUUAUCUGACAUCAACCUCCGGAGAUCAAAUGAGUACUUCAACUAUAAUAGUAGUUCUUUCUUUAAUUUUUGGCAGCAAUUGGGUCUCACUUAUUGAUCAAUGGAUAGAAGCUUUCAUGCAACUGCAAUGAUCAUUUUUGUUUCCUUCUUUGUUUCUUAGCUUUGUACAAACCUUUUGUCUCCUUUGCUUAUUUAUAAUAUAUAUAUAACCAGUAGGGGCAACCCCUCCUAUUUCAUAAAAAUAAAAAGAAAUUGGGUCUCACUUAAGCAAUUUGUUUACACCGCAAUUUAGUAAAUGGGGUGUUUCGUUUCUAAUGUAGAUUUUAACCCUUGGAAUGUCUAAAAAUGAUCUCUGAUGUAUAUCAGGCUGCGACAAUUCAUAAAUCCUACCCCCUCCUCGAUCUUCCUACAGAGCGUAAAGAAGAGAAUGUUGAAACUUGAGCAUGGCACUGGUGCGAGGCUCGUAGAGUGACUCCAGAAAUUAACACUUGCCUUGGAGGAAAGCGAGCUCAACAAGUUCAUCACAGUUACACAGUAGUAAAACAAUUCAGGACUCUACUGAACAAACCAAGAAAUGCCGAUAAGCGUACUUGGUAUGUCAUCUCGGCAAUUCGGCAUGAUAUAACUGUAAACAACAUCAAACAUUUCGCCGGUAUCCGGGAUCCUUCUCUACAUAAAGUCGACACGGUUCCAGACUUCCAGUUAUUAUCGUGGGCCAAACAGCCUGAUCAAGCCAGUGACUAGUCACUGCCCCAGCAACUAUCUCCACAUGUUCCGCUGACUAGUCCCCUGACUAGCUGCCGUGUUCCGUCUUGGCGUUGGCGAGGUGAUCGUCAUCGUCUCGCCAGCGAAAAGUCCAACGUGGCACUCCGAUUGCUCCUGUUAAUCAACCGGUGACAAGAAAGACUUAAAUUUUCGGGUUCUGCGAUAGUCUUCACGAGCAGCUGCUGCUGGUGCUCGAGCUGUCGGCCGUUCUAACCUGCGCCUGCCAUAUGCCUACGCGCGAUUACAUGAUGGACUUCAUGGUCGUCUGGCUGCUGCUCCUAAGCAGCUUAUCCUCGUGUUCUGGUAUCGCCAGUGACAUCCAGUGCUUACAGGAGCUGAAAGAAUCGGUGAGUGAUCCUACCGGUGCACUCUCCUCAUGGAAGUUCUCUGAAAACGGCACAGAAGGGAACAUAUGCCAAUUCGCCGGCGUUUCCUGCUGGAACCCGUCUGACAGCAGAGUCCUGUCCUUGUGCCUCCGCAACAUGGGGCUUCAAGGUUCAUUCCCUCGAGGCAUUCAAAACUGCAGUAGCAUGACAUCCCUGGACCUGUCACAACAACCUUUCAGGGCCCCUCCCAGGAGACAUCUCUUUGCAGUUGAGGUACAUCCAAGAUCUCAACCUCUCGUACAACGGCUUCUCAGGUGAUCGAUAUGCAAGCUACUGGUUAACGGCCCGCGUUGUACAAACUUUGUAUGAACUUCCUCUUAAUUGAUGUGCAGCUCUCCUGCGUAUUCUAGAAAAUAUGCAAGCUACUCUCUCUGUCUAACCAUUUCUUCGCAAUGUAAAUGAUACUCAGCUCAUGUAUAUUGUUCUCUAACGAGAAGCUUCUCAGGUGAAAUCCCGCCCGGCAUCGGAAACCUGACGUACCUGAGCAGCCUGAGCCUUCAGCACAACCGGUUCACCGGACGGAUCCCGGAGAAGAUCGGCAAGCUUGCACAAUUAACUACGCUGAACGUUGCAGAUAACUCGUUGUCAGGUCCCAUCCCGGGCUCUCUCCAGAGGUUCGCGCCGGAAUACUUCGCCGGCAACGGCGGUCUCUGCGGGGCGCCGCUGGACCGCAAGUGCAAGAGGCGUUUCCAUGUGCGGAUACACAUCAGGCUGCGCAGGAUCAACAACGCGUCCAGCAUCGGCGCCGCGGCCGGGUUCAUCGUGGGGUUCGUCGUGGCGUUCUACUUCCCACACUGGUUCGUAUUUUGUGGGGGUCUUCGUCCCUACAUCGUCCCUGUGUGCGGCUGAUAUGAUAGCGCUCAUCUUUCUCGAAGUUAUAUUAUGCCACUUUUAACGGGAGUUUCGUUCGUUAUUUUUAAGAGGGAUAUAAUCAUCUCAGGAAGUUUGGGGUUGAUGAACGAAACAAGCCAUUAGUCACAGCAUUUAAUUGUUACACCGUGUUGUAAAAUAAUGAUUCGGUCAUAAUUACAUUCUUUUUUGUUACGAUGAUGUUAAGUACCAACGGAUUACUUUUUUCUUUAAAUAGUUUAUGAUGGUUGACACGAGGAAUGUAAUACAAAAUUUGAUUAAAUUAGUGCCGGUCUCACUAUUUUUAAUACUUGAUCCCACCUAUUUGAUAUUUCUUGGUAUUUUUCUCUAGUUACCUCUAGGUACUUUCUAUCUUUCCACCGCACGAUUUUUCUGGAUGGACGGCUUUUAUUUUUUCCAUUAUUAUAAAAAUCCUCAAAUGGAUAUACUAUAUUUUAUUAGAUUAAACUCAUUCCUUCUCAUUCUUUUUCUUAAACUUUUGUACGACCUGUAGAGCUGGGUCUUUCUUUGACUUUUCCCAUCCCUAGUUUCAAUUAAUUUGCUUGCUGGCAAUUUAGCAAACGAGGUGUUUCAUUUGUACGGCAAUUUAGCAAAUGAUCAUCUGGCAAGUCUCCAGAUGUGAUGGAAUUGUAAAAUCUACGUUCCAGUUUUGACAUCCCAAAAGUUACUAAAAAUGUUUAGAAUCAGGUAGAGCGUUCAGGUUAGUAAAGCGCCUCCUUCAGCAAGAUUUUCUUUCGUCACGGAAAGCGAGCUCUGCAACUCCGUCAGUCGUGAAUCAAUUAUCGCCGAACCAAUCUAGAAAUACACACGAGCAGACAAGCUGGAUCAUUCCCUUUCAUUCCCUCGUCCAUACGCACGCUAUCUACUGGGAGCAGGGGUGGUAAAAGACCUCUUAGCAAAUUUAAGGAUUGAGCUCAAUAAAAACCAGACUAUAAUAUUAUAUAAUUUUAAAUUAAAAAUAGAUAAGGUUGAAUUAGACUGUGAAGGGGACAUGAGGGUCAUGAUCCAUUACCACUGGGAAGCACAGUCAACAUUUUAUCAAUUUUUCUACAAAUAUUAUUCCAUUAUUUUAUGCCGUUACAACUUAAAAUUCAAUUUAUAUCAAUUAAAAUUCUAUAAUUGCACUUAAUAAAUUAAAAUUAUCAAACAGAUCUAAAAAAUUAUCAAAAUUUCACAUAAAACAAUCUAUGUUCACUAUUGCCUAUACAAAAAGUUUUGAAGUCAAAUCCCAAUUCGACUGUCACUUUGACUCCAAAUCUUACCGAUUCCUUCUUAACGCUAAGAUUCUUUUUAUGAGAUGCUUCGAUUUGUAAACAUCAUACGUGAUAAAUUGUGCAAAAUCUUCUAAAUUUUUUACCACAACCUCCAUGUAUGAUAUCAUCACAUCAUGACAAAUCUCAUAAUUUACAGACUUCGUUUGCUUUUUUAGAAUUUAAAAACCAAUCGGCCACACAUUCGUGUUCGUGUUUUCUGAACAAGAUGUUUGAAAUUUCUUUUAAUUUCCUGGGUAAGGCCUAACACUGACUCAAUAACAUGAAUAUCAUUUUUCUACUUAUUUUAUUCUAUUAUUUGAAUCACUUACAGUUCAAAUUUGACUUAUACCAAAAAAUUCCUAGAAAUACAAUAAAUUAAUUAAAUAUAGCAAACAGAUCCAGAAAUAUACCAAAUAUUUAACAUGGAAUACCACAUGUUGUAUGUUGAGAGUAGAAAAAAUUUCAAGGUCAGAAGAGAAAAAAAAUAAAAUUAUUUGCCGAGUGCCACAGAUUUAUACUCGGCAAAUAUAGUAAAGGAUGGACACGUGGCACAUUCUUUGCCAAGUGCCUCCCUUUGCUGAGUGUUUUUUUCCUCUUUUGCCGAGUGCCAAAAUUCGCCGAGUGUCUAUGGAUAUUUUUGCCGAGUGUAAGUCUUUGCCGAGUGUUUCCACUGACGGACACUCGACAAACAAAACUAACGGAUGUAUAGGUGGCACGUUCUUUGCCGAGAGCCUCCAUUUGUUGAGUGUUUUUUCCCUCUUUUGCCGAGUGCCAAAAUUUGGCGGGUGUCCAUGCACGUUUUUGCCGAGUGUAAGUGUUUGCCGAGUAUUUUUUGAUCUGUUUACCGUGUGUCGCAUUGUUUGCCGAGUGUUUUUAUAUUAGCCUAUUUGCUGAGUGCACGAUAGAAUACAUAGGCAAAAAUCUUGGCACACGGCAAACCUGGGCAUUCCGGUAGCGGCAGUGACCACCUCCACAUGUUCCUGUGGUAAGAUUGCUGUCUACCAAUUAGGCCGUGGACCCGUCAUGCAGAGUCGCUCUCUAGUCCCUCUGGUUGUGGCGUGGAGAGGCUGAUGCUUGUCGAGGAAAAAUCUUUGCAUUGCUAGAGUGGUAUAUUUGUCUCCUGUUUACUGCUGCUCGAAACAGCUCGAGCGCAUCUAUGUUCCACUUCCACUCCAUGAAGUUCAUCAUCUUGCUGCUGCUCCUAGGCAGAUUAUCCUCUUGUUCUGGUUCCAGCAGCGACGUCCAGUGCUUGAAGGACCUGAAAGAAUCGCUGGGUGAUCCUAAUGGCGCACUCUCCCCAUGGAAUUUCUCCAGCAACCACUUGGAAGGAUACGUAUGCAAAUUCAACGGUGUCGAGUGCUGGUCCCCCGACGAGAACCGCGUCCUGUCCUUGCGGCUCGGCAGCAUGGGGCCGGCUUCAAGGUUCUUUCCCUCGCGGCCUUCAGUUCUGCAGUAGCAUGACAGUACUGGAUCUCUCCGGCAACAAUCUCUCAGGGCCCCUCCCGGCGGGCAUCAACCAGCAGCUGCCGCUCCUCACGUCCCUGGACCUCUCAAACAACGGCUUCUCAGGCGAAAUCCCGGGGGACAUCGGGAAUUUUAUGUUGGACUCGUACCUGAACACCCACAACCUUCAGCACAACCGGUUCACGGGACAGAUUCCGGAGCAGAUCGGUACUUUUGCACGUCUAAGUUCGUUCAGCGUUGCAGAUAACUCGUUGUCAGGUCCCAUCCCUGGCUCUCUCCAGAGGUUCGCGCCGGAAUACUUCGCCGGCAACGGCGGUCUCUGCGGGGCGCCGCUGAACCGCAAGUGCAAAAGAGGCGUUUCCAUGUGCGGAUACAUCUCAGGCUGCGCAAGAUCAACAGCGCGUCCAGCGUCGGCGCCGCAGUCGGCUUCGUCGUGGGGUUCGUGGUGGCGUUCUACUUCCCGCACUGGUUCGUCUUCUGUGGGAGUCUCCGGCCCAUCUUCCGUAUAUAUGUGCGCCUGAUACUGAUACGCCGGAGAUUAUCAUCUAUAGUAAAUAGUCACUAGGCAACAUGUAAUCAGCGAAAAUUCUUACUGCAUCUUGAUCAAUAAAUUUGGGCAUUUGGCCUAGGCAUCUCACAGAUGUGUAGCAAAUUCUGAAAGAAAAAGAGAACCAGUUGCACCACUGGACAAGUGCGGCACAACCGCGUAGUGUCAGUCAAACAGGGCUGCCGCCAAUGGCAAUAGGCAUAGGUGCGCGUCCGCCUACCAGUUCCCCCGCCGGCGCGGCGGCGUCUCACCUCCCUCGCUUUCCGCUUGCACACUCCGGCGACCGCCGCUACCGCGAUCAUUUCAGAUCCGGCCAACUGCUCGUCGCCAACGUCCCAAAUCAACUUGUUGAUCUCCGGCCGGGCUCCAUUCAGAUCCGGCGGCCAUCGGCCGGAUCCUGGAUACCUCCGCCACGCUCCUGAAAGCCCAGCGGCCACAUCAUUGACGUUAUGUCCUCGUUCGGCGCCAUUAUCGUUUUCCCCAGCCCCUAGCUAGUUUCUUCUGGUUUGCCUGGAUCAUUUGGGAACCGGUGAGUUCUUUGAACCGGUGAGGAGACCAAAAUAACAAUAUUGUUGUUUCAUCCUUUCUUUUGUUUUUACCAAUGUGGAGGCUUCUCUGAGGCAUCUGCAUUUUUUGUGCUUCUGCAGGAACAAGCUUCUUCUUCUCAGGUGGAGUCAGUUUCUUCUUCUCAGGUGGAGUCAGUUGAGCAUUUUUGUUUUUAGGUUGAGAGAAGCUUUCUGUUCCUACACCAUGUCUGGGAUGGCUGGUAAUACCAAGUUCCUCCUUUGGCUGCUCCUCUUGAGCACGACCAGCUCAUCGUCGUGCUUUGGUUCCCAGCUAGAUAUCAGAUGCCUGAAGACUGUAAAACAAUCAGUGACUGAUCCUAACGGGACACUGGAGUCCUCAUGGAAUUUUGACAACACCGCCAAAGAUUUCAUAUGCCAGUUUAUAGGUGUGGAGUGCUGGGAAUGGAACCCCAGCGACAGCAGGGUUUGAAUCUCAGCAACUUGGGUUUUGAAGGCCAAUUUCCUCAAGGUCUCGAGUACUGUACAGGCUUGGCUAGUCUGGACCUGUCAAAUAACAAUUUUUCAGGGCCCAUCCCUUUGAACAUCACACGGCAGGAGGUGACAUACUUGACAUUUCUGGAUCUCUCGUACAACAGAUUUUCAGGUGAAAUUCCAAUAGGCAUCUGCAAUAUGGACCUGAACGUCCUAAACAUUCAGCACAACCAACUCGGUGGUCAAAUUCCAAGACAACUCGAUGGGAUUCUUCGGUUAACAUCUCUCAGUGUCGCAGAUAACCAGUUAUCCGGGCUUAUUCCUUCAUCCUUAUCCAAGUUCCAAGCAUCCAACUUUGCUGGUAAUCAAGGGCUUUGCGGUCCACCGUUGGAUGAUUGUGGCAAUACAAACAAAGCGAGUCUGGGAUCACACAGGAUCAACGACGAGUUCAUUAUUGGCUCGGCUGCUGGGUUCGUGGAAGGAUUUGUGGUGGCGUUCUACUUCCCGCAUAUUUUCAUCUUCUCCCAACGGCUCCAUCCAUAUGUCUAACGCACAUGUUGAUGUCUAUUUGUUCUGAAACGUUGUGGAGAGUCGAGACCAAGUGAGUUAUUAGACUGCAAUUAAUUCUUUUUUCCCCUAUCAGCAGACAAAAAGGAAACAUUCUCUGAAUUUGUGUUCAUGGAAACCUGCAAAUGAGGUGUUUGUUAUGCUGUAAAUGCGGAUUUCAACACUUCCCAUUCCAAAAAUGAUUUUGAGGCACAAUGGAAUGGGGAGCACGAACUAGGGGUACUUGGAUGUCGACUCGCCGCCGCCGUUCGCGAGGAAAGGAGCCGUGGAAACUGGAAACCUGUUCUUCAUCCCCCGCGACUCACUGCCACCGUGAGCGCCAUUGUUGGAGAGGAUAAUGAAUUAACCAUAUAUUUGCUUUAAGAUUUGUAGAAGUUUUAUAUGAAAAGAACCACCCAUUGACUAAGUUUUUGCCUCCCGGCCCUGCCGGGGGCCGGCCUGCUAUAAGUACCGAAUAACUUAGUCAGUGUCCUCUUAAAUCCAUGGUGUGAUGGCAAUAGAGCAUAAAUUAUAGCAUCUGAUCAGCCUCAAGGGUCAAACAGUCAAACUGGAGACUCCGUCCUUCUGUGGUGUAUAGUCAGUCCAACUGGCAGCACCCUGGUAUAAGUCUCCAGGUCAGCAGAACUGAGCAACUGACUGAAUAAAAACAUAUUCUCCAGUGGAGAGUCCUCUCCUUUUAUAGCUGUAUCCUGUGGGCAUCAUGUUCUGCCCUUCGCAUGCACUAAUAGAAGAGGAGGCUCAUAUCUCCAGUGAGGGGUUCUAUAUUUCUAUCAGCUUUGCGUGGAUCACCAGGUGAGUUUUCUGAUACACCUCAUCUUGUCCAUACACGCGCUACUUCAGAGUUUAGAAAAGCAACCCAGUAAAUAAUUGUUUCGUUGUCGUUGAUGCCUGCGUAGGAAGAGUGCUUGUUCUUUGCAAGUGGUGUAUUCGAGUAUUGUUACACAAGUUUUGAGCAGCCAAGGCGGGAAUUUAGAAGCUGCAACUUUUGGCUGAGAAACUCUGUAUUUCUACUCCAUGUCUGGGAUGGCUGACGAUAUGAGGUUCGUCCUUUUGUCGCUGCUGUUGAGCGGCUCAGCGUCGUGCUCUGGUUCUGAUCUUGAUAUCCAAUGCUUGAAGACUGUACGAGAAUCAGUGAUUGAUCCCAACGGCAUACUAAAAUCCUCAUGGAUUUUUGAAAACAACAGCUUUGGUUUCAUAUGCCGAUUCACGGGUGUGGAGUGCUGGCACCCUGAUGAGAACAGGGUUCUCUCGCUGCGUCUAAGCAACCUGGGUCUUCAAGGCCAAUUUCCUCAAGGUCUCGAGAAUUGUACAAGCAUGACCGGCCUGGACUUGUCGAGUAACAAUUUUUCAGGACCCAUCCCUUCCAAUAUUGCAUGGCAGCUGUCCAGUCUGACGUUUUUGGACCUCUCAUAUAAUAAAUUUUCGGGUGAACUCCCAAUCGGCAUCUCAAACAUCACAUACCUGAACACUCUCAACCUUCAGCACAACCAACUCAGAGGCCAAAUUCCAGAUCGAUACGAGUUUUCUAGGUUAAAUUUGUUCAAUGUUGCAAACAACCAAUUAUCUGGUCCUAUUCCGUUGCAUUUGCAGAUGUUUCCGCCUUCAAACUUUGCUGGUAACCAAGGGCUUUGUGGUGCACCGUUGGCUGCAUGUGACCGUAGAAGCAAAUGGAUCAGCGACGAGUCCAGUAUUGGCGCGGCUGUCGGGUUGGUGGUAGGCUUCGUGGUGGCUUUCUACUUUCCCCACUGCUUCAUUUUCUCCCAGAGGCUCCGUCCGUACUUCUUCCGCAUAUUCUGACAUCAAUCAUCUCUGGAGGCUAAAUGAGCAUCUGCAACGCUGGUUCUUUCUUUAACAUUUACCAGCACUUUGGUUUUCAGUUAAUUUGUGUACUCGGCAGUUUCGCAAAUGAGAAGUUUCGUUUGCACUGCACAUUUCAACACUUGAAAUUUCCAAAACCAUCUCUGGCGUGGUAACUUGUAAAACAUGGGACGUAUUUAGUUUCAAUCGAGCUUUAGGAUCUCUGCAUACUGCAUACAUUAUGUCGUCCAUGAACCUCUCGAGCAACGGCUUCUCAGGCCAAAUCCCGCGCACCAUAGCGAGCAUGCCGUACUUGAACACCCUCGACCUUCAUCACAACUGGUUCACCGGCCCGAUCCCUGAGCAGCUCGGCAGUUUUGGAGCGUUAAAUUCGUUGAAACUUCUCCCCGCCCAAUUGGCAAACAACUUGUCACGACCGGCAAGUGCGUGCCAUGUCAGUCACGACCGGCGCCGUGUCAGUCAAACACGGUAGACGCCAAUUGGCAAGUGCGUGCCCGCCCAAUUUCACGCGAGGAAAUAAACUUCUCCCCGCCGGCACGGCGACGUCGUCCCAUACUCCCAUCUCCUUCGCUUUCCAUCUCGUCUCCAUCCGACACUAGGUGGACUGACCCUAACAUUUAACACAAGGGAUUGAUCUCCCCUUUCAUCUGUCGCGGGUGAUGCCUUGUGCAGUUCUGCUUUGCCUGGAUCAACUAAGAGCCGGUAAUUCUCCUGAAACGCAUCCUCUGUUUCAGAUUUUACACGACUGUUGAACAUCUAGUGAUGGCGCUGCUAAACAUAUGGAGGAAAAAAAACUAAUAUUUCGAGUUCUUGUUUUUUUCUCUCACUUAUGCAGGUAGGCAUCACCAUAUUUUGUGCCUGUGUAGGAACACUAUUUCUUCAUUACAAGAGAAUUUUUUUUUAAGCAAUAAGCAAGAGAAGGUUUUGGAUAUCCUUUCACAGCUUUGAGCGGAACCAUGUCUUGGAUGGUCGGUGGUAUCAAGUUCCUCCUUUGGUUUCUGCUUUUGAGCAGCUCAUCAUUUUGUUUCGGUUCCGAACUUGAUGUAACCUGCUUGAAGACUUUAUAGAAAUCAGUGAUUGAUCCUAGGGGCAUAUUGAAAUCCUCAUGGGAUUUCAGCAGAUUCAUAUGCGGCUUUACUGGUGUGGAAUGUUGGCACCCUGAUGAAGACAGGAUUCUUUCGCUGAGUCUAAGCGACCUCGGGCUUCAAGGCCAAUUUCCUCAGGGUCUUGAGUAUUGCACUAGUCUAGUCAGCCUUGACCUGUCAAGUAACAAUUUUUCAGGGCCCAUCUCUUCCGACAUUGCGAGGCAGCUGCCCUAUUUGUCAUCUCUGGAUCUCUCAUACAAUAAUUUUUUAGGUGAAAUCCCACUUAGCAUCUCAAAUAUGGUUUACCUGAACGGCCUCAACCUUCAGCACAACCAACUCAGCGGUCAAAUUCCUGAACAAUUCAGUGGGCUGGCUCGGUUAACAUCGUUCAAUGUUGCAGACAACUUGUUAUCAGGAACUAUUCCUUCAACUUUGCAGAAGUUUCCGGCUUCAACUUUUGCUAGUAACCGAGGGCUUUGUGAUGCACCGUUGGAUGAGUGCCCCAGCAGAAAAACGAAACGGAGGCUAAUGAUCCAUGACGAGUCCGUUAUUGGUGCAGCUGUUGGGUUCGCCGUGGGUUUUGUCGCGGCCUUCACUUGGCUAUUAUUAUUGCAUCCUAAUUGCUUUGAGUUCAUGAGUUUGAUUUUAUUUAUGUAAUAGGAUCUAUAUUUCUUCUCUUGCAUAAAUGAUAUGGCAGUGCUCCUGCCAAGGUUUCAAAAAAAAAAGUUGUAGAACAAAAUUUCCUUCGCUCAAAAAUCAGGAUUUUGUUAUUUAUAUUUCAUGUAUUGUUUUCAACUCGGAAACAGGGAAGGGGAAAAUUCCACUUAUUACAAAUGUAUGUAAAUCUCGGCUUAGACCAUUGUUCCUGAUGUGGGCAGCUAACUACCACAUGUGGGGUUGCAUGGAUACUUGCAGUCGAUCUGUUUCACCCCUUUCCUUCUACCAAAGUACCAAUCUCCAACAGCCUCUGCAAUAGUCUGCUCCAAAAAAAAGUAGGAAAAAUACGAGGUUAUGGUUAUGCGACAUGCUUUGUUAUUGCAGUGUAAACUGUACAGUUCAGUGAUUUGGAUUGGACCUCACCUUGUUAUCAAGCCUUGGGGAGGUCGGCGAAUGCCAUGAGCCAUUCCAUUGAGUUUGACAGUGGGUGAAGCAUGAAUCGAUGAACAGCCCCCACUCCCUUUUACCUUCAGCAGCCUUCAACUCAUGGAUGAGUUUCCUUCUGAAUCCUGCAAAACACGGCCAAAGAAGAAAACAUUUGUCGUCAAAGGAAACAGGACGGACAGCACCGAUUGAAUGCUGAAAACAGAAGAGAUUGACAAGCUAGGCUAACCAUGAAGCACAUCGAUCUGCUUGGAACUGCAGUUCCCAAUAUUAUCUCUGCAAUUGGACCAUGUGUCUCCAGGAUAGGAUCCUACUGGCGCAACAACAUUUUGGAUCUGGAAAGUAUAAGCAUAUUUACAGCAGUUAGGAACUAGGAUGCUACCAAACUGACAAGUACUAGGAGCAAUUAGUAAGAUUGCAAUCACCUGCCAAGAAUCAUAUUCUGAGUUCACAAUAAACGUGGGGGUGCUGAUGCUCUUGAUAAGUUCAGCAGGGAAGAAACACUAGAGCAAAUUAAGAAAACAUGUUGGCAAAUGAGCCUGGCAGCAUAUCAAAGAGAGCUGAAUUCCGUAGACAAUGAGCAACUACAACUACAUACAUCUGUCGGGUCCUUCUUUGCCAGGCAGUCCUUGGGCAAAACUUCACUGACAUUCUACAACAAAAUUCAGAAAAGUUAACUCAAUCACUUUUUAGUAUCAAGCUGCACACACGUGUUGAACAGUUCCAUCCCAUGAUCACAUAAGGGAAAAGGCCUCAAGGUGAACAACUCCAGUCCACAGCUAACCUGAAGCUGAACAACGCCAUUGAAGACCGACCGCAUAGAUCUUUCUCCUGAUAAAUCCUUUCUGUUGAGGAAAAGAUGCCAUACUUGAUUUAGUACAAGUGCAACUUUAUUAUGCUAUUGGGAUAUGCUAAUGUCCAGAGACUAACGCAUCAAGAAAGAAUCCACCAUCAGGAACGCAUUUGACUGAAACCUCCUGAGGAAAUUUUGCACGAAAAUUAUCGCAAUGCAGUAGUGUAGCUAGACCACCGGCAGAACAACCUGCGAGUAAGGCCUGCAAACCGAUCACUACUGGUGAUUACAUUGCUAGAAGGCACUUGUGCAAGAAUACGAAAAACAGUAGUUAAACCUGUUUAGCUGUGUCCAUUCCUUUUCCCAUGAGUUCGGCGAUAACUGCUUCCCAGAUGCGCAAUCCUCUGAAGUACAAUUUGGUUCCAUCCUACAUUAAUUAAAGCCAGGAUCAGUUUGAGGAAUUCAGGAUAGGCAACUCACAUAGGAACCUAAAAAAAAAAUCACCUCUGCUUCACCCUCUGCGUUACCAGAAAAUGAUGCCCCGUCACAAUACCUUACAAAAGCUUUAUUCCAGUUGUAGAAAUCUGAUCACAGUUCAACACCAGUUGAAAUUAGCGAAAGGACACGUUGAGCUGUCAGAAGCAUCAAAACUCAAUUCAGAAGCUUCGCCCAGACAAAUAAUAGGGAGAUUGAAAGCGAUCUAGCUGACUAGUUGUGCUAUUUGAAAGAGGCACGUUUCUGAAGACCAAAUAGUGGAUCCACGAAAGAAGCACCUGCACUACACGUACCGGGAUUCUGUGGUUGCUGGUCGUUGAAUACCCCAUCAAAAGUUAUUGGUUCCAUAAACUUGGACGAACCAUACGCGGUCAUUUUACGCCCGGAACAAGUUUCUGUGGUGUUGCUGCUGCACCAAGCUCCUCCCUGAGUUCCAUUUCAUCAAUGUAAAAUCAGCAAUGCUGCGCCACGAAAUCUACUAAUUAAACAUGAACAGAAACAUCCCAUCGUGCAAGAAUGAACCCGUAUGUAGCUGACUGUAUAUAACAAGCACCCAUAUCAUAUAUAGCCACAACAGAGUUUUGUUGCAGGUUCCAGCUUCAAAAAAUCGUGCACAACAUCGGAUGAUUAUCUCAUCUUUCGUUCAUGGAGACGAUUGGUCACCUGAAGAAAGACGAUCCAGCUUUGGGAUCCGGAGCCGGAGCCUCUCUGCAAGUGGUAAGCAGGCGGGCUUCCAUCCAAGCACACUGCAACGCAUGAACAUACACAGAUCAUCAAGAACAAAGCACACGCGUAAUGGAAGAAAUCAAGGAGGCGACAUCGUUACAGCUCAAUAUACCCGCGCCCUUCUCCUGCGCGCCGGCGACGAGCGUAAGCUCCACGAGCCCCGGAGAAGAAUCCGCCGCCACCGCCACCGGUGAGCCGGAGAAGGCGGCGGCCAGGAGCACGAACAGUGGCGCCACCGCCACCGCGACAGUGUGGGUGUGCCCUGCAGGCCGGUGCUUCCGGACGACGAGCUGCGAAUUGUGCUCGGUCGCCAUGGCCGUCGUCGCGCUCGCACCGUGGCUUCAGCUAGUCACUGGGAGCCGGAACUACGGGUUGGUUAUUGCCAUCGUCGACGUCGAGUCUGUAUAGCUCGUCAAGCCGCGUGAUGGAAUCGAUCAUGGAGGCAAAUGGAUGGAACCCGCCAAGUGAGUCAGGAUUUAAAGAGGAGUAGGACACGGCAACUACCUCCAACUCCAAACGACAAGUCUACAGACUACAGAGACCGGGAGGAGACUCUUGACGCGGACUCCGUCGCUCCGCCGUGUACAGUGGACGAGAAGACGACGACGAGGGCCGGCUGCGGCUUUGCGGAAGAACGCGUGAUGACCGCGCGUAUCCCUGCCGAAACGUUCACGUCCCACACUGCCCACUUGGCACUUGCGGAAAAAUUCGCCAAAACAAAGACGACAUCCUGUUGUAUGAUCGCUCCUCCGGACAUGCAGAUUUUAUACACAUUUUACUGAAUCUGUCUGUUCAUUUUGGUGAAAGUCUUGUCUGUUGAACCCAGGAGGCGUUGGUGAAAGUCUUGUCUGCUGUCCUACUGCAUGAAUGGCUCAGCACUAUUCAGAACGAGCAGCUUUAUUCUUCUGUGAAUGGCAGUAUGGCACUAGGCUCUCAUGUGCUUUUAACCCCACAAAUGCCACGCACGCGAUGUUGGUGGACAUCUCUUUUCCUCGCCUUUUCUUUUGGGUUCUUUUAUUUUUUGAAAGCAACAGACGCUGAGAGACACAUAUACAGACGCAUGCAAACGAGCCCAUAACAAAUGCAGAAGAUACAGAUACGCAAAUGCAGGUCGAGGUGUAUCCUGAGUCUUGACACACUCCUGGUAAUUCUCAACCAAUCAUUGUAGGCAGCUGGUUGCUGCACGUGGGGUUAGGCUAAUCCCAGUGGGAGUUUCAUAGAGGUUUUAUGCAUAUUAAAUACGGUGACACAUCAGCAUAUGUGAUGACAUGGCAUGGUAGUUAUGAAGUGAGAGAGGGAAGGAGUUUCAUCAGGAUGAAACUGUGUAUACACUGUUUCCAAAACUAUGAAACCUAUUGAAACUUGCAUUGGGGGCUAUAGUUUCAUUUCAUCUAACCAUAUCCAAUCACAUGCCUCACAAUUAAAUGUCAUGGGCAUCCUAUGAAAUCGUGAAAUGAAACUAUGCACUAGGACUCCCUAUUUCAUUCAUGAGAAUACACCUCAUGGGAUGAUGUGGUAUCCUUGGAAACAGUGCAAUGAAACCUUGCACUGGGACUAGCCUUACGAAGGACCGGGACGCGCAACCAGACACGGUGAAUGCGAGCAUAUCAAAAUUCUUUUCUUAAAAUUCAGCUUAUAUCACAAAAAUCACCUUACACGCCUCUUUUCUAGAAUUGUUAGAUUUACGUAGCCAAAUGAGAUGCUACUAGACCUAGGAACAAAACUAGAAAACCCUUGACAUAAAGCGGAAACAAGCACGGAAAGGGCUAAACAAAAGUUGGAACCAAAACCGGAAGGGAAUAUUCCCAAAACCGGAGGGAAAUCUUCCAAAACUGGACCUUCCUCUUUUCAAAACUGGAACCUCUGAUUUUGCCCACAGAGCCUAAAGGAGCUCUAGGAAAAAUAGCAAAACUCGACCAAACGAACUCCAAAAUUCACGAGAUUUGGACCAUGGCUUUCCAAGGCCAUCAAAAGUCUAUUCCCAAGAAAUCUCCUCAAAACAAUUCCCUGUGCGGGUCAAGAUCCAAAGAAAAAGGAAACUCGAUCAAAUGACGUCCAAACUUCACGAAAUUUUAGCCAAAGGUUCUCCCAGAAGCAGUGAGCCUUUGCCCUAAAGAUCUUCUCAAAAAGAUCAGGAUUUCACCUUGAGUUUCAUGAUUUUGGUCAAGAACACAAAAGAAAACGCCCACCUUUCAAAUUGAAAUUACUCCAUCAAAACUCCAUGAAUUGAAACGAAACUCGAGCCACAGUAGCACCUCCUCGAGGGAUAAUAGAUCUAGGAAGAAGAUCUCAAAAGCUUAAGUAUUCAUCAUGAAUUUUGGAGAAAACCAAAUACCCUACAAAGAACACGAUUUGGAGAAAACUUCAAAUCCGAGCCAAAUUCAUGAGGGAUUUAAGUGGGAUCACAUCAAAGUUGCUCACAAGGAUCCUAGCAACAAAAUACCCCCACAAAUCUCACGGUAUUUGGCCUCAAACACGAAGAACAAAAAUUCCCACGAAAAUGCUCCAAAAAACCUGAAAAAGAUAAAUUUCAGAUUCAAAGAGGAUGGAACAAGUGAGCACGAAAUUGAUCUUUUGAUUACUCCACCAUAUUCAGUUACAAGCCACUCCAAGCAAAAUCAAAGCUUUGGAUGACAAAAAGAUCAAAUUAAAGAUCCUCUCAUCUCUCUCCUUCUCUCUCCUACCAAAGGCUCUCACCAACAAAAUGAUAAGCCCACCACCAAAGAGCCAAAGAGAUGUAGCUGCCCCAUGUUGACGCUCAUUAUUGACACACUUUCAUGCAUAUUCUUAUACUAACCCGUCACUUGACACCUGAAAUAAUCCCAUUUUCACAUAUGCAAGAUAUUUUGGAGGAUAUUUUGUUUUCACAGAAAUUGGGCUAAAUAUGCAUUUUUUGGAUAAAGUUUUGAACGAGCAGUGGACCACAGGAAGAUGAAGACCAGGAGGCAAAAAAGGGCCCAGGCCAAUCGGCCUGGUGCCCCUCAGGCCGAUCGACCAAUCGGCCUAGGGUCUUUUGACCCUCUCUUGUGCUCGUUUUUGUCACGCAAUCCUCCAAGAUGACUUAAGGGCUAAGUUUGUGAAGACAUAGUAAGAAUCACUUCGGGAUUAAGGAGAAAUCAAAGAAGAUCAAGUGGAGAUUUGGAAAGUUAUUGAAGAUCAAUCUCAUCCCAAGCUACCGACAUGCUAGGCUCACAUGCAAGUGAAAAUAAGCUUCCAAAAUAUCAUAAAAGACUUAGGGACGAAGAAGGGUGCGAGAGGCCACAAGGAAGGACCAGGCUGAUCUAAGGAUUUUCUUGCUACCCUCACCUUCCAAUUUCUGCCACACGCUUUCCAGACAAUAAAGACCCUGAAAAUUCACCGAGCCCGCAGAUCAAUCCACCAGAACUUGAUGAAACCAAGAACAUCCACCAGAGGGAGCUGAGGGGUGCUGCAAGCCUUCAAAGUUGUCUAGGAGAUGGCUUAGGCCAACCCUAGCCGCCAUGGUCUCCCUAAGCGGUUGUGCCAUGGUGGAGUUCAGGAGCUAGUUGUGAUCAUCAAUGGUAUAUACUUGGAGGUGAUGAUCUAUAAUAUGAGCAAUGUCCUUCAUGUCAUCCGAUCUAUUAGCGACUCAAUGCCUCUUAUAUUAUUGUAUCUAUCAUGAAUAUAUGUGUUCCUUAGUCUAAUUCAUGGUUAGACUACCUAGCUUUCUUUUAUGGAAUCAUGAUGAUUAGAUCUAAUAAGUUGAUCCUUCUUAAUAGCUAGACACGUUUACCUUAUGAUCGUGCCCUUAAUCUACCUAUGCUGAUAGAGAGGAUUGUGACGGGAUCUUUCUUGUGUAAGGUGGGGGUUUUUGAGAGGUUGACUGGAGGUAGUAGUUUAAAGAUUGUUUUGGAUGAGAUGCAUGUUGUCUAGAACUACAACUGAAGAUGAUAAGCUUUUGCUACCCUUGGUGGUAUUAUCAUAUAUAUAUAUAUAUAUAUAUAUAUAUAUAUAUAUAUAUAUGUGUGUGUGUGGAUGAGAUCUACUUUACUCAUGCUAUUAAUCUUACAUCAAGUUUGCUCUCAUAUGCAAUCUAUACUUCAUGCUAAGAUUAGAUCCGUUGAGCUAGAUAGAGAACCCUAGUCAGUUCGCUGCCGAUCCACGGAUUGAUAAACCUUGGAUGAAAUACUCUAAGUAAAAAGCUACGAUGAUCCGUGCGCUUGCGGUUCACAAACUGGCAUGCUAACUAUCGUCAACACCCAUCAACCACUCCUCGUAUAUAUAGACAUUUGGCAAAUGACCAAAAUACAUUUACAUGAAGAUACAACCCAAAUACCCCAUAGGGUAAAACCGUCCAACUUUUUAUCAGUACAUCGAACGGACCCAGCGCCUUCACGACUUCGCUUCGCCUCGACGCAAGCUUCACGAUGGUACCACGCGUCCUCCGACUUGAUGCCGUCCGGCCGCAUCGGAUUCGCCCCCCGGUUUUUAGGUCAAACCAGUCAAAACCUCUUGCACACCCCGCAGGCGUGACUCACCCCCGGUUUUGAGGUCAAACCGAUCAAACCCUCUUGCACACCACGCUAGCGCGUGACUCACCGAUGUCGACGCGUAUCCGACCUCCGCCAAGCCUUUGACGCCUCCAAAUCUUUCGCUCCCCCUCCCGAGCUGCCUACUCGACUCGCCUACAUCCCGCUUGACUCGACCAACGCCGUCUCCAUCCCGUUCGUGUACUUUUGCUUUUCCGUGCACCAUGUGGAUCGCCCAUGAUUCCACCCGAACUCCUCGGGUCCGUCAGUCCAAGUGUAGUCGUAUUCUCCCUUCGCAGCCCUAGUUCAUCGGCAUGAACCUUUCACUCGACCUUCACCUCAUGCCGUCGACCGUCAUAUCGCUUCACCUCAUGCCGUCGACCGUCAUAUCGCAUCCUACACCUGCACAUCACAAGCCAAGAGACGCAACACACAAGAUAUGUUUUACACCCACAUCACAAUACACACAACACAAUACCUCCGGUUAGCCGUUAGCAUAAGCAUGCACGUAUGAAAUAUGGACUCAACCGGAAAAGUCUCAAAUCAUCUAAUCAAUCACUCAUCACAAAUAGACUAAGGCACUUCUCAACUCGAUAUCUCAGUUACAUGGAUACUUGCAGACGAUCUCUUCACCCCUCGGCUUCUACCAAAGUGCCCAUCCCCAACAGCCUCCGCGAUCGUCUGCUCCGCAGAAAAUCAAACUAUUUUAGUCCAAGUGUAGACGAUGACGCAUCCAAAACGAAAGACAAAAGAAAACGCUGUGCCAUCGCAGCGUCGCCGGCGUACAACUGCACAAGAGGAGUUCAAAUGUUUUGAACAUCACCUUAUGACCAAGUCUUGGCGAGAUUGGCGAAUGCCACGAGACAUUGAACGGAGUCUGACAGUGGGUGAAGCAAGAAUCGACGAACAGCCCCCAGUCGCUCUUACCUUCAGCAACCUUCAGGUCGUGGACUAACUUCUUCCUGAAUCCUGCAAAAAUGUACAAGGAAAAUACAUUGCGCCACUGGCAGAUGGUCACCAAAAUGAGAGUAGAAAACGAAGAGACCAAUAAGAGCUUGGCUAACCAUGCAGAACAUCAAUCUGUUUGGAACUGCAGUUCCGGAUAUCAGCUUUGCAACUCGACCAUGAUUCUCCAGGAUAGGACCCAUUUGGCGCGAGAACAUUUCCAAUCUAAGCGAAGGUAAGCAGUUUCGAUUCUGACCAUUUGAGACUAAUGUGCAGGGGAAAAAGGAGAAAGAUUCUAAUCAAUAAUCACCUGCCAGGAAUCAUACUCCGAGUUCAGAAUAAAUGUUAGGGUGCUGAUGCUCUUUAUAAGCUCAGCAGCAAAGAAACACCGGGAGCAAAGAGCCAAAGAACAUGUCAAAAAUUAAUCACAACUGAAUCUUACUAUUACUAAUUGGAGGCUCCUUUUGAAGCCUCCAGAUGAAGCCACCUAGGAUUCCUAGGUGGACACUCUAGAAAAAGAGAGAAAUCCUAGAAAUUCUCACAAAAAAGCAAAACAUCCCACCAUCAAUCUAUAGAUUCAAAUCAUCAUAGCCAUUGGAUCUAUUAUAUUUUCUAAAAAAUUACCCACCUAUGCCAUUAUGAAAAUAGUCUAAAGUAACCCCCUAAAUCUAUAUAUAAAUUACCCACCUCUGCCAUUAUAGAAAAUAAACUAAAGUAACCCCUAAUCUUAAUCAAAAUUACCCACUUAUGCCAUUGUAAAAAAUAUUUAAAAUAACCCCCUAAUUUGCGACUGAAUUGCCUACCACUAUUACUUAAAAAACUUAAAGUAAUCCUUUAAAUUUGCAUCUAUAUUACCCACACAUGCUAUUAUUAAAAAUAACAUGAGGUAAUAACCCUACGUAAUGUACAACAAUAUAUGAUUCUAAAUUAUCUAUAUCUUGCACUAUUGGUAUAUGAUAUAAUAAUUAAGAUCUAUACGCAUGAUGUGUGUCACCAUUUAUAAUUAAAGAUAUAAAGUGAUGGGAAUAUAGAUUUCUAUGCUAAAUUAAAGAUAUAAAGUGAUUGCAUAGAGUAAUUAUUAAUUAAAAAUUAAUCACAACUGAAUAAAGAUAGGUACGUACCUAUAUAAGUAUUAUGUUGAAGUAUUGAAAAAAUAAGAGAGUAGUAGGUAAACAAUUUUGAUCAUUAGCUAAGAGUUUAACUUUUAAAUAAUUUUCAAAUACAAUAGCUUCUAAAAAUAUUAGUUCGUGCGGGAGUACGGGUUGAUGUACUAGUAUAUAUAUAUACUAUAUAUCAAGGAGGACUGAACUAGACAAUUUGCAAACUACCUCAGUCGGAUCCUUGGUUUUUGCGAGGCAGUCCUUGGGCAAAACUUUUCUAACAUUCUGGAAAAAAAUUCAGAAAAAAUAACUCAAUUUCCAUUUACUACCAAGCAUGAUGCAUUCCAAAAGGGAGGAACGAAGGUGAACAACUCCGGUUCACAGCUAACCUGAAGAUGAACGACUCCAUCGCAGACCGACCGCAUAAAUCUUUCUCCAGAUACGGUAUAGAAGAUUCAAAAUUAAAUUUGUAAACAAGCAUGACACUAGUAGGGUAUACAAUUUUCACAAACUUGCAUAUCAAGAAAGAAUCCAGCAUCAUUGAGGCAUUUGACUGAAACCUCCUGAGGAAAUCGUGCACGAAAGUUAUCGCAGUGCAGUAGCGUAGCUAGACCACCAGCAGAACAACCUGCGAGUAAGGCCUGAAAAAGAAUUCUAACUCGGUGCCAGUGAUUCUUGCCCAAACCAGAUGAAAUUAAAAACAGUGAUACCUGUUUAGCUUCGGCCAGUCCUAUUCCCAUGAGCUCAUCAUCAGUCCUAUUAAGAAUUACUUUCCAGAUGCGCAGUCCUCUGUAAAAAAGUUUGGUUCCAUCCUACACCAACGCUACAUCAUCAGUUCAAGACUUGAGGUAGAUUAAGACGGGCAGCACUGCACAAAUCAGAGUUCAGAAAACUCACCCGAUCUUGGCCCUCCGCAUCCCCCGAGAACGAUGCCCCAUCACAAUAUAUCUUAUAACAACCUUAUUCCAGUCAUAGAAAUUUGGUCAUGUGCAAAGAUGUAUUGAGCAGGCAGAAGCAUCAAAAGGCAACUCAAACGUUACGUCCUGAGGAAAGUGAGAGUGAUGGCUAGGGACAUGGAAAAAUGAUAGCGGACUGGACAAAACAUUCCAAAUAUGCGAUCCCAACAAAGCAUCUCUUCGCGUACCAGGAUUAAGCUGGUGCUGAUUGCUGAGCAUCCCGUCAAACUCUACUGGUUCCAUGAAUUUAGACGAACCAAGUGCGGUCAUUUUGCGCUCGGAACAGCUUUCUGCGGAGUUGCACCAUGCUCCUCCCUGAAUUUUAUCAACCGGAAAAUCAGCGACAGAGUUUGUCAUAGUUAAACAUCCUAUGGCGCAGGAGCUAGACAACUUAUUUAUAACCGCAACCACUCCUAGCUUACAGCUUUCAGUCACCAAAAUUGUGUAGAGCAUCUAUCGGAGUAUGAGUGCUUCAGAGUUCAGACGCAUCUAGCAUCUUUUUUAGAUAAAGGAAUGGUAUAAAAAGGAUGCUAGAUGCGUCUGAAUUCUGAAGUACAUUCAUGAAAAAUAGCAUUUUCCAACUGAGUCUGAAAGAAACGAUCGAUCAGUCACCUGAAGAUAGACGAGCCAGCUGCGGGAUCCGGAGCCGACGCCUCUCUGCAGGUGGUAAUCCGGCGGGCUCCCAUCCAGGCACACUGCAAUGCAUGAGCACUACCAUAUGGCAUCAAGAACCAUCUCCGCACCAACGAAAGAGACGAGUGGAUAAUUAGUUGAACACGUACCGGCGCCCUUCUCCCGAGCGCCGGGGAGGAGGGUCAGCUCGACGAGCUCCGGGGCGCCCGUCGCCACGGCCACCGGUGAGUGGGAGAAAGAGGCCACGACCAUGAGCACGAGCAAGGGCGCCGCGACAGCGACGCUGCGGAACGGGCGGCGGACGCCGGAGCUUGGUCGCCAUGGCCUUGCGCGCGCGCGCCGCUGGAGCCAACGAUAUGACAGAGCGGAAUCUUAGUUGUGCCGCGUGAAUGCGUGGUGGAUCAUGGAACCCGCCAAAUGAUCUGGGUUUAAAUAAGGGGAGAAUGCAGCCAGUCCUGAUAGGCACUACUUGGCCCAGUCGUACGAAUCCCAGAUUCGAACUGAGUAAAAUUUUGCUUAAUCCAUAGUUUAGGACGCAGAACUGAACAAUAAACUUUGCUUAAUGCAGAGUGUUCGGUGCUAAGAGAAGGGAUGCCUACAAUUAUAGCGGUUCGUUUUUUUUUCCCUGUGAUGAACAAGUCCAUUUUUGGUCAAUAUAGAUGGGUUGGUUGACAUUCAACGCCAACAUCGAAACAUUUGCGCAGAUAUGGGCCCAUAUUUUUCUAGCCAAGUCAGGCCCUCACAAAUGUGGGUGGGCUGAGGCGCGCGUUCGACUUGGCGGAUGGGCUUGGGCUUCUUGAGGAGGAAGGUGGGCCUGUCGGUGCGAGUAAGCCCGGAACCCCAUGGACCGUUUCCCUCCACCCCGCAGCUAGCGCGGUGGCGCAGCGAGGAUCAGAGGAGCAGCAAUGGCGAGGAGAACUGGAGGAGGACGGGGACGGGUGAGGCGAGGGCAAAAGAUGGCAUGGAUCCGCUGCGCGCGGCGAGGAGGUGAGUUCCCGAGUCCCCUUGGCUAGUUGGAUUUUGCGGAUGGGAUUAGGUUAGUUAGGGUUUGAACUGAAGCCAAGUUUAGUAAUCUGGCGGAUUUAGCGGGUCUCUUGUGAACUUUAAUUGUUGUUUUUUCCCUGCAAGUAGGUGAUUUCGGUAGAGGAUAAGUGGUGGAUCCACAUCCACAACGGUCCCUCAAAAAUCUUUCCCAUUGGUAGCAGGUUCAUACUUCAUAGCACAAUGAGUCCUGACCUGAGUCCUGAGUAUUAACUGCAAUUCGAAUCAUCAUCUGGUCCCAAAGUAAGCAACAUAGUGUAUUAGUUUAUCCUUCGUUUCACUCGAGUGUACCUAAUCGGAGUGCAUGUUAGGGCUACAGAUAAUUUGGUUUUCAAAAAUGUGCAUUCGACAAUGUUUGGAUUGCAGGUUCAGUUCUAAUUAAUCACAUCUUAAUGCACCUAUAUGCUUGCCACUUAGAACCAGAUUGAUUCGUGUGGUUAUCCUCAUCCUCGAUCGUCGUUAAUAUGCCGGCCAUUUCCAGUUUACAAAGUUCUGAAUAUUUUUUUUCUCACACCAGUUUUAAGCUUGGGGUCUGUACUCUGUAGAGACUUGGAUAUGCAAAGCUGCCAUAACUCCAAGUUCAUAUAUCCUUUUAGUUCAAAAAAAAGUUCGUAUAUCCUUUUAGUUCAAAAUAUCUUAGUUUUCUUCAGUCGGAGGUAUCCACUACUCACUGCACUUUUUAAGGACCGUGCUUUUUUCCAUAAGCUACUGCUGGUUUGGCUUUUGACUUCCCUAUUUCCUGUGGAUUAGCCGAUGAUCCAUGGUCUGCAACCUUUCGUUUGUUCCACUACAUCUUUCCUCCGAUGUCAUAUGGCUCAGAUUCAGAAGUUCCUCACAUAAGAUGUUGUAACAUUCUGAAUUUUGUGAUAUCUACCUUCCAUGCUCUUUGUACAGAAACUUUUGCCAUGUCGAAAACUUAACUGAUUUUACUUAGAAACAAUAGGUCCAAAUCAGUUCUGCUUCAUUCUGAGUAUUGUGUUGAUGUGAAGUACGACUAAUAGUACUUCAAAUCGUGUUUAGUUUAAUGCAGGUCUUAUCAACAAAAUAAAGUCUCUUUUUGAAACCUCGACAAGACAAAGUUAGAAUUGAGGUUAAAAACUGUGAAAAUGGGGAAAGACCUGUAAUCAGUGCGGUCCUUUAUAGAUUAAGCACUAGGCAGACGGCUGCUGCAUGUGGGGUUACAUGGAUACUCGCAGUCAAUAUAUUUCACUUCUUCCCUUCUACCAAAAUACCAAUCCCCAACAGCCUCUGCGAUAGUCUGUCAUGCCAGAGGGGAAAAAGCGAAAGAAUUCAGGAGAUAUUAAUCCAGGCAAUAGAGACAGGAAACCAACAGUAUUGCAUUUUCGUAGUGUAUAGUUCAGUGAUCUAAACCUCACCUUAUUACCAAGUCUUGGGGAGAUCCGUGAGAUCCAUGAGAUUCUGAAUGGUGUUUGACAGUGGGUGAAGCAUGAAUCAAUGAACAGCCCCCAAUCCCUGUUAUGUUCAGCAACCUUCAAUUCACUGACUAAUUUCUUCCUGAAUCCUGCAGCAUGAAGAAUGGAACCUAAAGCGUCUAAGAAACAGCAUGACCACCAAAUUAGCAUCAAGAACAAAGAGAUUAGAAAGCUACGCUGACCGUGCAGUACAUCAAUUUGUGUGGAACUGCAGUUCCGAAUAUCUGCUUUGCAACUGGACCAUGCCUGUCCAGGAUAGGAUCCAUUUGGCGCAAGAGCGUUUCGUAUCUGAAGAGAAGAAGCAGUUAGGAGUUUUAACCUUUUGACAAGUGGUAAGAAACUUAAAGAUUGAAACCACCUGCCAAGAAUCGUAAUCAGAAUUCAGAAUAAAUGUGGGGGUGCUGAUGCUCUUUAUCAGUUCAGGAGGAAAGAAACACUGGAGUAACAACAUGUCAGUAAGUGAAUUUAGGAAAACCACAAAGAGAACUAAAUUAGAUAUUGGGAAGAUACCUCUGUUGGAUCCUUAUUUGCAAGGCAGCCCUUGGGCAAAGCUUCUCUAACAUUCUGAAAGGAAUUCAAAAAAAAAUGUGAUCCAAUCAACAUUUACUACCAUAUUGUGUGUGUGGAACUGUUUUGUGACAUGCAUCCUGGAAUGGGAUCUCUUAAAGGCGAAGUACUCUGUUCCAUGGCAAACCUGAAGGUGGACUAUUCCAUUGAUGAGUGACCGCAAGGACCUUUCUCCAGAUAAAUCCUUUCUGUGGCAGAAAAAUUGCACUUCAUUUAGUACUGGUGCAAUGCUAAUGGGCUACACUAAUUUUUAGAGCCUUACUCGUCAAUAAAAAACCCAGCAUCAGAAAGGCAUUUAACUGAAACAUCUUUAGGAAAUCGUUCACGAAAGUUAUCACAGUGCAAUAGUGCAGCCAGACUACCAGCAGAACAACCUGUAAGCAUGGCCUGAAAGUAUGGAGAGAAAAUGAAGUUGGACAUGACUCUUGAUUAGGAUUUGUGGUCAGAUUACUGGUGCUAAAGGUUUAUAAAAUUCUUUGUCAAAUACUCAAAUUAUAUGGAACCAACAUAAACCUGUUUAGCAGUAUCCAGUCCUUUUGCCAUGAGUUCAUCAACAACUGCUUCCCAGAUGCGCAAUCCUCUGAAGAAAAGUUUGGUUCCAUCCUUACAUGAAUGCCCAUACACCAUCAGUUUGAUGAAUUAAGAUGGGAAGCUCAAAUUCAGAAUUCAGAAAAUUCACCAGAUCUUCACCCUCUGCAUCCCCAGCAAAUGAUGCCCCGUCGCAGUACCUUAUAACUACUAUAUUCCAGUUGUGGAAAUCUGAUCAUGACUCAUUGGAAUUAAUGCAUGCGAGGGCACAUUCUAAAGGUAUGGAGAUCACAACUCAAUUCAAAAUCUGAUCCAGAAGAAACUUCUUUUAUACCAGGAUUUUCUCGGUGCCGAUUGCUGAGUAUCCCAGUGAACUCUACUGCUUCCAUAAAUUUAGAUGAACCAAAUUCCGUCAUUUUGCGCUCGGAACAACUUUUCGUGGUGUUGCACCAUCCUCCUCCCUGAGAUUUGUAAUACAAAAUCAGUAACAGUGUCUCCAUUCUAAUAGGAUCCCUAUCCCAUCGCUGGAAAGAACUCGGUUAACUAAAACCAAUUUUGUCACACAGGUUAGCGGUUAGCCAUCUCAAUUCUCAGCUCGCUUGCGGAUUUCAGCCAGCAUCCUUGAGAUGCAUUUUAGAUUCAUGGAAACGCAGCAAUUUUCUACGGGGGAAAAAAAAACAGGUCACCUGAAGAUAGACGAGCCAGUUGUGGGCGCCGGAGCCGGAUCCUCUCUGCAGGUGGUAACCAGGCGGGCUCCCAUCCAAGCACACUGCAACGACAUGAUACAGGUCUCUCAGCAACCAGCUUCUCCAGACAUACCGUCGACUGAAAAGGAAAGGAGGGGAACGAAGAAUACCUGCGCCCUUCUCUCGAGCUCCGGCGAGGAGGGUCAGCUCGACGAGCUCCGGAGAGCUCGCCGUCGCCGCCACCGGCGAGCAGGAGAAGGUGGCAACGGUCAGGAUCAAGAGCAGCGGCGCCGCCGCGGCGACAGCGAUGCCCCGCCGUCGCUGCCGGAGCAGCAGCUCGAUCGCCAUGGUCAUCGCGCGCGGGUGAUCAUGUGAGAAAGGCCAAAGCCCGGGCUGACUUAUUUGAUCGUCGGAUACUCUUGGCGGGCCAUAACCGCAGCUCGCCGAUGUGGACCGCACCGAAUCGCGCAGUCAAAUCGACGACUCUCUUAUUGAAUUGCCGUAAUUUUUAUUAGAAGAGGAAAUCGACGACUCUCAAUCAAGCUGUGGAGCGUGGUGAAAGUUCUCUACAACAACUGCACGUCUGCACCUCCGAAUCCAACAUCCACGUCAGUACACCACUCGCUCCCAUUCCCCACCCAACUGGCAGCAUUGCAUAGUCAAACAUUUACGCGAUUCCUGGGAGAGAAAAAAAAUUACGUGGUCCAAACUAUGCAGGAUAGCAGAGUAGCAGACUUGUUCCAGAUCCCAAAAGAUAAUGAAGUUUAUUCUCCAAAUCGCAAACAGUAUGUCAGAUUUUGUGUUCUUAGGGGGGAAACAAAAAAAAGAAGAAGAAAUUUUCAGUUAAGCAAUCAGUCCGCAGCAUACGGCUCGGUCAACCUUACUAUGUUGCUUUGCUGACCAAUGUGGGAAGUGGGCUGUAAGGCCUAUUCAGUUUCGCAUAUGGGCUUGGGCUUGUUGGUGCCAGUGAGCCCAGAGCCCACGCGAAUCACCCGGGGACACUGGAGCAUCAUCAAACGGCGAGUAGAACUGGAGCAAGCGAGGGCACAACACAGCGACACUCUGGGGUGGAAUUUGCUUACUCAAUUUGCAAAUUUUGCACUUGCUCCACAAAUCCACAUCCACAUUUCAUUUGAUCCAGUACAUAUUUCCUCAGUAUCUUGUUAAAUGCGCAAUAUCUAGCUUCCAUGCUCUUUUUCCAGAAAUUGUUCCCAUAACUGUGAUGUGCACGAGAAGUUCAUAGCAUUCACUGAUUGUACUUCUGAGAAGGGGGAUUUGCAUUCAUACCACCGCCUGAGGAUACACAAUUUUGAAUCCUGGAUUGUUUCUUUGCCUCUCCGGAGUUUGGAAGCAGCUCGAGGCCUUUGAAUGAGGAAAUGAUAAGGGAAAGUUCCUGAACAUUUUAGUGCAUAUCAGUUCUGACUCACGAAUGCUGUUGAUGUGAAGUACAACUACUAGGAUUUCAAGUCGCGUUCAGUUUAAUGCAGGUCUUAUCAGCAGAAAAAUUUUUCCUUAUGAAUCCUCAGCAAAACAAAGCUGUAACUGAGGUAAAAAAAACUUUGAGAUUAGGAAAGACUGGUGAUCUCUUUGUUAUUUCUUCUUAAUGCAAAGAUACGCAGCUCUCCUGCGUAUUCUCGAAAAAAAGGAAAGACUGGUGAUCUGAAAGCAGUCCUGUGUGAAUCAAGCAGUAGGCAGACGACUGCUGCAUGUGGGGUUACAUGGAUACUCGCAGUCGAUCUGUUUCACGUCUUGCCUUCUACCAAAAUACCAAUCCCCAACAGUCUCUGCGAUAGUCUGUUAUGUAAACAACAGAAGGAAUUUGGAAGAUAUCAGUCCAAGUAAAGACAUAGAAAACCUACAGUAGCUUUGCUAUUGCAGUAUGGUUCAAAUGAUCUAAACCUCACCUUGUCACCAAGUCUUGGUGAGAUCGGAGAAUGCCAUGUGAUAUGGAAUGGUGUUUGACAGUGGGUGAAGCAUGAAUCAAUGAACAGCCCCCAGUUCUUGUUAUCUUCAGCAACCUUCAUUUCACUGACUAAUUUGUUCUUGAAUCCUACAACACAAAGAAUGAAAUCCUGCAGCGUCAAGGAAAACAGGAUCACCGAUGAGUGUAGAAAGAAAAGAGAUUGACAAGCUUGACUGACCAUGUAGUACGUCAAUUUGUGUGGAACUACAGUUCCGAAUAUCUGCUUUGCAACUUGACCAUGCCUGUUGAGGAUAGGACCCACUUGGUGCGAGAACAUUUCGUAUCUAGAUAGAAGAAACAGUUAGGUUUUAAUCAUUUGACAAGCGGGAAGAAACAUAGAGGUUGAAAUUACCUGCCAAGAAUCGUAAUCGGAGUUCAGAAUAAAUGUGGGGGUGCUGAUGCUCUUAAUCAGUUCAGAAGCAAAGAAACACUGGGAGCAACAUGUCAGCAAAAUGAAUUAAGAAACAUCAUAAAGAUUAUUGAAUUAGAUAUGGGAACAUACCUCUGUUGGAUCCUUAUUUUGGAGGCAGUCUUUGGGUAGAACUUCUCUAACAUUCUGAAAGAAUUUUUUUAAAAAAAGUCAUUCAAUCAACAGGAUCUCUUGAAAGUAAUUGACUAUGGUCUGCGGCUAACCUGAAGGUGAACUACUCCAUUGAUGAGUGACCUCAUGGACCUUUCUCCAGAUAAAUCCUUCCUGUGGCAGAGAAAUGUUCUUCAUUUAUACAAUUACAAUGCUACUAAUGGGCUGUACUAAUUUUUAGAGACUUACACGUCAAUAAAAAAACCAGCAUCAGAAAGGCAUUUAACUGCAACCUCUUGAGGAAACCGUCCACGAAAAUUAUCACAGUGCAGUAAUGCAGCUAGAGAACCAGCAGAACAGCCUGUAAGCAAAGCCUGGAAAGUGAAGGGAAAGCAAAGUUGGACAUGGCCACAUGGCUCUUGAUUGGGACUUGUGUGGUCAAGCCUUGUGCAAUUCUUGGACUAAUCGUACGAAAUCAAUGAAAACCUGUUGAGCAAUGUCCAUUCCUUUUCCCAUGAGUUCAUCAAUAACUGCUUCCCAGAUGCGCAAUCCUCUGAAGAAAAGUUUGGUUCCAUCCUAUACAAAUGCUAGUACACCAUCAGUUUGAGGAAUUUAAAUGGGCAGCUGAAAUCAGAAUUCAGAAAUUCACCAAAUCUUCACCCUCUGCAUCCCCAGCAAAUGAUGCCCCAUCGCAGUACCUUACAACAACUAUAUUCCAGUCGUAGAAAUCUGAUCACGACAGACAAAAUUUAGUGCAAUCCUCCCAACUCAAUUCAAAAUAUUUAUGAUCAGAAAAAGACCAACACAAAGCGAUGCUGCAUCUGCAUUAGUCCAAAUUCCAAAAUGAAUAAUUGGGACUAAUAUAGCAGAUUGCUCCCUAAAAGAAGCAUCUUGAUGAAGACUAAUGUAUCAGUAGAAAGCCAUGACAGAAGCAACUUUGUAUACCAGGAUUUUCUAGGUGGUCAUUGCUGAGUAUCCCAGAGAACUUUAAUGCUCUCAUAAACUUAGAUGAACCUAAGCUGCUCCUUUUGCGCUCGGAGCAACUUUGUGUGGUGUUGCACCAAGCUCCUCCCUGAGAUUUUAUCAAUGGAAAAUCUGUAAGCAGUAAGCCUACUAGACGUCUUAUCCCAUCAGCAGGAAAGAAGUCACUUAAGUAUAACCAUUUUUUUUUGUCACCCGGGUUUACUAUCUUAGUUCUCAGCUACCUUUUCAUCCAAAGACGGAUAGUAUUUCUUUACAGAUUUCAGUUAACCAAAUUGUUCAGGAUGAACAUGAGACGACCGUUUGUGUAGGAGCCUCUGAGAUGCACGUUAUACAUACAUGAAACUGAUGAAAGCAAUGGCAACUCACAAUAGGAAAAGAACAUUCGGUCACCUGAAGGUAGAUGAGCCAGUUGUGAGCUCCGGAGCCGAAGCCUCUCCGCAGGUGGUAACCAGGCGGGCUCCCAUCCAAGCACACUGCAACGGCAUGAUACAGGUCUAUCAAUAACUAGUUCCAGACAUGGAAGGUUAAAAGGGAAAUGAGGCUACAGUUAGGGGACCAAGUACCCGCGCCCUUCUCCCGAGCCCCGGCGACGAGGGUCAGGUCGACGCGCUCCGGGGAGCUCACCGUCAGCCGUGAGCGGGAGAAGACGACAACGACCAGGAGGAGCAGGAGCAGGGGCGCCGCCGCGGCGACAGCCAGGCCCCGUCGACGCUGCGGGAGGAGGGGGGACAGCAGCUCGGUCGCCAUGGCCUUUUUGUGCGGUUGGAGAGUGGAGAACAUGGUUGAAAUUGAAAUUAGCUGCUCACCAACAACCUGUCUCCGGCCUUGCGCUGGCGCUCUGGCGGGCCAUACCACAGGUCGCCGUAGCCGAUGCGGACAGCGCCCACCAAGCCAUCUGCUUGGACCUCAAGCGGAUGGAGAUUCGUGGAGAAGAACGUGGUGGCGUCUUUCUCUGCAACAGCUCACCUCAAAAUCAAAUCCACGUCCACGUCAGCAUGCUGUUAGUCCUGGCAGCUAUAAGUCAGCUGCUACCUGCAACUCGAUUCCUCUUAAGAAAAAGAGUAGUAAGUGACGUUCUGGAUAUAGUCGCUUAAUAUUUGUAUUUCGAAAAACAAAUAUUUGUCUGAUGGAGCUACAAUGCUACAUAAACGUACCUGUCGAGAGUGACUAAUUACGGCUAAGUGCGCUCCGCUUUCAGACCUGUUGCGUGUGAUCUUUCUUGCCACUUAAAACCAGAUUGAUUCAUGUCACUAUCCUCACCAGUCGUUGGCACGCAUGUAUCACAAGGCCAAGCGGCUCCCAUCCUGUACAAGACUCCAACAAUCAACCGGAAAAAAAGGCAGUUUUUAACCAAUGGCACCUGUCAGGUUGUCACUACGCAAUGUACCAUUGGAAUCGCACCGAGAUUCGCACAGAACAUGGGAAGGAAAACAUUUUGUAAUGUGUGUUACGCCUUAGCAUUCGAUGGAGCCCGCAAUGGAGAUCACAAGUGGCAACUGUGAAAUCUAAAAUGUUCGUGUUUUGUUUCUAAAAAAGAAAAGAAAUGUUCAUGUAAACCUGUCUCUUUUUCCGAUAAAGGAAGUUUUAUUAAUUUUGAAGAAAUGUUCAUGUAAAAGAAAUGUUCAUGUAAAACUCCUCCCGUUACAGGUCGAGCUGACUGCUACAAGUGGGGUUAAUGCAUGGAUACUCGCAGUCAAUCUCUUUUACUCCAUGGCCUCCACCAACAUACCAGUCCGCAACAGCUUCGGCGAUCGUCUGUUCCGUAGAAACAAAGAGAAAUUGAAACCAAAACAUACACCAAUCCAAUUCAAAAAAGACGCAGAGACGAAACGGCAGCACUAGGUGCGAUUAAAAUUAUGCAACUUUAGGGUAAAAGUGUCUUGAACCUCACCUUAUUACCAAGCCUCAGGGAGAUCUGCGAAUGCCAUGUGAUUCUGAAUGGCGUCUGACAGUGGUUGAAGCAGGAGUCGAUGAACAGCCCCCAGUUGCUCUUGCAUUGAGCAACCUUCAAAGCCUCGACAAAUUCCUUCCUGAAUUCUACAGCAUGUAGAAGGAAAAUCGACAUGACAGCCACCAGAUGAGGGUACAAAUUGAACCUAGGAGAUUGACGAACUAGGCUAACCAUUCAUUGCCUCGAUUUGUGUGGAAGUACAGUUUCGAAUAUCAGCUUUGCAACGCGACCAUGACUGUCCAGGAUCAGAUCCGCCUGGCGCCACUACAUUUCCUACCUAGAGAGCAGCUAGGAUCUUAGCCAUGUGACAAGUAGAAUGAAAAAUUAACAGAUAAAGACUGCAAUCACCUGAUAUGAAUCGUAACCAGAGUUCCGGAUAAAUGUGGGGGUGCUUAUACUCUUAAUAAGCUCAGCAGGAAAGAAACACUGGAGCAAAGAACAUGUUAGCAAAUCGAAGAGAACUUGGCAGCAUAUAGGUCAAGAAGUGAAUUCCCUAGGUAAUAAAAACUACCUCUAUUGGCUCCUUCUCUGCAAUGCAGUCCUUGGGCAAAACUUCUCUAACAUUCUGGGAAAAUAUUCAGAAACGUUUGCUCAGAGGAAACAUGCAUCCCGAAAGGAAAAAAAAAGGCAUAAUGUUGAGGAAAUUAACGAAUUUUUUAAGCUAACCUGAAGGUGAACAACUCCACUGAAGAUCGACCGCAUGAACCUUUCCCCUGAUAAAUCCUUUCUGUGGCAUAAAGAAAACAGGUACUUAAUUCAGGAAAAGGUGCGAUGUUACUAGUAGUUUUCAAAGCUCACUAUCCUAGCCACUACAUCAACCAAUGAUGAAUAGUUUUCGAAGCCUUACACAUCAAGAAAGAAUCCAGAAUCCGAAAGGCAUUUUACUGGAACCUCCUGAGGGAAUCGUGCACGGAAAUCAUCGCAGUGCAGUAGGGCAGCAAGGCCACCAGCAGAACAACCUGAAAGUAAGGCCUGAAAAAUGACGUUGGACAUGGCUCUGCUCACAAGCUGUGUGGCGAGGUUGCCACAAAGGCUAAUAAUCUUUGUGGAUGAUUUUUACAAAAUCGAUAGCACAAUUAACCUGUUUAGCAGUGGCCAGUCCUUUCCCCAUGAGUUCGUCAACGACGGCUUCCCAGAUACGCAAUCCUCUGAAGAAAAGUUUUGUUCCAUUCUGCAUCAAUGGCAUUACACCAUCAGUUUGGGUAAUGAACAUAGGCCGGCGGCUAAAAUCAGAAUUCACGGAAGAAUAAUCACCCGAUCUUUGCCCUCAGCAUCUCCAGCAAAUGAUCCUCCGUCACAGUACCUUACGUCAACUUUAUUCCAGUUGUAGAAAUCUGAUCACGCAACCCAUUGAAUUGAAUUAGUACAAAACCCAUUGAACAGACAUCUGAAGCAUCAAGCUCAAUCUAAAGCUAGUCCAAUCAGCAGAGGAUCCAUGAAAGAGGAGGCAUCUUUAUUUACGUACAGGGAUUUUGUGAGCGCUUGUUGCUGAGUAUCCCCUCAAACUCUAUUGCUUUCAUGAAUUUGGAUGAACCAAGGUCGGUCAUUCUGCGGUCAGAACAAUCUUCCGUGGUGUUGCACCAUGCACCUCCCUGAGUUUUAUUCAUAAUAUUCAUAAUCAUGCACAAUCAAUACUGAAACUGCAUUGAGUCUAAUGGAUUUUUAAAAAAAAAAACUCAUGCUAGAAAGAAGCACAAUAUUCAUCGCAGACUAGCAGUUUCAAAUUUUCAACAAUUUUCACACAUACACAAAGGAUUGACUGGUCACCUCAAGAUUGACGAUCCAGCUGUGUUUUCCGGAGCCGAAGCCUCUCUGGAGGUGGUAAGCCGGCGGGCUACCGUCCAAGCAAACUGUGACGACGUGCAUCCACACGCAAUCAAGAACACGCUACAAAAUGAUCUGAAGGAAGCGAAUAUGGUUAGCUGAAAAUACCCGCGCCCUUCUCCUGAGCGUUUGCGAGGAGGGUCAGCUCGACGACCUCCGGAGAGCCCGCCGCCACCGCCACCGGCGAUGAGCAGGACAAGGCUGCCAGGGCCAGGAGCAUGACGAGCCAUGGCGCCACCGCCGAGACAGGGAAGCGUGGUCGAUGCUGCGGGACGAGCGGCGAGGACCGUAGCGCGGUCGCCAUGGCCAUCGCGCGGGCCUGGCUGCUGCAGGCCUGCAGCCAAGAACAGACGCAACGCCGGGUAGUUGUGGCGUCGUGGAAACUGCUAGUUUGUCAACGCCCGGGAUGGAAUGGAAUUGUACCCACCAAGAGCUGAAUUGCAGAAGGUAUCUUGUAGUUCUGAUUGACCAUAAUCGUGCAUAUCUCAGAUUUGAACUAAAUCUGGGAUAAGACCUUGUUUUGUACGGACGGUAGGUGACUGCUUUCCUCUCUGAAACAAAAGGUCAACUGUCUUAUGAAUUAGAUCACCAUCCAAUCAUACGCUCCUCGCAAAUCGAAUUUCACAAAAAUUCUCCAGAUUUAAAAGUGUGGCGCGGCCUGUUUGGAAUUUUGUAUGCCAUGGUUUCAGGGCCUAUAUCCCUCCCUUCCGACAUCGCUCGACAGGUGCCAUAUCUGACUGACAUCACCAUCCAAUGCGGGAAGUGACUGAAUUCUCCUCAACUACAACCGCCAGGCUCGCAGCUCAUACGCGAAAACUUCGGGAGCCUAGAGCAGCGGCGGCGCGGCGGAGACCGGAGAGGCCUCUGGGCUCCUGGUAGAGAGAAGGAGACUGGCCGGGACGUGGAGGAACGAACCCGAACCAAAUUUCACAGAGUUCCAACCUCGCCGAGGUCACGGAAGCAGUCAGCAUCACCGCGGCGUCGGGCGGCGAGGCCCUCCGAGUCUCUACGCCGAGGCGGCGGCGCUGCGGGAGGCGGAUACGAACGUGAAGACUGAGAUGCGCGCGUCCGGCCGGGAGGAGAAAGUGAGGCUCAGGACGCGGUGCCCGGUGGUGAUGCUUCUGGUUCUUGGCAACAAACAUGCAUGGCCACCGCAAGGGAGGAAGAAGACGCCGGGAUGGCCACAGCCGCUCUCCGUGGAGCGCAAUGCGGUAGGAGAGGCGCGCCGGCAAGGAGUACGCCGGUAUGACACUAUGGGGGAAGGUGCUGCGACGCUGAGUGGGAGCCGGCCGCCGGUGCGCCGGUGCUGACCGCGACGGCGUGGCGAACUGGAGAGCGCGCGCGGGGAGGGUCCGGGACUCCGGGUGGACGGUAAAUGAAAUACCGUCCACCACGGACGGUAUCUCGUUUACCGACCAGGCCUGGGUUAUGUAUGGCCGUUGGAUCCGGAGGCUGCGGCCACGAUUCGACCUGACGAAUUGAAGGAACGGCGCGGCCUGGGCCAAGUGGAGGCCCAGCAACUGGCUGGACUAGAGACACGUUUCAGUUGGGGCCCGUUCGAGAAUUUGGUUCUCGUGGACCUUGCGAUGUUCGCCGUCGUCCGUCGAUGAGCCCCGGUUGCGGCCGUCCGAGACAUCGUCUGCCGCCGCCAUGCGAUCAACCGCCAAGUCGUCCGCCGCCGCCGGCAGCGUGGCGAGCGCCGGCCGGGGGUACGACCAAUUCGUCGGCCAUCGACCGUCUUCGGCCUAACUCGGGAUGCACACCAUCCGCGCGGACCCAACUACACAAUCCGUGUAAAACUGUUCGAUCGAUGCGGUCCAGAUUCUUGGAUUCCAAAUCGAUCCGCCAUCGAAACUACGUGGGCCCGCCCGUUCUCGCGGCUGUAGCAAGAUGGACGCCGCCGCCGCCGCCGUCGCCCGCGGCGGCGCGACCGUGUCGGCUUCGGAAUCUCUCUGUUCCAGUGUUCCGGAGACGUGCCAGAGCCGUUGAACCGGACGCGCGCUCGCCAAGUGGGCGCCCGCCGGUGUGCGUCGGCGUCGGCGUCGGCGUCGGCGGCGUUAGCGUCCACGCGUCUGCGCAGGGCCGCAGCUUAGCGCGUGCGCGUCGGGCGUCGUCGGCCCUCUGUUCUGUGCUCGCCAUUGCCAUCCCCACGAAAGCGGAGGAGUAAAAAGCAAAGAAGCUGUGAGUAGGCCACGCUGCCACAGUAGUAACAACACAAAGAAACCGUGUGUCUGUCGUGGAGUCAUGAUGCCACGUCACUGGAUCGUCUUUGCGCAUCUCCCGGCGAAGCUAUGGUAGCACAUCACUGGAAUCAAGGACGUGAGCAAGACCAGUUCACUUCAAACAACAGAAAUAUCCUGCACAUGCAGUCGCUUCGACGACGUACCUGUGUACCCUACUCCAGUCCACCCCAUCAGGCACGAAAAGGGAAGAAAGCUUCCCCUUGGGGCACGGGAUCACGAGCUUUUGAGCUGUCCAGGCGUAGAGCACGGGCGUCCCGGAUCACGACGGGAAAAAUGCUGCGAAUUUCCGGCGAAGUAAUCCAUAGUGCCAUGCUGGCAUGACUUGGUCGUCGACGAGGACCGGUCCGAUCGCCCAAAAGCUUGUGUGAAAGCAGCAGGGUCCAUCAGCCAUCAGCCAUCUCGACACGGAUCGCGGUCGAUGCCAUGCCAUCCUUGUCUUCCGCGACCAGGCACGCGCGCACGCGACGCCGUUGCCCCGACUCGUGCACCAUAACUAAAACGCGUCGACGUGCCGACGUACGUGUGGUGGGGAUCCCCUUCCCCAGUUCCCCUUGUGCGUGUGCGUACAAUGCAAGGACAGAAGGUAGCCGUCGCCGCCUGCGCGAGAGGCAACAGUGAUGCGAUGAUGCUGAUCAGUAGCUUCCGAGUUCCGACCGAUUCUUUCGGUGUCAGCGUCGAAUUAAAAGUUCUCCCCAACAAUUUUAUCUCGGAAAUCUAAAUUUGGACCGAAAUUUUUUGCAUUGGGGCCUGAUAGGGGGUCCAACCGUCCAAAAGGUUUUGUUUUGAGAGGAAUUGGAGAUUUUACGUACUAUGGAAGUACCGGAGUUUCUCUAGAACGGGGAAAUGGCGUUAUUUUUUCCGUGAAAAAAGAAAGGAAAAGGGUCAGCAUGUGCGUACAAGUGCCAUUAUCAUUAUCUACUUAUUCAACGACAAUGAUAUACGUCCUAACUUUCCUGUAAACAUAUUAUUAUCUAGUUAUUAUGUGAAAAAGAUGUGCAAUUUUGAAGAGAAAUGUGCCCGUUCGCACUUCGGCUUCAAAGUAAUGCAUGAAAACAACAGCGAUUCUCCAUUCUCGCGAAGCAAAGAUAUUUAUUUUACAUCAAGAAAGAAAAAGAAAUUAUUAAUUUAAGAAAUAAGCAAAUAUCUUAUCUUAUCAUUUUUCCUUUUAGAACGAGAAAUGAAAACAAUUUACUACUCCUUCUGUCGCAAAUUAUAUCGUUUUGGUCGGAUGCACAGCAAAACGACCUAGGAUAGAAGAGUAAUUAAACUAAAAAAAUGGUGCCGCCGAAGAGACAAGUAAAACCAGUUACUAACCCUUUUUAUAUUAAAAAUUAAACCCUAUAUGCGUUGAAUUUUAUUCUGUCAGACAUCCGAGCUGGUGACAGCCAUGUACCUCACUUCCCUACUCUAUUUCGGCUCCUUUCUUGACAUGACCGUUACCAUUUUUUCCAACGGUAUUUCGAAAAAAAAAACGCGCCAAAAGAUUUCAUCUUACCCGCGUCAUAAGCGUAUAUAGCUAACUUUAGCUUCCCCCUCGCCCCGAAGGAAACGGGCCCUUCCGCUCUUCACUCCCCUCCCCUCGCGCUCUCCUCUUUCUCCUCCUCUCCUGAUUCACGAGGCCCAAGCCUACCGCCAAAGGUCUCGAUCUCCAGCGGGGCUCUCCGGCGCACUUUCUCGUGCCUCGGGGACCCCGAUCCGCCGCCGAGAUCCCGUUCCCGGAUGCACUGAUCAGAUCGUUCCUGAAGACUUGGUUCGCUCGGAUAUGGCGGCGAACGGCAUGAAGGUGGCGCUGCACCGGCAGGUAUCCGGCGGCUCGAUGAAGCACAACGCGGAGCUCCGGCGGCAGGCGUCGCUGGAGUCCCCGCGGACGGGGCGGGCGACGAGCCGGUUCCUGUUCGGGCGGCAGUCGUCCAUGGACCCGAACCGGCGGCGCGGCCGGAGCCAGAGCCCCGUGGGGUCGUCGGCGGAGGACCUGACCGUGCCGGAGAACCUGGACGCCACCAUGCAGCUGCUCUUCUUCGCGUGCCAGGGCGACGCGAUGGGGGUCGAGGGCCUGCUGCGGAGCGGCGUCGACGUCAACAGCAUCAACCUCGACGGCCGCACCGCGCUGCACAUCGCCGCCUGCGAGGGACACCGCGACGUCGUCCGGGUGCUGCUCAACUGGAAGGCCAACAUCGACGCGCGUGACCGCUGGGGCAGCACGGUGAGCUGCGCCGGCUAACCGGCGGCGAUCUCCGCGGUUCUCCGACCAAACUUUCCUUUCCAUCGAUUUGGCAGCAGACGAUGAAUUGAUGAUCUCCUUUGCUUCUCCGAUCAUAGGCAGUAGCUGAUGCCAAGUUCUAUGGCCACUCUAGGGUCUACGAUCUCUUGAAAGCUCAUGGUGCAAAAAUUCCGGUAUCUUUCUUGCCACAUCAUCUGAUACUUCUAGUAUUUGUUCGGUAACUUGCAAACGUGGCAUCAGCGAAUUCGCUGUUCACCUGCUGCUCUGCAAUCGUUUCUGCAGAAAAACAAGAGGACGCCGAUGAUGGUAUCGACCCCCGGCGAGGUACCGGAGUACGAGUUGAACCCCGGCGAGGUCCAAUUCCGGCGCGGCCACGAUGUUACACCGGUGAAAUUUUCUUUCUAAUAUAGUACAAUUUUGUUCCUCAAAUAUUUGUUCAAGGACGGAAUGUGACGCUAGGGAGAUAAGGGGAAUUGACUAAUGACACAUCGAACUGCAGGGCAUGUAUCAUAUUGCGAAAUGGAAUGGGACCAAGGUUUCCGUAAAGAUACUUGACAGAGAAGGCUGCUCCGAUCAAGAUGCCGCGUAAGAUGCAAAUGCCUGUGCUCAAUUACCAAAGAGUUUUUCCUUUACAAUAAUCGCCUCUUCUUUUUGUUGCAGAAACUCUUUCAGGCAUGAGCUGACUGUACUGGAGAAGGUCCGGCACCCUAAUGUUGUUCAGUUCGUCGGGGCCGUGACACAGCACAUACCUAUGAUGAUUGUUUCUGAACUUCAUGAAGAGGUAAUGGCACAUACUUUUUUCCUGAAAAAAAUUUACAAUCUUAACAUCGUCAGUAAUUCUUAACAUGCUACUAUGCCUAUUGCACAUCAGUGUUAUCUUCGGAUGCAUUAACGUCUUCCUUUUUUUACCCCUAAAAAUUCAGAAAGACUUAACCGCCUGUAUUCAGAAGAAAGGGAAGUUACAUGGUCAGAAGGUGCUAAGAUAUGGCCUUGAUAUUGCCAGGUAAUUGUAGGUUCUGAUUCCAACAAGAGUUGACGAGUACCAAUAUACACCGUAUGGUCCCUAAUAGAAGUAGCCCUUUACACUGUCAGGAAAAGAUAACAGUCCAUGUCAAAUUGCACAUUGGUACUAAUUAACAAUGUUUCUUCUCGCUGCCUUGACUGUGUAGGGGCAUGGCCUAUCUCCAUCAGUGCAAACCGGACCCCAUCAUACACUGCGACCUAAAGCCAAAGUAAGAUGAGGAAAUGAAGCAACUAGGCCUCCUUUUCUCUUGUUGCAUUCUUGGGCUACAAAUUUCAUUCAAAUUCUGUCUUUCAUGGUUGUCCCGUACUUUACUAUUUGAAUCUUGGUAAGGUGCCAGAAAUAUCUUCCUGGAUAGUGGAGGCAACCUCAAAAUUGCAGGAUUCGGAGUGACAAGGAUGUCGAAGAUCGGCUCUGACAAAAUGAGAUUGGUCCAUCAAGAGGAUCUUGUUGACAGCUUCAGUAAGCAUGAGAUUAUGGCAUUUUCUGAUCCAUUAUGUAUUUCCCCCAGAAUAUGCUCUAAAUGAUAGCCUUCCUAUCCCUGUGUUUAGGUUACCACACUGCACCUGAGCUGUACAGAAAUGACGCAUUUGACUCAAGCGUCGAUGCCUACUCGUUCGGUUUCAUCCUCUAUGAGGUCAGUAAAUUUCUAUUCCGGAUACAGAAACAACAAGGACAAUAAAAAAUAUUGUUUCGAUGUUUUGGAACGUAGUGUUCCUACAGCCAUUCAUUCUUUGUGGUGUAAACAUCAGAUGGUUGAAGGAUUAGUGAGAACACCAGAGGAUUCAGGACACUCAAUCCGGUUCGAGGGGGUGCGGCCAUCACUGAAGGGAAAGCUCAAGGGCUAUCCCCCAGACUUCAAAGCGUGAGUUCGAAAAAAGAGAGGACCCUUUCAUGUCACCUCAUGCGUGCCAUAUUCAGUUCAGUAUCAUGUGUUUCAGAAAAUGCAGAGUUCCACAAUGCAUCUAACAGCUCCUCUUCUUCUUCCCUGCCCUGGGUCUCUGCAGGCUGAUCGAGGAAUGCUGGCACCCUCAGGCCAUGGCUCGGCCGACGUUCUCGGAGAUCAUCAUCCGGCUGGACAAGAUCUACGCGCACUGCGCCAAGCAAGGGAGCUGGAAGGACUCGCUGAAGAUUUGGUUGGUAUCCCGGCGAUUUAAGCGAAUUAAGUACCGCUCAGUGAAGAGCAGAAUUCACACUGAACUGUGAACAGUAAUGUUCAGAAGAAAAAGAUCAUGCAUUUCCUUGGAAACAAAAACACGCACACGAUGAACUGAAAAUUUGCUCUGCGUUGCCCUGUGUUUUACAGGAAAUGACAUGGCCUGCUCGCCUUCUUUGUGUACAUAUCGCUGCGAACGCGUCUCCUUCCGGGGGGGAGACUGAGUGCUGUUAAGGUGGAGGAUCACGUGCCAUGUUGAUUAUUUUUUUUUGGUACGAAUUGUAACAGAUUGUGAGUAAAAUCGGUCAGAACGACACGUAUACGCCCUUUUCUUUCAGUGCAGUGUGAAGCAGAAUGCAAAUGUUGUUGAUAUUCUCGUAGACAUGAAGUAAUGAGAUACCAUAUUUCGCAAAAAAAAAAUAGAUAUCAUGGAAAUGUAGCUAUCCUUUUACAGAAAAAAUGAAGUCGUUAAAAGCACGGAAGAAGGAUAGCCUGCACUAAGCGCUUUUCGGUGGGCCAAAUCAGGGUGCGGCCUUGAAACAGGAAGGUGAAAAUUUUGGCCUACCGGCCCAUCUAGGUGGGCUGAAGGCCAGCCCAAAAAUGCCACCCUCUGCCCAACUGUUGCUAUGGCCCUCAAGCCGCGGCAUCGAGGUCUCCGCCCUCAAGGCCUCAGCUCACCACUUCACCUCCACUGUGGACGCUCGUAGUUAGGUAGACAAGUUUGGUUGUUAUCACCGUCAGAAGGUAUUUGUAACUCUGUACCCCGAGUUGAUGAAUAAAGGUUGGUGGUGUCAAAAAAAAAAAAAACUCACCACUUCACCAGGUCGGCGAACGGAGCACCGGCAGGCUGCGCUGUGGUUGCUCGGAAAAUGAAGUAGCGUCACCACUUCCCACUUUACCGGGCACCCCAGCCGCUCGGCGACCGGCGUGACAGGUGAACGGAACAGCGACUGCAGCAGGAACACAGGGCAUUUGUGUCCUGGCUCUUCCUCCUUCCUGGUCUCUGCGUUACGUCUGUCAGCGGUAAUUGACAAGGCAGUUGCCAGUUGCCCUCUGAACUAGAAGUAUCAAAAAGGUAAAAUUUCGGAUGUGAUUGUUCCAGUUCUUGGCAGAGCAAUCGUGGCUCUGAAACUUUUUAGCGUUGCGUAGCAAGAGCUCUCCGUUUGCCUCUGCACUUUCGGUCUUCUGAAACGCGACCUGCUGGCACCUACGCAUCCGUCUUCUGAAAGCUUGUGUGUUUUGGCCUCCCGGCGAGCCGGCCUGGACGUGGACACCUCGCAUCGUGGCAAACAUCAUGUCAAAAAGUGCUGCAGCGCUGUAGCAGCCCGUGUCAUGGAUGACACCGGCGCGGCGUGCGGCGCCAACAGCACAAGCGGAGGUCGGUACCCUCUUGCAUGGAAGAAGACAAAAAGCACAGAGAUCUCCAGAGCACCAAAAGGAAAGGUGAGGAAUGAAAAAUGAAGAACCAAAGCUCCGGUGACCAAACACUUCCGUAAGUAUUCGGUAUUCCGUUUAGACGUAGUGGUAUUGCUCUGAAAAAACAAAUAUUCUCUCUUUUUUUUCCGACCACUGAAGGAGCGUAGGGUUGGGGAUAAUGUGAAGCACUGUUUUGACUGGCUCCUGUAGCUGCAGAUCCCAGGACAGGUCAAUUCAUCGGUUUCUGUUCACUUCAUCCGCCGCUCCGGUGAUGCAGAGAGCAAUCCAGGUAGACCACACACCUUUCUUGUCCUGCUGGGCCAGGCUCGCUCUCUCUCACACACACACUACAGGAGCUCGCUGGGCGCCUGGGCGGCGCCGGCACCUCGCCACGUGGCGCGCGGCUAGUGGCUGGGCGCCGCGUUCUUUCCACGUGAGGACACGAGAGUCGGCGGCAGCGUCCGGCUACUUGCCGAUUCUGCUCCGGUGGCCGCCACUUCUCCGUGCCUGACUGCCUGGCUCUCGUCUCCCGGUCUCGCCCGACCUUGGGUGGGGUUGGCCGCGGUGGGCACGCACCCUCGUGUUUCUCGCCCGAUGACAUGUGGGGCAUGCCUUUGUGGGGAACACUUGUCAGGCGCAUUGGCGUCAGCGACUGGCUUUAAAAACUUUCGAGCGCUGACGAGGACGCGAUGGUGAAGCUCGUUUCCUUCUCGACCUCACUCUCUUUGCAGAGAGUCUCUGCAGUUUCCCACUCCAGAGCCCAGACUGAUUUUGUUCAGGUGAGCACGCUGCUGCGAUUUGUGAAUACUGCUUUCUCUUUGAUUCUUUCCUCUGCUUCCUCAAUCGAUUGGAUUUCGAUUCCUCUGAUUCCUUGUUUGCCGGGAUUUCGGUGAAGGUUUUCAGACUGAAUUUUCUUUCGUCUCAAAGUCUGCAGUGCUGGAGCGCACUAAGACGUUCUUCAGUCCUUCAGAGAGACUCACAAUCACAGUUUUUCUUUUAGGCUUGGGGGAAAAAAAAGACAUGAAGAAAAAUCAUAUGCUCGUAGAUUUUCUGCUUUAAAGAACAGCACCAUAAUCAGUACACAGGAAUACCAAGUAUUUAGUGACGAAUUGAUUCGCCUCUACUUUUGCUUUCUGUCGCUUGUGGCAGUUAUUUAUUACUACUUGUUCUCUCUGAACCUGCCUUGACCAAACAAUUACUCCUAUUUGCAGUACAGUUUCCGUAAGCUAUGUAAUACUCCGUAGUAAUUUUCAGCUAACAUUUUUCCCCUUCCACAGUCAAAUCAGGGGGCGCAUACCUGAUGGAAUGCCUCGAGUUGGAUUCUUCUGAUUUCUUCUUGGACGGCGAUCCAAUCGACAGCCCGUUGGAAAUCCAUCUUGAGUCCAAUAGCUUGGCAAGCACCAAAGCUGUGCCGGAUCAUCGCCGGUAUGCUCAGCUUCAUUGCAGUAAUGCCCCUGAUCCACCUCCGCUACCCGGAACUUCUUAUGGCGCGCGGAGAAGUUCUAGGAAGACAACGGCUUGCAGCCGUGUCCCUGGAGGGAUCCUGGAUUCCUGGGACAAGUUAUUCUUAGAGGGAUACCAGGCGGAUCUCCGUGUUUCGACAGACGAUGGCAGUGAAAUUCUGUCACACUCUUGCGUUCUUGUGAGUACAGCUAUCUGAAUCUUUCAUGUGAUAGGGCCUCGCAUCCCUGCAGGAUAGCAGGCUCGCUGUUAUGUAAGAGCUUCAUGUUUUCCUCCUCUGCAGGGUGUCAAAUCUCCUGUUCUGAGAGCUAUGUUGGAAGACGCUGAGCUGACAAAUGGUUUUCGGUGCAUCCGAAUUUCUGGCGCACCUUCUGGAGCAGUCCAUGUGUUCAUCAGAUUUCUUUAUUCUUCACGGUACGGGAUCAAGUUAUUCGUUUAGAUAAUUCACUGUACUCUGAAAAUCAGCUUUUCGGGCCUUUCGGCCCAAACUGUUUUCAGCGACUGAAGCUGAAGAUAGUGCAGAACUGCAGACUGUUUUCAUCCUGAAGCGUGCUCCCUUUUUUCAUUAUGAUCAGAAAUUUUCAGUAAGAUACAAACGUUGGGCUUAUGUUGUUUGUCCGGUGAAGUUUUGAGCAGGAACAGAUAAAGAAGCAUGUUCUGCACUUGCUCGUACUCUCCCAUGUUUUCUCGGUGCCAUCUCUGAAGACGGUCUGCAUCGACCAACUUGAGAGGAACUUCCUUGCUCCUGACAACGUGGUAGACAUACUGCAACUUGCCGGAUUGUGUGAUGCACCUCGGCUCUCCCUCAUCUGUACCCGUAUGAUCAUCGGGGAUUUCAAGACCAUCUCUCUGACAGAUGGGUGGAAAGUGAUGAGACGGGUUAACCCAAACCUGGAACAGGAGCUGCUCGAGUCUCUUGUCGAAGCUGAUACAGUGAGUUCUCUGCAACAAUCAUCACUCAGAAGCUUUAGAAAAAAAAAACCCUUAGCCAUUCAGAGUUUCAAUCUGUUCAGUUCAGAGUUUCAGACUGUUCAUCUGCAUGCAACCCUGUUUGAGUUUCCAAGGUUUUUUUAUGACAUGUUCUCUACCCAAUGGUUUAGCUGCACAUCUUUGAUGUUCUGUUGCGUUGCAUCUACUAAUUCUCAUUAAUUAGUUGCGCAUGCCUGCUCUCGGUGUCUGAACUUGCAGAGGCACAAAUAAUUCAGCACUUGAACAUGUUUUCAGGGUUUGAACCUUUUUUUUUCCCUGAUAAUCUGAAUUGAUGCAGAAAAGGCAGGAAAGAGCUAAAAAGAUGGAGGAAAAGAAGGUCUAUCUGCAACUGUACGAAGCAAUGGAGGCUCUAAUUCACAUAUGCCGAGAGGGAUGCAGGACGAUAGGUCCCCGAGACCAAGCGCUCAAGGGCAGCCGAGCAGGUGUGUGCAAGUUCCCUGCCUGCAAGGGCAUCGAGCUGCUCGUGCGCCACUUCUCAGGUUGCAGCGUGCGGGUGCCUGGCGGCUGUGCGAACUGCAAGCGCAUGUGGCAGCUCCUCGAGCUGCACUCUCGCAUGUGUUUCUCUCCAGACACCUGCAAGGUUCCUCUCUGCAGGUGAGCACAUCCCUUCGCUGUUCUGUCGAAGAAAAAGCUGAGUAGAGAAUGUCCAUGUCUUUCUUUACAAAAGAAAAUAUUGCCUGUUGUCAUUGCUAUUUUUAAAAUUUCCAGGCAUUUCAAGGAGAAGAUGCAGCAUCUGGGCAGGAAGGAAGAGACCAAAUGGAACCUCUUGGUGUGCAAGGUGCUGGAGAGCAGAGGAGCCAUGAGUUUUAUCUCUGAAAGGAGAAAGUUCUCAGCCCUAAAGACUGCUGGUCCUGGGAGUCGCCACGUGGCUCCUUGCCUUGUGGGACCUAUUUGAAACGUUGGCAAAGGUUUUGUGCAGAGGAGUUCAGUUUCAACAGGAACCAGACGAAUGCGUUCGCUUUAGAAAUUAGAAUUUGAGAAUGCGCAUCAAAGCUGGUAAUGGAACCAGACGAAAUCGUCAGAUCUGAAACAUCAAAGUAACCCUGAAAUCCUGAAUGUCUAACAAGUAACAAGCAGUGUCACAACUUGAUACGGCAUGUAAACGUGACAAUCUGAAAACUAGAGAAAACAUUGAAGAGAGAUGAAAACUAGAGAAGAACCGGUUCGAAGCAGCCGUGCUCAUCCAUUACACACAACAGCCAAGCACAGACGACUAUGACGGCAGGCAGAGUUAGCAGCACGGCGACGGGGCUCGGGAAAUCCUGGAGGAUCAGCAUCAGGACGAGCUCAGAAACCAGGACGAGAACGACGGUGGUGAAGAAGACCUGCAACAACAAAGGCAGAGGUGUCAUGCAUGCUCACCAAAAAGCAUGUCCAACAGGGGGAGCAGCAGUCGUCCCCCGGAGCCGGCGAGGAGUUGUGGACGCGACGCCGUGCCGGUGCCGGAGCCGGAGCCGGAUGCGGCUCGCUGUGACGCGGAUGACCGAGGGGCUCCUGCUGCCUCCCGUUGCCAUCGCCGACGAUGAGCGGGUAGCCCAGGGCCACCGCGUGGUCGCCUUCCUCCAUGCCGCGGACCGCGGCGUCGUCCGGGGCCAUAUGCGCGGGGCGCGGCGGUUGCAUGACGACGUACGGUGCGCGGUGGUGAUGAACGCGGACGGAGCGAGCAAUGUCGAUCGAUCUAGCAUAAGGCGCUGCAGAGGAAACAGGCAGGCCACGGCGUCUGCAUUAUGUAUUUUUUUAUUUAAAAUAAAUUAGUUAUGAGUUUUAGAUUUAACCAAAACUUUUUGAAUUUUUAGAAAAUGCAAAACCACCAAUAGGAUGGCCUUCGUCGUCCGAUUUCGUAGUUGUGGGUUGAAAAUCAAACUUUUACGAUUUUUUUUUGUGAAAAUAGGACUUUUCCCAUUAUUGAAUAUCUAUAGAUGCCAACUUACUAGUGACUUACCGUGUGUUUGGUUACCGGGUCGAGGUGGGUUGGAAUGGGUCGGACCCUCGUCGUCCCGUGUUUGGUUCAGAACGGAGUGGGUUGGAUUCGACCCAGACGGGGAAUAUUCCCCUUUUGUCCGGGUCGAGUGCAUACCGCCGAUUUGGAGGGACCGCGCGGACCCAGUCCCACGCCGUCCGCUCCGUCGUCUCGCCUGCGCGCUGGCGCGGUCGCCGCUGGGCGACGAGCGGCGCUGGAAGGAGCCAGGACCGGGGACGAGUGGCGCGGUGGCGGGCGCGGGAAGGUGGUGGCGGAGCCGCCUGCUCCAUGGCCGGCGGCGCAGGUCCUCCACCUCUGCGACGCCCCCAUGGCCGCGGCCCCUCAUGCCGGUGCGGGGAGGGAGAUGAGGCCGCUGCCGGCGGCGGGAUCUGGGGAGGCGGCGGCGGCGGCGGGAUCUGGGGAGGCGGUGUUGGAUCUGGGGAGGUGGCGGUGCAGGGAGCUGGGCCGCUGGGGAGGCAGGGGCGGCGACGCAGGGAGCUGGGGAGGCACGGGGCGACGCGCGUGGAGCUGGGGAGGCAGGGGUGGCAGCGCAGUUGGGGGACGGCGACGCAGGGAGCAGGACGGGGGGGGGGGCCGGCGCGUCGGCGGCUGAGGACCGGCCGGGGAGGAGCCGUGCGGGAGGAGAGGAGGAAGAGAGGAGGAAGAAGAUGGGAGGGAGAGGAAGAAAAAAAACAGAGGCUGACAGGUGGGUCCCACGGUUGACAGGUGGGACCCACCACUAACGGUGUUAAAAGGACAUGCAUCCAACCCUCUCAACCUCUCCAACCAAACAAAAUACUGGGUCGGCUCCAACCCAUUCAUCCAAACAUAAGAUGGGUCGGCUCCAACCCGCAAAAGUGGGUCGGCUCGAACCCAACCCACUUCGUCCCAAAACCAAACACAUGCUUAUUCAUCAUUAAAAUUUUAGGUUAUCUGGACAUCCGAGAUGUGUGUUGACCCAGAUGAAUAGAGAGAAGAAUUAGAAAUCCUAUGAACUUGUCCAACAUGCACUCGGAAGUGUAGAGACUGCAUGUAUGCAUACAAUUAUUAUUUUUCCUGUCAGUAGUUAAUGGAACCUUUUGUUCUUCUAAAAAAGUUUUCACUUAUUUUGAACAUUAUCAUAUGAUAGAAAUAACAUGUAUUUAGUAACAGAACAUGAAUAUUAUAUGCGCUCAUUUAUAAAAUUUCACAUCCAACACAGUCAUGAUGUCUCAUACUAUCCUACAUCAUUUUCUUAGUUUAGCAUGAUCAUCGUGGUGCUUCCAUUAAGCUAAGUAAAUUCGGUAGCCCUCCUCAUCAUUGGAGACAUGACAUCCAUUGCAAAUCACGGAUCCUAGUUGUGAGUGUUAACCUGUUGGUGACCCCAUAUUGGUUGGUAUGCAAAACAGGAAGUAUAAAGCCAAAAAUAACAAAUCGUGUCUGAAUUUGGAGUUAGGCUGUAAAACGGAUCGAUAUCAAGGGAUCAUCCCUAAAGUUUAGAAACUGAUUUAUAAAGCAAAUAAGGUGCCAGUAGGCUUCGUGGCUAGGCAAAUUAGGCCAAGAAUCCCCCAAGAUCUUAUACUUUGCAAUGUAAAGACAGAAAAAACUGAAUGUACAAACAAGAACACAACAGUUAAUUGCAGAGCAGCAGAGCUAACCAGCAAAUCUCCAUAGCACGACUUAUAAGUUACACCACUCCUUUAAGCUCUUCCUGUUCGGGGGUGGGUUGAUCACAGGAAGAUCCUUCCUCCUCUCGAAAAGACAUUUCACGAUGACUGUCAGCUUGAGCAUGGAGCCGCGGCUGGCAGCAUCGCUGGGUGAGCUACUGCUGUGGGCGGUGGCGGCGGAGAUCCGCCAUGUAGCGAACUUGCUGCUCGGAAGCGGGCCACCGCUUUCUUGCUCGGCAUCUUGCGAGCUGUGGCAACGGUCCUUGUCGGCGGUGGCAGAAGCGGGCGGGGGACUCGUACCCACGAACUUGCUGCUCGGAACCGGGCCACCGCUCUCUUGCUGGGCAUCUCCUUGGCAAGCUUGGGCAGACGCCUUCGUCGACGGUGGGGGUAGGAGUGGGGGUGACGGCGGGGCUUGUACGUGCAGCAGCAGGUAGGGGACUCGUACCCUCGAACUUGUUGCUUGGUCGACACCUCUUUGGCGAGCCUGGCAGUCGUCUUCGUCGACGGUGGAGGCGCGGACAGGGGCUUGUACACUGCAGCAGCGGUCGGGGGAGAAGUCGACGGCAGGGACUGGGAGGGGUCGAUCCAUGGUCUCCGAUGGAGGAGGUCAAGAAUGCAAAAAGAGCAGGUUGGCGAGAAUUUUAGCCGACGGCUAGCCGGGCUCGGGCAGGGGAUUGGGGAAGAUUUGACUCGGUUCCCAGUGCUUGUGCUUUACGCUUUCAACAGUAACACUAUGUCUGUCAACGAAAUACGUUAGAUGUCCAGGAAAACACAAAUUCGAAGGCCGGAGGCGUAAAGCUGCGAAAACCGUUUUGCCGAGGGACAACAAAAUCGUACCCCCUCCCCUUCUGCUCGACGGCUCCCGGUGUGCGCCUUCACCAUGGAGACGCGCGGCAAGAGGCUCCUCCCCGUUCUCCUGGCCCUCGUCGCCGCGGCGGUCGCUCCGCCCGCGGUGUCCCGUGACGGGAGGGAGGUGGUGGAGGUGUCCGGCGCGCCGGACGGGGUGGUGUGGGUGGCCCAGCUCUCGGAUCUCCACUUCAGCGUGCACCACCCGGAGCGCGCCUACGACUUCCGGCGGUAUGUGGGCCCGGCGCUCGCCAUGGUGAACCCCGACCUCGUACUGAUCACCGGGGACCUCACGGGUAUGUACUAGAUCCUUCUCUCCGGCCCUCGCCCCCGUCCUCGGUUUGAUUCCACGCGAUUUCAGGGCUGAUCCAAUGUGAGGUGAAAUUACUCAGUUAGCGAAUGAGAGGAUGUUUUCAGUAGUUUUCAAUUUGAGUGUAAAUGAGAUGUUUCAGAACAUUCGUGAUAAAAUGCACACUUUAAGGUAGCACAAUCCGUCCAGUCUGGUCUAGGGGCAAGUGGCCAGUUUUCGCCCAGUUGCCCACCAGUAACCAGGGCCACUCACUGCAGGUUUCAAUUUCACCAUUGCAACAAACAUCCAGUAGAACAAAGUAAGACUCCUCCGGAUGAUAUACUAGGUAGUAAGCACUGAUUGCUAACAACUGCAAACGCAUGCAGUUCCGUCCCUGUGAUAUAUUUGACUUGUUACUAAUAUGCAGGGUACAGUUCUUACAUUUAAAAUGAUUUGAUAUGAAGUAAUAACCAAAGAAAUAAAUUUGAAAUUCAAAGAUCUAUUGAAAUGCAAAACUGAGCUAACUGAACAUACAAUCUUCUAUUGCAUGUUUCAGCAUUGGAAAAUUAUAGGCACCUAUAAGUCUGUAAUAUUGAUCAGCAUCACGAGAGUUGCUCCAACCAGCAUAAAAGAAAGUAAUUAGCACCUUCUAAGAAACGGAAAAAAUUCAUUCCCUGAAAUGUUAUUACCAAGGAGAUUUAUCUCAAUCUUUAAUUCAUAUCUUUUUUUUUGUUACAGAUGGGAAAAGCAAAGAUCUGCUAACAAUGAAGCAGAACGAGGUUGAAUGGGCAGAAUACGAAAGUACAAUUAAUGAUAUCAUUCAAAUCAGCAAGCUUCCAAGAAGAAUUUUCUAUGAUCUGAGAGGAAAUCAUGAUAGCUUUGGUGUACCGGCACCUGGUGACAACUAUGACUUCUAUCAGAAGUAUAGCAUCAAUGCCAAGUUAAGACGGCAGGGGCGUGUCCAAAGCAUUACUUUGGAGGUCAGUGGUUUAUCUAUGUAUGAUUGACACCUAUCUUCUGCAGGAAGAAAGAUGUGGUGCCUCUUAUUUCAUUGCCGCCUCAUAGUUCAAUUGUAUUGUCAUUUGGUACAUAUGGUUAUUCUAGCAAUCGCUAUUCAGAAUUCCCUUGACGCUGUAUUUAUGAAUGCUCUGCAGAAUAAUGGUCGGAAGCAUCUAUUUGUUGGCUUUGAUAGCACUAUGGAGGUUGGUCUUAGAGGCCCAACCAAUCUAUUUGGCCAUCCAACUGAUAAGCAGCUUAUCGAAUUGGAUCAAGCAUUGUCGCAGUGGGAUACUGAUUUUGACAAGGCUCCAGUGACGAAAAUUGCAUUCGGGCACUUCCCAUUGUCUUUCUCAGCAUUAACAGAGUCAGGAAAAAGUAUCAAGGAUGUUUUUCUAAAGCAAUCAUUGGCCGCAUACUUGUGUGGGCAUCUUCAUACAAGGUUCGGGAAGAACUUGAAACGAUACUACCAUCGAGCAGUCCAGGAAUCAUCAUUUUCAGAACAUUAUUACCAAUUUAACAUGCACCAAGGAUAUGCAAUCCAGAGUAAUAAGGAAAACUGUUCUGAAGAAGCAGCUCACAUUGAAGAGUUCUGGGAAUGGGAGAUGGGAGAUUGGAGAAAGAGCAGAAGUAUGAGGAUACUAGCAAUCGAUGAUGGUUACGUCUCCUAUACUGAUAUAGAUUUCAGAUUGGGCUCAAAGAGCAUAAUCAUACUCCCUACCUUUCCCCUUGAUUCAAGAUUCAUGCAGAGAGCUUCUGCUUCUCGUGAUUUCAAAUGCCAUAUCAGGGGGCCGUCUACUUUCGAUACAGCGAGGGCUCUUGUAUUCUCUAAACAUGAGAUAGUCUCUGUUUCUGUAAAGAUAUAUGACUCAAGACCAGGAACUCUUGAAGUAGUCUUUGACUCUGAAAUGAAAAGGGUGGAUUCCAAUGAAACUAGGGGGCAUAUGUAUAUAGUACCAUGGAACUGGAGGGCAUUUGAAGAUCCCUCUCCCAGCCGAUAUUGGCUUCAAAUUGAAGUGAUGGAUAUAACAGGUGAUGCAAGUUUCAGCCAUUUGAGACCAUUCUCUGUUAAUGGCUUGACUGCAAGAGUGAACUGGACGUGGAAGGAGUUUUUUGUGAUUGGUAUUCAGUGGGCUUCAAUAUAUCAUCCUGCACUGUGGUGUGCUCUUUCUCUGAUAUUGUCCUUGCUUCUUGUACCACAAGUUUCAGCUGUGGUAUUCAAAGAUCAGUUCACAUAUAAGUCUCUAUACACAAAUGGUAGUCAGAGGACAUUGUUAACGUCUUUAGUUGGUGGUUUCAUCUGGCUCUUUGUUGAACUGGCCAGGGUGAUUCUUGUGUGGUUUUUGCUCUUGGUGUACACUAUCUAUUUAGUUUUCUUACCAUGGCUAUUUGGUCACCCUAUUACUGAGGAUGAUAAUCUCACAUACAUGACACGUAGAGGUUGGAUUCUUAAAAGACCCAACAGUGGCAACGAAGUAGUACAUACUGGGAUUCCAGAUGUCAUGGUCAUUGUUCUACCUCACUUUUGUUUUGUGUUAUUACCCACAAUUGUGAUUUUAGCUGCCAUGUCUGCUGAGAGAACGGCAUAUCGAGAGCAUUAUCUUUCUUGGUCAGGAAAGAAGAAAGAUGAUUACUACCAAAAGAGCAGGAGGCAGAUAGAACAUGAAAAAUUUUGGAAUGGUCGCUGGAUUAGGAAAUUUCUGUGUCUUCUUUGCCUGGUGGUUCUAUGGAAACAUUGGAAGGUAUAAAGCAAAAUUUGCAAAUUUCUGUGACUGCAAUUAUCUCCAUUUCAAACAAUUCUAACCACUUCUUUAUGCAGCUUUGCAGAGCUCUUGUGAAGGCUUAUGCUAUGAACCCUUUGCUCCACUCGCCUGUGCUCUUCUUCUUCAUUCCUGCCCUCAUGGGAUUUGCCAUCUACAGGACAUCUUCCAUUUAGCUGUUUGGGAGCUCGGAAGGUGUGAUAUACUAGAUUGUCCUACAAAUAGAUCAUCUUAAGGUGUCCCGUGUAGCCAUUGCACAUGGAGCUUCUUUCUGUGAAGACUGAAGUACUAUAACUCACAACUGAAGGUGUGCUACCUCUAUUUUUUUUCUCUCCUUCAGAGAGCAGAUUGUUAGAUUCUCUAACAUACAUAAAGAUGUUGUCAGCACUGCGUUGCAUAUAAAUGAGAGACUACACGACGUUUCAUUAGAAUGAACAGUUAUGAGAAAGAAAUUGUACUGCUCAAUAUAAUUUUUUUCAUAGUUCUUUCGAGAAUUUUUUUUCUCCAUUCUUGACCUAUCAGUUUUUUUCAUAAAAAAAAAAAAUCCUUGUGAGACUUUGGUGAUGUACACCUCAAAUAUUAGCAUUGUCCUUCGAGGAAUGGAUAUUAAUCUACCAUAUGCAAUCCUGUCUGCCUUUCAUCCUGGAAUGACAAUGACUAGCUUUGUCUUGUCCUGGAGAUUCAAGAGUUCUUGUCAGAUUUUGAAAUUAACAGAUAACAUUGUUCAAAUUUUGAAACGAAGAGAUAAGGAUGUGCCGUAGCACCUAACUUUGCUCAGCAUAUUCGUCAUGGUGUUAAACUGUAGUAUUCUUCUUGAAGGAAACUGUGACCCAACUCUGCCCUCUAGCCAAAUACUCAGUCACCCGAAAAUAUGGAGAAACAGGUGAUGGCUAAUCAGCGAUUGCCCAAAUUCAUAUGAUAGCUUAUCUGCAACGGAUGAUGACAGAAUCUUGGGAGCUCUUCUUUCCCUUCCAUUUUGCCCCUUCCAUUCGCAGGUGAAUGGGAGAUGUCCCAAUUCGGCGGACACUCCAACGCCGCCGCGCCUCAAGUCGCCGGUUCACGAACGCCGGCGAUCGGUUAGUCCAACGUCUCACGGCUGGCACAUCUCUGACCCCUCGGCCGUUGCGCGCCCGUUUCGACUCGAGAGGACGGGAGAGCUGGAGGAGGAGGGACGCAGCGGCGGCUCUACACGAUACAGGAGGGGUGUGCGUGCGGAUGCGGCAGCGGGAUAUCCGGCGGGGAAAGAGGGGGACGGGGCAGCGGGAUGUCCAGCAGGGAAGGAGGGGGGUGGGAGCUGGAGGAGAAGUGGAAGUCAAUUUACCACGACGAGGCGGCCGUCGCCGGCGACGGACGGGAAGGCGUAGCCAUAGGGACAGCUAGGAGGAGGGGUCUUUACGUAAAUAUUUGGAUCGCGAUUACAUAAAACCCCUUAAAUUGGAUCGCACUAUUGAUCGCGAUUCAAUUUAGGGGGCUUUAUGUAAAAUUGUGCGGGGAAAUUCUGAGAAAUAUUGGUUCGCGAUUAAUCCGACCCGGUGUGGCCACGACCUGCGCGGCUGCGCAUGGCCAUGGCGCUUCCGUCUUUGCGGUACUUGGACUGCGGGUAGACCCAUGAGUUGGCGACGAAGACGAUGGUGCCGCGGCCGGGGACGUCGUCGAGGGUGAUGGUCUUGAGGAAGAACUCGGAGGCGUGGUUGUUCUUUACGAUGAUGGCGCCCGGCACGCCCAGCUUCUCCACCUCCCACUCGAACGUCACGCCGAACUUGGACUCGCUGGAUGUCAGCGACGGCAGGGACGUCAGCCACUGCUCCAGGCUCGCCUCCGCGCACACCUUGCCGCGGUUGCCGUUGUCUGCGCAUUCGCCGGCCGCCAGUUCGGGUCAGCGUCACGCAACGCACGCAUUCGAUGCAAGCAGCUAACCCAUGUGUAAAAUCAAAAUGAAACCAAGAGAAUGCUCACUUGGGUCGACGACGGGGGAGCUGAUGAGCUGGCAGGUGAUGCCGCGGCCGAGGAACUCGCCGAUGUUGUCGAUGACGGUGGCGCCCAUGCUGGUGACGUCAAAGCCGAGGACGCUCUUGCGCAUGAGCACCACCGAGCCGUUGAGCCGGCCAUUCUUGUUCCCGGUCAGACCCCCGAUGAUCCCUCCGAACAUCUUCGCUUCACCUAGUGCCUAGCUGCUAGCCUGCUACUACGUUGCUUAGCACAGAUUGACUCGUGGAGAGGCUUUUAGUACCGGGCAAUAACACCACCUGGUACUAAAUGGCACUCCACGGGGUUUAUUGCUCGGUACUAAAAGAUCUAUGAGGAACGAAAAUUUCUACCCGGUACUAAUUUCGCGCGUUAAUACCGGAUGAAAAAGUCAUUUAGUACUAACGUCAAGGACGAAUGCACAUAUUUUAAUUAGUAGUGUGAUGGUAGCUAGCAGGUCAAAAACCUCUCUCUUAUCUGCUCCUUGGAUUUGCCUCUGAAGCGGACUUUCACAUACUCCUCCAUCCCACGUUACUAUUUCACUUUAAUUUUUCUAUAUACUUUUGAUAUGCACCUAAACAUUCUAUUUUGUGAGUUAAUAACACUGCUAUCACCUAAACAUUCUAUCAGUUUUUGCAGCAAACAUUCCACACAUGCUUGCGCUACUCGCAGCACUGUUAGCCGUCCAUCAUCCUCAUCAAGUACCGGAUAGUGAUUCUGAUGAAUGAAUCCCCUCGUGAUCGCUGUUGGUCUGCAUUCAAUCCUGACAACUAUGGUUACUGCGGCCUUGUUUAGUUGCCCAACUUUAGGGUGUCAAAAUUACUGUAGCAACACUAUAGCGUUUCGUUUGUAUUUGUGAAUUAUUGUCCAAAUAUUGACUAAUUAGGCUCAAAAGAUUCGUCUCGCAAAGUACAACAAAACUGUGCAAUUAGUUUUUGAUUUCGUCUACGUUUCAGUACUCCAUGUAUGUACCGCAAGUUUGAUAUGAUGGGAAAUCUUCUUUUUGCAUAGUACCAAAGUUGAGAUUUUAGAGUGAACUAAACAUAGCCGCAGAUGAACACCAACGGGAUAAGGAUGAAGCGUCUGGAGGGGUACAUGUGGAAGAGAACUAUUGGUUCUCCUCCUAUAGACAAUUAAUUAUUGGUCGACAAGCAGAGGAGCAUAUGCUUGAUGCUCCUCCUGUUGUUCUAUAGGAGUGCUAUUUUGGCAUCCAAGGGAAUUGACAGUUCACCCAAAAAUCUCAUAGGCACUCUUGAACUGGUCAUGGACUCCUGGUGCGUGCUGUCAAGUAUGGCAUCCGGACGUCAUGCUCGUGUCAGAUGGCCCGUGAACUCGUCUGUGCAAGCUGUUGGUUUGGGUCAGUCUGUCCUCUUUUUAUUGCGAUUCGGAGCGAGUGGUGCUGAGUUUUGGUUGUUAGGUCUUUUUAUUUGACCAAGUGGUCUGCGUGUUGCUCGACUUACCAGAGUAGUGGCGUCGUGUUUGCUAGUUGGAUCAUUCUCUGCACCGACGUUAUAUUAUUGAGGUAGUGUGCCACACCGCGCAUGUCAGGUUGUGUGGUUUUCGGAUAUGUUUUCACUAAAAAAAACUGGACCAUCAUCUCUUUUAUUUCCCUCCCUCUGAUAUAAAUUUGCAGCAAAUAUUUUGCUGCCCUUUAAAGAAAAAAAAAAGAUGGACCUCAACUCUUAAGCCUCGAUGAGAUUUAGUUCUUGAAGGAUCCAGUGAAAAAUGAAAAUCCUUCUAUAGAUGCAAAUGCUCAGUGCACGCACACAAUGAUAAUACUCACCGUUCACUAGUAGAGAAACGACUUUCCAUCCGCCCCCUUUUGUCCCGGUUUAAAGUUGGCCCGGGACAAAAGGUUCACCAACCGGGACUAAAACUCGGUCACUGGUGGGGGGCUCACCAACUGGAACCUUUUAUCCCGGUUGCAAAGGCUAAUGGAAAAAAAAGACUCUGAAAGGCCUUUUAUCCCGGUUUGAAACACCAACCGGGAUAAAAGGGGGUCUUUUAUCCCGGUUGGUGUUUCCAACCGGGAUAAAAGGGUCCCCACGAGUUAAUACAAAAGGAUAGUAUCCCCUACAUAGUCAGAUGUGGUGUGUAGGUGGGAUGGCAAGGAAGCUACGCGCGAGGCUGGAGGUUGUGGGUUCGAAUCCCACGAACCGCGCACGCGCAUAUUUCGUGUGGGGGGCCUGCCUAGGAGCUUGGGAAUUUUUUUUUUGCAGCGUCGGCGCUCUCGACCCUUUUAUCCCGGUUGGUAUUACCAACCGGGAUAAAAGGGGGUCUUUUGUCCCGGUUGAGUGACCCGGGAUAAAAGACCCCCCUUUUGUCCCGGUUGGUUUAUCCCGGAUGCAUUUUCGAGAGAUAUGCACCCUACCAACCGGGAUUAAAGCUCAGUUCUCUACUAGUGGUUAAGGAUGCGUAAGAUACUCACCCUGCCCCUAUAAACCUACGAGAGGUUAGGUUAACAUAUCUUAUGAUUGAUAAGGUCAUUUACUUAUCGUACGUCUCACUAUUGAUGAACAUAUCGUCUACCAAAGUAGCGUUGUUAAUUCAUGAAAUAAUAAAUAUAAAAAAUGAAAGCACUCGUGCUUUGAAUCUAUGAAUUGAACUCGGUGGACAGAUUAAAUCACAAGAAACCAACCAAACAAACAACCACACACAAAGUAAUGGGUUUUCUUUUCUGAUUGUUUGCAUGCAUCAUUUGAUGCACUACUAGUAAGGCAAUUAACUAAUACCGGUCGACUUAUACAAUGCAUAGUAUAUAGCGAGUGAAGGUGAUGUUCGGACAAGAAAACAAAUACUACUAUUCGCAAAAAAAAAAGAAUACUACUACGAAAAUAAACAGUCCCAGCUGUUCUGAACACGGAAACCUGAUUACCUGAAAGCUUCUUUUUAAGAAGUGGUCUACCCUGCUUUAUUCGAGAUGAACAAAACACACCUGAUUACAUGAACGCUGAUGUCACGAACACAGAAAAUCGUGUGGCGAUUCAUUAAUAUUAUUGUGGUCGCUGCAAGUGCAAGCGGAUGAACAGAGGAAGGGUUGCUGCUUGCCCUAUCAGAAAAUGACCAUUAGCCCCGUCCAUUGAAAGUUUGAAACAAGGAAGCGAGGGAUUCUCGGGUUUCUUUGCUGCAACAGCGCGACGUGGGUUGCUAAACUGCUAUAUGCUUCUGUGAAAUUCGCAAAAAGUGGUAUCCCCCACAUGGUGACAUGGAUUCGGUGCCUUGUUGCGUGGAAUCAAUUCGAUUUGAUGCCAUCCUCUGAUCCUCGUCUUGCUUCGGUGAGACCGUGGAAAAAAACUGCAACAUAGAAAUUUCAUAGGCGCAUGUGGUUCUAUUUACACAGUUCUAACGAAAGUUACAUCGAAUAAAUUCGGUGGACAGAGGCUAGGUGGGAUAUGAGCUUGUUAGUGCCACACUGCCACUGCCAUAGCAUGAGCGCGUACUAGUUUGGGGGGGCAAAAUCGUAUAUGCGUUCCAAGAAUAACACAUUAACAAUGGACCGAAUUGAACAAGCUGUUAGCUAGUGACGACGACGACCCAGGUAGCUAUAGCGGCGUAGAAGGCCACCGGAGGCAGCUCGUACGGAGCGUCUACUUGAGGUCCCCGUGUUGUCAUCGAGCAAGAAGCCAACAAGGGUCCUUCAUCAGGCGUCAGAUGCCGUCACGCCACGCGGACACCCGGUGCCACCUUGCAAUCGCUGAUAGCCGAUGGACGUAACUACCACACAUGAAACGUGUGCUUCUUUCGACGGCGCAACGGGGACAGGGUCCGCCGCCGAGUCGGCGACCGGCCGUUCCGGAGGCGAUGCGUCGCGCGUAGGCCCUGGUGGCGACGGGGGCUAGUUUCUCCUCCUCCUGUUCGGCGACCGGGACGUGCUCGCGAAUCACGUGCAAGAGCAGAGUAGCAGACUGGCUUGUCCGCCGCCGCUGUCAGACUGUUGCGUGUAGCCAUCGUGGAACGCGCCUCGGCUUCACGAAUUUGUUUUUUUCCUAAUCCUGGCGUGGUUGACGAACGGCCCCGUCGAGUAAUGGAAAGCUCCUCCGAUGAGUCCGGCCGGUGCACCCCCCUCACGAGUUGCAGAGAGAUCCAUCGCUGUGCGGUGACGACGCAGCAAAGCUACAGCGCGAAAUGACCGGUACGGUUUAGCGUAGGGUACGGCGUCGGCUAGUGCCUAGUGCAGUUGUGCUCAGCAGGGACGUCAGUGCUGGCGACCCAUAAAGUCGAUGGCGACCCAUACAGUCGAAGCUUUUGAGGGAGGGGUUCCUCUAGCUUUGAGCCUCUAACUUUGCGUCACAAACACAGUGAAUCAGUAACGUAUCGGUGACUCAAAGAUAGAGACCUCAAAGUUAGUUCCUCUGUCUGCACACGAACUCGACAGCGCAACAUCAAUGACUGGAAAAUUAAGCUAGAGCUGAAUCAAUCGUGAUUGGUGAAGCAUAGCGGGCGCACGCAUGACCACACCGUCUUGUGCCCCACGUAGCUGCGAUCAGAGGAGGAUUGGGUAGGAUCGAGUUGGUGAAGAAAUUGAGUCCAUGCUCGAUCCUCUGGGCUGUUUUGUCCUACUACUUGAUAAAAAUUAAAUAAUCUCUCCCCACUUAGAAAUUCUUUUUUAAAAAAAUUACACAUUUGAAUUUUUGGACCAUCAAAUUCAAAAUCAACUACUUGGAUCUAACCACUCUCCAGCCUUAUUCGCUCCCUCUGUCUCUACUCUGACGCCACCUUGCCAGCAUCGUCCCUAACGCCCGUGAGACCUAUCUUGCCUCCCUCGUCCCUUCUUUCUCCCUUCGCCAUUCGCACCCACCGUCAGAGCUCACCUCCGCGUUUUCCGCUGCCAUCUCGACUGCUCCCAUGCUAAGUAAUUAUUGGAGCUCACUCUUGCGCCCCUCCACCGCCCCACCUUGCCGCCGCCUUCCCGUCACCACCACCCGCUACCCUACUUCCCGAAGUUCCCUUCAGGUCAUCAAGAUGCAGGUAAUCCCGAACCUCCAAACCUAAAAAACUCGUCGAAGGUCGCUGGAGGAAGAGCCAAAGGGGAAGAUGUGGAAGAGAAAAAAAAAAUCAAGUGUGGGAGAGGCAAUUUAAUUAUAAUCAUUGGCGUGCAGUGCAGCCAUGCACUUUGGCUAGGGAUCGGAAGCACUUCGUACGCUCCAACCUAGCAGUAGUACUUGUGGCACUACUAGUAGAAUACAAUGCAAGACAUGAGUAGCUAGCUCGCCUCUACUCGUCAACUAGCUCGGGUUUGGCGACACCCAAAGUGAUGGUGUGCCGGUAGACGCUCGCCCGGUCUGGGGGGCUCGCGGCUACGAGGCUGUGAUGACGACGACGAUGCGUGCGUACGCGCUAGGUGUCGCAGCCCGCUGCCGUCGCUAUCGCGUGAUCAGCGCGCCCCGGCCGGCCGGUACUGUGUGACCGGCGACAGAUCUCCCGCCGCUUGCUCCACCAGCCGUCCGUCUUUGCACGAAGGACCCCGCUGGUCAAUUGCGCCUCUCACCUCACUCACAUCAAACUGGACACUAUACACAAGGCCUUGUCGUUUAUGUGCCUUCAGACGCCUCCUAUUUAUUGGGAGCUGUGAUGAAUAAAAAUAACCUUUCCCUGGUCACUGAUGUUGGCCCUGCCUUUUGCUUCGCGCAGAAUAAGACCUUUACCUGCCUUUUGACCAGCAAGGAUUAUAAGGCAACACGUGGGACAGUGUAAUACUACAGCGCAGGUCCUUUUUCCAGCUCAUCAGUAUAGCACGAGAGAAGAAAACUCAGGUAACCGGGUAACCGUGAAAGUGUGACGUGGACAUGGGUGUGUCCAAGUCUAGCUUUAUAGACGCUUUCGCCGCUCCUGCCAGGCUAGCACUGCACUAGUCCCUCGCUACUCCUCGUCUCUGUGUGAGGAUAACUCCUUCCUUUUGUUGCUUGGGCCAUGUUUCACUAUGUAAAAAGAAGAUUCUCCGUCACAUCAAACUUGCGGUACAUGUAUGGAGUACUAAAUGUAGACAAAAUCAAAAAGUAAUUGCACAGUUUUGUUGUACUUUGCGAGACGAAUCUUUUAAGCCUAAUUAGUCAAUAUUUGGAUAAUAAUUCACAAAUACAAACGAAACGCUACAGUGUGCUACAGUGCUAUAACAGUAAUUUUGGACCUCCAAACUUUGGACACCUAAACAAGGCCUUGGUCACUUGGAGAUCCACAAAACCAUUUUGGAUUCGAAGAUUAAUUCGUGGCGCAGCUGCAGGCAUAUAUAGCAGUACUCCUUCGGCCGUCGUCUUCCUCGGGGAGGCCGCCGGGGUCGCCAUUGCUAGCAUAUGGUGUGCUCGGAGAUGCGUAUGGCUUCCACCCAGAGAUAGGAUCUCUUAUAUUAGUGCGGAGCUGCUCCUAUUCUUGACCGGCUUUGCAAGUUCUUUGCAUUGCUUCCUUCGCUGCCUCUCUAGCUUACUUCCUGUUCGUGCUACACCCUCGUAGCUUCGUCUUUGGCCGAUCUAGCUUCAUGCAUGAGUGAAUCUGAUCGGCAGAGAUCAGUAUUACUGAGCUAGAAUCGAGUUGUAUUCUUGGUGCAUCUAGCUAAGCUCCUUAAUCAGCAUAGAGCUUACAGUAUUAGGUACAAAUUAAAUUAAGAUAUGCAUGGCUACAUGCAAAUUGUACGCACUGUUAUUGAGCUUCUUCUUUGUAGCUUACUAUAACAUCACUUUUCUGACUUCUGGGUGUAGGAAAAAUUACGGCGAUGGCACUACCAGCUUCCCCAGUUCAGGAAGAACUGCAGCCGGAGAGUCAAUUGAGGAACCAUCUUGCUGCAGCCGUGAGGAGCAUCAACUGGACUUAUGCCCUCUUCUGGUCCAUUUCAAGCACUCAGCCAGGGUAAUGUGUAAUAUAGAGUCAAUAUUUGGCUGCCAGACUUGUACAACCUAAUCCAUCAUUUUGCAUGAGUAUAUUAUCUUUAUAUUCCAGCUCAUCUAUCUAUAAAUCAAAUAAAUAAAAUCAGAUCAGGUGAUGCAAUUCUAGGUUACAUACUCAUCAAAUGUUACAUACAAUUAAUUAAGGAACUUUGUUACUUUUCAGUCCCUUUUUUCAGCCACUGAACCACAGUUAGUGUCUGUUCGUUCAGAAAAACAAAAUCAGCCCGUGUUCCUCCUCUAUGUUAGAACCGGCAAAUAAAAUCCCAUGCAUAUUUCGGGGAGGUGCAAUAUUACACUUUGAGCUAAAAAAAAUGAAGGCAAAAUCACAGGAGGUUUUAUUAACAUAAAGCAGGAUUAAAGUCUACUGCUCCCGACCUAAUAUUUUUAAAAGUUAUUGUAUUUGUAAGUUAUUUAGAAAUUAAAACCUUAACUAAUAAUCAAAAUUAUUUACCUGAUACUCUCUCAUUUUUUCAAUACUUCAACAUAAUACUCAUAUAGAUGUGUACUUACCUUUAUUCAAUUGUGAUUGAUUUUUAAUUAGUAAUUACUCUAUACUUUUUCAUCCACAUUCAAACUUUUUUCAUUUGAAAAAAGUUUAUUUUACUCCCCUCACCUAUUUACUUUAUCCACUUAACCCCCUAAGCAAAUUUAGGCUCACUUUACUCCCCCAAACUAUUUCAUUUGGUCCAAUCUACCCCAUAAUUAGAUUUCUCUUUUUUGUUUCUUCGCGUAUAAAUUGAAUUUUAAUUUCAUAUUUUAUCAGUUGACUUAUAACAUGAUGCUCCAUGUUAAAAAAAAUUAUUAGAAUUUUUCAUGAUUACUUUUCGUACAUUUUUGUAUAUCUAAGAUCAAUUUUGUAUUAAAUAUUCCUAACAUAUGAAAAUAACCAUGAAAAAUUCUUAGUAUAAUUUUCUAACAUAAGACAUCAUGUUUUGUAUAUGCUCACAAAAUUUGAACUCAAAAUUCAACUCAUACACGAAGAAACAAAAAAGAGAAAUCUGAUUAAGGGGUAGAUUGGACCAAAUGAAAUAGCUCAGGGGAAUAAAGUGAGCCAAAACUUUGUUCAGGGGGUUAAGCGGAUAAAGUGGAUAGGUGAGGACAGUAAAAUGAACUUUUUCCUUUUCAUUUUGCAUCACACCUCCAUGCAUUGUGUUUAGCAUAAAAAUUAAUAUUUUUCAUCACUUUCUCACAUACAUACAUAAAUACAUACAUAAAUGGUCUACAUGGUGACACUCAUCAUGCAUAUAAUUUAACUUAGUAUUUCUAUACUAACAAUGACAUAAAUAGAUAAUUUAGGAUCAUAUAUUAGUUUACUUUUGGAUAUUUCUGUAUGAUGCACAUGAAGAUAAUUAGAUUAAAAUUUAGGUAUUUACUUUAUGUUAUUUUUAAUAAUAACAUACAUGGGUAACUUAGAUACAUAUUUAAUAAUGAUGCACAAGUAAAUUGGAUGAAGAUUAUGGGACUAUUUUAGAUUACCUUUUAUAAUGGCUGAGCUUGGUAAUUUACAUAUAGAUUUAUAUUUUAUUUUAGAAUAUUUUUAUAAUGACAGUGGUGGGUAACUUUUUAUAAAAUAUAAUAGACCAGUAACUAUAAUUAUUAUAGUUUACAUGAUUGAUGUUUGAUAAUUCUGAUUUUUUGUGAGAAUUUUUAAGAUUUAUCUUCUUUUCUAGCGUGUCUCUUGAGUACUAAUGUGGAGUCUCCAAUGAAAAAAAACAGGCCACAUUGCUACAAAAUUAUUACCUUGAAGUACCUCUCAUUUGUUAAAUAAUCGAACACAAUACUUAUAUAGAUAUGUACUUAUUAUCUUCGUUCAUUGUGAUAGAUUUUUUAGUUAGUAAUUACUUUAUAACGUUUUCAUCCACAUUUACAAUUUUUAACUUUUUUCACUUUGCAUCACAGGUAUGAUCUUGAAUUUGUUUAAUGGAUCCUAAGUUUGAGCUAUACUUUUAACAUAGAAUCUAUAUUCUCAUCACUUCCUCUAUAUCUUUAUAAAUGGUGACACACAUCAUGUGUAUAUACCUUAAUUAUUAUAUCAUAUACUAAUAGUGUAAGAAAUAGACGAUUUAGAAUCAUAUAUUGGUAUAUAUUUUUAAUUAAGGUGAUUUGGGUUCAAAUGUAGGGUUAUCUCAUGUUAGUUUUAAUAAUGUCAUAUGUAGGUAAUGUAGAUGAACAUUUAGGGGGUUACUUUAAGUUAUUUUUAAGUUUUAGUGGUGGGAAAUUUAGUUGCAAAUUUUGGAGGUUAUUUUAAGUAUUGUUUAUAAUGGCAGAAGUGGGUAAUUUUGAUGAAGAUUAGGGGUUACUUUAGUUUAUUUUAUAUAGUGGCAAAUGUGGGUAAUUUAGAUAUAGAUUUAAGGGGUUACUUUAGGUUAUUUUCAUAAUGGCAUAGGUGGGCAAUUUUUUUAGAAAACAUAAUAAAUCCAAUGGCUAUGAUUAUUUGAGUCUACCAAUCAAUGGCGAGAUGUUUUGGUUUUUUUUGAGAAUUUCUAGAAUUUCUAUAUUUUUCUAAAGUUUCCACUUAGAAUCCUAGGUGGCUUCACCUUCAGGCUUCAAAAGGAGCCUCCUAAGAUGGCUAAAGUGUUUCUAAGAAAAUUCAUUGGAGCUAAAAGUAUAUGUGCAAAGCGUUUAGACAUAAAGGUUAACAAAUUGUACUAUGCAAGCAAAGAAAAACUAGCAAAAACCAUCCAUAAUUAUGCCUUUCAAGAAUUAAUUUUUAUUUUACUUAAUUCAUCCUAACUAAUAUUGAUUAUGAUCUUCUUUGGGAAAAAACUACUGUAAUUGAUAUUCAGGGUCAAUCAACAAAAUGAUUUUUAAAACACAAUACGAACACAUAAGCAUAUAGUCACAUAGUCUCUCUAAACCCUAAACACGCCCAUCACACGUAACGUAAGCGCACACUCACACCAUUGGCAGCAUAACAAAAGUGAGCGUAGACUCUUGUUUUGUAUUAUGAGUUUGAUCUCGCAUGAGCAGGUGUGCAACCAAUUCCAUCAAUUAACCAUCCAAUCAAGCAACGUUGGUUGGUUGAAGUACAUAUGAGCUCGUGAAGUAUCAUUUAUGGUUUUGUUUUAAAUCUAGCAAAAAUAUUGUAAUACAAAGAGGAUGUGGUAGAAUAUAAAUUAAAUAUCCGUCACGUCUUCAUAACUCGUAAAUACUAAAGAAACUUAUGUUGUGUAGUAUGAUCGUAAAAGUUGACAGCUACAUCUCGCAUUAGAGUUCUUUCUCACUAAAAAAAAAUGUUCUCUCCUGUCGCGGAAUCAAGUCAAGGAAAAAAAUUAUGGUUGCAGAUUCCUAACGUGGACGGAUGGGUUCUACAACGGCGAGGUGAAGACGAGGAAGAUCGUCAACUCUGCGGAGCUGACCGCCGACCAGCUCGUCAUGCAGCGAAGCGAGCAGCUGCGGGAGCUCUACGAGGCCCUCCUCUCCGGCGAGUGCGACCGCCGGGCGGCGCGGCCGGUCGCCUCGCUGUCGCCGGAGGACCUCGGCGACACCGAAUUGUACUACGUGGUCUGCAUGACCUACGCCUUCCGGCCAGGCCAAGGGUACUUGUUACGUAAUCAAUUACUGAGCAUAGCUGAUGUCCCCUUCACAUAAUCACAUUUCAUUUUUGGUCGCCAUGGCUUGUUUCGGUGCUUGCCAUUCGCGUGCGUGCGGCCACAGGUUGCCGGGAAGGAGCUUUGCUAGCAACGAACGUGUCUGGAUGUGGAACUCUCACCUCGCCGACAGCAAAGCCUUCCCCCGCGCGCUCCUGGCGAAGGUAUGUCAAGUUCUGACGGGGAGGAAAGGCCGAUCUGCAUUAAUUCUCCAUUUCCAUCCGUUAUCUUCCAUUCAUGUUCUUGAUUAACCGCUUGCAAUCUUUGUUGGCUUAUCAUGAACUCCAUGCUACCUCUGCAUGUGACCUUGCCGACCGGUUCAAGCAGAGCACGUCCAUUCAGGUAAGCGCUUCAUGCUUCAUUUUGACGUAAGCACUAAGCAGUGCACUUUCAGAAUGUUUUUCUGAAUAUAACUUCAUCCUGGAUCGUUUUUUCUUUUGUAGACAAUCGUCUGCAUCCCGCUCAUGAGCGGCGUGCUUGAGCUGGGGACAACUGAUGCGGUAUGCUCAAUGGUCAAGUUAACACUGUCUGAACAAAUUAAUUGUUGAAUCGAGAAUAAAAUAUAACCUCAGCUCCUGACGGAGUUUAUUCUUUUCAGCAUUUUGCAUUUUCCUGAAGAUCAACUAUAUAUAUAUAUAUAUAUAUAUAUAUAUAUAUAUAUAUAUAUGCAUCAGUAUUAUCUGAAAAAUGGGUAUAUGCAUCAGUAUUUAUUAAUCAUUUAACCAAACUUGGUGCUAUUGCCAGGUGGUGGAGGAUCCAAGCUUGGUCAGCCGAGCCACUGCAUCUUUCUGCGAGAUGCAGUUUCCGGCAUGCUCGCAGGAGCCGAGCUCCAGCCCGUCAGCAAACGAAACCGGCAAGCCCGCCGACAUUAUCGUGUUCGAGGACCUCGAUCACAUUGCCAUGGAAGCGAUGAUCGCCGGCGGACAGGAGCUAGGCGAAGCGGAGAGCCUGUCAGAUGGAAGCCUCGAGCAAAUCACCAAGGAGAUCGACGAAUUCUACAGCCUCUGCGAGGAAAUGGACGUGCAGCCACUCGAGGAUACCUGGAUCAUGGACGGGUCUUUCGAAGUCCCCUCUUCGCAGCAGCCGGCGCCGGGGCCUGCUACUACUAACGCCGCCGCCACCUCAAGCGCUCUCGUUGACGGCUCUCGCGCGACGAGCUUUACGGCCUGGGCGAGGCCGGAGUCGGACUCCAAUGAAGUGGCUGUGCCGGUCGUCGAAGAGCCACAGAAGCUGCUGAAGAAAGCGGUGGCCGGCGGAGCUUGGGCGGCGAACAAUGGCGGCGGCGGCACGACGAGAAUGGCCCAAGAAAGUGGCGUCAAGAACCACGUCAUGUCGGAGAGGAAGCGCCGGGAGAAGCUCAACGAGAUGUUCCUCGUUCUCAAGUCAUUGGUUCCCUCCAUUCACAAGGUAAUAGCGCACACAUUUUUCGGUGUACCGUGUACGUUCACUUGCAUGUAAUCCUUGCAUUCUGAACUUUCUGAUACAUUUUGAACUUUUUUGAAUGUGUUGCAGGUGGACAAAGCAUCGAUCCUUGCCGAAACGAUAGCGUACCUCAAGGAGCUUCAACGAAGGGUACAAGAGCUAGAAUCCAGCAGGGAACCCAUAAUCUCGCGCCCAUCCGAAACAACGAGGGCAACAAGGCGCCAUGACGAUGAGGCCGUCAGGAAGAAAGUCUGUGCCGCGGGCUCCAAGAGGAAGGGCUCGGAGCUCGGCGGUGACGUGGAGAGGGAGCACCACCCACGGGCCCUCUCCAAGGACAGCACCAGCAACGUCACCGUCACCGUCUCGGACAAGGAGGUGCUCGUGGAGGUGCAGUGCCGGUGGGAAGAGCUUCUGAUGACGCGAGUGUUCGACGCCAUCAAGAGCCUGCAACUGGACGUUCUCUCGGUUCAGGCAUCGGCACCGGAUGGGUUCAUGGGGCUGAAGAUACGGGCUCAGGUAUCACCGGAUCAUUAAGACAUGGGAAUUGCAAUGCAAUGUAGUAGGUUCUGGUUAGCAGUUAGCUCUCCAUUAGUUUGUUGGUUCGAGUUUUGUUUUACUGAUGCUGCUGUUUCUGUUGAGUUUCUGCAGUUUGCCGGCUCAGCUGCCGUUGUGCCGUGGAUGAUCAGCGAGGCCCUCCGUAAAGCUAUAGGGAAGCGAUGAGGGGCAGCUCAAGUUCUAUAUCGAUGUACAUAGAAGUUCCAUGAACACGUUCCUUGUGAAUCCUAUUUUUGCAAAUGGGGUGCACUCAUUUCAUAUUUUUUUUUGAACAAUCACCUUAUGAACAUGUGUGCUACACUAUGAGCAACUCGGCGAGAUUAUCCCGACAGUUCUUAAGAUUGACAAAAUCACCACAACCGCCUAGCUAUCAAUGAGUAUGUCACUUACCCCUGAGCGUAUUGCCUACCCUGAAAGAAUUUUUUGAAAAUAACCUACCCUGAAAGAAUAAAUAUCUUAGAAUACAAGCAUCCCUAUUGAAUCGGAAACUCUCGGAACACAAGUGGAUAGGUUACUCCACCAAGCAAAACUAGGACCAAGCCCUUCCUUCGCGAUCUUGGAUGGGUAUGCUUUAUGCAGUGCACGGUACAAUGGCAACCAUUGAGUUGCAUGCACCAAUCAGUUCAAUUCAAAAGCUUAAGCUAAUAGGAAAAUGUAGACAAUUCACUUAUACUCCAACAGCGACUGUCCCUCCUGUUUUGUCCUUUUUCCAUCAUGCCAUACGAUGUUGAUCGACCAUUACAUGGAUCACACCAUUGCUUGACACAUGAUGCGGUGCUCGGUUCAACCCUGAGCCUCUCUUUCUCAGGAAAAUUUACCAAAGCUGCCUAGAGGCACUCUCAAGGAUCAACUGACUUGCAUCUAUGGCCACGAAACCUGAAUAAACCAUGCUUGAAGGCUGGAGCAGUACAGGAAAAAAAAUCUUAUAUGGUUGGUAUUGCUGCAACUGCAAUGAUAGUACUAGUACAGCAUCAUUCUUUGGUAUGAUUAUUUCCAAAAUAUUAGGAGAUAAAUAGGACACAAAAAAUGUUGGUAUGUUGUUGGAUAAAGAAACUAGAAAAGUUUUAUCUUCUUUGCCAUGUGGUUCAAUGGAAGCAUUGGAAGGUAUGGCCACACGUGCAAGUUUCUGUUCUUUGAGUCGUCUCUAUUUCAAACUUUGAACAUCCUCUUGAACCAAUUGUUGUUGUUCAGCAUUUCAGAGUACAUUGAGGCCUCAUAGUUUUUGCCAUCUUUUUGGAGCUCUGAUUGUGUAUUUCCCCCCUCUUUGAGCAGCAGCGUAUGUGAUGGCACCGGAGGCUAUUCGAAUGAACGACGAGUUGAAGCAAAAUCCGGUGGAAAGAAGAUCUGGUGUAAGGAGAUCACUGAGGAGUCCUGCGAGCAGGUUAAGUCUGCAGGUAUGUUAGCUGAGGUUACUCUGCCCUGAUUUGAUGCUUCUCUUGGCUUUGCACUAGUUCCUCAGUCGUUUAGGGAAAUUGAUAAAUUGGCAUCAGCUGACUGCAUCAUCUUUUGCUACUUCGCUGCUUUGAACUCUAGCAAUGUGAAAAGGAUGGGUAUCUAAUGAACCUCAAAUUUUGAGGUGUGUGUUGAAUUCUAGUGAGGUCAUGUGAGCGUCUAGUUGGGAUUUGCACAGAUGAGCCUGCUUAUACAGUUAUACUCAAAACAUUUAUACAUAUAAAAGAGAAGAAAGGAAGAAAUACAGUUUUGCCCCUUUUCACGCUGCAAAUAUGUACUUGUUAGGCCUGACCUGGCAUAUACUCCAUUAGGCCAGUCUGCAUAGUUUCAUUGCACUGUGCCAGUUGAGUGUCAUGGGGAUGAAACUUCUCCCUCUCCUGAUGAAACUCCCCUCAUAAUGACCUUGCUAAGUCAGCAAUUUUGCUGAUGUGGCAACAAAUUUAAUGCUCAUGAAACCCCUAUGAAACUUCCAUUGAGACUGGCCUUAAGAGAAAACAGAAGGAACACAUUUACUUCACUUUUUUGAAGCGGCUUAAUUUUUUUUUUUUGAAGCGGCCACAUUAACUUCAUUAUUGGUGAACUGAAGGGUAUUAUUGUAGUGGCUUCCACGCCUAUUACACAACAUAGAUGAAACCGAGAGAACACAGCUUCCUGCUUCCAUGCACAGAUGCAUGAUGAAUGCAUUGGCUCCUAAACUCAGAUGGAUAUGCUAUUGGGGAUGCCCUUGGCAGUGAUGCCAGCGGCGUCGCCCUUCUUGUCGGAGGUGUUGGGGUAGAGCAGAGUGUAGGGGAACUUGGCCGGGCCGUUGCGGUUCUUGAGCCGCGGAUCGGCGUUCAUGGUCAUCGCACGUUUCUCUAUCUCCGUGAGCCGCGCUCCGAACCGCUUGAACGCCUCCUGCGCCUUGGCAUCCGACGUCCACUCCGGCGUGUCGCGCUGGCCCAGGUACACCUCGUCGGAGGAGUGGCUGGACAGGAUCUCCAGCAGCGAGAUGCCGACGAGGGCCUGGAACUGGCUCGUGAUGGUGCGCACGAACACCUUCUCCGGGUUGCGCUCCAGCUCCGCGUACUCCUCCGUGCCUGGCACCGGCAUCGGCUUCCGGCUAACCGACGGCCGGUUCGGGAGGUACCCCGCGUAUGGGUACUGCCCGAAGUUGACGGCGGCGUGGAGCGCCGACGCGAUCCAGAUGAUGGUGGCGCAGGCUUUGGCCAGCUCCGCCACCGUCUGCAUCUUGGGCCACCAGGAAGCGUCCUUGAUGUCGGCGUGCCCGACCUCACGCACCUCCUUCCACCAUGCCUGCAGCUCGACGUCGGCAUGGAGCACGCCGUCGUUGGGGUAGUAGAUGGCCAGGUACUCCGUCACCCACUGCUCGAUGGCGUGCCAGAUCGCCAGCCCGUCGGACGCGUACGGGUAGUCCUCAAUCAGAAGCCGCACCUUGUACCGGCUCGAUGGGUCGGCCACCGCCAUGCCUCUGCAGCAUUGCACAUUUGCAACUGAUCAUCCUGCUUUGAACUCGUUUUGAAAUUAUGCGUUGGUGUUGAUGCCAACGUGCCAGGAGGACUAACCUCUUGAUUAGGUCGUCGGGGAGAGCCUGCUCGGUGAAGUUCCAGUUCUUAUAGAUGACGGAGGACAUCUCGAAGGUGUAUUUGCGGGGGAAGACAGUCGUCUCGAAGAUGCCGCCGGCGUUGACGAGCAUCUGGCGCGCGUUGGAGUUGAUGUUCAUGGUGUCGCGGUAGUGGGGCAGCAGCAGCUUGUGCACGGGGUGCGCCACGCUGAGCUGCCGGUUGGUGGCGAUGACGAAGGGCUCCAUCACGGCGUGGGUGUUGAGCCAGUGGCUGAUCAGCUGGUGCCAGCAGUAGUCGUUCACGUUGGCGUAGGCUUUGGCGAGGUGCCACACCCACGCCUCGGCGCCGGUCGUCGACGUGGGCGUGUACACCGUGCUCUUCGCGGUGGUCAGGCCGUCCUUAAGCUCGGGUAGGCUCAGCUCGAUGGCCACCGGCGCGAGCGUGCCGUCGGAGCGCAGGAACAGUAGGGUCCUCGUUGCGUAGAUGAAGUUGCCGUUUAGGCUGUUGAAUUUGAGCAGGAAUGGCAUGAAGUUGUCGUGGUGAUCCAGGAUGUAGAGCCGGUUGCCGUCGAGCGCCUGCUGCACGGUGAGGCCCUCGAGGUUCCUCUCGAUGUGCGCCGCCGUGAUGGUGCUCGUGUGGUCGCCGUACUUGCUCGGGUCAAGAGUGCUUCUCGGAGGGAAUUCCUGAUGAACACGCAAAGAAUUAGGGAAGCCAUAUUCAAGCCUCAAGGUCCAUGGGUCUGGAUCUAUUGUUCACUUACGGUGAGACGUCUGAUGAGCAUGGGGUUGACGCCGGCGAGAAUCUCCCGUCCAAACUCCUCGUCGGUCAUCCAAGCUGUCUUGUCCUCUGCAUAGCCACAAUGAUCGAGAUGAACGGUGCCGCGUUUGCACGCAGAGAUGGACGGUGCUUAGCUCAGCUGCUGCGAACAAACUUUACCUUUAAUGAUUUGCGGCAUGGGGAGCUUGAGGAGGUAGUCGCCGCCGACGGGGAGGACAUCCUUGACGAGCUGGAGCGGGAACUGCUUCCGCAGCUCCUCGAGGGCAGGGAUCUCGGGCAGUUUGAUUCCGCCCUCGUAGAGCCUGAUGAUGUCCCCGAAGGAGUCGAACUCGCCGGGCGAGAGGUCCACGUAGGUGCGAAUGGCAGGCACGACGGCGUUCACCAGCGCCUUGAUCGCGUAGCCGUAGAAGUCCGACUUCUUGAUGUGCCCGAACCGCUCGUCGCGCGGCACGUAGAUGUCGCCCUCGACCAGCGUCAGCCUGCUCUCGCAGCUGGGGUCUGCGUCGUCCAAGUGCCAAGUUAAAAUAUUUGCCUGCAUCCGUAGGCUGAAACGGGGAAAACAAAAGGGGGACACGGGAUCGGAGACGAACCGGAUUUGGUGGGCUCCCGGCCGGUGCGGCAGCGACGCGGGUAGGGGAGGUCCCCGGAGCCGCCGAGGGUGGGGCGCGGGUUGCCGGAGUCGGGCAGGCCGAGGUCGUUGUAGACGUCGUAGCGGUAGACGCGGUCGUGUUCCUGGUACGGGCCCUGCUGGUCGUCGCCCCGGAGGUUCCGGAGCUCGUCGUCGCGGUAGGGCUUGAGCGCCGCCGGCAUCUGGCUCGGCAGGUACGUCUGCAAUAAUGCAAUGCAUUCCCCGACCGUGUCAGUAGAAAAAAACCGAUGAGUUGAGUUGGCGACUCACGUCGGAGAGUUGAAGCAUCAUCCAUCACUGACGUCGUUGGCGAAGAAGACGCGGCUGUAGCGGUACUUGGACUGCGGGUAGACCCAUGAGUUGGCGACGAAGACGAUGGUGCCGCGGCCGGGGACGUCGUCGAGGGUGAUGGUCUUGAGGAAGAACUCGGAGGCGUGGUUGUUCUUUACGAUGAUGGCGCCCGGCACGCCCAGCUUCUCCACCUCCCACUCGAACGUCACGCCGAACUUGGACUCGCUGGACGUCAGCGACGGCAGGGACGUCAGCCACUGCUCCAGGCUCGCCUCCGCGCACACCUUGCCGCGGUUGCCGUUGUCUGCGCAUUCGCCGGCCGCCAGUUCGGGUCAGCGUCACGCAACGCACGCAUUCGAUGCAAGCAGCUAACCCAUGUGUAAAAUCAAAAUGAAACCAAGAGAAUGCUCACUUGGGUCGACGACGGUGGAGCUGAUGAGCUGGCAGGUGACGCCGCGGCCGAGGAACUCGCCGAUGUUGUCGAUGACGGUGGCGCCCAUGCUGGUGACGUCAAAGCCGAGGACGCUCUUGCGCAUGAGCACCACCGAGCCGUUGAGCCGGCCAUUCUUGUUCCCGGUCAGACCCCCGAUGAUCCCUCCGAACAUCUUCGCUUCACCUAGUGCCUAGCUGCUAGCCUGCUACUACGUUGCUUAGCACAGAUUGCAGUUGCAGGCUUUGCUUGCUGUUCGUGUUGUGUGAGAGACCUGCGUAGCUGCAGGCUACUUAUAGAGUUGGAGGGUGAGCUGAAUGCCUGAAUUCAUGGAGUGAAGUUUAUGAUAAUCAGAUCAAAUCUCCAUUUAGGAUAAGAUAAUGGCAUCUACUGACCUGCCAGUUCGUGUUGCACGCGCUGCAUGGGCUCAAAAUUAUAUUCAACUCCAAAAUUAUUGAUCAAUUGUCAGAGAUGGCACAUUAUGAUUUCCUUAAAGAAUUAGAAUUGCGCCAAAAAUGUGGCGCGCACGCAGGGGUGGGCUCAUAUCGCACGUCUAUAAAUAAUUUUGUUCACACUUGAGUUACAAACUUGAGGUGUACCUAAAUUUGACACUGGAGUUACCAACUUUUCCUCCAGUAAACACCGUACCGUGCAGAAUUUUACUGGUUUAUUCGAGGAAGUAUCAUGGCACCUUUGCACAAAAUUUUCCCAACUAAGUAUAUCUUCAUUUGUGAUGCCAUAUGUAUAGACCUAUUAUAGAGAGAAUCUAGUUUGCAUGGUGAUAGAUCUUCUGCUGGUGACCAAAUCAUUUUAUUGUAUUGUAUCGAUCAGGCUGUUACACUCGACCAACAACAUUCUAUUUUAAAUCCUAGCCAACUUAGCCAUGGAUCCAAAGCAAGGCCUAGGAUCAUUUUAUUCACUGGCUCGUGUAAGCUAAAAAUGAUGUUCACAGAGUAAGUUUGUUGCGCAAGUUCUUUUCCAUAGAUAAAGCUCUCAUGAUAUGCAAGAGGCGCAAAAUUAAAGAAGAUGAAGGCUUAAUUAGCUUGUGCUAUAUAUUUAGUGACUUUAUCGUUCAUAUGUACUUCUACGUACUACAAGAAUCUACAUCUUUCCCAAUAGUUUUUUUGAAGUAGCCAGCAGUAUUAGCACUAUUAGUAUUUUUUUUUCUUAAGUGGCCAGCAGGGUUUGUAGUAUAAUUUUACAUCUUUCCCUACAGUUUUUGCAACUACCUACAAUAUAAUCUCCACAAACUCAUUACCCACAUUUUUCUUAGCUAGUGAAUCAAAUGUACUAUCACUGUUGGCCGCUUAUGCAAAGACACCAUUGGGGAAAACUACAAGUCUUGUAGUGUAUGUCCUAGUAAGUGUUAUUCAAGAGAGACCAUUUUUCAUUUUUUUUUGGAAAAACGUAUAUUCUUCAGAUUAGGCCUUGAUCUACAUAGGAAGCUGUGCAAGUGUGGAAUGGUCGCAUUUUCCAGGGCAAUCCAGGACAAACUGAAUAAUUUUUUCACCAUCGUUGUAAGUGCAAAAGGAGACCUAAGCUUCAAAUAAUAGAUGGGUGAACAGAAAGAAUGCUAAGUGUGUCCAAAAUGGACAUGUCAAUGCGAGCAGCACAUAUAUUGGACGGGCUGGUUAGCAAGGUUAGGUACAUUGGGUGCCUCAAAAUUUAGCUGAUGUGGAAUCGUAGUACAAAGUAUAAGCUGUGGCUGUCUGGCACUGGCAUAUUUGUCCACUACAGAAAUUGGAAGGGUCAUAUGCAUGGCAGCGUCUUCUCCACCUAACGCCGCAUGCUUAUAAAACAUGCAAAGCGUUGUACUAGGAGAUAAGAUUCGUGCAUCAUGACAUCAUAUUCUAGUGCUAGCCGGGCUUGAAGCUCUCCAGAUCGUCUGGGCGGAAAUAAUGGAUGGCCGAGUGGGUCUUGAUUACAUGCUGAAUAUAAUCCAGGGUUUAGACCGAUGCAAUCAUGAAUGAUCACAGGCAAAUACUAACAGCGGAUCAAAGCACACCUGCACGUACGCUUGCAGCGCGGCGCCCGGCUAGUUUUGAUUUCCAAAUAUAUCUCGUCUUCCACCUCGAAAUCAGCUGGUGUGGAGAUAUAUCGAGAGUUUGGCCUGGAUCAGAGCAGUACAGUUGACUGCAGAAAAGGAUGAACUGCAAAAUUGGAUUAGCGAAUCCUGGUUCCUUUUUUUUAUUUUUUUUUGCAUGGCAGGCUAGCAGCUGAGCUUUGCCAUUUCCCCAUGCGACGCACGCGAGUUGGUGGUUGGAACUUGGAACACGGGGACGUGCAUUGAAGUCAGCCAAGUCCAUGUUCCCAUGUGUACGUGGAAGUGUUUUUCCUUUUUCGUGCAUGUAUAAUUUUCAAAGUUUGACAUAUAGUUUGAAAGGCUGCUAACCGCGCUUGCCACGCGGUGUACAUGUAUAAUUUUCGUUUCCAUGUCCUACCGCGUUAAAUCUUACUAAUUGAUUUUGAAGCUUUCAAUUGAAGCCACCUAGGAUUACUAGGUGGACACUCUAAAGAUAAGAGAGAAAUUCUAGAAAUUCUUGUAAAAAAGCAAAAUAUCUGGACAUCAAUUGGUAGACUCAAAUCAUUCGUAGCCAUUGAAUCUAUUGUGUUUUCUAAAAAAUUACCCACCAAUGCCAUUAUGAAAAUAGUCUAAAGUAACCCCCUAAAUCUAUAUCUAAAUUACUCACCUCUGCCAUUAUAUAAAAUUAACUAAAGUAACCCCUAAUCUUCAUCAAAAUUACCCACUUAUACCAUUAUAAAUAAUAUUUAAAAUAACUCCCUAAAUUUGCAACUAAAUUGCGCACCACUAAUACUUAAAAAACUUAAAGUAAUCCCUUAAAUUUACAUUUACAUUACCCAUGUAUACUAUUAUUAAAAAAAUAACAUAAGGUAACCCUACAUUUGAAUCCAAAUCACCUUAAUUAAAAUACACAGCAAUAUAUGAUUAUAAAUCGUCUAUUUCUUACACUAUUGGUAUAUGAUAUAAUAAUUAAGAUAUAUAUGUAUGAUGUGUGUCACUAUUUAUAAAUAUAUAGAGGAAGUGAUGAGAAUAUAGAUUUCUAUGUUAAAAUUAUAGCUUAAAAUUAGUGAUUUGACUAAGCAUUUUUUAUCUUAGGCGAACGAUGGGUUAUCGGGUUCAUUAAACAAAUUCCAAGUGCAUACAUGCGAUGUAAAGUGAAAAAUUAAAGAUUAUAAAUGUGGAUAAAAAUAUUAUAGAGUAAUUACUAACUAAAAUAUGUCACAAUCAGAUAAAAUAAUAAGUAUAUAUCUACAAAAGUAUCGCAUUCAAAUAUUUAACAAAUGAGAGGUAGCUCAACGUAAUAGUUUUAUAGAGAUGUGGUCUCAUUUUUUUCCAUUAGAGACUCCACAUUAGUUCCCACAAGACAUGCUAGAAAAAAAAGACAAAUCCUAUAAAUUCUCACAAAAAUAAAAAAACAUCAAUCUCGUAAACUAUAAUAAUCAUAGUCAUUGUUCUAUUAUAUUUUCUAAAAAUUUACCCACCACUAUUAUUAUGAAAAUAUUCAAAAUAAACUCCAAACCUAUAUUUAAAUUAUCGAGCUCGGUCAUUAUAAAAAAUAAUCUAAAAUAACCCCAUAAUUUUCAUUCAAUUUACUCAUACAUAUCAUUAAUAAAGCAUAACAUAAAAUGUCGUUGUAAUUUGUAUCUUAGGUACCCACGUAUGUCAUUAUUAAAAAUAACCUAAAGUAAACACCUAAACCUUAAUCAAAUUAUCUUCAUGUGCAUAAUACAGAAAUGUGCAAAAGUAAACUAAUAUAUGAUUCUAAAUUACUUAUUUAUGUCAUUGUGAAUAUAGAAAUACUAAGUUAAAGUAUAUACACAUGAUGAGUGUCACCAUUUAGACCAUUUAUACAUGUAUGUGAGGAAUUGAUGAAAAAUAUUAAUUUUUAUGCUAAACAUAAUGUAUAGAGGUGCGAUACAAAAUGAAAAAAGUGUGAAUGUGAAUGAAAAGUGUAUAGAACAAUUACUAAUUAAAAAUUAAUCGCAACUGGGCAAAGAUAAGUACAUAUCUAUAUGAGUAUUAUGUUGAAGUAUUGAAAAAAUGAGACUGUAGUAGGUAAAUAAUUUUGAUUAUUAGUUAUGCGUUUAAUUUUUAAAUACAAUAGCUCUUAAAAUAUUAGUCCGUGCGGGAGCAGGGGUUGAUGGACUAGUAGUAGAAUAAGUUGGAGUUGGAGCUGAUUUGAAAGAGCCGUGUGGAUGCUUAAUUAAUAUAUUGUCUGUGGCUUAUGAAUGUCAGUUAUCCGAGCACCUAAAUAAUUUCAAAUAAAAAAUCUAACACGUUAAAGUUGUGGUUCUCAACCACUGUUUUGGAACUAAAUUUCUCCAACUACAGUUUUUAUGUAAAGACCAUCUUCAUCCGAUUUUGUAGGUAAAGAGGCUUGUCAAGUCAUGGAUUAACUUUAAGUGGCCGGACAAGCUUACCAUAUGAAUUAUAUGUUGGUAGAUUUCUCAGGGUCGUGCUAACCAGUGCGCGCCAGUAGUGCUUCCAACCAACGAUUCCCAACAGCCCACUCCGCUCCCUCCGAACUUUCCUUUUUCGGAAACUUUAAUUCCCGCAACUUUCUAUUUUUUGAAUACCACAACUUAUACACAUAACUUCGACACAUAAUUUCAUACUAACAAUUAGUUAUAAGAUAAUUUUUUAGCAUAACUUUGAUACAUGCAAAACUUAUGCGUACCAUUUCUACGUCCAAUUUCUAAUGGACAACUUCGAAUUUUAUUUUUAAAAAUUAUAACUUAUACACACGAUUUAUACAUUUAAUUCUUUAUUGACAAUAAUUUAUGUGAUAAAUUUUGUAGUAUAACUUUUAUGAUAUACAUAACUUAUACGCAUAACAUUUGCCAUGACUUUACGAGAAUGUUGUUAAGGAAUUUAUGCACAUAAUUUAUAUGCAAACAAUAUUUACUUCAAUACAAAAUAGUAUGGAAAAAAUAAUUGAAUCGAAAAAAAUUGAAAAAGAAAAAAAACGCUGGCGUGGUGCUUAGUAGCACCACGGAGGCCACCCCCGCCGCUAGCUGACUCACCUUGCGUGCUAGGAAGUGUGCUGACGCGCGAGGGUGGGAUCAGCUUUGCGGAUUUCUCGUGCGCUCUAUGGUGGCACAACUUAUUACAGUAAUGCAUGAUGUAGAAUGUUCUUAUCGUGCCAAGCAACCUAGCAUAGUCAAAAGAGUCAUUUUUUACUAAUAUAGUCUUAAACAGGCUAAUAAUAAAAUACUUAUUUACUUCAUCUAUUCUCUUUUGAUAGGCAUAUUUUACCUUCACACAAUAACUAAGAAAAAUAACUCUACUUAUCAUCCAAUUAAUGCAAAUAAGGCUCACCACAUUAGUUCUCCACUGUUUUUGCUUGGAUGAAUCCUUGUUGCAGAUGCUUGUUUCAGCCCACGCCAUAGUUUGUAUGACUACCUAUUAUUUCUGAAAAUCUAAUUUUGGAAACCUCUACUUGCUUGCAUAUAUGUAGUAUACGGUUUUCUUUUUGGUGAGGGUGUGGAAUAAACGAUUCAGAAUUCCCUGCUUGAAAUUCUCACCGGCCAUAGUUUUUUUUUCUGCCCACUCCUCACAUUGCAAGGCAUGAAAGCAAACACCAAAUGACCAGGAUAUAUAUUCGCUUCAUUAUUGGGAUACCUUACAAUUACAAAGCAAUGCAAGUACAUCAUUGGUACACGCCCAAGGCUACAAAUCCUUUAUUGUCACACCACUCCACACACUUCUCAUGGAUGAAAUGAAACAGAAUAUAACGGGAAUCACCCACCGCUACUUCCUCGUUGAAUAUUGUUAUCCUCAGCCGAUCCAUCAGAUGGAGAUGCUGUUGGGGAUGCCCCUGGCGGUGACGCCGGCGUUCUCGCGGUCGGAGACGUUGGGGGAGAGCAGCGUGUACGGGAACUUUGCCGGGCUGUUGCGGUUCUUGAGCCGGGGGUCCGCGUUCAUGGCCUCCACGCGCUUCUCGAUCUCGGCCAGCCGCGCGCCGAACCUCUUGAACGCCUCCUGCGCCCUGGCGUCCGACGUCCACCCCGGCGUGUCCCGCUGGCCGAGGUACACCUCGUCGGAGGAGUGGCUGGACAGGAUCUCCAGCAGCGAGAUCCCCACCACGGCCUGGAACUGGCAGGUGAUGGAGCGCACGAAGAACCUCUCCGGGUCGCGCUCCAGCUCCGCGUACUCCUCCGUGCCCGGCGCCGGCAUCGGCCUCCGGCUAACCGACGGCCGGUUCGGGUGGUACCCGCAGUAGGGGUACUGCCCGAAGUUGACGGCGGCGUGCAGCGCCGACGCGAUCCAUAUGAUGGUGGCGCAGGCCCUGGUCAGCUCCGCCACCGUCGUCAUCCUCGGCCACCACGGCUCGUCCUUGAGGUCGGCGUGCCCAACCUCGCGCGCCUCCUUCCACCACGCCUGCAGCUCGGCGUCGGCCUGGAGCACGCCGUCGUCGGGGUAGUAGAUGGCCAGGUACUCAGCCACCCACUGCUCGAUGGCGUGCCAGAUCGCCAGCCCGUCCGACGCGUACGGGUAGUCCUCGAUCAGCAGCCGCACCUUGUACGGGCUCGAGGGAUCCUCGACGGCCAUGCCUCUCUUGACGAGGUCGUUGGGGAGGGCCUGGUCGGCGAAGCUCCAGCUCCCGUAGACCUUGGAGGAGAUCUCGAUCGCGUACUUGCGAGGGAAGACGGUCAUCUCGAAGAUGCCGCCGGCGUUGAUGAGCUUCUGGCGCGCGAGGGCGUUGAUGUUCAUGGUGUCGCGGUAGUGCGGGAGGAGCAGCUUGUGCACGGGGUGCGUCACGCUGAGCUGCCGGUUGGUGGCGAUGAUGAAGGGCUCCAUCACGGCGUGGGUGUUGAGCCAGUGGCUGAUGCCCUGGUGCCAGCAGUAGUCGUUCACGUUCACGUAGGCCUUGGCGAGGUGCCACACCCACGCCUCGGCGCCGGUGGUGGACGUGGGCGUGUACACAGUGCUCUUGGCGGCGGUGAUGCCGUCGCGGAGCUCAGGGAGGCUGAGCUCGAUGGCCACCGGCGCCAGCGUGCCGUCGCCGCGGAGGAACAGCAGCGUCCGGGUGGCGUAGAUGAAGUUGUCGUCCAGGUUGUUGAUCUCGACCAGGAACGGCAUGUAGUGGUCGUGGUGGUCAACUACGUACAGCCGGUUGCUCUCCAGCGCCUGCUGCACGGUCAGGCCCUCCAGGUUCCUCUCGAUGUGCGCCGCCGUGAUGGUGCUCGUAUGGUCGCCGUACUUGCUCGGGUCCAGCGUGCUUUUCGGAGGGAACUCCUGCAUCGAUGACACAGAAACAGUAUUUAUUAAUUAUUGUUACUCCAAUUGGCCGAGACAUUCUCGAGGCCGUGCUCGAUCGAUUAACUGCCCGUCGUUCACAACUCACCGUGAGACGCUUGAUGAUCAUGGGGUUCACGCCGGCGAGUAUCUCCCUGGCGAACUCAUCAUCGCUCAUCCAAGCUUUCUUGUCCUCUGCACGCGAGAACCGAGAUGGCAUAGCAUAGGUCAGUAACAAACAUUGCUAAAUCACACAUAUAUGAUGGAUUUUUUUUAUGGAACAUGAGGGGCAAGGCAAGGCAAGGCAACCUUUGAUGAUCUUGGGCAUGGGGAGCUUGAGGAGGAAGUCGCCGCCGACGGGCAUGAGGUCCUUGAUGAGCUGGAGCGGGAACUGCUUGCGGAUCUCCUCGAGCGCGGGGACGUCGGGCACCUUGAUGCCUCCCUCGUACAGCCGGAUAAUAUCCUUGAAGGAGUUGAACUCGACGCCGACGUAGCCCUUGAGCGCCGGCACGAUGCCGUCGACGAGCGCCUUGAUGGAGUAGCCGAGGAAGUCGGCCGACUUGAUGUGGCCGAAGCGCUCGUCGCGCGGCACGUAGACGUCGUCAUCCAGCAGCGUGAGCCUGCUCUCGCAGUCGUGGUCCGUCUCCGUGGGCCUCCGGCCCGUGCGGCCGCGGCGAGGGUAGGGGUGGUGCUUGGAGCCCCCCAGGGUGGGGCGCGGGUUGCCGCCGUCCGGGUUGCCGAGGUCGUUGUAGACGUCGUAGCGGUAGACGCGGUCGUGCGCCUGGUACGGGCCCUGCUGGUCGUCGCCCCGGAGGUUCCGGAGCUCGUCGUCGCGGUAGGGCUUGAGCGCCGCCGGCAUCUGGCUCGGCAGGUACGUCUGCAACAACAACGAAACCCAUGAGUUGAUGAGUUGGCCGGUGAGUGGUCGGAGGAGGGAGCGUCGGCGGCGUCGCUAGUACUAGUUACUCACGUCGUUGGCGAAGAAGACGCGGUUGUAGCGGUACUUGGACUGGGGGUAGACCCAUGAGUUGGCGACGAAGACGACGGUGCCGCGGCCGGGGACGUUGUCGAGGGUGAUGGUCUUGAGGAAGAACUCGGAGGCGUGGUUGUUCGUGACGAUGAUGGCGCCGGGGACGCCGUGCUUCUCCACCUCCCAGUCGAACGUGACGCUGAACUGGUUCUCGCCGGCGAGAAGCGGCGGCGGGUUCAGCAGCCACUGCUCCAGGCUCGCCUCCGCGCCCACCUUGCCGCGGUUCCCGUUGUCUGCACGUACCACGACCGGUCAGCGUCACCGUCGUCGUCAAUGCCACGGAUACCGAAAGAAAACGUGUGAAUUUCAGUGCCUCUCGCUGCCCUUUUCGAUCGUCUCAAGCGCAUCCAUAGAAGAUUAAAUUGUGGGGAUGGCUUUCAUUUCCAAAAGGAGAAUUAAUGGACGAAAGAAAGGACUCGUACUGGGGUCGACGACUGUGGAGCUGAUGAGCUGGCAGGUGACGCCGCGGCCGAGGAACUCGGAGAUGCCGUCGAUGAGGGAGCCGGCGAUGCUGUUGACGUCGAGGACGUUCUUGCGCAUGAGCACCACGUUGCCAUUCAAGUGGCCAUGCUUGUUGCCGCCCGUCAGGUCGUCGAUGAUCGGGAUCUUCACUCCGAACAUCUUCGCUACUCGCUGAAGUGGCAGCGGCUGCUACGGUUCCUUGGAGGCUGGAGUGGGUGGGUGGCUAGCUGUGGGUACGGUGCUGCUGUGUGGGAGAUCGCUGGGCUAGCGGGCUAUUUAUAGAGCGGGAUGGGGUGGGUGGGGGUUCAAGUAGUGUGAAGCGGGAAUUGGCGAAGCGUCGUUCAAAACAUGACAACGACGACGUGUGUCGUCACCGUGCAAUGUGAGAGUGAGACCAUGCAUUUAGAACAAGCUAUGGUAGUAGGAGUACUAGAUGGGGCGCAUUUCUGGCCAUAUUUUUAGGGCGUCUCCGCGUUCCUUCCUUUAGUGCAUACUAAAGUUUAGUCUUUAGAUCCAGAGACUAAAGACUAUUAAAGUAGAUGAACAAAGACUAAAAUACUCCUAAUCAAUGUAAAAAACUGCAUGGUGUGGUGGCAAUAAUGAGGGGCAGGGGGUGUCGUCCUGAGCCUUUAGUCUCCUUUAAUCACCCCCAGGGACUAGAGGACUAAUACCUUUAAUCCUCCAUUUAGUCUUCUGUUUGUAAGUUUAGGGACUAAAAGAUGGCAAAAGGGAGGGACUAAACUUUAGUCUCAUGGAACCAAAUAGCCCCUUAGAGCUGGUUGAAUCAAUAUUUUACUUGUUGUAUAGUGCGAAAAGAAAGAGACUAGUGUGAAGGUAAGAGAUAGUCCUAAACGUCCCGAUAUACUUCGUGGAGGUAAGAGAUAGUCCUAAACGUCCCGAUAUACUUCUCUCUCACAGCACAAUACUCAAUGCUGCUUUCCCUCCUCCAUAUUUAACAUCUUAAAGCUAGUGCUAGAUCAUACCAUUGGAGACGGGCUUGUACACGUGGAUAGCAUGGCUCUGAUCCCUGCACAUCUCUGCCUACUACUCCACCCUUUCGCGCAUGUGAUGUGAUGAUGUGUACAGUCUAUGCAGAGAUCGCAUAUGCAGACAUGCAGUGACACUGACACACAGCCCUGCCCAUGCGCGAGUUGUACUCUGCCCUCCCCGAUCUCGUGUUGCAUGCAGCAUGCGUACCAUCAUGACAGGGACAGCCCCAUGUAUACUAAUAAUGACGCUAUGGAUGUUAAAAAUAAAAUGCCUCAAACUUUCGCCCAAUGUUACCGUAGGAUUAACGUGGAGGCAUACUCUCAUCUCCGGUCUCCGGUGGUGGUAUGGUCAACUCGUCGUACUGCAUGAUGCGAAUGAGCUUAUUAUUAGCACAUUUGGCUAAUCAAAAAAAAUAUUAUUAGCACAUUUGGCUUGUGUCCCUGUCUAUCCGAUUCAAUAAGGUCGUAUUUUCGAGAUUAUUUUUACAAGAAAUAGUAAUGCAUGAACACGUCCGUUCACCAAUCGAAACGACAUAACUCGCACUACAUUAGUCGUACUCCCUCACCCUCUGUUCUUUUGAACUAAUUCACUUGUCCUCAAACUCAUAUAUCUAAGAAAGGAGAUAAUACUCUUCUAAGGCAACAUUUAUAUAUGUAGAUUUUCAGUUAACUAUGAUUAUAAAACGGGCGAGAAUGUCUCCUGUACCGAGACUUGUUUAUGCAUCGCCGUGUGUAACCAAACAUAUAUAUAAUUAAAGUGCAUAAAAGACUACCAAAAAAAUAUGAAUAGGUAAAAAUGCACUCAUGUGCUUGCAUAUAACCUCGAACAAAACCUUGUGUACGGAGACGAAGAGAAAUCGGUAAGACGGCAACGGAUCCCUGGUCAGGAACCAGACUUAGAGCAUGGUUCGUUUGGCAGGGAUCCAGCUAUGGCUAAAACGACUGUAGCUGUAGCUUCUCCGAUAGAGCAGCUUUAGCUUCAUCUUGUCUGUUUAGAAAAACGUUUGGUAAAAUGGCUCCUUCGUCAAUUUAAAGUGGAAAGAUAAGGCGAAGUACCCGUAAUAUCUUUUCCUUUUUGCAUCCUAUUUAUUUUCCUUCCCAUUUUUCCCUUUAUUUUUCUCUCCUUCCCCUUCUCUCUCUUCCUUAUCCGGCUCCCAGUCUUCUUCCUCCGGUCUUGUUCCUCCCGCGAUCGAAUGCCGACCUCCGACUUUAGCCAGCCCUCUACCUCCCGUCGCCGGCUAGCCCCCUCCUCCCUCCAUCCCCUCUGGCCUGCACCUGCCUCCCGCCUCCACACCAAAGAAAGGCGGAUGGUGCAGCACCUACGCCUCCAUGACUUCGUCGGCCAAAACCUGUGCCCCCGCGCGGAUCUGCCUGUUUGUGCUGCCAACACAUCCUUCCGAGGCGCCAUCAUUGCUCGUUGGUCGUCCAUGGCCCGUCGCCGCCGGUUCAACACGAGAGGGAAGGAGAGAGCAAACAGGGAAGAGAGAAAAGGGUUGUAGGAUGUUUAGAGGAGGUGGUGGCAAAAUGGGUAUAAUUUCGACGAAUGUCAGAGGUAUAUUGGUACCGAAUGCUGCGGAGCUAGGAGGGGGCUGCAGGGAGCCAGAUUUUUUUGGCUCCAUCUCUCCGGUACAUUUGCGCGUGCGGCUUCGCCGAAGCUUUGAGCCUGGAGCUAUUUUUUGAUCACCCUUUGGUACAGCUUAACCAGAAGUCGUGUGCGUAGCUGUUGGAAAAGUUUCCAAAGUCCUACCAAAGAGGUCCUAACUUUCUUUCGUCAGCCGAUCUACCAUCAUUUUCUUUAUGUUCUUGUCCAUUUUUCAAUAAUGAUAGAUGCAUUCAUGCAUAUGAUGGAGCAAAAUAUCUUGUGUUUUUUUAUUUUUGUUUCUGAUCUCUGAUGCUACAGGUGCGCGCGCGCCCAUACCGACCACCCAGAUAUGCUUGAUUUUGUUCUCUAUCUAUACCGUACGUGCCAGGGCUAUAUACAUAUCUUGUGAUUAUUACAUGCACAUGGUACCCGAUUGGUUGGAGGGGACGAUGACGUAUUUUUAAUUCAGCGCCAACUUGCAUUGGAGAGGCCGAUCCAAUCGUGUAGCCUUUGCAUCGUUUUCAAGUAUUCAUUGGGACUGACUGAUACAGUGAUACACAAGCCAGCCAAAAAGGGUAUGGCCGCAGCAUAUCUUUCCCUGCAGAAAGCGAUCUACUCUCCUAAAACGUGAAUAGCCAUUCCAUAAGAAGGCCUAGCUAUUACCCGUCGUCGCGUCCGUGUCAUGGGCGCAUGACAAGCUACGUGGGUGGCUUUGACGUCCAGGCUGGAGGGCGAAGGUUGAAGAAGGUUGCGGUGGGCGGUGGCAGCAUUGCCUUCCAUGACUACACAGCGUAUACUCGGCUAAUUCAGCCAUUUUGACCCUCUGAUGAUUAAUAAUGAUUACUGGUUCGCCAAAUUUUCCUUCCAAAAUUACCACCUCUAUGUACAUGCUACUCUAAAUAUUACUAGCCCUCUGUCCCAAAUUACUAUUUGUUUUCGCUUUUCCAUCUAGAUAUAUACUAUGAUUAGAUACAUAGCAAAAGGUACGUAUAUAGAAAAGUCAAAACGAAUAGUAUGAAGGAGUAGAACACUAAAAAAAAUCUCUGGGACUAUGUGGACAAAAAUGGACACAAUAGCUAGCUAGGUACCGGACCUCACCCACGUUCACUACUUCACUUGACUAUAUAUGGCCUAACUUCCAAAAGAAAGAUCUAAACGGAAAGCUUUAUGCAUUGAUUUUAGAAAAAGUUACAUCAAAACGAUGCAACAGUACUUGAAAAACUCCAAGUUUCGAUUAGGUUACCACUCAUGAGGAAAGGCAUCGGAGUAUAGCACUGUACAUUGUCAGGUCACAGCUCCACUCCGGCCUGGUUUGGUUCCAUUUGCUUAUUUUUAAGCAAGUGUCACAUCAAUGUUUAGAUACUAAUUAGGAGUAUAANNNNNNNNNNNNNNNNNNNNNNNNNNNNNNNNNNNNNNNNNNNNNNNNNNNNNNNNNNNNNNNNNNNNNNNNNNNNNNNNNNNNNNNNNNNNNNNNNNNNUACUUUAGUAAAUUUUUCUCUGGUCUGGUGCGGGCCGAAUCUAUUAAGCCUAAUUAGUCCAUGAUUUGACAAUGUGCUGCUACAGUAAACAUUUGCUAAUGAUGGAUUAAUUAGGCUUAAUAAGUUCGUCUCGCUGUUUAGCCUCCACUUAUGUAAUGGGUUUUGUAAAUAGCCUACGUUUAAUACUUCUAAUUAGUAUCUAAACAUUGAUGUGACACUUGCUUAAAAUAAGCAAACAAACCAAACGCCCCCUCCCAAGUCCCACACAUGUAUGGUCGUCCUAUCCCUUGACAGAAUCCCUAGAUUUUAGUGCCGUGGAGCAACGUACGUAGAAGGAGCAGAAUCUCGCUGCAGCAUCAAGGCUAAUCAAGAAGGGUCCUCGAGGUUGCAGGCAACAUCCCUGAGAGGAGAUUGUCCAGAGGGGUUCUUCCUCCUUUCCAAAUUAUAAACUGUUUUAAUUUUUAAAUUUAUAAAUAUUAUUAUACAUUUAGAUAUAGUGUAUAUCUAGAUGCAUAAUAAUAUCUAUAAAUUUAGAAAAAUUAAAAUGAGCAUGCGAAACCACAUGGUACUUUUGAUUUGAUUGCACUUCUCAUCUCUCCAAACGAAUCGACAGCGGAUAUGAUAUCGAUGCAUCACGUACGAGCUGGGUCAGAAGCCGACUAUAUAUCAUUUUUCUCGUGGUAGCUAAUUGAGCUCUGAUUAAAUAAGAUUCCGGUUAGGAGGCCGGUCGACGUACUACGUGCUCAUCAGCGAUGCAAUUUGCCAUGCGACGCACGAGCUAGCGUUUGGUGUCGGCACCCGGGACGCGCUAGCUGUCCUCCUCCCUCAUCACUUACGCGGCGAGCAUGCAUGGCCAGGGCCCCGCCCGGCCUGCACAACUCUUUGUUGAUCCAUGCCUCGUCACGGCCGGUUGGUAGAAUCCAUAUCCUAUGCUACGAUGCGUCGUGUGUCUCGCCUGGUUGAUGGAACUCGAGUUUUUUUUUAAUUUGUAUAUAUGGGCCCAUACCCCGUUGGUCCUUGGACAUGCAGAUCCGCUCCACACCGUAGCGUCCGGUGACGACUUUCAAGUUUCAACACGAGCUGGCUCUGGAGCGUACAAUAAUCGAUCUUGUUUGGUUUUGUCGCGGUAGCAGCUACGUCAUCAGCCGCAUGCAAUUUGCCAGGCGACGCACGAGCUCUUUGUCGGGACUCGGGGACGCGCUGCCGGCCUCACCGCUAGCUCCCGCGCCGCAUGGCCUGCCCGCCACGUCGAUCGAUCACAUACUUUCACACUACCAUAUUGCAGCGUUGCAGGAGAGUGCUCGGAGCCGGUGGUAGAUGGGUCAUCAUCACUUCCGGUGGCUAAUCUUGCAGGAGAUGGGCCGAUGAUAGAUGAUGGGUCAUCAUCACUUGCAGGAGAGUGCUCGGAGUCGAUGAUAGAUGGGUCAUCAUCACUUCAGGUGAGCGCGCGGCCGGCUAACAGCUGGGUGGAGCUUUUGCGUCCAAGUCAUCAGUGUUGCUAACCUUUGUCGAGUGGCGGAGUGGGUUGAUUAAUAUAUAAGAUACUCGAGUGCAAGCUGCUCGUGGAUCACGUCUUAGUCUUAAAUCUCAAGGGCUGUUCGCAUGCUAGAGCUAGAGCUUCAGCUCUAACCACAUCGAAUGUUCGGAUGCUAAUUAGAAGGACUAUACAUGAGCUAAUUAUAAAACUAAUUGCAGAAAUCGUGGGCUAAUUCGUGAGGCGAAUCUAUUAAGCCUAAUUAAUCUAUUAUUAAUAAAUAGUUAUGGUAGCACCACAUUAUCAAAUUAUAAAUAGAUUCAUAGUGCGAAUAGAGGUUAUAAGCCAUGUAGCUUAAAUAUUUGAAGUACAGACAGCAAGAGUCUUGCCUUAGAUAGACAAGAAGUUUCUUUUAACAGCUUUCCUUCAAAAAUAAACACAUCUAGAAGUAAUUGCCAUCUAGCAAUUGCCACCGGAUACAAAAUACAUCUAUGUGCAGACCUCAAUAACAUGUCCUGAAUUAUGAGCGGCACAUAAAAAUAUAUUUCCUCAUUUUGGUUCAUGGUAUCACACAACCAUAGGUUGCCAGAUUAUCCUAACAGGCAUAUUUCCAACUUACCAAGAACUUGCUUGUCAUUAGAACAAGUUUUGAACCAGGCUGCAGCAGUCUCACAAUCUACUUGUUGCCGCUCGGUGAAGAAGAUGUACUGCAGCACAGCUCUUGCGAGCUCCGACCAUCGCCGCAACGAUUCCUCGCCGGCAAGGCGGCGACCGUGCGGUACCAUUGCUUCUCCGCAGCACCGCCUUUCCAGCUCGUCGGAGACCGCGUCAUGCCGCUGCUCGGCCGCUCCUCGUCGCGUGGCGAACUCCGCCACUGCGCCAGAGGCUCCGCGUCACCCGUGCGCGCGGAAGCCGCCGUCUCAGCCCUUCCUCCGUCGCUGGCGCAGUCACAUGGUCCGGUGGCUCAUCCUCGCUAGGCUCGGCACGCAUGGCGGAGCGUGUGGCCAGGUAGUUGCAGACGCUGGACGGGGUAGAAGUAGCAGUGGAGCAGCAACGGCGGCAAGGGGCAAGCAGCAGUGUGCCAGCACUUACGCAGCAGCGCGGUGGAGCUCAGCGUGCGGAGUUGGAAGCUGGAUUGUGUGGCUGGGCGAAAGGAUAAGGUAGAGGAACGGAUAAGGAACAAAGAGAAAGGAAGAAAAAAAAAUAAAAAGAGAAAUAAUUGGUUAAUUUAUAAUUAUAUUUAUUAAUCAUAUUCAUUUCACGUAUAAUCACAUUGCAAAUGGAGUCAAAAUAUAAAAUUUAUCUAUCAACUAAGUCAUAUAGGCUAUAGCUUACUCGAAAAAAAAAAUAUAGGCUAUUGCUAGGGGCACAAUAGGCAUUUGGCCUUUUUGAUACAUUUUCACAAUAAGAAUAGAAACUGUUUUGGCAAAUGGUUUUCAAAAUAGUUGUAGCUCCAUCGGAGAUGACGUGCAAUAAUUUUAUGUUGCUUGAUUAUAAAAUUUAUGUUUACAUAGAAAAAGCUGAUGUUUAUAAUAUAAUUUUAAUUAGCCUUAAAAUAUUAGCAACGUACAAUCCUAGUAAUGUAUUACAGAACAAGGGGGAUAGAAAAUAGAAGCUACGCGCUCUGUCAUUUGUUUUCGUUUUGAAAGUCCCGUAUUGGAGCUGAGUUGCCUCGUCGUCUCAGCUUGUGGGCUUCGAUUUUUAUAUAGGCCCUUGUGUGCGCCAGCCUUUUAUAUUGGGUUUUAACUUUGUAGGCCCUUUUAUUCUGUUGCAAGGCUCUCUGGUCCGUAUGCCUUUUCUGUUCGGGCGGGUUACGACUCUCUCAGUUUGGGCCAAAUUCAGAGGGCCUAGCGCCGCCGCACUGGACCCAUCCGAAUGACCGGGGAUCCCCGGCGGCCUACGCGCGCGUGUCGAAUGCUCGUAGCUAGAAUCUCUUGAGGCUUGGGUGCGUGCGUGUGUAUAGAUUCCAUUCCAUUCGGAUUGCACCGAACUAUCAGUAAUUCCGUCUGUAUUCACUCCCCUGAGUUUCAAAGAAGCCGAAAGCACGACACCUGGCGGUCUCUCGGUUCGUGCCACUGAAGAUAAACAACCAUAUAUCUCUCCAAAAAUGGUGGUAAAUUCCGCACAUUUCGCAGAUGCAUAUUAGCUCCAUCAAAGAAGUAACAGAACGCAGCAUCGGGCGCACGUGAAACUCGCUGCACUCCGAAAAGGGCUGGGCUUCCACUGGACACUGGACAGCCUCCCUCACGUCACGUAUACCACUAUAUAUACCCAGUAGUAGCAUUUCGUUGCUACAAAACCGCAUGGUUUCCAGACGUACGUGUCAUAUUCGUCUCUCCCUACUGUCAUGUUCUUGGUACUCGUGAUUGAUCGAUCACUUUCAGCCAACCAGCGAACCAAGUCGUAUGAUAGCGAUUUGUAGGGGGCACCCCACCCACAUCCUGGCCUGUAGAGUGGAGGCAACGAAAGCGUCAUGCACCCGGCAAUCUUGUGGCCACCACCACGCUGAUUGCGCGAGGACUCGUGACGCGUCUCCCUGCGGUGCGGCAAAUGCCAAACUGCCUGGUGACAAGAGCUUAGGGAGAAGCAACGGCGAGAAAGCGAUCCGUUGGUCUCAGACACCGAACUGCAAUGGGAACAAUAUUUACGGUUGGAAAAACCGAUUUCCUUUUUAGAACAAGGUAGGACUCUUCUUUUAUAGUGAUCCAUGACCUACUUUACAUUCCAAAAAUAUUCUUACCUAACCACUACAUUUCUAGAAUAUGCCGUACAUAAAGAUCAUUGGAGAAAACAUGUACAAAUUGAACUCUUCCACGUGGUCACGCUUCUCACGCCUUCUUCCCUCUAACCUUGGGGUUUCAUCUUCAUUUUGAGCUGAGCGCUUAGCCUCGAGUCUUCACCCGCGUCCCAAACCGAGCACCCAGCCUCAAGACUUCUAAGUCGUAAAGUCUUGCAAAAGACCUUAACCUCGAGUGGCUCCCUUCUGAGUGUCAUCCCUGAGUAAGGAAUAUAAGUAUGAAAGCUCGGCGUUCGGGUAAGAUUCCGAACACUCGAGGGUUAACCCACUUGGCGGUAGUUUUUGUUGUUGUCAAUUAUUACCCUUGAGCCCUUCCAGGAGCAGAGGCGUUGCGAGGUUACGAGGUUUACCAUUCGAGAUGCCUUCUCAGAGCGUGGAAGUUAAAAAAGGGUUCCACUUUCCUUGCUACCGACGUGUAACUUGGGAGGUUAAACUUGGGACCCGCUACUGUCAUUCGAGGGUAGCUAAAUUUUGUUCUUAAUUUGGAACCCACAAGACUAGAAAGGUUCCGUGCCUUUUAGCAUCUGGCGUACGACUGGCGAGGUUAAAGUUUCCCACAACUAGUUCGAGGGUAACAUCUUUUUUCCGACCCCAACACGAUCGAUGCGCAUCGCCGUUGUCUUCUUGUGAAGAGUCUUGUCGCAGGAAAUUCUCACCACUAGCCUACCUAAAGCUUGGGAGAGAACCGGAUGCGCCAUGGGUUACACAAAGCGGCUUGGACCUUGCGCCAAUGAUGAAGGCUAGGCUAUCCCCACGCCUCCGGGCUGAGUGGAUGACUGGAUGCUCACGUGAACGUGGCGCUGACAAUAGUGACAUGUCACUUCGAGUCACUGACGAGACGGCCGAGGAACCGUCUGCUGCGAUUGCCCCUUUUCUUUCUGGAUCAGCUGAGAUUGCCAAUUUAAUUUGCCAACAGGCAACAGAUGUUAUUAGGCUCUUGCAAUGGAAGCAGCGGGUGACUCGAAAACGGGAAGGAAACGAGACGAUGGUUGCUGAUUUUUUUUUUUUUAACUAGGUUGCCGGUUUUUGUUUCCCUUCUCUCGCCGCUGAUGAUUCGUGUGACAGCGACCAUUCCGGCUUGCCGGAGGGACACACUGACGGAGAUAUCGACGCUGUCCUGUACGAAUUUGGCUUUCUUUGCGGGACCGUCCAUUGAACGAGAAUGUUUUGAUCUCUUGUGGUGUUGGAUUGUUGGAAGUUGCCAGAUUCUGUGUCACAUAGUUGGUAGAUGUUCUAUGGCGUUUGUUACAAGUGGAGCAAGACGAAUCAGGCUCGGGCACACUUUGAAAUAAACAACCGUCUUCUUCGCUGAAACCGACUGAAGGAGGCCUAGAGGAGGCCUAGAUGCACGACAAUGAGGCGUUUCAGUCAAACAAACACAGCCACCAUACGAGAAACACAGAGUACUAAGAUUGAAAUGCCACAUUAGUUUAUUGCAUAUCAAAAAAAAUUUAGCAGUCUCUUCAUGUCACGUUUAAGGCCCUUUACAGCACACACUUUGCAUAGACAAAAGGAGCAAAGUGGGGGGUGGCUUUCAGAUCUGCCUCGACUCCUUGAGCAAACAGCGGAACAGCAACCAUAUGGGACAGCCAUGCAAAUGCAGGGUAUAUUCCACAGAUGACAGGUCAUGCAACAACACAGUUAAGCACCAACGGAAGAACUCAGCCAUUCAGUUGAUCACAUGUUGCGAUUAAUUUAUCUGAACCCCAAACCAAACACCAGCAUAGUUGUACAGAUCUCCUACAAACAAAGCUGAUCAAUGAAACCAGUUGCCUAAUAACAAUCAUUUGGCAGAUGGCAGAUGCCAGAUUGCCACUCUGUCUCAACUAUCUAUUUAAAUUAAAGGCUCUGAAUACCAUUAUCUUAUCAGGAGCAGAUAUCACAAUUCAAAUGGAAUCCCAAAAAGCAAUUUUCAUACACCACUGGAACAAGAAUUCAGCAAAAAAAAUUUAAAAAAUAUGCUACAAUUACGGAUUGAUUAUUUGACCGUAUCAAAUGCACUGUGAUAUAAAAGGCUCUGCUUAUUGCAAGUAGAGUUCUAAAAACAAAACACCCUUUCGUGCAAAACACCCUUUCACGAAGGGAAGUAGGGCAAACAAAAAGGGCUGGUGUCAUGGAGCACCCGCUUCUUCUGAUCCAGAUCAGCAUACAAUACAAUUUGCAGAAGUCGAAGCUAGUGAAAACCAUAGAAAAUAGGGUGAUCUAUGCCUUCUCCAUUAGCUGCAAGACCUCAGUUGCAGUGGGCAGCGACGGGAUUGCCCCUUUCUUCGUGGCGGUGAUUGCGCCACAUGCAUUGGCAAAUUUAAUCGCCUCCACAAGCUUCUUCUGAUCCUGUACAAUCAACAGACAUUAAAUUUCAGUGACAUGGAACUGAAAACUGAAUGACCAACUUGACAUGUAGAACCAACGAUCUUUCGGAUCAACAAACACAUUUCAGGCAACUUACUUGUAGCGAGGAUGGAUCUUGGACAAUCUUUCGGAGCAGAGCACCAACGAACGCAUCACCCGCGCCUGUUGUAUCAACUUGUUGUACUUUGAAGGAAGGGACAGCUCCAUGGAAAUCCUGCAAUCAAGUAUAGCAAACCUGUGAGUCUCAGCUGCAGAAUAAGUCCUCAAAUUACAAUGUGCAAGUUAUAUACUAAAAGUGUAUACUUUGCAUUUGAAAGACAGGACCUAGUGAAGUUCGAUAUAAGCAGUCCAUGAAUAUUAUUCAGCAUAAGUAACCAUUUUCAUUGGGUACAAAGGUAUAAAGCAUACCCUGGUAUAGUAUUUGCACCCUUGAUCUCCAAGAGUCACCAGGAGCAGCUUCAUGGUAGGCCGCCACAGCUUCAUGACAACAUCAUCCUCCACUGAGUCGAUGCCAGUCAAGAACUCAAGCUCAACCUCACUGACCUUGACAAUGUCUGCCUGAUCCCAGAUACUCAAGAUCUUGGUGCGGGCCUCCUCACGGGAUGGCCACAAUGCCUCCCUCAGGUUCGGGUCAUAAGAGAGCAGUGCACCGGCCUCUUUGGCAAUCUCCAUGGCACGGAGAUGUGCUGACCGGCAAGGCUCAGCAAUCAAGCUUAUUGAUCCGUAGUGAAAGACUGCAGCCUGAAUACAUUACACUUAUGAGAAUUUAUCAGAACAGGGGUGAGGAAUGGACACUGAUGAUGCAAGUUUGUUUGCAAGUUAAAAGUGUUGGAUUCUGGGAGAUAGCAUGAGUGCAGAUAUUUUCCAGUAGUUUUACGAAAGGUGCACAUUUUCGACCAUAUUUGAAAUAAGCAUGAAUGAAUCGAACCAUCUAAAAGCGCCUGAUAAAUGAUAAUUCUCGAUUUAAUUCAAUCUGGGACAAAAAAAAAGGAAUUCUAUCUAACAAAUUGACUGAUGAAACAAGCUGUCUGGCAACGUACAGUUCUGCAUUUAUGUCUUAGAACGAUCACACGAAGCACACAAUCGGUACAAUGAAUACGGGCAAAAGCUGAAGUUCGUGACAUCAGUUGCAAUGCCCACAAUUAUUGACCCACUAGAAAGAAACAAAAUUCCAAGUAGAAUACAUUAAUACACGGCAAGGCUAAUGAUUUCUAAGGCCAGCUCAUGCCGAUGGAUCCAAGAACUACGGGUUUGACUAGUUUCAUAACGGCUCUCCUUUGGAUUACUUAUUUGUCUCCCCCAAUUUUUAGGAUGAAUCACAGAAGCCACAUGACCAGAUCCAGAAAAGAACAAUCCGCCAACUAGAACGCACAACAAGAUCCGACCAAAACCAGCAACGAGGGCGCCCACUUUCGCCCAGGAAUCUUUGGAUUCCACGGGAAGAUUCAACACCAAAGCGCCCGAAUUAGACGACGGGAAAAAGGGUUACCUUUAACGUGAUAAACAAGAACACGCCCAAGAAAAAUUACAGGAGCCGCAACCUAAGCCGCACGCGAAACCAGCGCAAGAAACCUAGCGGCCGCGUCCCAGAUCCAAGGAUCGAAAAUCAAGGAAUGGGCGGACAGAUUCUACCACACUCGAUGGGAUCGUCCGCAGAUCACGGAGCGCGAAGGUACGGGAUCACCAGGGAGCCAGGCCAACUCACCCUCUUGAUGAGCUCGACGUUGAGCUCGUCGGCGGUGAGGAGCAUGUCGGCGCUGGGGUUGCGGUAGAACAUGAACUCGCGCUCCCCGUCGGCGCGCAGGGUGACGAAGGCGAGCGCGGUGCGCGCGCCCGCGUCGAAGACGACGCCGCCGGCGUCGACGCCGUUGUCGCGGAGGAUGGCCGCGAGCAUGCGGCCGAACUCGUCGUCCCCGAGCUUGCCGACGAAGGCGGCCUCGCCGCCGAGGCGCGAGACCGCGAUGGCGACGUUGGCCGGCGCGCCGCCGGGGGCCUUGAGGAAGGCCGGCGCCUCCGCCAGCGACACCCCCGCCACCGUCGGCACGAAGUCUAUCAGCAUCUCCCCGAAACUCACCACCAGCUCCCGCCCGCCCGCCAUUGCCCCCGGCAGUUUGCCCCCCAACAACGCAGCGCACGGACGCAGGGGGUGGAAAGAGAGAGGAGAGGAGAGGAGAUGGGUGGGCGCGUGUGGGGAAUUUUCUGGUGAGGUGGCGAGGCGGCGUGUUAUAUAGAGGAGGAGGAGGGUUGGUUGCUUGGCUGGCUGGUUCGGGGUGGAGGCGGAAGGGAGGAGAACACCAGACGGUGGUGUGGUGUGGUGUGGUGUGGUGGUGGUGCGCAGCCGCAGGCGUGUUGGGCUUUGCGGGGUAGCGUCGCGAGGGGGCGACCAGGAGUUGUUGACGGCUGCCCUCCUUCGAUCGGCUAAAAUUUAGGGCUUUCAAAACAGUUUGGGUGGAAGGAACCAUUCCUUGCCGUAGAAUAGAAAUGGUGUGUGAAUCCCAGUUUCUAUAUAUGAAGUAGGAUGGAGAUCCUCUCCCUAUAUUGAGGAGCUACCAAUUAUGAAACUGAAGUGUUACGCUGUGAUAUGCUGUCUUCUCCAUCCCAAUCGCCUCUGUAAUAUGCCGUGAUGGGCCAAGCGCUGCGGCUUUUCUGCAGGAACUUAUCCAUCGGUGGGCGAUGACGCUGACCGCCAAAGAGCACGGGUCUGGACUUCCAAGCGAGCCGAGUUGGGCACGGAUCGAUCAAUGCUUUUCCAUGGUCCAUCCACGGAUACGAUUCCGGUCUCCUCCAACGUCUGGUCGCCAGCAGCUAGCCACCGGGUUCGAUUCCAUCAGCUCCUGCUUUCUGCCAAGCGUGAGCGAGGUUUCAGUUUCAACUUUCGGAAACUAGAGGGCUACAUCCGUAUCGUUGCAUCCACCAUGCAUCUGCAUAUGAAAGGUCAGUUACCUGACUCUGACGUACUGUGGCGGCGGCUACGAGCUCGAGCCUGCACAGAACUGUCAAAUUGUUGAUCCUACGAGCGAGCCAGAUUCUAAUUUGCCAUCCAACGGCCUGGAGAAUAAAAUUUAUCAUCGGGAAGGAUCAAACUGUACGAACUGGGCAGGGAGAGUGACGUUAUUUUCAGGGCCGAUUUGCCUGACGAUACGAGAAGAAGAUUUUAAACAACUAGCGGCUGCUGAAAAAGUAGCUGGGAUGCUGAUUGAAUCUUGAGAGCUUUAGAUCUUCCGUCAGAGAUGGGAAUGGGAUGGGCAAGUCUGACUUGGCCUGCAUGCACCGACGCAUGAAACCGAAAGCUCAUUCCCUGCUGUUUCCUUCCUGACCUCAUCAUCAUUUUAGCCGACACACUAAACUAAACUAAUACGCAUGCGUACGUAAAGCCACCGGCGAUCACAGUAUUUUAUAGCCGUCACCCCGCAUGUUCCUCAAACCAGUGGGCCUGCCCGGCCGUUCAGAACCCGGGCGCCCACACGGCUGCCUGCCAGCAGGUGGUUUUCGGAGCUCAGGAAUCGGGAGGGAUGGCGCCGACCGCCGACCGCCGAGGGCGUGGCCUUCGCUUCACAUGCCAGCCCAGCAAGACGAACGAGAGCCAUGUAGAUGGUAACAUGGCAUAUGCCUCAGGCAUUGCAGCUGCAGAACAGGGCAUGCUUUGCUCUGCCGUUGCCGGUUCUUGUGGGUCGUGGACUGUAACUGUAAUUGCGAAUUUACGCUGGGAAGAUGGCUCAGCUACAAGAAAUGAACGGGUCAAGGUAGUACCGGGUUUCUCAUAUUUGUGUACAAGCAGAUUUUUUUUUUGAUUUGAUGUACAAGCAGAUUUUGGAGAGCACUGAAGAUGCAUUUGGUUCCAGAGGUUUCAGAGUUCAGAGUUGCAGACUUCAGGAGCUGUAAUUACUGGGCUGGACUUUGUGCAAGCAACGAAGAAUUGGGCCGAGUCAGAUUGGAACAACGGCCGCACUUUUCCAUCAUCUUGCAGAAAUGGCCCAUAUAGGCGGCCCGCUUUUGUCACAGAAUCUGCGGGCCUCUUUCGGAAAAUAGGAAAGAUAGCGGGGGAAGCGCAGUGCCGGCCUGCCGCUUAGCCGCUAGUCGUCGUCGCCGUCGUCGACUCGUCGCGGUGGUGGUGGUGGUGCUCGCGGUUGCGGCAGCUCCAAAGUCCAAGCCAUACGUUGGUCUGGGGCGACCGAGGCGGGGACGAGAGGAGGUAUGGGUCGAUCUCUCUACGCCGCCGCCGCUGUGGCGCUCGUCUGCUUCUCCGGCUUCUGCCACGGGGAGCGGCUCGGGGCGCGGCAGUGCGAGGACCUGGGAUUCACCGGCCUCGCCCUCUGCUCCGACUGCAACGCGCUCUCCGAGUUCGUCAAGGACCAAGGUACGGCCGUGUCGUCCUCUGACCUGCGCCUGCUUUUCAUGCGCGGCUUAUGAGAUUCCCGAUCUGAACCGGGUAGGCGUAGGAGGGAAGAGCUAUUCGGAUGUGAAUUUAUCCCAGUUUCGCAUAUUGGGAGCGUGAAAUCUGCUCCAGUGAUCUGGAUCGGGAUACUCUCUGCGUUGCCUGCUGCCGUUGAGCACUAAUCCAGGGAAACCUAAUUAGGAAUUAGAAGGGUAAGAUAUGACUUUGAUUCUAGACCAAUGGCAACUCAAUUGGGAGUCUGAAAGCACGAGAAGAUAUUGUGAUGUGUACUGAGAGUAUUGUACAUGCGAGGUUUCCACAUGAUUAUUUGUUCAUUGAAUCUGAGGGUAAGUUUACUUUAUCAGGAUUGUCACUGGUUAUUGAACUGUGCAUCGAUUUGGUGUCUGGGGUUAAUGUGAGGCUUUAUGAAUGGAAGAAAUCAUUUCUGCUCUAAUUGGAGUAUUAGACUGGAGUUGCCCUUAACUCAGCAUUUUUAGAUCAGUUUGGUGUUGGGAAAUGGACCCUCAAUGUUUGGAUCAUUUAUUUUGAUUGGUCUAUAUCUAUGAGCAUCUGAACUGGUGUUACUCACAUAUGCUAGUGAAACGUAGUUUACUUUCUACAAAAUCUACAAAUGUUUGAUCUCAAUUCUUUUUUAAACUAGCUGCAUUGGAAAGAAAUUUCAUUUCGCCAACACAACCCUUUAUUUGGAGGGUUAUACUUUAUCAGGUUUGUCCAUUGCUUCCUGGGAUGAUAUAUAUUGUUCUGUUGAGGAUUAAGUUACUGUGUAUUUGCAAAUCAACAAAGGGUGGAUUUCUUUUUUCACACGCAUCACGCCAUGUGAUUGUUUGAUUGUUUUCAAUCUGAGCAGCAUUUUUGUUUCUCUGCAGAGCUGGUGGAGGAUUGUCGUAAAUGUUGCACUGAGGAUUCAGAUGAUUCAAUCAGCAAGGUAUAAACUAUGAAUUCCCAUGAAUCACUGUAACUCUGUAAGGAAGAUGACUGUUUUACCUGCAGUCUUCUAUGCUGGCCUUUCUUAGUCUUUGUAUUGUGUUUAUAGUUUAUCUUUGUGCUUAAUUUCUAACAGUUGAUUUAUGUGAAUAACGGGUUAGAUCUUAUAGGAAUGGCUAGCUAUGUACCAUUUUCUAAAAGGGGUAUAUAGUUUAGGUUAGAAUCAUGACAUAUUGAGGGAGGCAACUUGAAGGUUAGAGGUCUUGAAUGGCUGGUAAACAAGAUGUCAUAGAUGUUCUUUUUAGGAUGAGCACGAGUGUUAGAAGUUCCAUAAGUACUAGUUCUUUAUUUCCACUGAUGUAGUAUCUGACUGAUGUUUGCUAUUGCCUAUUGCAGCUCACAUUUUCCGGUGCAAUUAUUGAGGUCUGCAUGAGAAAGUUAGUGUUUUAUCCAGAAGUUGUUGGCUUCCUUGAAGAGGAUAAAGAUGACUUCCCUUAUGUGGAAGCCCGUUAUUCGUAUGGUUCUCCACCAAAGCUCAUAAUGCUUGACGACAAGGGCGAACAUAAGGAGACCAUAAGGCAAGUUCCACUUAACUAAAGACAGUAUCUAGUUAUCUGGAAAGGUGAUAUAGAUUCUUGGAUUUCUCGUACAUAUGCUAUAAUAGCUGUCUAACUGGACCAUUUUCAUAUCGUUCUGUCUUAAAUUCUUAAUCCAUUACAUAGUGGCACUUAUAAGUUGUCUGCUUCUCCUUAUCUUCCUCAUGCAGUCAUGCCAUACAGUUCAUGCAAUAAUCUGAUGGCAGAUACAAUAGGCAAAGAUAUACUGGAUGCAUUUGUGCCUGCAUGCCACUUUCUAUUUGAAUAUAUAGUUCUAUGGACAAAAAAUGCUUUGUUAGUGCUUCAUAGAGCUGUGGUAGUAUGUUGAGGUCAUUGCUAACGCAGCCUGCAUUUUCCUGGCACACAAUUCAUUCAUAGAUGAUGGAUGUUGCUGUUGUACUGAAUAAUUUGGCAUCUUUCUUUAUGUGUACCAAGCAUAGAUAAUGUAUGGUAGAAAUACUGAAACAGUGUUCCCAUUUGUUCAUUGGUGCAUUUGCUGGAAAUCUAAGACGAACUGAAAUUUGCAGGAUCGACAACUGGAAGCGGGAGCACAUUCGACAGUUUCUCAAGGAGAAAGUGAAGCUGGUGAAGUCAGACAGCUGAGUUUAAACCCUAUGGAGUUUGGUACUUUGCAAGCAAAAUUGCAGCUGAUAUGAGAUGGGCAUCAAAUUCUGUGUGACAUCUGUACAACUCAAUAUGUUUGUAUAAGAAGCUUCUGUAGUGUUAUUUCUGGCAUACUUGUAUCCCGUUCCUAUUACAGUCAGGUAGCUGGCACUGUGAUUCAUGAAAAUUAGUUGAUGUAGUACUGGUUGUUUCCCGGAGCUUUAACUCAAUAAAGAGGGUAAAAGAAUGUAAAAAAAAAAGCUUUGGUCAUAUGCAUUUCCACAUUUGAUCACAUGACCUCUUCCUCUCUAGUAAUACAAAGGCGUACAUAUCUCAUGCACAAAGCUGUACCCUUCCUGGACAAUCUGCACAUGAAAUCUAUUGUUCCAAUCUGAACAGUAUUUUGUUUCCAAUCUGAACUGUUUUCACCGAUGGACUCGUAUAACAUCGUAACUGUCUGCACCAUGGAAAUUGCGAGUCAGUAUCAUGAAUCUGUGAACGGUAUGGCCUAUUCGCUUCAGCUUAUUCAGCCGGCUUAUCAGCCACCAAACAGUAUUUUUCUCUCACAACAAAUCAGCCGUUUCAGCUUUUUAGCCGGCUUAUAAGCUGAAGCGAACAAGCCUAGAGAAGAGAAGCGCUUCUAUGUUUUCUAUUCUACUCGUCUGAACUGGUUGAGGAUUCAUUGCCUGUUCUUUUUAUUUGUAAUAGGAAUGUGUGAGGUUACAUCUUGUGCAGCUGUAAAAAGGUCUUGUUCUCAUAUGUACAGUUGAGAUUCACGAGGGCUGUUCUCGCUACUUCGUGACCUAACCCAGUAAACCACCUACGUUUUCAGGAGAGAAACCAAAUGCUCCAAGCAACGGGAAGCGUUACUUUUUUGCAAGCUUCCAUCUUUCUUCGGGGUACUUGGUAGCCUGGUACCAAGAUGGUGUUUCAGUUGGUACGUCUGAUGUUCUUCAAGGUUUCAGACAAGUCCCUACACCUGUUGUGAUAACCAAUACAACAGGUUAGACAGUCUUCUUUUUUGAAUAUUGACUUGUAUAUAUGUUUAUAAACAGUAACAUGCAUCUUUACAUCCAGCAGAAAGCAGUGGUGGCACAACAGAGGGGUUGGACCCAGCAGCACUGGAUUUAAGCAGCAGUCAAUACUAUCCUAGUAGGGAAAUUAGAGGGCUGUUUUGAGUGAGGGUUACAGGUACAACUCAGAGAGAAAAAAAUUAUUCAUGCAAAUAGAUCUAACUGACGCAACAAUGCUGAUGGUAGCUCGAUAAGUACAACGUGGUUCCUGAUUCCUCUUAUUUGUAUUUGGCAGAUACAUAAAUCGUUUUAGUUUUGACCCAAGUCAAAAAAUUGAACUUUGACCAAGUUUAUAGAAUAAUGCACCAACAUAUCCAACAUCAAAUUUGUUUCAUUAAAUCCAUCAUGAACUAUGUCUUGAUAUUGUAUUUACUAGGUAUUGUGUAUGUUAAUGCAUUUUUCUAUAAAUUUGGUCAAAGUCAAGGAAGUUUGACUUAGGACAAAACUAAAACGACCUACAUUUUUGUACAGAGGGAGUAUAUGAGAUGGUUACAUUAGCAUGAUAUAAUAUGGCUCACAUUUCAGACAUGCAAAUGUACAUAUACCCACUACCCUAAGCCAUAAAAGCACAAGUCACAAGCCCAGCAGCUUUUACUAGAUUUGGAAUAGGCUGGCCAUAAGUUUCUCUUGUACAUGUACCGGUGGGAAAGGAAGUAUACCUGUCUUCGUCUCCGAUGUUGCAAAGCAUAACAAGAACGUGCUAUUACAUAACAAGGAAGAAAGAAUCCUGCAAACUGAAGAGUUGCCUGAAAUAAAUGAAAGAUUUAGUGUUCUGUAUAAAUAGUGUACAUGGAAAACGAAAAUUCAUUCCCAGUAUGGACUGAGAAACAAAUGCAGAAGCGGAUUGUAAUCAGUUAAUUAUAAGUGCAUUUCAAGCUGACUCAGACUUCCAACAAAUGCAUAAUAAAAUGCCAAGCAGGAGUAUUUGCUAUUCCUUUGCACAGCAAUUGAUCUCUAGUAUAAAGCAGCAUUAUGCUAUUAAUUUGUUUUCAGCAUUAUGACACUACAAGGGAAACAGAUCACAUCAUCUUAACAGAGCAUUAUAAUAGCAUAAUGCAGCAUUAUGACACUCCAACAGAAGCUGACCGCAUCAUGUUAGCGGACAUAUUAAUAGCAAAAUGCGAUAAUUAAGUAGGCAUGUUGAACUCACACUGAACAGCACUGUUACAUCUUGUAGCAUGCUAAUAUCCCUCACAAUGACAAUUACAUGGCGCACAAGUAAAAGGAACAUCAACUGCAGUAAAGCCGAUAUUAGAUUCCACCUUCCACCACAAAUAAUAAUAAGUUUACAAAGAAAGGGCUUCUUUGACAUACAAUUAAAGCAAUGGUUCGGCAGCAUGUGACACCACUAGAAUUUGCAGAUACACAAUCCUCAAAUUCAGCUUGCAGCAGCUGCUGCUCUGCGAUGGCAAUGGCUAAAAAAUGAGAAUCAUGAGUAUCGAUUCUUCCAACCCAGUUUUGCCUGUUAAUAAAUAAAGACCAUGCAUUCAGAAUAAAUACAGUGAUAUCCAGAAAAUUGAGGGAAAACAGCUACGCUGCUUUAACUGAUCUUUAAAAAAAAACUAUCUGCUUUAACUGCAGAUGAAAUGGUAGGAUCACAUUCUAAGCCACUCCCACAGAAAUAGCUGGUUUUGACAUUAUUUUUUUAUUUUGAAUUAAUUGGUUUGUCCAAAUUUAUCAAAGGAUAAAGAAUUGUAUCCCACGAGUACCUAAGAUCCAUGUCCAUUUCAUCUGAACAGCAUUUGGGUGGAGGGAGGACAUAAUUUGGUGAGUAAACCUGCAGGCAGAUUAUAAAAAACAAAUAUGAAAACUUCUUCAGCAAUUACAGCAAAAUAAGAAACAUAUACAUUUUCCCCUAUUUUCCUCGUUUCUUCUGCUGGGCAGUUGCCCUGAAAUUGGAUCACUCCUAAACAUACUAGAUCUACACCUAACACCUACCAAAAUCAAGUAGCCGGAUAGACUGAAAUGGCUGCAAAGGUCAAAGUAGCAUAUCUAGAAAUGACACGCCACACAGCAUAAACAGAAAAGAAAAUAAAAAUGCAAAGGUUGGUCUUUUAACAGAAUAACAGAAACACCCACCUGGUUGCAGAUUUCACAUGUAAUGUUCCCCUUCUUGUUGCACCAUCUCUGUAUGCAUUUCCUGUGGGCGAACUGCAUACAACCAACAACAAUAAGUCAACAUACCAUAUUACUAUCAGCAUUUUCUCCAACAGGUACUCCUUAAGUCACGUGUACAACAACAAGGAGGAAAAAGCUUAUUGAACAACUGAAAAUGGGGAGCUGUACAUUAGGAUAAUGAUGAUCUAGCGAUUGAAAAAUUGGAUGAAUGUAUAUGUGUGGAGAAAAGAAGAUAAUGUUUCCAACAACUAAAACGCUCUUUUUAGAAUUCAUUGAAUCCUGAGGACACUGUUUAGACAAACCAAACACUGGCAGAGCACUUUGCAAUCAAAUGAACAGAUGAAACAUGGCAUCACUGUUUUAACUUUAGUUGACGCGAUAAAACAAUCACUUAAUAGAACUUCGAUGCUCCUAGAGUGCCAAGCCUAUAGCUAUCAGAGAUGUCCACAAUAAAAAAAUACUGAGACAAUUCAACAAAAAGGAGCACGAUGAGCAUAUAUAACAUCAACAUAACAAAAAUGAAAUCUCCAAAGAAAAACGUAAUGACCAGAAGGGCAGAAGAAAGUGUAAAUAGAAAUUCAAGCAGAGCAGAACUUACAUCUUGAAAUCUAUCCAGCUCCAUAAAGAAUAUAACAAACAAUCAUCAUAUUUCUACUUCGAUUUUUUACCAACCACUAAACUUAACGCCAGUUCCUCAACAUCCAGGCAAGGAACCUUGCACAGAGGGAGAGCGGGAGGGAGAGAGAAACAGAGGAGAGCGUUCACCUUGAGCGUGCCAGUGCAAGCGCAGGGUGAGUCCAUGGCGCUCUCUUCCCCCUCCUCCUGACAUAUCCGGCACUCAAUCACCCCCUUGACGUCCGCCCCCAGGCCGACCUCCACCUCCACGUGCCCUUCGCCGCCGGAGAAGCCAUCGCCGGCAACCUUCUCGGCGCGCGCCAUCUUCCCAGGAAGCUUUUCUUGGAGCAGGUGGUGAGUCUGGGAACGAGCCAAAAGGCGGGGCCUUUUUAGCUCUGGGGACACCACCAACUCCAAGAACAAGAAGAGGGAAGAGGGGAGAAGAAAUAUACUAAAAUGAGAUAGCCUUUCCCCUUUUUUAUUAUCCUAAUAUUCCGAGCUAUGUCACCAAUUUCUGCAGUUCUUUCUGCUCCAUGCUUUUGCAGUUUGUUUGUUUAUUUAUGGGGUCCAAUGAUGAGUGAGUGAUUGGGUUUGUGGGGUUAGUGGGCAAUGGAUAGCUUCCACUCAUGGCUCCUGCUAGUGGGGGAUGAGUUGAUACUGACACGCUAAUACUGGGAAACCUUUUUCCUUAAUACUGGAACAUAUUUUUCUUCUUUAUUCCGAAGAGAACACUGAUAAGGCAUUGUGUUUUCUCCUCUCUCUCUCUCUCUCGCCUCUUAUGCUAUGAAAAAAUUAUGAGCAAUUUCAUUGCAAGCUUUCCGUUCCCUCUUGUCUGAGCUGGGCUCUAGGUGACUGUGUUAACUCUGGGAAGGCACUAGGCAGGGGUGUGAUUAAAACGCCUUUUGUUUUGUUCUCCCUGAUGUCACGAUUGUACAGUUUGUUUUGCCUUUCUGUUUUGUUUUUUUUUUCUGUUGUUUUUUUUUUGGCUGGUUUCGUCACCCAUGCCGUGUGGUUAGGUGAGGAAGGGGUCGCCGUGUUGCUUGUGAGUAUUCGUUAAACAUAAUCUGCACAUAUAUGUAAACUUGAUUAGAAUCAUGCAAACUUUUUGUUUUAUUGAAGUUGGAUUUUUUUUGUUGGAAAGAUGGGAUUAAAUUGUAAAUGUAAUGGUACAAAUGCUUGUAAAGCACGGUAGCUUGAUCCCUGAAGCAAUGUAAAUGGUACUUGCUUUGCUAACCAAAAUGUCCAUCACUAUUAUGGUGCUUAAGACAAAUCGUGUUGCAUAUCAAGUACAGCAACGAAUAGGAGUGUACUCAUUGGAUACCUUUUGUCGUGGAAACAUACGGUUCUAUCGUACUAAAUGGUCCACUUUAAAAUUUUAAUCACAUUUGGAGCUCGCUUUUCUUUUUUCUUUUUUUUUUAAAAAAGAAAACUACAUUCGAAGCUAUACUGGACCAAUUCAGAGCGAAUCACCAUAUUAUAUGUUUUCCAAAAAAAAAGAACCUGGAAAAAAUGUAAUCAACUGCCUCUAAAAAGGCUACUCCUAUGUAUCUAAAAAUCAUCAGUCAAUGGUAGUGCCUUCCUGCUUCUCUGGGAGACCUUAACUUUUGUGUUGGCAAGAUUUGAUGUGUGUACUUGGGUGGUUAAACCACCCUGGCGUUCGACUUCAACGAGAGGUUGCUGUGCCUUUGGGGACUGCGACUGGUCACCCUCUACAACUAAACACCAUUGCCAUUGAUUUAAGCCAGCUUGUAUGUCACAUUUUUGUGCAGAUAUUUCUGGUUCACAACAGUGCACCUACUUUUUUUAUUUUGAGGAAAUAAUGCAGCUACUCGUAUAAUCAUUCGUCUGAAUCAAUGAUUAUAUAUAGUAAGUUGGUACCUAAUCUGCCUUGGCUAAUUUGUCUGCCAAACCAUCAAUAUAAUUCUUUGCAGAAAAAAAAUGAUAUAAACCAGAAGAUAGGGCACAGAUUAGGGGGGCUGACAACCCAAUGCAUGCCAGAAUCAUCCUCCAAUAAGCAAAGUGUCUGCAUUCACAAUGCUUCAAAAAUUGUACUAUAUAUGGUUCCUGCUCAGACCAAAAAGGAAAGAUGGUACAUGCUGUGUAUUAUGUUUUCAAACAUUGUAGCAACUAUUUGUGAUCUAGAAAUUCUGUUGGUUGGGAGUUAAGCAUUGAAGGUGUCACCAUUCAUUAAAAAAUUAUACUGAAAUCGUGACAGGAAUAUAGGGAAUAAGGUGGUAGUCCAAAUCAUCCCAGGUCCUGAGUCCAAUCAUAUCUGUUAAUGAAAUGACUUCUUUCUGGUAUAAUGAUGUGGCUACUAUCCAUGAAGUGAACAUUUCAGCACUGCAAUAUUAGUGUCAGGAAGUUGCAAAACACUGUCAUGACAGGGAAUUCUUAUGGACCAUGGAAUCAGAGUUGCAGAUGUUUUAGGAUCUUUUUUCUUCACCUACAAUAUAUGCAGCUGAUUUUCUCUGAAAAAAGAAGGAAUAAUAUGUGCAGUUGGCAGGUCACUGGCGAUGUGGGGGAGUGUGAACCUUGGGAGCUGGGGGCACCCCGAAUGAUUGAUCGGGUAGUUGGAAGCCAAGGUGUCAACGGAUGAUACUCCAGACAAAGUGGAUAAGAUUUCGUUAUAGUGUGCAGCAAGCUGGAGCUGCAGUGUCUCAUUGUUGGCAUGGGCCUCCCCAUGCACAUUUUCUUCAGUUCUAAUGAUAUCUGCAACAGGCUCUGAAGCAGAUGUGCUCUGUGUAUUCAUGUUCAGUGCGGCUAUUCAUAUCUUCAGAAAUGUUCCAGUUGCAACUUGCAAAAUCAAAACAGUUGCAACGACUUUCCAAUCAGUCCAUUCAUAAGAGAGAGCACAUGAGCGUGAUAAAUGUAUGCAGGGGAUAGCCUGUUCUUUCUACUCUGAGGAGUCAGAUUGCUCCUCUGAAUCCUCAUCAGAAUCAGAUUUCUCAAGCUGCAGGAUAACAUUGAACCCGAACGCCGAACCAGGAGUGAACGCCGACUCCAUCUCGCUUUCGGUCUGGGUCGUCUUGAUCUCUGGGUUCACCUUGAUGUUUUCCUGAAUCAGUAGCAAAUCAGUGUCAUACCCACCAGGCUACUAAAUAUACACAGGAUAAAUUUUGCUAAGUGUUAUCUGGAUUGGCUUUCACCUUCUUGACAAAUUCUUCGAUGGUGAUGCUCAGUAUCUCCUGAAGGACGAACUUGGUGACCCGACUUUUGCCAAGCAUCUGCAGGAGGAUGCUGCUGGGUAUCUGAAGAACAGCAACAUCAUUAGCUGUGUUCGGUGGUUGCUGAAGGACAAGAGACAACAAGAUUCUGCAGUGCAAGCUUGGGAUUGCACUUUUGUCAGGCCGUAUCAGUAGUUGAUCUCAAUUAGUAGCCGACACUAGCUGUUGAAAUCUAGUUGCCAACAGCUGCGUGUACUCGUGUUUGAUUGAGAAGUUGAUUGAAACAUUAGUAUGUGCUUUUGUUUCAGGAAAAUAGGACGGCACAUCUUAAAGAACAUGUCAUGCUUUGAAGAUUGAUACAACGGUCUUGAAUGGUUUUGCACUGGGGGACUUCAAGUGAAUGCAUGCGUGAGACAAAAGGGAAACCGUACAAUUAAAAGGGUCAGGUACAGGAAAAACUGAGGUUUGCAGGCACUUACAUUUGACGUUUUCCCUUCAAAUGGCCAACGAAUAUCCAUGUAGAGGAAGCAACAAAAUGUUAGAAGUUUGAAUUACUUGGUGAAAGCAAAUGUAAAGAGAUUCUUGUAAGAAAACACGAGCCCAAAUGUAAAGCAAGAAUGUCAAUAAUACGAAGGGGAGAGAUUAUGAGGCACUAAUCAGGAUCAGUACCUCCCUUGGACUUUCUGAAACCAGGAACCGGCGGUGCAUCACGAGACAAGAUCGUCAGGGCUUCAUCAAACACCUUUUGUGUUGCCUUCCCAGGCAACUGCACUCGUACCUUCAUAGAAAUAAAGGAUUGGCAUGGCCGGAUCAGAUUGAAAGAUUCAGUUGCAGAUAUGAGGAAUGGACGGCUACAUGCCUGAACCGAGUUGGCGAGCUCACAUUGAUCUUAUCACCGUCACGGGACGCAACAGACGUCUUGACGUUCUCCAGCGACAGGUCGCUCUUCCUGUCGGCUUCAGUGAUCGACGAGUCCCGACCUACAUGCAUUUCUUGAAGACGUUAGCAAUGUCUGAAAUUCUAAACAUUAAGUCUCUGAACAUUGUGGAUCGAUAGGAUAGGACCGAUAUGCUUCUGCAUUGUACGCAGUUGCAGAACUCACCUGAUCCAACUGCAGACACCGGCUGGAAUGUGUGCCUCAAACUUGUUCCUACACCGGAACCGGAACGAAGGAACCUGUGAAAGCAAGCCUGAACACUGAAGACUGAAACUCCGAAAGUGACAAGCCACAAAGGAAAAAAAAAGUUCAGUUUACCCCUGCGCAGGUAUCCGGCACUUGGAGGCGCCGCAUAUUCUGAUGUGCGCACGAACUUGAUCAAUUACCUGAGGGUUGAGAAUGCCGAGAUGAGUGCCCGCGGCCAAGGGCUAGUGCAAUUGUUUGUUGGAAGUAAUCUACAGGGCAACUGAUGAACUGAACCUUCACGAGGGAGAGUAGGAGAAUGGGACCUGAAAGUAGCUGCGGCAUCUUGGCCUUGACUGAAACUUGGGGAGGGUUGCGGCCGAGGCCAUGGAGGUGACUCCUGCAGUCCCGCCGCCCGUCCAGUUUCAGCCGGCCGGAGUUGGGGAGGCUGCGGAGCUUAGGAAGACGACGGAGAAAUUGGAGCCAUAAAACGCCAUCCAAAAUUAUCUGCAACUGCAACGAGAGUUGUGUGCUGAUUUUGGGCUGGGCCGCGUUUCCUGCUUAAAUAGGGCACAAGUUUUGCUGGGCUAGAUUCCAGAGUCCAACGUUGGAUGGGCCCGAUUCCAGUUUCUCCUCACUCUCGGACUGAAGGCCGCGUGCCCUCUCCAGUUUCCAACCAGCCCGGUUCUUAUGUUCCAUCUUUCGCACAGUUUUUUUUUGUGAGAAAGGACACUUUGUUAGGCAACUCUCUGCGUUCCCUCGUACAACAAACGUAUUUCAAACACGUGUAGCAGCAAGCUAAUUCAACGGUUGCAGCAACUCAAAAUACGAUUCGUAUUGGCACAACUUUAUAUACACUUAAAUAUGCACACAAUUUAACUAAUUGUCGACCAAAACUUAUAAGUCUGACUUUCUCAAAUUCUAUUACAUUCUACACGAAGUAAUAGAGAGAUAUAGCAGUCAGUUAGUUUGUACUCCUUCCGUUCCAAAAUACUAUUUGUUUUGAUUGAUUAUUUUAAGUACAUAGUUUUUGCUAUAAUUCAUGAUGAUGCAACAGAUAACUCCGAAUGCCUGCAAAAGGGCCAAAAGUUAAAAAGCAAUUUCAAUAACAUUAGCUUCCUCAUAUUAGAAAUCAAUUUGGAAUUAGGUGAGGCCUGCAAAUUACCCUCGUGAAGGGUUUCCAGGCCGGGCUAAUGGUCCCGCUGCUGGGUGGUGGAUCGUAGUAGACUAGUAAUCGUCGUCUGCCGACGAGUAUAGUACCCGGCAUUGUCGUCGCACAUCAUCAUGCUCAGGAUCAUCGCAUCACCCAUGGCCGUACAAAACGGUCGAGUAACAAGGGUCGAUUGGCACUCGGCAACGCCCCACGUUGCAGCCGGUAAACAUUACUAUUCGUAUUUCAUCUUUUUAAUAUAAUGAUGAUACGUAGCUUUCCUGCGUAUUCAAGAAAAAUAUAAUCCCAUUUUAGGUAAGGUAGAACCGUAUCGGACUUGUUCCCCGACCGAAAACAAACAUAUUGUAAAAACAACGGGAUCUGAAUGUCUGAAACUGACAAUGUAAUAUAAUCCAGAGCCACACAAUGUAGAUUUGAUGGCACGAUGUAGUUAAGCGGCUAAAAGAUUGGCACGGCGGAGGAGGUAGUCAAGCGCGUCUGUGCGACUGUGCGUGCGUGAGGCAACAACGAGUUGUCCAGUUGGACGCCGUGCUCUCUUUACGCCAUCAAAGAAUCACAAACCUAAUUUCUUGUAACAUUUUCAUCGGGACAUUUUGCACAUAUACGGAACGUCCUGAACAAUUCUUGCCAUAAAGCAAAUUCGAGAGACUCGCAACAAUAUCAAUCGAAAGCUGACAUAAAGAGAAAAUCAGGCUGGCUUGGAUUCCAUGGCCUUUUUAUGAGUUCAGGUAUGCCUAGUGUACACCGACUUGGACUAGCUCAAGCUCAACAAGUCAAGCAGUCUCGUUCCGGAAAAGGAGGAUGCGAUUCGUGUCCGUCCUAAAUUGCAAGCAUAUUGAGUCCGGAUUUAAUUCAAGAAUAUGAGUCUAAAAUGAUCAUAGCCGUAUUGAUGUAAAUCUCUUUGAAACGUGCCACGUUUCCUUUUUCUUUCACCGGUGUCCCCAGACGCGCGUCGAUCGCCUCCGCAGACCAGAGAUUUUGCCCUAGCCUGCUCUAGGUUUCACCGUCGAUCUGUGCACCUGCUAGAUCGAUCACAGGCUCCAUGGCGUUCCCCAUCCCCUUGAUGCACAGCAACCGCAGCCGAUGGCAGCGAGCGUCGGCCGAGGACCUCGCCUGCCGCAAGAUGGAGGAAGGAGCGCACGCCGUCGGCCUUCUUCCCCCCACGAGCGACGCCACCGGGAACUUCGUGAGCAUCGCCUUCAGCGUACGCGGAUCCAUGGAGUUUUUUUACCCGUCACCUCCCAUACCAUGGACAUCCAAAGUCCACAUGAUCAGUAGAUCUAGAUGUUCUUCUCCUUGUGCUCACUCACGUACAUCUUUAUUUUGCUCCUGCAGUAUUUUACAACCGUCGUGGGUAUCGCGAUGCUGGCUUAUCUUUGUGUCUUGCGGUUCGUGUACCACGACCCUGAAGUGCAAGAUCCCAUCCCAAUGUUAAUUCUUGCUGCUUUAGCUCUUCUUGUGAUAGGAAUUGGAUACCUCCAGUCGAAAUGUUUUGAGGACUGAGAAAAAAUGUAGACCAUAUCAUCAGUAAGCACAAGCUGGAUACAUGAUGAUUAACUAAUUCUGCUCUGUCCCUUGCUCGAUCGAUCCCUUCAGUCUCGAGGCCGUGUGGCGCUUGCGCAGUGUUAACUUAUGUCACCGCCGGGACAUCAGUUCCCUUCUUCGUGCCUCCCCUUUUUUGUUUAUUUCCCGUUCUUUUCCGUGCCCGCGUUACGCUUGAAACGGGUUAGUUUCAUAGUCCUAAACGCGUACGACACGACAAACCUGAGCUUUUUUUCAUAGUCGGACACGACACGACAUGAGUAAUUUAGGGGCAAGUACAUUGGUGUCGUCUAAUAGGUGGUCUCAUGCAUUGACACGUAAUCUUGAGAUGAUUUAACAGGCAACCUGUACAAUGGGUUGUCCUAUAAGUUGUCUGGUAGUGGUAUAUAAUUCCUUAAUUUGUGUAUAAGAAAAAUAAAAUAUUAUGAGUUGCAUGGCAACAAUAACUCGUACAAUGGUUGUUAAGUUGUCUCGUAGUCCUACAAUUUAGCUCAUGAGGUGGUUGUUUCACGAAGCAACGACCUCGCUCUCUCUCCUCCACAUCAUCAAAAAUCCUACGUGGCACUGCAUGAGACGACUUAUGAGACCGCUGACGUGUAGCAAUGUACUUGACCUUAUGCUGGAUAGGAGUAUACACUCUUAAACACGGCCGGUGUUCUUCCGAACUCCGGUGUCCCGCCUCGUCUUCUCCGUAGAGAUCUUGCCCUCACCAACCUUAGGUUUCACCGUGGAUCCGUGCACCGGGUCACAGGCUCAAUGUCGUGCUCGUCCGCCGGCGGCAUCCUCCUGAUCCUCCAAAUCGCCAGACGGUCGCAGUAGCGACAUGGCAACCCUCACCAGCCACCAGCGUCGGUGGCCGGAGACCUCGCCUAUCGCAAGAUGGAGGAAGGAGCGUGCGAUCCUCCACCUGCCAAGGAAACACGCAGCGACUUCCCGUACAUCGCAUUCGCGGUUCAAAAACUAGCUAGAGACCCUUUCCCUCUACCGUACGCCCCUCCCAUGCAUCAGCAACUCCAAAAGCUCCUUUAAAAUUACUCCAAAAUCUUAUUUAUGGAAAAAAUAAAAAAUAUUUACCUCCAACAGCUCCCCCAUCCUUCCCGCAAAAAUACACGGACGCGAAAAAUAUCUCCGUCAUCCCACAUAUAUCCGCGAGUCCGGUCCUUCCCAAAUCGCCCCCAAACUGCUCCUUCCCGCGUGUUGAUCCGUUCCCACGCUAGGCCCUCGCGGAUGUCCGGCUGCAUGCAGUUCACGCCCUCCAUCGCUAACCCGUAGAUCUUGCGCCACGCUCGAAGCCCGUCGAGUUGAAGUAGGUGCGGAAUCGAGCGCGGCAACUAGCCUAAAUCCAAGAAAUAGUGAUCGCAUCACGAUCAUGGGCUCACCAUAGCUCAGUUUGUGUAGUUGGAGAAGAGGGGAUUGGGAGGAUGGGGUUUGAUGGUGAGGGGCGGCUGGCGGCAAUGGCAGCCGUUGGAGCUUCAAUCCCCAGCGCCUGGGACCAUGGCGCAAGGCAGGAAGAGGUGGAGGAGGUAGCCGGGCAGGUGAGCCAGGUGUGGGCGGCGGCGAUUUGAAAUUGGUAGAGUAGGGGCGGCGGAUUUGGCCGGCGGGUAGAGCGCUGCUCGCUCGUUUGUUUAUGGUAGACGAAGAAGAAAGGAGAGCGAGAGAGGAAGAAAGCAUAGAGGUGGCUUGGAGGGGAGAGGAGGGAUGGGGCCAGCCGACUUGGCGAGGAUAAGGUCGGGUGAGGAGGACCGGAGCAGGUUGUUGGUACUGGGGUCGUGCGCUCGCGUGACCGGCUGACUUGGUGGCAGCACCUUGACAGGCGCGUUCGGUCGCGGCAUGGGCCGUGGUACGGCAAGGGAUGCGCAUGGCACGGUGAUAGCACGGCAAGGCAGGCAGGGAGAGCGGUCCACGUGCUGACGUGGUCAUUUUUGAAGUAUUGAGGAAUUUAUUAUUGGGAUCUACUCUAGAAUGAUAUGAUUUUAGGAGAAAAUAUUUUUAGCAGAAUCUAAUAGAUAGAUUUAUUGGAAUUGUUCGAGCCCAGGUGAACCUUCCUCCAUCUUGCGGUAGGCGAGGUCCCCGGCCGACGCUCGCUGCCAACGUCUGGGGUUGCUGAGCAUCACGGCAGUGCCGACGGGGAACGCCAUGGAGCCUGAGAUCGAUCUAGCAAGCGCAUAGAUCGACGGUGAAACCUAGAGCAGGCGAGGGCAAAAUCUCUGGUCUGCGGAGACGACACGCGUCUGGGGACACCAGAAGCGUGAUGGCGAGGGGGACAGGCCCGACUAGUUCGGAAGAAAGUCGUGUUAAGUUAAAAGUAUUGCGGGACAUAUUGAAUAUUCGGAAGCUAAUUAGAAGGACUAAAUAUUUAAUUAUAAAACUACUUACACAUAUGGAAGCUAAUUCACGAGACGAAUCUAUUAAACUUAAUUAAUCCAUAAUUAGCACAUAUUUACUAAUUCACGAGACGAAUCUAUUAAGCUUAAUUAAUCCAUAAUUAGCACAUAUUUACUGUAGCAUCACAUUGUCAAAUCAUAAAUUAAUUAGACUUAAUAGAUUCGUCUCGCAAAUUAGUCUCCAUCUGUGCAAUUAGUUUUAUAGUUAGCCUAUAUUUAAUACUCCUAAUUAGUAUCUAAACAUUCGAUGUCACAAGAAUCUUCUAGGAUGUGCUAAAAAAACAAACAACCCCACGUCGAUCUACCGCUAUAAAAAAAAAAUUGAGGUCUGUGUCGUGUCCGGUUACCGCUAUGAAAAAAAGUUGAGCAGGUCUUACAUUAUAUUACACUAAUCAAUGAUGCAUGUUCCACGGGCGGUGGUGAACUGGUGAUGAGACGCACUCCAUCCUCCUCGCCGUCAGCGCGCGGUGGCCGGAGCCCGUGUGAUCGCGCCCGCGGACAGAUCAAACACACACGGAUCUGUACGGAAGGAUAUGUUCCGUGAGUCUUUCAGUCCGCCGCCGGCUUCCUCUUCUCCGCCGCCAUCUCCCUCCCUUCCCCUCUCGCGAAGUGAAGCGGAUGCCACGAGAUCUGCCCGCCUGUGGCGGGAAUGGGCGCCGUGACGGCGCCUGGUCCUUGGGGCGCGACCGUGACGCGCGAGUGGGGGUCUUUCUCUCGGUCGGCAGGCUGACCCACCAGAGAGGGGUUGCGCAUGCCCUUGGGGGAGUGGGGCGCGGACACCUGCCGGCGUCGUGUGACCGCGGCGGGCCGGGGCCCGGGGGGCGUCGCUGCUUGGUGCAGCUGCGACUGGGAGCGGCCGGGGCGCGUGAGGGGACCCGUCUUUGCCCGCGCGGUCGGCCGUUGGCCAUGGCCAACCCCAGUUGACGGGCACGGAUCCACCUCCACGACGCCGAGGUCACCGCGCUCCCCCCGCCGCCACCCUUCUUGGUACACCCCCCCCCCCCACCCCCCACCCCCCACCCCCCAAUUUCUCAUUGGUCUCCAUGUCUCAGAAAUUAAUUAGAGGCUAACAUUUUCUGUGGUAAUUUUACCCUUUUUUUUCUCUUUGUAACGUUGGUGAUCUUCUUGGAUUCUGAAAAAGAUCUAAUUGAUUUAGUUUUUUUUGUAACUCAUAUAUUCUCUUCAGGUGAAGCAACGGCAAGCAGCAAAGGUUCCACCCAUAAGCCACAGUUCAUCAGAGUGCUUCCAAAAGAUUUCAUGGAAAAGAUGGUGCGCAUAUCGUUGUUGACUUUGCUUUCACUUGUUGUAAUGACCUGACUUCUCUUCUGUCUAUGUGUUCUUGCAGCUGAUACCUGCUAAGUUUGUGCAAUAGCAUAUCCCCAUGGAGCUACUUGAUAAUCGUACGGCCAUCGUUUUUGGCCCCUCUGGCAAAGGUUACAGCAUUAAACUUGAAAUGGGUUGGACGGGCGUGUUCUUUGCAGUUGGUUGGUCACAGUUUCUCAAGUUUCAUGACAUUACUGAAGCUAAUGCUCUGUUGCUACGGUAUGAGGGAAACAUGGUGUUUACACUCAAAGCGUAUGGGCCAAAUGGAUACCAGAGAGAGUUCAACCAAAGGAAAACAGAGGUCGACAAAGUGAGCAAAAUAUAACUAUGUCUAUGGUUUUCUUUUUAAGCUGUUAGCAAUGGAUGUGAAUGAGUUAAAUUAAAUACUGAAGUGCAUGCAUGUCUCUUUUGUCUUAUCAAGUACCAACAUUGCCAGAUAUUGAAGAGCAGCAGGAAGCACCAUCUGCUUCCAUUCAGAAGCAGCAAGAAGCACCAUCUGCUUCCAUUCAGAAGCAGUAUAACAACAAUUUGCCAAGCAGUAAUGGAGAAAAGGAACAACAAAGCCUCACAGCAUCUUGGAACCAGACAUCAUUCAAGAUCGCGCCACCAUCAUCGAUAGAGAAGCAGAUUGAUGCCAACACACUUAAAAAUCAUAUUGUAAGUGCAAGCAUUUCCCUGUUAAAUAGAUUAAAUUGUAUGCUAAAAAACAAUAUGAGCUGAACAGCUGCUAUCAUAUGGCAUCUGGGACAGGAAGAAACAUAGAUAUUGGCUUUGAAUUCCUCACAGAGAAACAUGUUCAUAUGAUCAAAUGAUGCUCUAAUGAUGCUCUAACUACUAAUGCUAUAUGCACACGCUAACAGGAAGAAACAAAUCAAAAGAUUUUAGUUCCUCAUUGAGAAAGAGACUGACAUGCUCUUAGUAGCUGUAACUUCUAAGAAUAUAUGCACAUGUAACAGAGUGACAGGAAGAAACAAAUCAAUAUAUUAAGUUCAGAACUAGGUAAUAAUAAUAUUGUAUGACAUUUUUAUAUGCCAUUUGUCAUGUAUAUGCACUUGAGUGAUUGUUAUCAACCCAAAAGAAACGGAACUUAGAUCAAGCAGUCGGUAUUCGCCCACUGUGAUAUAUAGUGAACUGUCGACUGCUUACUGGAACCAAUGUGAUUGCAAUUAUUGCAGGUUUUGCCAGAAGCAUUCUGUGAUGGUAUUGGGUUGCGGGAACGCUGUGCGAUUACACUCAAGACCUUAAGGAAUGGUAGUGAAUCUUGGCAGGUACAUAGUCUCCCAUGCAAGAAUAACAGCUACCAGCUCAAGAAGGGUUCGUUGCUUAGUCCUGCUCUCUCCAUUUUUUUUCUGCCAGGGAAAAAUGAUUCAUUAAAUUUUAACUAGGUAAAACAUCACCAUCUGUGCGUACAACGUGCUGCAUACAAGAUUAACUUCAUGCUUACCAAGAGUAGUAAGGUACAUUGCACAUUAGAGUGUGAAAGGAACAAAGGAUACGGGGCAGUCAUUCUCUAUGCUUCAGAAUCCUAAAGUUCAUGAAGGGGAGGAACCCAAAGUACCAAAACGACCAUCACAUGGCCAGUACCAAAACGACCAUCACAUGGCCAAUACCAAAACGACCAUCACAGGACCAUGCAUCUCACCACAAGCAUUCAAGUCAAAUUUAAUCAUUCUGAAGCUACAAAGAGUAUUCGCCUAGCAUGCUGCAUUUCAAUGCUCCUGAUUCCGACCUCUUACAAUCUGUUCUCUCAUGAAAAUCUACUGGUUCAGGUUCGCUCGACGCUGAACCUGCAAUGCGAAUUAUCUAAUCAUGCUGAUGAUACAAUUAUGAAUAGGUCGGAUACAAAUAUGUGCAUGUGUAACUGAAGGGUUUAAGAGGCACACCAUCAUGAAAGAAAAACGAAGUGGAUCAGGGAGGCAAGUACUAGCCUAAAACUGAGGCCGAGUUUGUGAUCAAUGUCUAUAGUUAGGUAAGCGAAGAUAAUAAUGAAUCCAUUCACCGCUGCAAGAAGGAUCGUUACUAAUGACCAAUACCAAGACGUACUGAUGGACUGGAACACAUGGCCAACAAGUAUGAAUUGCACCUAACAUCCCAAAGUGGUCGAGGAUCUGCACGCACUGACGCUCUCAAAGAGAGACUGCGAAGGCGCUGCAGGUCAUGCCGGCGGAUUGCAGGAUCCACCAUAAGCACAGACCAGCGUGCUUAGUCCUGCUUUGUCCAUUUUUUUUUCUGCCAGAGGAAAGAUGAUCCAUUAAAUUUUAACUAGGUAAAACAAUACCAUCUGUGCGCACAACGUACUGCAUACCAGAUUAACUUCAUGGUUACCAAGAGCAGUGUGGUACAUUACACAUUAGAGUGUGAAAGGAACAAAUGAUACCGGCCAGUCAUUCUCCAUGCUUAGGAAUCGUAAAGUUCACGAGGAGGAACCCAAAGUACCAAAACGACCAUCACAUGGCCAAUGUCAAAACGACCAUCACAGGACCAUGCAUCUCACCACAAGCAUUCAAGUCAAAUUUAAUCAUUCUGAAGCUACAAAGAGUAUUCGCCUAACAUGCUACAUUUCCAUGCUCCUACUUCCAGCCUCUUACAAUCUGUUCUCUCAUGAAAAUCUACUGGUUCAGGUUCGCUCGACGCUGAACCUGCAAUGCGAAUUAUCUAAUCAUGCUGAUGAUACAAUUAUGAAUAGGUCGGAUACAAAUAUGUGCAUGUGUAACUGAAGGGUUUAAGAUGCACACCAUCAUGAAAGAAAAACGAAGUGGAUCAGGGAGGCAAGUACUAGCCCAAAACUGAGGCCGAGUUUGUGGUCAAUGUCUAUAGUUAGGUAAGCGAAGACAAUAAUGAAUCCAUUCACCGCUGCAAGAAGGAUCGUUACUAAUGACCAAUACCAAGACGUACUGAUGGACUGGAACACAUGGCCAACAAGUAUGAAUCGCACCUAACAUCCCAAAGUGGUCGAGGAUCUUCACGCACUGACGCUCUCAAAGAGAGACUGCGAAGGCGCUGCAGGUCAUGCCGGCGGAUUGCAGGAUCCACCAUAAGCACAGACCGGCGUGCUUAGUCCUGCUUUGUCCAUUUUUUUUAUACCAGAGGAAAGAUGAUUCAUUAAAUUUUAACUAGGUAAAACAAUACCAUCUGUGCGCACAACGUACUGCAUACCAGAUUAACUUCAUGGUUACCAAGAGCAGUGUGGUACAUUACACAUUAGAGUUUGAAAGGAACAAAUGAUACCGGCCAGUCAUUCUCCAUGCUUAGGAAUCCUAAAGUUCACGAAGAGGAGGAACCCAAAGUACCAAAACGACCAUCACAUGGCCAAUGUCAAAACGACCAUCACAGGACCAUGCAUCUCACCACAAGCAUUCAAGUCAAAUUUAAGCAUUCUGAAGCUACAAAGAGUAUUCGCCUAGCAUGCUGCAUUUCCAUGCUCCUGCUUCCAGCCUCUUACAAUCUGUUCUUUCAUGAAAAUCUACUGGUUCAGGUUCGCUCGACGCCGAACCUGCAAUGCGAAUUAUCUAAUCAUGCUGAUGAUACAAUUAUGAAUAGGGCGGAUACAAACAUUUGCAUCUGUAACUGAAUGUGUAGAACCGUAUCGGACUUCUUCCUCGACCGAAAACAAACAUAUUGUGAAAAUAACGGGAUCUGAAUGUCUGAAACCGACAAUAUAAUAUAAUCCAGAGCCACGCAAUGUAGAUUUGAUGGCACGAUGUAGUUAAGCGGCUAAAAGAUUGGCGCGGCGGAGGAGGUCGUCAAGCGUGUCUCUGCGACUGCGUGCGUGAGGCAACGAGUUGUCCAGUUGGACGCCGUGCUCUGUUUACGCCAUCAAAGAUUCACAAACCUAAUUUCUCGUAACAUUUUCAUCGGGACAUUUUGCAUAUGUACUGAACGUCCUGAACAAUACUUGCCAUAAAGCCAAUUCGAGAGACUCGCAACAAUAUCAAUCGAAAGCUGACAUAAACAGAAAAUUAGGCUAACAAGUUUCACUAUAUUCAUUAUGAAAUAUAUUUUCAUAGCACAUCUAUUUAAUGUUAUAAAUAUAUUUUCAUAGCAUUCAAGUCAAAUUUAAUAAUUCUGAAGCUACAAACAGUAUUCACCUAGCAUGCUUCAUUUCCAUGCUCCUGCUUCCAGCCUCUUACAAUCCGUUCCCUCAUAAAAAUCUACCGGUUCGGGUUCGAUCAACGUCGAACCUGCAAUGCGAAUCAUUUAAUCAUGCUGAUGAUACUGAUGAUACAGUUAUGAAUAGGCUGGAUACAAACAUGUGCAUAUGUAACUGAAUGAUUUAAGAGGCAUACCAUCAUGAAAGAAAUGAUGUGGAUCAGGAAGGCAAGUACCAGCCAGAAACCGAGGCUGAAUAUGUGGUGAAUGUCUCGAGCCAGGUAAGCGAAGACAAUAAUGAAUCCAUUCACCGUUGAAGAAGGAUCAUUAGUCUAAUGACCAAUACCAAGACGUCCUGAUGGGCUGGAACACAUGGCCAACAAGUAUGAAUCGCACCUAACAUCCUAAUGUGGUCAAGGAUCUGCAUGCACAGCCGCUCUCGAAGAGGGACUGCGAAGGCCCUGAAGGUCGUGCUGGCGGUUUGCAGGAUCCACCAUAAGCACAGAGCGGCGUGAAUGCAGCAUCGGAGGAUCUCGGGAAAUAUCUUCACCCUCGCCGUAACUGUAUCAGGUCCGAGGCAUGUGAUCAAAACCAACGAGCCACUCAGCGCGAACGAAGCCAUGUCUGACAUUUUCCUCCCCCCUGCAUCAUGCAAUUGGUGAGGGGAACACUCAUCAAACCCCUGCCAUUGAAGGCUUGAACACGUAAAUCCGACAAAGAACAUAGCAUACCUGACCAAAAGCGGGCUGGACUCUUACUGGCGCCGCCGCCGCACCGUCUCCCGUCUCACCGAGACGACGUCUCCUUCCCCAGAGGCACAAGCAUUCAAGUCACAUGUAAUAAUUCUGAAGCUACAAACAGUAUUCACCGAGCAUGCUUCAUUUCCAUGCUCCUGCUUCCAGCCUGUUACAAUCCGUUCCCUCAUGAAAAUCUACCGGUUCGGGUUCGAUAGACGCCGAACCUGCAAUGCGAAUCAUUUAAUCAUGCUCAUGAUACAGUUAUGAAUAGGGUGGAUACAAACAUGUGCAUGUCUAACUGAAUGGUUUAAGAGGCAUACCAUCAUGAAAGAAAUGAUGUGGAUCAGGGAGGCAAGUACCAGCCAGAAACCGAGGCUGAAUAUGUGGUGAAUGUCUCGAGCCAGGUAAGCGAAGACAAUAAUGAAUCCAUUCACCGUUGAAGAAGGAUCAUUAGUCUAAUGACCAAUACCAAGAUGUACUGAUGGGCUGGAACACAUGGCCAACAAGUAUGAAUCGUUCCUAACAUCCCAAUGUGGUCAAGGAUCUGCAUGCACAGCCGCUCUCGAAGAGGGACUGCGAAGGCCCUGAAGGUCGUGCUGGCGGUUUGCAGGAUCCACCAUAAGCACAGAGCGGCGUGAAUGCACCAUCGGAGGAUCUCGGGAAAUAUCUUCACCCUCGCCGUCACUGUAUCAGGUCCGAGGCAUGUGAUCAAAACCAACGAGCCACUCAGCGCGAACGAAGCCAUGUCUGACAUUACUCCCCCCUGCAUCAUGCAAUUGGUGAGGGGAACACUCAUCAAACCCCUGCCAUUGAAGGCUUGACCACGCAAAUUCGACAAAGAACAUAGCGUACCUGACCAAAAGCGAGCUAGACUCUUACUGGCGCCGCCGCCGCACCGUCUCCCGUCUCACCGAGACGACGUCUCCUUCCCCAGAGGCACAAGCAUUCAAGUCACAUGUAAUAAUUCUGAAGCUACAAACAGUAUUCACCUAGCAUGCUUUAUUUCCAUGCUCCUGCUUCCAGCCUCUUACAAUCCGUUCCCUCAUGAAAAUCUACCGGUUCGGGUUCGAUCGACGCCGAACCUGCAAUGCGAAUCAUUUAAUCAUGCUGAUGAUACAGUUAUGAAUAUGCUGGAUGCAAACAUGUGCAUGUGUAACUGAAUGGUUUAAGAGGCAUACCAUCAUGAAAAGAAAUGAUGUGGAUCAGGGAGGCAAGUACCAGCCAGAAACCGAGGCUGAAUACGUGGUGAAUGUCUCGAGCCAGGUAAGCGAAGACAAUAAUGAAUCCAUUCACCGUUUAAGAAGGAUCAUUAGUCUAAUGACCAACACCAAGACGUACUGAUGGGCUGGAACAAUGGGCCAACAAGUAUGAAUCGCACCUAACAUCCCAAUAUGGUCAAGUAUCUGCAUCCACAGCCGCUCUCGAAGAGGGACUGCGAAGGCCCUAAAGGUCGUGCUGGCGGUUUUGCAGGAUCCACCAUAAGCACAGAGCGGCAUGAAUGCAACAUCGGAGGAUCUCGGGAAAUAUCUUCACCCUCGCCGUAACUGUAUCAGGUUCGAGGCAUGUGAUUAAAACCAACGAGCCACUCAGCGCGAACGAAGCCAUGUCUGACAUUUUCCUCCCCCCUGCAUCAUGCAAUUGGUGAGGGGAACACUCAUCAAACCCCUGCCAUUGAAGGCUCGAACACGCAAAUCCGACAAAGAACAUAGCACACCUGACCAAAAGCGGGCUGGACUCUUACUGGCGCCGCCGCCGCACCGUCUCCCGUCUCACCGAGACGACGUCUCCUUCCCCAGAGGCACAAGCAUUCAAGUCACAUGUAAUAAUUCUGAAGCUACAAACAGUAUUCACCGAGCAUGCUUCAUUUCCAUGCUCCUGCUUCCAGCCUGUUACAAUCCGUUCCCUCAUGGAAAUCUACCGGUUCGGGUUCGAUCGACGCCGAACCUGCAAUGCGAAUCAUUUAAUCAUGCUGAUGAUAGAGUUAUGAAUAGGCUGAAUAGAAACAUGUGCAUGUGUAACUGAAUGGUUUAAGAGGCAUACCAUCAUGAAAGAAAUGAUGUGGAUCAGGGAGGCAAGUACCAGCCAGAAACCGAGACUGAAUAUGUGGUGAAUGUCACGAGCCAGGUAAGCGAAGAUAAUAAUGAAUCCAUUCACCGUUGAAGAAGGAUCAUUAGUCUAAGGACCAAUACCAAGACGUACUAAUGGGCUGGAACACAUGGCCAACAAGUAUGAAUCGCACCUAACAUCCCAAUGUGGUCAAGGAUCUGCAUGCACAACCGCUCUCAAAGAGGGACUGCGAAGACCCUGAAGGUCGUGCUGGCGGUUUGCAGGAUCCACCAUAAGCACAGAGCGGCGUGAAUGCACCAUCGGAGGAUCUCAGGAAAUAUCUUCACCCUCGCCGUAACUGUAUCAGGUCCGAGGCAUGUGAUCAAAACCAACGAGCCACUCAGCGCGAACGAAGCCAUGUCUGACAUUUUCCUCCCCCCUGCAUCAUGCAAUUGGUGAGGGGAACACUCAUCAAACCCCUGCCAUUGAAGGCUUGAACACGUAAAUCCGACAAAGAACAUAGCAUACCUGACCAAAAGCGGGCUGGACUCUUACUGGCGCCGCCGCCGCACCGUCUCCCGUCUCACCGAGACGACGUCUCCUUCCCCAGAGGCACAAGCAUUCAAGUCACAUGUAAUAAUUCUGAAGCUACAAACAGUAUUCACCGAGCAUGCUUCAUUUCCAUGCUCCUGCUUCCAGCCUGUUACAAUCCGUUCCCUCAUGAAAAUCUACCGGUUCGGGUUCGAUAGACGCCGAACCUGCAAUGCGAAUCAUUUAAUCAUGCUCAUGAUACAGUUAUGAAUAGGGUGGAUACAAACAUGUGCAUGUCUAACUGAAUGGUUUAAGAGGCAUACCAUCAUGAAAGAAAUGAUGUGGAUCAGGGAGGCAAGUACCAGCCAGAAACCGAGGCUGAAUAUGUGGUGAAUGUCUCGAGCCAGGUAAGCGAAGACAAUAAUGAAUCCAUUCACCGUUGAAGAAGGAUCAUUAGUCUAAUGACCAAUACCAAGAUGUACUGAUGGGCUGGAACACAUGGCCAACAAGUAUGAAUCGUUCCUAACAUCCCAAUGUGGUCAAGGAUCUGCAUGCACAGCCGCUCUCGAAGAGGGACUGCGAAGGCCCUGAAGGUCGUGCUGGCGGUUUGCAGGAUCCACCAUAAGCACAGAGCGGCGUGAAUGCACCAUCGGAGGAUCUCGGGAAAUAUCUUCACCCUCGCCGUCAUUGUAUCAGGUCCGAGGCAUGUGAUCAAAACCAACGAGCCACUCAGCGCGAACGAAGCCAUGUCUGACAUUACUCCCCCCUGCAUCAUGCAAUUGGUGAGGGGAACACUCAUCAAACCCCUGCCAUUGAAGGCUUGACCACGCAAAUUCGACAAAGAACAUAGCGUACCUGACCAAAAGCGAGCUAGACUCUUACUGGCGCCGCCGCCGCACCGUCUCCCGUCUCACCGAGACGACGUCUCCUUCCCCAGAGGCACAAGCAUUCAAGUCACAUGUAAUAAUUCUGAAGCUACAAACAGUAUUCACCUAGCAUGCUUUAUUUCCAUGCUCCUGCUUCCAGCCUCUUACAAUCCGUUCCCUCAUGAAAAUCUACCGGUUCGGGUUCGAUCGACGCCGAACCUGCAAUGCGAAUCAUUUAAUCAUGCUGAUGAUACAGUUAUGAAUAUGCUGGAUGCAAACAUGUGCAUGUGUAACUGAAUGGUUUAAGAGGCAUACCAUCAUGAAAAGAAAUGAUGUGGAUCAGGGAGGCAAGUACCAGCCAGAAACCGAGGCUGAAUAUGUGGUGAAUGUCUCGAGCCAGGUAAGCGAAGACAAUAAUGAAUCCAUUCACCGUUUAAGAAGGAUCAUUAGUCUAAUGACCAACACCAAGACGUACUGAUGGGCUGGAACAAUGGGCCAACAAGUAUGAAUCGCACCUAACAUCCCAAUAUGGUCAAGUAUCUGCAUCCACAGCCGCUCUCGAAGAGGGACUGCGAAGGCCCUAAAGGUCGUGCUGGCGGUUUGCAGGAUCCACCAUAAGCACAGAGCGGCAUGAAUGCAACAUCGGAGGAUCUCGGGAAAUAUCUUCACCCUCGCCGUAACUGUAUCAGGUUCGAGGCAUGUGAUUAAAACCAACGAGCCACUCAGCGCGAACGAAGCCAUGUCUGACAUUUUCCUCCCCCCUGCAUCAUGCAAUUGGUGAGGGGAACACUCAUCAAACCCCUGCCAUUGAAGGCUCGAACACGCAAAUCCGACAAAGAACAUAGCACACCUGACCAAAAGCGGGCUGGACUCUUACUGGCGCCGCCGCCGCACCGUCUCCCGUCUCACCGAGACGACGUCUCCUUCCCCAGAGGCACAAGCAUUCAAGUCACAUGUAAUAAUUCUGAAGCUACAAACAGUAUUCACCGAGCAUGCUUCAUUUCCAUGCUCCUGCUUCCAGCCUGUUACAAUCCGUUCCCUCAUGGAAAUCUACCGGUUCGGGUUCGAUCGACGCCGAACCUGCAAUGCGAAUCAUUUAAUCAUGCUGAUGAUAGAGUUAUGAAUAGGCUGAAUAGAAACAUGUGCAUGUGUAACUGAAUGGUUUAAGAGGCAUACCAUCAUGAAAGAAAUGAUGUGGAUCAGGGAGGCAAGUACCAGCCAGAAACCGAGACUGAAUAUGUGGUGAAUGUCACGAGCCAGGUAAGCGAAGAUAAUAAUGAAUCCAUUCACCGUUGAAGAAGGAUCAUUAGUCUAAGGACCAAUACCAAGACGUACUAAUGGGCUGGAACACAUGGCCAACAAGUAUGAAUCGCACCUAACAUCCCAAUGUGGUCAAGGAUCUGCAUGCACAACCGCUCUCAAAGAGGGACUGCGAAGGCCCUGAAGGUCGUGCUGGCGGUUUGCAGGAUCCACCAUAAGCACAGAGCGGCGUGAAUGCACCAUCGGAGGAUCUCGGGAAAUAUCUUCACCCUCGCCGUAACUGUAUCAGCUCCGAGGCAUGUGAUCAAAACCAACGAGCCACUCAGCGCGAACGAAGCCAUGUCUGACAUUCCUCCCCCCCUGCAUCAUGCAAUUGGUGAGGGGAACACUCAUCAAACCCCUGCCAUUGAAGGCUUGAGCACGCAAAUCCGACAAAGAACAUAGCAUACCUGACCAAAAGCGGGCUGGACUCUUACUGGCGCCGCCGCCGCACCGCCUCCCAUCUCACCGAGACGACGUCUCCUUCCCCAGAGGCACAAGCAUUCAAGUCACAUGUAAUAAUUCUUAAGCUACAAACAGUAUUCACCGAGCAUGCUUCAUUUCCAUGCUCCUGCUUCCAGCCUGUUACAAUCCGUUCCCUCAUGAAAAUCUACCGGUUCGGGUUCGAUCGACGCCGAACCUGCAAUGCGAAUCAUUUAAUCAUGCUGAUGAUACAGUUAUGAAUAGGCUGGAUACAAAGAUGUGCAUGUGUAACUGAAUGGUUUAAGAGGCAUACCAUCAUGAAAGAAAUGAUGUGGAUCAGGAAGGCAAGUACCAGCCAGAAACCGAGGCUGAAUAUGUGGUGAAUGUCUCGAGCCAGGUAAGCGAAGACAAUAAUGAAUCCAUUCACCGUUGAAGAAGGAUCAUUAGUCUAAUGACCAAUACCAAGACGUCCUGAUGGGCUGGAACACAUGGCCAACAAAUAUGAAUCGCACCUAACAUCCUAAUGUGGUCAAGGAUCUGCAUGCACAGCCGCUCUCGAAGAGGGACUGCGAAGGCCCUGAAGGUCGUGCUGGCGGUUUGCAGGAUCCACCAUAAGCACAGAGCGGCGUGAAUGCAGCAUCGGAGGAUCUCGGGAAAUAUCUUCACCCUCGCCGUAACUGUAUCAGGUUCGAGGCAUGUGAUUAAAACCAACGAGCCACUCAGCGCGAACGAAGCCAUGUCUGACAUUUUCCUCCCCCCCUGCAUCAUGCAAUUGGUGAGGGGAACACUCAUCAAACCCCUGCCAUUGAAGGCUUGAACAUGCAAAUCCGACAAAGAACAUAGCAUACCUGACCAAAAGCGGGCUGGACUCUUACUGGCGCCGCCGCCGCACCGUCUCCCGUCUCACCGAGACGACGUCUCCUUCCCUAGAGGCACAAGCAUUCAAGUCACAUGUAAUAAUUCUGAAGCUACAAACAGUAUUCACCGAGCAUGCUUCAUUUCCAUGCUCCUGCUUCCAGCCUGUUACAAUCCGUUCCCUCAUGAAAAUCUACCGGUUCGGGUUCGAUCGACGCCGAACCUGCAAUGCGAAUCAUUUAAUCAUGCUCAUGAUACAGUUAUGAAUAGGGUGGAUACAAACAUGUGCAUGUCUAACUGAAUGGUUUAAGAGGCAUACCAUCAUGAAAGAAAUGAUGUGGAUCAGGGAGGCAAGUACCAGCCAGAAACCGAGGCUGAAUAUGUGGUGAAUGUCUCGAGCCAGGUAAGCGAAGACAAUAAUGAAUCCAUUCACCGUUGAAGAAGCAUCAUUAGUCUAAUGACCAAUACCAAGACGUACUGAUGGGCUGGAACACAUGGCCAACAAGUAUGAAUCGCACCUAACAUCCCANNNNNNNNNNNNNNNNNNNNNNNNNNNNNNNNNNNNNNNNNNNNNNNNNNNNNNNNNNNNNNNNNNNNNNNNNNNNNNNNNNNNNNNNNNNNNNNNNNNNNNNNNNNNNNNNNNNNNNNNNNNNNNNNNNNNNNUAUCUUCACCCUCGCCGUAACUGUAUCAGGUUCGAGGCAUGUGAUUAAAACCAACGAGCCACUCAGCGCGAACGAAGCCAUGUCUGACAUUUUCCUCCCCCCCCUGCAUCAUGCAAUUGGUGAGGGGAACACUCAUCAAACCCCUGCCAUUGAAGGCUUGAACAUGCAAAUCCGACAAAGAACAUAGCAUACCUGACCAAAAGCGGGCUGGACUCUUACUGGCGCCGCCGCCGCACCGUCUCCCGUCUCACUGAGACGACGUCUCCUUCCCCAGAGGCACAAGCAUUCAAGUCACAUGUAAUAAUUCUGAAGCUACAAACAGUAUUCACCGAGCAUGCUUCAUUUCCAUGCUCCUGCUUCCAGCCUGUUACAAUCCGUUUCCUCAUGAAAAUCUACCGGUUCGGGUUCGAUCGACGCCGAACCUGCAAUGCGAAUCAUUUAAUCAUGCUGAUGAUACGGUUAUGAAUAGGCUGGAUACAAACAUGUGCAUGUGUAGCUGAAUGGUUUAAGUGGCAUACCAUAAUGAAAGAAAUGAUGUGGAUCAGGGAGGCAAGUACCAGCCAGAAACCGAGGCUGAAUAUGUGGUGAAUGUCUCGAGCCAGGUAAGCGAAGACAAUAAUGAAUCUAUUCACCGUUUAAGAAGGAUCAUUAGUCUAAUGACCAAUACCAAGACGUACUGAUGGGCUGGAACACAUGGCCAGCAAGUAUGAAUCGCGCCUAACAUCCCAAUGUGGUCAAGGAUCUGCAUGAACAGCCGCUCUCGAAGAGUGACUGCGAAGGCCCUGAAGGUCGUGCUGGCGGUUUGCAGGAUCCACCAUAAGCACAGAGCGGCGUGAAUGCAGCAUCGCAGGAUCUCGGGAAAUAUCUUCACCCUCGCCGUAACUGUAUCAGGUCCGAGGCAUGUGAUCAAAACCAACGAGCCACUCAGCGCGAACGAAGCCAUGUCUGACAUUCCUCCCCCCUGCAUCAUGCAAUAGGUGAGGGGAACACUCAUCAAACCCCUGCCAUUGAAGGCUUGACCACGCAAAUCCGACAAAGAACAUAGCAUACCUGACCAAAAGCGGGCUGGACUCUUACUGGCGCCGCCGCCGCACCGUCUCCCGUCUCACCGAGACGACGUCUCCUUCCCCAGAGGCACAAGCAUUCAAGUCACAUGUAAUAAUUCUGAAGCUACAAACAGUAUUCACCGAGCAUGCUUCAUUUCCAUGCUCCUGCUUCCAGCCUGUUACAAUCCGUUCCCUCAUUAAAAUCUACCGGUUCGGGUUCGAUCGACGACGAACCUGCAAUGCGAAUCAUUUAAUCAUGCUGAUGAUACAGUUAUGAAUAGGGUGGAUACAAACAUGUGCAUGUGUAACUGAAUGGUUUAAGAGGCAUACCAUCGUGAAAGAAAUGAUGUGGAUCAGGGAGGCAAGUACGAGCCAGAAACCGAGGCUGAAUACGUGGUGAAUUUCUCGAGCCAGGUAAGGGAAAACAAUAAUGAAUCCAUUCACCGUUGAAGAAGGAUCAUUAGUCUAAUGACCAAUACCAACACGUACUGAUGGGCUUGAACACAUGGUCAACAAGUAUGAAUCGCACCUAACAUCCCAAUGUGGUCAAGGAUCUACAUGCACAGCCGCUCUCGAAGAGGGACUGCGAAGGCCUUGAAGGUCGUGCUGGCGGUUUGCAGGAUCCACCAUAAGCACAGAGCGGCGUGAAUGCAUCAUCGGAGGAUCUCGGGAAAUAUCUUCAACCUCGCCGUAACUGUAUCAGGUUCGAGGCAUGUGAUCAAAACCAACGAGCCACUCAGCGUGAACGAAGCCAUGUCUGAUAUUCCUCCCCCCCCUGCAUCAUGCAAUUGGUGAGGGGAACACUCAUCAAACCCCUGCCAUUGAAGGCUUGAACACGCAAAUCCGACAAAGAACAUAGCAUACCUGACCAAAAGCGGGCUGGACUCUUACUGGCGCCGCCGCCGCACCGUCUCCCGUCUCACCGAGACGACGUCUCCUUCCCCAGAGGCACAAGCAUUCAAGUCACAUGUAAUAAUUCUGAAGCUACAAACAGUAUUCACCUAGCAUGCUUCAUUUCCAUGCUCCUGCUUCCAGCCUAUUACAAUCCGUUCCCUCAUGAAAAUCUACCGGUUCGGGUUCGAUCGACGCCGAACCUGCAAUGCGAAUCAUUUAAUCAUGCUGAUGAUACAGUUAUGAAUAGGGUGGAUACAAACAUGUGCAUGUGUAGCUGAAUGGUUUAAGUGGCAUACCAUAAUGAAAGAAAUGAUGUGGAUCAGGGAGGCAAGUAUCAGCCAGAAACCGAGGCUGAAUAUGUGGUGAAUGUCUCAAGCCAGGUAAGCGAAGACAAUAAUGAAUCUAUUCACCGUUUAAGAAGGAUCAUUAGUCUAAUGACCAAUACCAAGACGUACUGAUGGGCUGGAACACAUGGCCAGCAAGUAUGAAUCGCGCCUAACAUCCCAAUGUGGUCAAGGAUCUGCAUGAACAGCCGCUCUCGAAGAGUGACUGCGAAGGCCCUGAAGGUCGUGCUGGCGGUUUGCAGGAUCCACCAUAAGCACAGAGCGGCGUGAAUGCAGCAUCGCAGGAUCUCGGGAAAUAUCUUCACCCUCGCCGUAACUGUAUCAGGUCCGAGGCAUGUGAUCAAAACCAACGAGCCACUCAGCGCGAACGAAGCCAUGUCUGACAUUCCUCCCCCCUGCAUCAUGCAAUAGGUGAGGGGAACACUCAUCAAACCCCUGCCAUUGAAGGCUUGACCACGCAAAUCCGACAAAGAACAUAGCAUACCUGACCAAAAGCGGGCUGGACUCUUACUGGCGCCACCGCCGCACCGUCUCCCGUCUCACCGAGACGACGUCUCCUUCCCCAGAGGCACAAGCAUUCAAGUCACAUGUAAUAAUUCUGAAGCUACAAACAGUAUUCACCGAGCAUGCUUCAUUUCCAUGCUCCUGCUUCCAGCCUGUUACAAUCCGUUCCCUUAUGAAAAUCUACCGGUUCGGGUGCCAUCGACGCCGAACCUGCAAUGCGAAUCAUUUAAUCAUGCUGAUGAUACAGUUAUGAAUAGGGUCGAUACAAACAUGUGCAUGUGUAACUGAAUGGUUUAAGAGGCAUACCAUCAUGAAAGAAAUGAUGUGGAUCAGGGAGGCAAGUACCAGCCAGAAACCGAGGCUGAAUAUGUGGUGAAUGUCUCGAGCCAGGUAAGCGAAGACAAUAAUGAAUCCAUUCACCGUUGAAGAAGGAUCAUUAGUCUAAUGACAAAUACCAAGACGUACUGAUGGGCUGGAACACAUGGCCAACAAGUAUGAAUCGCACCUAACAUCCCAAUGUGGUCAAGGAUCUGCAUGCACAUCCGCUCUCGAAGAGGGACUGCGAAGGCCCUGAAGGUCGUGCUGGCGGUUUGCAGGAUCCACCGUAAGCACAGAGCGGCGUGAAUGCAGCAUCGGAGGAUCUCGGGAAAUAUCUUCACCCUCGCAGUAACUGUAUCAGGUCCGAGGCAUGUGAUCAAAACCAACGAGCCACUCAGCGCGAACGAAGCCAUGUCUGACAUUCCUCCCCCCUGCAUCAUGCAAUUGGUGAGGGGAACACUCAUCAAACCCCUGCCAUUGAAGGCUUGACCACGCAAAUUCGACAAAGAACAUAGCAUACCUGACCCAAAGCGGGCUGGUCUCUUUUUGGCGCCGCCGCCGCACCGUCUCCCGUCUCACCGAGAUGACGUCUCCUUCCCCAGAGGCACAAGCAUUCAAGUCACAUGUAAUAAUUCUGAAGCUACAAACAGUAUUCACCGAGCAUGCUUCAUUUCCAUGCUCCUGCUUCCAGCCUGUUACAAUCCGUUCCCUCAUUAAAAUCUACCGGGUUCGGGUUCGAUCGACGACGAACCUGCAAUGCGAAUCAUUUAAUCAUGCUGAUGAUACAGUUAUGAAUAGGGUGGAUACAAACAUGUGCAUGUGUAACUGAAUGGUUUAAGAGGCAUACCAUCAUGAAAGAAAUGAUGUGGAUCAGGGAGGCAAGUACUAGCCAGAAACCGAGGCUGAAUAUGUGGUGAAUGUCUCGAGCCAGGUAAGCGAAGACAAUAAUGAAUCUAUUCACCGUUUAAGAAGGAUCAUUAGUCUAAUGACCAAUACCAAGACGUACUGAUGGGCUGGAACACAUGGCCAACAAGUAUGAAUCGCGCCUAACAUCCCAAUGUGGUCAAGGAUCUGCAUGAACAGCCGCUCUCGAAGAGUGACUGCGAAGGCCCUGAAGGUCGUGCUGGCGGUUUGCAGGAUCCACCAUAAGCACAGAGCGGCGUGAAUGCAGCAUCGCAGGAUCUCGGGAAAUAUCUUCACCCUCGCCGUAACUGUAUCAGGUCCGAGGCAUGUGAUCAAAACCAACGAGCCACUCAGCGCGAACGAAGCCAUGUCUGACAUUCCUCCCCCCUGCAUCAUGCAAUUGGUGAGGGGAACACUCAUCAAACCCCUGCCAUUGAAGGCUUGAACACGCAAAUCCGACAAAGAACAUAGCAUACCUGACCAAAAGCGGGCUGGACUCUUACUGGCGCCGCCGCCGCACCGUCUCCCGUCUCACCGAGACGACGUCUCCUUCCCCAGAGGCACAAGCAUUCAAGUCACAUGUAAUAAUUCUGAAGCUACAAACAGUAUUCACCGAGCAUGCUUCAUUUCCAUGCUCCUGCUUCCAGCCUGUUACAAUCCGUUCCCUCAUGAAAAUCUACUGGUUCGGGUUCGAUCGACGCCGAACCUGCAAUGCGAAUCAUUUAAUCAUGCUGAUGAUAGAGUUAUGAAUAGGCUGAAUAGAAACAUGUGCAUGUGUAACUGAAUGGUUUAAGAGGCAUACCAUCAUGAAAGAAAUGAUGUGGAUCAGGGAGGCAAGUACCAGCCAGAAACCGAGACUGAAUAUGUGGUGAAUGUCUCGAGCUAGGUAAGCGAAGAUAAUAAUGAAUCCAUUCACCGUUGAAGAAGGAUCAUUAGUCUAAGGACCAAUACCAAGACGUACUAAUGGGCUGGAACACAUGGCCAACAAGUAUGAAUCGCACCUAACAUCCCAAUGUGGUAAGGAUCUGCAUGCACAACCGCUCUCGAAGAGUGACUGCGAAGGCCCUGAAGGUCGUGCUGGCGGUUUGCAGGAUCCACCAUAAGCACAGAGCUGCGUGAAUGCAGCAUCGCAGGAUCUCGGGAAAUAUCUUCACCCUCGCCGUAACUGUAUCAGGUCCGAGGCAUGUGAUCAAAACCAACGAGCCACUCAGCGCGAACGAAGCCAUGUCUGACAAUCCUCCCCCCUGCAUCAUGCAAUUGGUGAGGGGAACACUCAUCAAACCCCAGCCAUUGAAGGCUUGAACACGCAAAUCCGACAAAGAACAUAGCAUACUGACCAAAAGCGGGCUGGACUCUUACUGGCGCCGCCGCCGCACCGUCUCCCGUCUCACCGAGACGACGUCUCCUUCCCUAGAGGCACAAGCAUUCAAGUCACAUGUAAUAAUUCUGAAGCUACAAACAGUAUUCACCGAGCAUGCUUCAUUUCCAUGCUCCUGCUUCCAGCCUGUUACAAUCCGUUCCCUCAUGAAAAUCUACCGGUUCGGGUUCGAUCGACGCCGAACCUGCAAUGCGAAUCAUUUAAUCAUGCUCAUGAUACAGUUAUGAAUAGGGUGGAUACAAACAUGUGCAUGUCUAACUGAAUGGUUUAAGAGGCAUACCAUCAUGAAAGAAAUGAUGUGGAUCAGGGAGGCAAGUACCAGCCAGAAACCGAGGCUGAAUAUGUGGUGAAUGUCUCGAGCCAGGUAAGCGAAGACAAUAAUGAAUCCAUUCACCGUUGAAGAAGCAUCAUUAGUCUAAUGACCAAUACCAAGACGUACUGAUGGGCUGGAACACAUGGCCAACAAGUAUGAAUCGCACCUAACAUCCCAAUGUGGUCAAGGAUCUGCAUGCACAGCCGCUCUCGAAGAGGGACUGCGAAGGCCCUGAAGGUCGUGCUGGCAGUUUGCAGGAUCGACCAUAAGCACAGAGCGGCGUGAAUGCACCAUCGGAGGAUCUCGGGAAAUAUCUUCACCCUCGCCGUAACUGUAUCAGGUCCGAGGCAUGUGAUCAAAACCGACGAGCCACUCAGCGCGAACGAAGCCAUGUCUGAUAUUCCUCCCCCCUGCACAUGCAAUUGGUGAGGGGAACACUCAUCAAACCCCUGCCAUUCAAGGCUUGAACACGCAAAUCCGACAAAGAACAUAGCAUACCUGCCCAAAAGCGGGCUGGACUCUUACUGGCGCCGCCGCCGCACCGUCUCCCGUCUCACCGAGACGACGUCUCCUUCCCAAGAGGCACAAGCAUUCAAGUCAAAUUUAAUAAUUCUGAAGCUACAAACAGUAUUCACCGAGCAUGCUUCAUUUCCAUGCUCCGAAUUCUAGCCUCUUAUAAUCCGUUUCUCAUGAAAAUCUACCGGUUCGGGUUCGAUCGACGCCGAACCUGCAAUGCGAAUCAUUUAAUCAUGCUGAUGAUACAGUUAUGAAUAGGCUGGAUACAAACAUGUGCAUGUGUAACUGAAUGGUUUAUGAGGCAUACCAUCAUGAAAGAAAUAAUGUGGAUGAGAGAGGCAAGUACCAGCCAGAAAUCGAGGCUAAAUAUGUGGUGAAUGUCUAGAGCCAGGUAAGCGAAGACAAUAAUGAAUCCAUUCACCGCUGCAAGAAGGAUCAUUUGUCUAAUGACCAAUACCAAGACGUACUGAUGGGCUGGAACACAUGGCCAACAAGUAUGAAUCGCACCUAACAUCCCAAUGUGGUAAGGAUCUGCAUGCACAGCCGCUCUCGAAGAGGGACUGCGAAGGCGCUGAACGUCAUGCCGGCGGUUUGCAGGAUCCACCAUAAGCACACAGCAGCGUGAAUGCAGCAUCGGAGGAUCUCGGGAAAUAUCUUCACCCUCGUCGUAAAUGUAUCAGGUCCGAGGCAUGUGAUCAAAACCAACGAGCCACUUAGCGCGAACGAAGCCAUGUCUGACAUUCCCCCCCCCCCCCCCGCGCGCAUCAUGCAAUUGGUGAGGGGAACACUCAUCAAACCCCUGCCAUUGAAGGCUUGAACACGCAAAUACGACAAAGAACAUAGCAUACCUGAUCAAAAAUGAGCUGGACUCUUACUGGCGCCGCCGCCGCACCGUCUCCCAUCUCACCGAGACGACGUCUCCUUCCCCAGAGGCACGCCCACCAAGUUCCAGCAACGCGACGCUCCCUGAGCUUCGCCGCGCCGCGCUGAACCCGACUGAUCGCAUCGGCCGCAUUCUUCAGCUCCUGGCACGCGCGCGCCAGGUGCGCCGCGUGGUCGCGGAUUGCCUUGAGCGGAGCGCUCUCUGCCGCCUGCACCGCGGUGGCCGCGGUGCUGAGGGUGCCAAUGCAGUUCAGCAGCGCCGCCAGGUCGCCUGCCUGCUCGAACGCGUCGGCGGCGGAGAGCUGUUGGCCGCAGGGCACGCGGGCGCCAUUCGCGGCGUCGACGACGCCGCGAGCCUGCGCGACCAGCUCGACGCCGCUCUGGCGGAGCUGCGGCAUGCCUUCGCGGAGCAGGUCGACGGAGACCGUGACGUCAGCCCGGUCCACCGCCUCCUGCAGGAAUUGUUGUUAGGUACUACUCCGAACGUGCCGACGAACCAACACGAACCGAUUCUCCGAGUGCCGCCGCCGCCAAUUCAUACAACCCAUUCACUACUCGAUUACCCCCCACCCCAACCCCAUUUUCCCGAACAAGAGCCACGUACCUCUGGUCCCACGCCUGCCGCGGGGAGAUUGUCGCGGACGCCCUGGUGAUGUUGGCACCUUCUCCACAGCGACCACCACCAGGAGCCAUGGACCCAGCCAUCCGUGCCCUCCUCCUUGGUGCGCAGCAUGUCGACCAUGCCGAUGGCGGUCUCGCGGUACUCUGCGCACGAGCGCGCCAGGUUCGCGGCGGCGCCGCGGAGAGCGUGCAGCUGGUCCCGAGCUGCUCCCUCCAGGGCGGCGGACGCGUCGCGCAGGUUGAGGACCGCCUGGAGCCUCCCCUCCUCCCCCGCUGCCUCCAACUCCCGAGCCGCCCCGCUGAGACAGGCGCGGUCGACUCCGGCGGCAUCGGCGGCUUCCUCCGCGCCGCGUGCCUUCUCCACCAGCUCCCCGCACUUCGCCUCGAUGAUCGAGGCGCCCAGGUACUUGAUCACGGUGGCGGCGGCCUCAAUCGUCUCCUCCAUCUCUCCUCGAACGCGACGACGAGGUCGGGGAGGGAACGGGAAGGGAGGGGAGGGGAGACUUCGGCCGAGGGGACGGAGAGAGGCAGGGGAGGGGCUGGAAGGAAGGAGGCAGCCGGAUUCGGUUGGGGGAGGCGGAGGCGGGCAGAGCACCGACGCGCCCGCUUGUUUUAUUUGUUUUCGGUUGGGCCUGGGAUUGGGGGAGCCGGCCCGAGCCUUGAAGGCGGCGGCGAGAACCGUGUUCGUGUGCUGCGCGUGCUUUGUUUGCGGUUUGCCCAUGGCCAGGCCGCCGCGACUCUACGUCUCGCAUAUGCGUGGUAUCCAGGCCUUCGAUAGGAGGACGGUGCGUGGGCGUGUGCUGGUGCAUGCGAGGGCGGAACCGCGACGUGCGUCCGUGUGCGACGCUCGUGCACGGUUCGCGGCAUGGGGGGGGGGGGCCUGCGGCGCGGCCAUCGGAUUCGGCCGUCCGCCGCAAGCUCCUGGGGCAUGAGCGUGGGUGGUGUGCUUGCGUGAUCCAGCGGCGGCGUCGGCGUCGUGCCGCCCGGGCGACAAACCCCACCUGGACAUUUCAUCGAAUGGCUACCGAGCAGUGAACACCACCGGAACACACGCACGAAGACCACGCCAAACCGUCACCGCACCGUCACUGCACAACACCCGCACUCGUGUUACAGUUGAUGUGCUAUGGUUUGAUCACAUAAACAUGAAUCGUUUACUCUAUGUUGUGCUUUAACACUGGAUGCUAGCCAUUUUUUCCUGGUGUCUGCAGAAUUCAGUUAACCAAAAGCAAGCGCUGGUGCUGCAACAAUCCAUUAUCCAGGGCGAAGUGUUUAAUGGGACAACAGAGAUCAGCUGGGUACCAAACUACCAAUUCCCCUUCUUGGCAAUGUGAGGCCACAUUACACUCGAUGAGAGCAUACCAGAACAGACACAUUCACACUGUACGGACAGAUCAUGCCAACCCCAACAUACAUGCAGUAGAGAAAGAGAGGUCGAAGAAGAACCUGAAAGAAGAUCAGCCCAUUGACGAGUUUUAAGGCCCAAGCCCACGCGCCGCGAAUCCGAGCCGCCAUUCGUGCGCCGCGCAGGCUGGCCUCACCCCCCACGCGGCCACGCCAAUUCCUUGCUUCCCUCGCCGAAACCCCCCAAGCCCUCGCCGGGAUAGGCAGAAAACCCUGCGCCGCCGCCGCCGCGGCCGACCACGACACGUCGACACCCUCGCGGACACACGCUUUGUUUGACGCCCGUGUGCACUAAUCUGAAGCGCUGAACAAGAAUGAGCUAGUCCAACCAUUUCAUUUCAGAUGUAAUGGGGAAACUGAUCAUUCGAAAACCAUCUUAGAUACAAGGCAGCAUGAGCUAGCCGGUGAUGUUGUGCCUGUGCUCUGCUUCUUCCACUUCUCCAGCUUACCUGUUGCUUCGCUGCAAGUCGAUGUUGUUUUUGUGGUUGUAAUGAAACGAUCAAACACAUCUUGUUUGAUUGCCACCAUGCAAGAUUUAUCUAGAGAAUUAUACAAAGGCUACCAGUCCUACCACCACCACGAUCAACCUCUCAUAUGCUUAGGAAUUGGCUAACACUUGCACGGGGAAUAAUAACGAGAGGAGAGAUAUUCUGUGGAAGUGGCAGCUCUAUUUGUUUUUAGCAAUUUGGCACAGUGACAUUAUUUUGAAAAAAAAUGAUAUACAUCUUUCAUGCGUGCUACCUUUAGGGACUUGGGAUGUCGGUCAGCGCACCGCCGCCGCCUGGCGUGCAGAGGCGUCUUGCCGAUUGGUGUCCGAUCGUGUCGGCCCGGCAGAAAUUGGGCUGCGGCGAGGACGUCGGGGGGCUGCGGCGCGUUGUAGGCGGAGGCCUUGGUGAAGACGGCGGCCGUGUUCGCAAGCCUCGCCGCGGCGUCCAAGUCCCCCGAGUCUGAGCGAUCCGAGUCGGCGAGCGCCUUGGCCGUGACGGCCACCAAGUCGCGGCCGUGCUGGUCGCCCGUGAGGGCCGCAGUAGCGGCGGCGAACUGCUGGGCGUUGUGCGCGCGGAGCUGACGCGCCUUGUCGGCGGAGGCCUAGGUAAAGACAGCGUCCGCGUCGGCAAGCCUCGCCGCGGUGUCCGAACCCGGCUGCGCUCCGGCUAGCCGUGGCGUGAGGCGGAGGCGGCGUUCAUGCGGCCCCAGGGGGUGGACAGUACCUGCUAGCCGCCCGAUGCGACGUUGAUGGUCCAGAUUGACUGAAUCGCGGAAGGAAGCCAAAGGCGCUCUGCCUUGUCAGAGCAGAGUCGGACGCCAGAGGCCGUGCUACGGUGCUCCGGCACUCCGCCGUCUCCGGUGAAGCAGAGUGAGAGGAGGGCUGAUCACUAGCUUGGCCGCUGUCGAGAGCGCCACGGGCUGCGCGACCUGAGGUGAGGGCUUCUCACGCUGCUCCAGGCCGGCGGGCGAUAGCUUCUGUCUUCUGCGGUGAAUUUCUGCGGUUAUCGAGCACUUGCCGGUGCUGCAAAUCUCGACGUGGGUAUGAACUGAAUCGAUCGCCUACGGGUACAGUAUGCAGACACCAGGCUGUACGUCACCACCGUCACCCGCUUCCCCAGCACCGCGGCCACGAUGAUCAGGUCCAGUCCAGCAGCGUGCGGUGGUUGCACACGUACAGGCGCCCGCCGCGCUGCCUGAGCUUUGGCCCGGGACGUGGCCGGUGGCCGGCGACGAGGCGGUAGUGCAUGCCGGUGAGCGCGCCGACGGGGAAAAAGAUGUGGUACGGGAGGAAGGAGAAGGCGAUGGUGUGGAAGGCGACGAGCGCGAUGGCGAAGGGGAGGAAGGUGUACACAUGUCGAGCGCGGUGGGCGGCGUCGGCGUGAAGGCGAGGCGGCCGUCGUGGAAGACGAGGCGCAGUGGUCGUCAUCUCCGCGGGUCAGCCUCGCUCACCGAGAGUUUCCUGCACGUUGUACGCCCAUCUCCUGCGCCGAAGCCGUGAACGCUCGCGGUGGAGGUCACCACGGCGUGGUUGCCAUCGGUGGCGCCGGGUCAGGGUGUGGACGGUAAAUGAAAUACCGUCCACCCCUGGUCCUCUCGCAUCCGUUGAAUCAGACUUGGGCGGCCUCGAUCGCAUGCAAGGUAGUGAGACCUCUGCCGCCUUCCUCUCGCGCCUCGGCCGCUUGCCGCUCCCCAGGCUCGACGCGCGCUGACCCUGACCUCUGGUGAGCCGCCGCAUGGCAUCACGGCCGCGGCUCAGAUCCUGGCCCACGCUCGCGAGUCUAGUGCGGACCACGCGCGGGGUUGGUCGGUGGCGCCUCGUCGGCCGCGACCUCCAUUGUCGGCGUAGGUAACGGCGCGAUGCUCGGCGUUCCGGCGUCCACGCAUGUCGGGCUUGCGACUGCGUCCAUCGUACCUUGUGGGUCGUUGGCACGGAUGGGGAUGUCGUUAAGGCGCGGUCCGCGAUGCUCCUAGCGCGCGGGGUCUUGCCAGUGCUGCACGCCUGCGUCAGGGCGAUGGUCUUGUGGACCUCGGCACUCGCCUGCGUCUGCUCCACGUCCUCGGCGAGCAUAAAACGCGGCGUGCCGGCGUCUAGGCGUUGUCGUGCUCGCUCGCUGCUUCUUGGCGUCUGCCUAUGGCGGUUUGACAAAUGAACUGCGACUCACACAACUCCGAAUCCAUCAGGCGGCUGUGGUCAUAUCUGCGUGCACCUCGCUUGCGAGGAUGAUCGGCGGCGGCACCUUACACCAGGCGCGCGUGCGGCUCUCCCCAGCCAUACAUUCGCGCGGACGAACGCGGUCGAGCUCCUUCUUUCUGUGGCGAGGUGGGGAAGGAAUCCGGCGCAGGGACUGGGCAGGGCGUGGGCGAUGUCGGCAGCGCGCGCGGCCACGACGCGGCCCCAGCGCCUGCACGUCGCGGCGCAGCGCGCGACCACGGCGUCGCCCGAGAGCACGUCGUCGGGGAGCGUGGCCACUGGCGGCUCGCCGCGCGCCGUCAAGGCUGUACUCUUCUCUUCUCUUCUCCGGCGGCAACGGGGCGUCGCGCGGCCGGUGCUCGUCGCAGCAGCGGCAUGGAUAGACCCCUAGCUGGCUGCGCCGUGCUACCUUGUCGCCAUGUUGGCUGAUCCGAUCUUGGCCCAACCUGUUACGUGCUCGAUCGACCCCUUCCUUUCAGUCGCGUGGCUGCGUCGCGCCGGCGCAGCGUGCGUGCCAUGGCAUGUCGCCAGGACGUGACGCAUGAAACGGGCGGGUUCAUAAGUUAAAAUGUAACUGAGGAUGAAUACGCCUGGCAAAUUCUAUUUCAGAAGCAUCUCGCUUUCAGGACCGUCUCGCUGCGCUGAAACACGGCGGGUUUCGAACAGCCUAGCCCGGCCCGUGUGGCGGUGCCGGCGGUCCUCGCAUUCGUGUGCGGACACGCUAUCCCGUAGUAUCCGUUGCUUGUGGCCUUGUGGGCUUCUUCUUCUUUUUUUCCCCCCGCGCCCUGCUCUUGCUUGGUAUUUCUUCUUUUGUUUUUUCUCUUAUUUUCUUUCCAUAAUUUUUUUUGAGCACGUUGAACAUUCAGAUAGCAUACAUACAUAAAGUAAUCAGCGAUCAAGUAGGUGGUACACACAAAAAAAAAAGAGUAGGUGGUACGGUGUUUAAAAUUUGAGAAAAAUUCUUAUUUUUCUCAAAUUCUUAUUUUUGUUCAACAGUGAACAGUGAAGUAAACAAACAGACAAAUUACAGAAAACAAUCGUGAAGCACACCAAAAUCUCAAAGUAAUGUACACGUUAGCGUUUGGUUGCCCAUGUCAACCAUGGAUGUAUGGCAGAAGUAACGUUGACCAUCAUCCACACAGUUUGCGUCAUGCUGCAGUCACAGCUAAGUCCACAGCGUCUGGAGUCUCAGCACUGCUGCAACCACAGAGGUCGCCGGUCAGUUGUCAACAGGAAGAAGAAGAGCUCGCGCAUCCGGACCAUCAUGCUGACCCGUCGUCACUGCCGCUGCGCGUUCAGUCCUCUCCUGGGAUGACAUCGUCACCUCGGAUGCAGCUCUGAAACAGUACAUGUGUGAGUGGUUAGUGGAAUCCAAAAGCAGCACACUGAAUGAUGAAAGACACUACAGAUGCAGUAAGGGGGCGUUUUGCUUAUUUUUAGCACGUAUCACAUCGAAUGUUUAGAUACUAAUUAGGAGUAUUAAACGUAGACUAUUUACCAAACUCAUUACAUAAGUGGAGGUUAAACGGCGAGACUAAUCAAUUAAGUCUAAUUAAUCCAUCANNNNNNNNNNNNNNNNNNNNNNNNNNNNNNNNNNNNNNNNNNNNNNNNNNNNNNNNNNNNNNNNNNNNNNNNNNNNNNNNNNNNNNNNNNNNNNNNNNNNUCCUCGGCAUAUUGACACACGUAAUAAUUAGAGUCAUAUGUUCUUCAUGGCUCCCCUUCUGGAGUACAAUCUACAAUCACACAUAAAUAUUUGGCAUCCUUAAUGAUCAUUAUCAUAGUUUGUUACUCCUAAUUAGUAUCUAAAUAUUCGAUGUGACGGAUGCUAAGUAACCGGAACCAAACAGGCCCUAAGAGGACUGAAGGAGCUGCUUACCAUCGCCCAGGGAGCGCCGAGGCCUAAGACGGCUGCACCAAUGAGGAUCACAAGCCCCCACGGCGCAGAAGGGAAGAAAGCCCGGUAGCCGUAAAAGCUGAACAUCAGCGCAGCGCCUAGUACGCCCAGGCGGCCCAACGCCCGGGCGGCCCGUUUCUCCCAGUCCAAUCGCCCGUACUGGUUGAGUACCAUACCGCAGCUCGUGACGAUCCAUACGGCGAUGCCUGCGCCAGCAACGAACGCCCAGGCACCCGGGAACAGUUGGAGGCCGGCCGCCGACGUGAGUAAUGGCACAGGUGCGGCGAGGGCCAACCCGUAGAGAAUCUGACGUUUCUCAAUCAGCUUGGCCUGAACAGUUCAUAGCAGAGUACGAGUAAGCGGGUUAUCAUUUUCUUCCGACACGAUCAGAGUAUUCAGAGGACACAUUGCCAAAAUGCAUCAACAGCACGUACCUCGUCGUCAGGGACCUGAAUUGGAAGCAGUGGUUCUUGCGGAGUGAUGGCAAGUCGGAGCCGUUUGGUCCAUGAGCACUUGGCAUCGGAGGCCGUGUCCGCAAGCGACCUGGCACUGAGUGGCCGGCCUCGCGGUGGCGCCACGUCGCCAUCGCUUGCCUUCUUUGUAAUCUUGUUCUCGUGCGAAGGGGUGUUUUCAGAAGAGCAGGCCUGAAUUGCCUUCUUGAGAUCGAGAUUAGCAGAGCGGCAGAGAUAGUGCCGACCGGGAAGAACUUUGGCGGAACCGUGAAGGACCUCGCUCAUUUUGUAGCUGAUUGUCGUUGGCUUCGAAACGGCGAAGAGCUCAUUGAAGAUAGCCAGCGCAUCUGCCAAUCUAGUUGCAGCCUCCCGAUCGUCCUGUGACUUGGCGUACGCUGCUGCCGUACGGGCGACCGCCUUGGCGGGGUCGAUGAAGAUGCUGCCGCUGCCGCGUAGCUCGUCAACGAGAGCACGGGCAUCAGCGGCCAACUCCUCGGCGACAGACGCGUCCUCACGUGUCGGCAAAACUGGUCCGUUCUUGCUGUCAGAAACCCCCUUCUUUCUCUCUCCACCGGAAAGGCUCGCCGUGGCGGCCAAAUCCUUGCCGCGCGACAGGUCUUGCAGGUUCUUUGAUUUUCUGAAUUUGCUUUCUUGGUCGCCGCCCCCCUCCGAGUUGGAGUCCUUGAGGAGAGGCGUCUCCGACAUUGUUUCUUCGGUUCGAAAGAACCGGUGGUCUCGGUAGAGAUUGGAAUGAUUAGUGUGACGAGGAGGGAGAGGGGAAGGGGAGGGGAGAGCCAGCAGAAGGGUGGGUAUUUAUUUCCGAGAGGAGGUAGGGGAGGGGAAGCAUGGAGGAGGAGGCCGCCGGCCAGGAUUCGGCUGGGGACCGCCGCGGGAGUUGCCGUUGGGGAUUCAGUUAUCAAAAUAACCGUCGAGGGGGAGAGAAGUGGUGGGAGAAGCGGAAGACGGGAAGAGCGGGGUGCGGGGCUGAGCAGCUGGUGUGUUGGGCCAAGGCCCAGCGUCCAUCGGAUUCCGAGGCUUCUUUGCGGAAGAGGGGUGGGGCGGGUAGCGAUUGGAUUUGGAGGAGGCGGCGGCGUGCGGAAGGCGAGGAUGCGGCGGCGGGGGUCAACGGAAGGCCUAAUCAAAGGUGAGAAAUCAAUCCCCCCCCCCCCCCCCCCCACACGCACACACCCUCUAAAUCGCUUAGUUUCUACUGGAUCUGGAUGGUGGAGUACGGAUGUGCUGGAUCUGAUUGGUGUUCUGAAACCCCAAUGUUUCUCACCGGAUGUUCUGAUGGUUGAACAAGGAACAAAGGAGGGAAGCUUUUAUGGCAGUGAGCAUAGCAGCAGGUGCACAAUCUAGGAAGGUGAUUGGCAUUGGAGGUUAGGUAUCCAACAUUGGAGAAUAGUGUGAAAAUUCCAUUGCUUGCCCAAUCAGACAGGCUGUGCCAAACAACGAUGAUCGUCUGUAUGAUCUUUGGCAAUCUCUCCUUCCACUUGAUACGGAUUAGGUGGCACGAAGAUUAGCUGAAUCGCUAUGAAGGAACUUGUUACUGGGGCAGAAGUGAAAUUUGAUGGUUUGAUUUGGAUGGAGUGAAGGUUUCCCUAGUCAAAUCAGUAGUGUCUUAAGCAUUCUGUGGUUUGAGGAGUACUGUUUUGGCUCAAGAUGUGUAUGUAAUGAGCCUACAUUAUCAGACUUUCUAUUAUUUUGAAGUGAUUUGCUGUGCUUUAAAAGUCAUGUCUCUCUCUAAAUAUUCAGAUGGUCGGGAGACCCGGUUACUAAAAUCUUAUUGGAAAAGGAGCAAUGGAUGAUGGAAUGUUCAAACACACAUCAGGGAGAUAUUGUAGAGAUCCUGAUGACAAAGGUUUACUUUCCUCACACUUAUGUUACAGUUCAUGUAAACACUAUGCAUGAGUCUAACACUGAAUGCUAGCCAUUUUCCUGGUGUCUGCAGAAUUCAGUAACCAUAAUCAUGCGCUGGUGCUCCAGCAGACUGUAAAAUUUUAUCAGGACAUUAUGUUGGAUGGGAUGCUAGCUUGUGCGCCACGGCAUCAAGAAGGAAGUUUGGUAGGGGCUCCCCAUUGUGCCUUCUUCCUGGCAGUGUUGGCAUAUUGACCAGUGGGAAGAAUGUCAGAGAUCAAUUGUCGCAGCAGCUGUAACCUGAACUGUUCUCUUAUUCUGUAAAUGAAAUAGUACUUUGCAAAUUCUGAUGAGUCUGAACACUCUACAAGAUCAUUUUAGCCUAGCAUUGUCAGUGCAAGCUCAUUAACAAACAACAGCUCAUAGAGCGUCACCAAGGUUUGGAGGCAUAGAAACUAGCAGACACAUGAACAGACUCCUGCACAAAUAUUUGGGGACAUCAAACGCUUUCAUCAGUCAGAGUUUACAAAGUACUGAUUUGUCAUACACAGACGCAAUCCUGCUUCUGGAUGGCUUUGGAACUCUCUUGUUGGCUGAAACACAGGGUGUUCUUCUGGCUGCUACUGAAUGAUCGGCUCAACACUCUACUUCAGAGAAAAGAAAUGGAUUUGCCAUCUUAUACAUGUGAAUAUGUGAUCCCUGCCUCUGGCAAACAGAAGAGACAAUUGGCAUUGUCACACCUACAGCCUGCAGGCCUCAACUUUGGAAAAACACCAGACAGUGGAUUGGCAGAUGUACAAAGAAGAAGCCAGGAGAGAACAUAUCACCAUCUUAUGAGGCGUUUCAUCCUCAUGCUCACAGCAUUCAUAUUACCCCAUUAAUGUUUGAGAAUACUGCCCACAUGGUACUCGAGGAUAUGCCUAUUGUGGACGAUGCGGCAGUUUGUGCUAAGAAUGUUGCAUUCAGUGCUCUGACAGUGGUGAGGGAUGCUGUGCAUGGGUUGUUCGAUUGAUUGUCCAGCCAAGCGGUGAUUUGGGAUGAAGAAUUGUUGCAUAGCCUUGACCCACAUGACGGUUUUCUGCAGCAAUUAGCUCAAGGUGGAGAGAAUGUAUGCGAUGGUGAGAGGAAGUCAGCUGCUGAUCUGUUUGUCAAUGACACUCAUGGUAGCGGUGCUCCCUUCUCAUGAAUCUUGGCAUUGAUUCCAAUGAAGUGCCUCCUAAGAUGGUGAUAUGGGAUCAGGAAUAUGUGCAAACUAUCAAGAUUGGUUCAGAAAUUAUCAGAAGUGAAAUUUACUCUAUAUUCUCCUGUCCUGAAGCAGGGUUGUUCAGAAAUUAUCAGGCUGAGAAGUUGUUCAAUACCGCAGGGUUGCUGUUGUUUGUGUUGGUUGUGAAUUCAAGUAAAAUGAAAAUGUGCUCACUUUGUUUGGCAUAUAGUUUCAGUACAUUCUCAAGGUCAGUUUAAUCAAUGCAGAAAUCCACCUGGGUGCUUUGUACUUGUGCAAGAGAUGGAAUUCACAAGCAUUCAGUGCUAUAUACAAGCAAUCAGGAAAUAAAUGUUUCUUUGGUGGAGAAGGACCGUGGCCUGGUUUCUCCACUUCUUGAUAUCAAGGAAGUUCUUCAAUUGCCAUUUAAAGUCAGAAAGCUCCUCAUGCAAGCAACAAUUUGCUCAGUACUAUAUUUUCAGAAAGAAAUGUCAAUAGGCUGCCUAUACAAGCUCCCACAUCAACAAGCUUAGUCCAACAGAACAUAUCCAAGUUACAGCUUCAGUCAGUGGUCGCGGAACAUGGUCAGGCAAACACGGAGCUGCCACGGGUGUCAAAGCUCGCCAUGGACUAAGUGCUGAAUUGCCAUUUGUCAGAGAGAUACGCCCAGGAAUUUGCAGACCAUUUGGGGGCGACCGAUUGAAUGGCCUCCGCUAUGGCAAGCAUUUCCAAAAUUAACAUUGGUUGGGAGGCUCUUUUAUUAUAACAAGAACUCCAGAAUUGCCAUUGAUGAUUGGUAGGUUACUGGCUUUAAGUUAUUAUUAGUUUUCAGGGUGGAGGCCACAGGGAAGGCGCUGCUGGAGGCGGACUGGAGGUCCGGCCAGUCGGCCACUCUCCUGCUGUAAGUCGUAUAUGCAGUGGCUGCAGCACUUUCAGCUUUGUGGAAGAACCGGUUCUUUGGUGAUCCCUUUCCCUUGUAACCGCGUUUGAGCUGUAUCUUCUUGUUAAUGUAUAUUUCAGCGUGUCGUGUUUUGUGGAUAAAAGAGUCGAGCAAAUACAAGUCCAUGACUAGGCGCAGGCAUGUGCUGGGUUCUGUAUCUUCUUGUUAAUGUACCGUAUUUCAGCUUGUUCUUUUCUACUGUAUUUCAGCGUGUUCUUUUCUACCGUAUCCGUAUGUCAGCGUGCCCUGUUGUGGAGGAUAGUGAUGAGCAAGGACAAGUCCUUUUUUUAUGGCGUGUUCAGCACCACAGCGUGUCGUUAUGGAACCUUGAGUAUGAAAAGGCGGCUAGCCCCAUGUAACAUGGAUCUUUUUUUUUUAUAGAACCAAUGAAUCAAGAACCACGUAGCUCUGAGAUCACCUAUGGCGUAGGAUUUCUUGCCCUCUUUGGGGCCUAAACCCGGUGAAAUCUUUGACGUGCUUUCGAUCUAGUUUAACAAGCUUUCACCCUCUUUUUUUGAUAAAGAAGCUUUCACCCUUUGAUUCCUCUACCGAACACUAAACCUGCCAGGUAGAACUCGCCGACACCCACCAUUGUCAUUCACCAAUCCCACAUAAAACAUACAAGGGCUUUAUAAACUAUUGGCAUUUUACAAGCAGCGAUCUAGGCCCGAUUCUUAUAAUUAUGUUUUUAACAAUCCACAAGCUAAAGACCAAUUUUGAUAAUCUCUAUCUGAUGUAGACGAGAGGCCUAAAAAAAUGAAAUAUUCCCUCCGCUCUAAAUUAUUAUUCGUUUUAGUUUUUUAGGUGCAUACACCUAGAUAUAUACUAGGUCUAGAUCCAUAGCAAAAGUUAUACAUUUAGAAAAAUCAAAACAAAUAGUAAUUUGAGACCAAUGAGGUAUUACACCACUAAAAUUCUUAUUGAAAAAAAGGCUAGAGCUAGCUGCGUGCAGUGGAUAAGAAUUACACCAUAGAUUCUUGUGGAAUCUCAGUGCCUUGAGGUAUUACACCACUAAAAUUCUUAUUGAAAAAAAGGCUAGAGCUAGCUGCGUGCAGUGGAUAAGAAUUACACCAUAGAUUCUUGUGGAAUCUCAGUGCCUUGAGGAAUCCUCCUAUAUACAAGCCCGUCUGCGGUGAUCUCAAAUACAAACCACAUCAUAAAUAUCAUUACUACAACGGCUGCUAUCUUUAUGCUAAUGUGCUCUUCCGCAGUAACAUUGCCAAUAACCACCACGCUGGCGCAAAGAGAGGCACAACCCUAAAAUUGAGAAGAGAUGUCCAAGUCAGCGCAAAAAUUAUUGCAACAUGUAAACAAGCUAGGCAUCCAUAGUGGAAUGAACCGCUAACCUCCUCCUGACGGUCACAAACAAGCUGUACACCUAUACGUGUAGUAUGCAUACAACUAUAGACGAGGUAUGUAGUGGAUUGUAACAUGUAGACCAGACAUGUUUCUAUAACUUUAUACAUGAUAAGUGACUCAAGCAUACACAAUGACAAUGUUGGUUUUUAUUUUAUUUUUUUGUUUGAAAUACAUGGUAAUCAAUACGUAUGAGGAGGGAUCAAUAUGACAAUUUAUGUAGAAGCUGGGAGAAGCAACAAUGGCAGCCAUAAGAAUCACUGGUAGUUCCUUACCCGGAUGAACCACCGGUAGGCUGGCUUAACGGUUAACAUGGUAGGUACUAGCUCUUGAUAGCCGCCCUCGUAGCGGUCGCUAGAUGAGCUCCGCCUGGUGGUCGUCGCGUUGAGGAGUUCUAGCACAAUCAUCGACAUGGCGCACUGCUUGCACGCGGGAUUCGUGUGGAAAACCUCACGGUCACGGCGGCGGGUGAGUGGCGGCGGAGCCGCUGGUGCUCACCGGCCGGCGCGAUAUGGACGACGACGGAUGGAUGAACUCGAUCGAUCAGGGUCUAACACGGCGUGGGGCCCGGCCCUUUGGCCUUGGCCUUUAUUUCUAUGCUCGCGGGGACACGGUUCGGCUUGCACCCGAUCGAUCUCGCGUGCACGAGUGCGACAAGGAAACAAGCUAGGAUGCGAGUUCGAUCGAAUUCCGGCUCAGUUUGCUGUCUUGCCGAACUCUGCUGUGUCUUGCCGUACGAGAUUGCGGAGGUACGGCCGCCACUACGCCAGAAACGAGAUUGCCGUACGAGCGCGCGCGCGUGCUGUGUGCCUUCGGCUUCCACGAGACAACGAGGCGCUGCAAAGUUAACCCCCGGAGGCUUGGCCUCACGGUUUGGCCAGCCAGCCAGCGAGGCGCACGUACGAGUCGUAAUCUGGCAAGUCGCUUACCCGGAGGGCCCACCGGAAGGCCGGCUUAAUGGUUGUCAUCGUAGGUGCUAGUACUUGGUGGUCGUCUCCAUAGUCGUCGCUGGCUGGAUGAGUUCCCGGCGCGCAUGCCAUUGAAGAGGUCAAGCACGCGGCAGUCGUGUGGAACAGUGGAAGCUUCUAGACGGCGGUGGGUGGCGGCUGUCGGCGGAACCGUACCGCUGGUGUGGUGCUCUGCUCACCGUCGCGAUACCAGGCGAGGGAUGGACGAACUCGAUCGAGCGCUUGGGACCGGCGGUUACGGUCGCGGCGUGGGCCCCUUGUUUUAUAUAGGUCGGCUUUUGGUUGAAUACUACAUGGGCUUGGGCCACGCAUCGCUCUUGGGCCUUGGCUGGCUUCAACUCCCGGCCCGGUUUCUUUUUUGGCUCCAAAUCGACAACAGCUCUCUUGCCGGCCGUUUGAACUCUACAGCGCGAGCGAGAUUGCACGAGACCUGCAAAUAGCUGCCUGGACUCACGGUUUGGGCAGGCAGGCAGGCAGGCAGGCGGGACAGGUCGCGAUCCAGCGACUGACGAAAAAGCGCUCAGCGCGAAGCCCAGACCACGCGCGAGGCAGCGAACACGCCACCCGGCAGACGCGGCGGCCUACCAUUGGCUACGCAGGUGAAUUACAAAGCCGCGAUUGGCUGAUGUGGAAUUAAGUACGUGGCCUUUCCUCCCAGCAUGGAUAGGAAAUCGGAACUGAUGGUCACGCUGCCCCGUCCUUCUAUUUAGGCCUGUUUUCCACAGGACCCUCCUUUUUAAUCUCUUUUUUAAUCUUUUUAGUCCCUAAGGUGUCAAACGUAGGGACUAAAAGAUAACUAAAUGCUUCAGUCCUCUAAUCCCUUGCGGGUAACUAAUCCCUUGCGGGUAACUGGAGCUAUUUGGACAUCAGGGGCUAAACUUUAGCCCUAUCACAUCGGAUGUUCGGAGGCUAAUUAGAAGGAUUAAAUAUGAGCUAAUUAUAAAACUAAUUGCAGAACCCCUGUGCUAAUUCGCGAGACGAAUCUAUUAAGCCUAAUUAAUUCAUCAUUAGCAAAUGGUUACUGUAGCACCAUAUUGUCAAAUCAUGGACCAAUUAGGCUUAAUAGAUUCGUAUCGUGAAUUAGCCUCCAUCUGUGUAAUUAGUUUUGUAAUUAGACUAUUUUUAAUACUUAUAAUUAGUAUCCAAACAUCCAAUGUGACAGGGGCUAUUUAGACUAUUUAGCCCCUGUGAGGCAAACAGGCCAAGUGGACUCAAGGUCCAAGAGGACACCCUUGCCCCUCGUUAUUGCCUAGUUUUCCACCCGUCCCGAACCAUCCUAAACCCACCGCCACCGCCCUCUUUCCUCCCCACGCUGCUGCCACCGCCCCCGUUCCUCCCCACCACUGCCGUCGCUCCUCCACAUGGCGACGUUCGCUAUGUACAUCUACCUCCCCGACGACCAUGACAACCUAUUGGGCCUCGUGCGCGUGCUCAGCACCAGCUUGGCGGUGGCACUCCAGCACGAGUCUGCCGUGCGGGAGGAGGGGGGUCCAUGAUGGGGAGCUCAGGAUCCAAAGUUUGAGAUGUUGCUCAGGGUGGAGGCGGCGACGCUCCUGUAGGAACUCAGACUCGACCUGUUGUUCAUUGUCUUCGACAAGUCCUUCACCGAGAUGUUGUGCCCGCCAACGCCGCCCAUGGUUAUGAUCUCCGUGCUCCACCAGUGCUUCCUCAACGUCGACGAGGAAGGAACUGUGGCCGCUGCAGCCGCGGAACUGACCACCCCUUCCUCUUCUUCCUCGCAGAGGAUGUCAAUGGCGUGGUGGUAUUUGCUGACCAAGUUACCAACCCUUUGCUCCAUUAGCUUCUCUGCUUCCCCAGCUACCGCGACUACUUCAGGCAGAGUGUGAUGCAGAUUUUGUGCAUUGAUUAGGGAUAGGGAUGAAGUUUAGUAGGACCAGAGACCAAACAGCCGUAGACGCGCUUGGCGGGCAAUCCCCCUCCGCGGGCCCCACCCAGGUAGGGACGUCCGAGGCCGCGACGUUGACUUUGACGAGUCGCGGCCGGCCCACCUGCCGGUCACCGUCCGAUCGGAGUGACGACUGGAUAGGCUGGCAGGCUGCUACCACUGCUCCGCUCCACUUCCGAAGUACCUACGGUUCCCCACUAAAUCACCAAAGUGCCACCCAGUAAUUCGCUGGACUAGGCGCAGGGUGCCAUUACCGUGAAUAAGACCAACAUCCAGGGGUACUUCGACCCCCGCGUGCACUACAAAUAUUCCCCUCCGGUCCAACAAGCUCAGCCCGCUUGCAGCAGCAGCAGCAGCGAAGCUCCCCUCCCCGCUUCGUCUCCGGCGAUGGGUCGUCCUCGCCACGGCGGCGGCGGCCUGAGCGGCCGCCUCCUCGUCCUUUCGUCGCUGCUGCUCCUAGCGUCCGGCGAGGUCUUCUUCGAGGAGCGAUUCGAAGGUAUUGCGUACACACGCCUCCUCGCUGUCUGCUCCGCUCCUCAAACAGCUUCCCGAUUGGUAGUCCUAGCUUGCCCCGUGCUGUCUACGGAUAGAUGCUUCUAUUUCUGUCUUUUGGUUCGAGUUGCCGAAUUGGUAGUGGCAGCCUACUGAAUUGGGAUGACUGCUGAAAUGCUCUGAGUGCAGACGGACGAUUGAUGGGCGUGCGCUACUUUUCGUUGUCACCCCCUUUGCUUUGCGAGUAUUAUCGUAGUGCCCCUAUGGUUGCGAGUAUAUGCUUCCGUUUUUGCUAAGGGCUAAGGCCGUCAAGGUUUUGUGUUUUGACCGUUUGGAGGUGAGCUCAACUGAUGUGCUCAAGUUUUCCAAUUGAAAUUAUUAGCUCAUGCUGAGCUUGAGUCUGUUCCAUGGAGUGAACAAAACGGAUGAUAUGAUGCACUUGAUGCAAUCUAAUGGGAUCCUUGCUAUUCUAAUUCAGGGCGUUUUACUGUGUUAGUAACUUAGUACUAAAUUGUUCUGUUCCGGUUCGAAUGUUCAGAUGGCUGGGAGUCGCGGUGGGUGGAAUCUGAUUGGAAAAGGAGUGAAGGGAAGGCUGGAAGGUUCAAGCACACGGCGGGAAGAUACUCUGGAGAUCCUGAUGACAAAGGUUUACUUUUCGAACCUGCCACGCUUCUGUUUCAAUUGGCUCUAUAUGUUGAGCAUUUUAUCAUAAAACAUGCAAUGCUUGCUCAGCGGCUUAGUUCCAGCAAGUCUAUUGAUCCAUGCGCUUUAUUUUUGUGGAUACCGCACCAGGAAUACAAACAACAAUGGAUGCUAGGCAUUUUGCUAUUUCAGCCAAGUUCCCAAAAUUCAGUAACAAGAACCGGACACUGGUGGUUCAGUACUCCAUUAAGUUUGAGCAGGAUAUCGAGUGUGGUGGUGGAUAUAUUAAGCUUAUGUCUGGUUAUGUCAACCAGAAAAAAUUUAGUGGGGAUACUCCAUACAGGUAAACUUCUUACCGGCAUUUGCUCCUUUAAAUUCCCACUCUUUCAAAGAUGCACUGUUUCCUUGCUGUACAUGUCAUUAGCAUGUUCUAAUUGUUGGUGUGGAUGAAUGUCACUCUACCUCACAUAAUCUGGCUGUGUUCUAGAAGUUGAUAUAGGCUUCACAGUUUGCAAAUGAAUAAUCCUGUCAUUGUUUCUGAAUGUAGUAUCUGAAUAUGGAUUGCAGCCUCUAUUGUUAUUCAAUUAUUCUUGUUGUCAGCUGCUGAAGUGGUGCCUGCUAACUUCCAUAACUUUCUCUUGUGCAGCUUGAUGUUUGGACCAGAUAUAUGUGGUACUCAAACAAAGAAGCUCCAUCUUAUACUUUCUUACCAAGGGCAGAAUUACCCCAUCAAGAAAGAUCUAGAAUGUGAGACAGACAAGUUAACCCACGUGUAUACUUUCAUUCUUAGGCCUGACGCGUCUUAUAGCCUACUGGUUGAUAACCGUGAAAGAGAAUCUGGGAGCAUGUACACUGAUUGGGACAUCCUCCCUCCUCGUAAAAUCAAGGAUGUUCACGCCAAAAGGGUUGGUUAUUAAUUUUAUAAUUAGAGCUAUAAUUUGCCCAGAAUUUACAGCAUUAUAAACUGAUAUUGCCCAACACAUACAUCUUCACUACAGCCUAAGGAUUGGGAUGACAGAGAGUAUAUUGAAGAUCCUGAUGAGGUUAAGCCAGAGGUUUGUGAUUCCACAAUUCUUUUCUGAAUAUGCAUUGUUGCACAUGUUGUGUAACGUUUCAUUGGUGUUGGCCAGGGCUAUGAUUCUAUCCCGAAACAGAUUCCUGAUCCAAAGGACAAAAAGGUACGCAAGUUCUAAGAUUAGUCAAACUUAAAAUGUGAUCCAUGGAGUCACAUAUGCAAGGAACACCCAUGCAAAGGAUUUAUUAUAAAUAGACACAGCAGAAUAUGGCAAAUAUGUGACUUUUUUCCUUCUAAACCAGCCUGACACAUGGGAUGAUGAUGAUGAUGGCAUAUGGAAGCCCAGAAUGAUAUCAAAUCCAGCAUACAAGGGACCAUGGAAACGCAAGGUCUGUUAUCUUGAUUGGCAAUCAGUCCUUGGCACAUCGUUAUAGAGUUCACAUUUUCACAUGCUCCUGCUUGCAGAGAAUUAAGAAUCCUAACUACAAGGGUAAAUGGAAAACCCCAUGGAUUGAUAAUCCAGGUAACCAAAUAAAGAUAUUGGUUCUAUUAGUGUGCGCGGUUAUGUAUUUAAUACUACCAUUUACAUUCAAGACAUAUCCAAUAUUCCAUUCAGCACCUGAUUUUGAAUUAUACCCCACUCUAAGCUUUAAAGAUGAAGUUUGACGCUAUCAGCUGUAUUAAUUUGCAGAGUUUGAGGAUGAUCCAGAUCUUUAUGUGCUGAAACCUUUGAACUAUGUUGGAAUUGAAGUUUGGCAGGUAACAUAUAUAGUUUUUAUUUUUUUAAAUGUCUGUUUUGUUAAAAUUUUAGCUUCCUGCUGCAUUAUGAUUUCUGGAGCGAUGUAAGCAUGAAGUAGACUUAUAUCUCAAACAUAUGCAGGUAAAAGCUGGUUCAGUUUUCGACAACAUUCUGAUUUGCGAUGACCCUGAUUAUGCAAGAAAAGUUGUUGAAGAAACUGUGGGUGCGAAUAGGGAGGUAACUGCAGAUAAAACUUUGCCAAAUUGGUCCCUGCUAUCUCCUGGGAACGCUAUCUUAGUUUUCUGUAUUUUUGUAGGCUGAAAAGGAAGCUUUUGAAGAAGCUGAAAAGGAGAGGAAAGCUAGAGAAGAUAGGGUUAGUAUGAAGCGCUGUGAUUAAUGAAUGAUCUAUCUUCAGUUGGACUUAGUUACUUCUAUGUCGAUCAGCAUUUAAUGUCCUCGAAUCAAAAGGAUAAUUAAAAUCUGUUAAAGAGGCUAAAUUAUCUGCUAAACUGUUGCACAGGAAGCUCAAAAAGGAAAGGAUGAAGGAAACCGGCGCCGAAGGAGGAGAGUAUGUUUUCUUCAUCCUGUCACAUAGCUCAUGUAGCUUUUUUGUCUUUUACAUGAAGAUCCGAACUAUAAAAAGGGUUCAACUCUGGUUUCUUUUUCGAAUUAUCACCAUACCAUCAAUGCUUCAUGGGGGCACAUUACAGAAACAAAUCAUAAAUAGAUUAACAUAGAAAUAUGUUCUUUUGGAAUGCUGUGUUUAUGGGUUUUGCAUUUGCACUGCUAGCUAGACUGCUAGAGGGUUGCAUUUAUUUGUGACUUGUGCUGUGCUUAUGUGCUAGAGGCGCAUGUCAUUGCCUAAAAUAUGAUGCAGUCGCACGUUCCAAAUACAUACAUACAUACAUGGUGCACUAACUCUCUUCCUUACUUUUACAGCGUCCCAGGGAAUGGGAUGACUACCAUGUAAGUCAAAAUGCAUCUUUUCUUUAACGGAAAAAAUGCACUUGUAAUACUUAUUAUGAACUUCCUAACUGGAUUAUGACAAGUAGCUUACAUACUAUGCUGGUUUCAUGUUCAGGAUGAGCUGUGAAGACCCCAACAUGAUACAUUCUUCAAAGCAUAAUCUCAAGCCACAAUGGACACGGCAUGAUAGUUUUCACCAAUAAUUGAUUCGACAGGCCAAAACUACCUGAAGUGUUCCUUGCUAUGCGCCAAAGAAUAUUAAAUUCCAGGAUUGAGAUGAAAUGGACAAGGCCGAAGAUCAUUCCUGUGUUUCUGCGCAACAGAAGGACAUUCCAGCGAAAACUUGACUUUUGGCACUGAAAUAGUGGGGUGAGACUCUGUUGUGCAUGUAAUUUACACGGCACUGGCAAUUUGCUAGCUUUGUAAUCUCAAAACAUUGCCUUUGCCAAUAUGAAUAAUGUAAGUUGACCAUACAAAAUUACGAUGAUCCCAAAUUUACUGCAUUAUCAAGUCCUUUGUCAUCUCAAAACAUUGUCUUUGCCAAUAUGAAUAAUGUAAGUACAGUAAGUUGACCAUUCGAAAUUAUGAUGAUCCCAGAUUUUACUGCCUACCAAGUCAGUCGCACAAAGUGCUGUUGCUGAGGAACACUUGACAUUCACAUAAUUUUAUGUUCAAAAAGUUACUGAUACCCUUGGAUUAUCAGCACCGAUGCAUAAAUGUGCAGGUAGGUUUCAGGCUUUCAGGUCAGAUCAUGGAAGAAAGGCCUGAAGCCCUGAGCCUACAAGCAGCUCUCAGAGUUUUCUCUUAUGCAGUACAUUCUUGUUACAUCACCCCGCCGAUGAGUAACUGGUUAAGCUUCCUAUAGUAAGGCCUAUUUAUGUUUAGAACUAAUUGAUUGAUGCUGCAGAACAGCAUCAGAUUUCCAAAAUACAGUGAGACAGCAGUGUAAAGGAAACAUGCAAUUGCACGAUGUCCCGCAAAACAAUGCUGUCCUGUAAAGAAAAUUUCUCCAAUGGUUCCGCGGAACAGAUGGAAUGAAUACUUAUAUCAGUGCUUCAUGCAAGCUACAGUGCCUAUAAACAACACGAUAAGAACAGCACUGAAGAAAUUCAGUUGGAAAACCUCACUUCACAUGGUAACUAGCACAAAAGAAUUCCUUUCUUUUCAAAAUGAAGAUGCAUCUGAAAGUCCAGAUGAAGAAUUCCUUUAUACCAGCAAUGGCCAAAGACACCCGUGACACCAGAAUUUCGAAAAUGAAUACAUAGCAUGGUGCCAACGUGAUAAAAUUUUCAUAACAAAAACAAGAUUUGUCAAACAUUUCUGCACAUAUCAUACAAUGUCUGCAACUCUUCUUCCGGGCAGCACAUCCAUCUGCAGAGUUCUACCAUUUCUGGUGGAAACCACACCAACAGAAGGCAGUGAGGGGUCUGUCACUGGUUCGAUCUCAAUAAAACUCAACUCCAUAGAUCCUGUACGCUUCAAGCUCAACACAAAUACAAGCACAAUCCAGCCGAGCAUGGUGAUCGCCCAGUAGUUGUUCAUCCCAUGAAUAAGACCCCAGGCAAUUGAGUACCCGACAAUGAUCCCCGACAAGUGGCCAAUGAAGCUAGCCUGCGGUACGAUGAUCGAUGUGAAUAUCAGCGACUCGAAUGGCGCAAAGCUGAUAGGCAGUGACAGAACCCCGAAAAUGUUCAGCUUGGAGGACGGCUGCUUGGCAGCCAGAAUUGUCAUCCAUCCAAACACAACGCAGGAGUACCCAACAGCAGUGACCCUCCUGAAGUACUCCACCUUGAACCUCUGAAUCAUCAUGUGGUAGAAGCCGAGGACGAGCAGCCCGGACAGCACGACGAGCACGAGCGUGUAAUGCAGGUAGUACUCGACGCCGAGCCCGAUCUGGCCCAGCUGCUCGACGACGCCGAGGCUCCACAGCGCGCUCAUGUUGAACACCAGGUGCACCACGCUGAUGUGCGAGAAGGCGGAGGUGAUGACCCGCCAGUACUGCCCGCCGUCGACGGCGGCCUCGUAGCUCAGCCCGACGUCCCCGUACCCGAUGCCCCGCUUCUGGAUGAACCACCAGAUCAGGGAGCAGAUGCCGAUGACGCUGCUGCUCGCCGGCUUCUCCAAUAUCUCGUAGAUCAGCGGCUUCCCCAUUUUUCUUGCAGCAGAAAGCUUCCUGAGAUUUCGGCCCUAGGACCCUGGCUCGGGGAUUGGGAGCAAAUGAUCCAGCGAUUCGCGAGGCGCGUGGGGAUUGGGGGGGCACUCACUGAUCGCGAGGGGAUAGGGGGCUCGAUUUGGUGUGCACGAAUUGGUGGCGGGAGGUGGGGUUGGAUGAUUUGAAUUGUGAAAUUUGAUGGGUUCUGCGAUGGAUCAGUGGCUCUCGCCUUGGAAUUUUGGAGGGGAUUCGAGCAGCUUCUCGGCGAUGCCCUAGACUGUUCGAGCUGGGAAUCCCUUUGGGUUCUGUUGCUUUGCUUCGGGAGAGAGGGUGGGAGGAGGAGGAUGUACGUUUUCCAAUUAGUCCAGGACUAAGCUGCAAAACGAUCAUUCCCCUUGAGUUGUGACUUCAGCUUGUGAGAUGUGGCUAAUCUUGCAUUUGCCGUAAGCACCCUAGAUUUCCCUUGAUUUCUUUUGUUGCAACUUGCCGCAUCCACUUGUGUUUCCGCUAUUGGGCCGGACCGGACCGUCUUUCUGGGCCCGUUGGAUAAUAAACAGAUAACAGUACUCAAUCGUGUUUUUUUUUUGUGUGUGUGUAAGUUCAUGUUUGAGUGCUUCUUUCAUGCUAAAUUUGCCUUCUUUUGUAGCUUUAGGUUUGAGUUAGUGUUUGAUUCGUCGAAUUUUUUUUGAAAAACAUCGAGGUGAUUCAAAUGAGAUGGAGUCGUGGCAUCCUUUUUUUUAAGAAAAAAAUUUGAAAAACAUCGAGGUGAUUCAAAUGAGAUGGAGUCGUGGCAUCCUUUUUUUUUCUUUUGAAAAAUUGUUCAGUCGUACUUAGGGGGUGUUUGGAUCACCAGGCUAAACAUUAAUCCCUGUUACAUUGAAAUUUAGAUACUAAUUAAGAGUAUUAAAUAUAGACUAUUUAUAAAACCCAUUGCACAGAUGGAGGUUAAACGGUGAGACGAAUCUAUUAAAUCUAAUUAGUCCAUGAUUUAAUAAUGUGCUACUACCGUAACCAUUUGUUAAUAAUAAAUUAUUAAGUUUAAUAGAUUUGUCUCGCCGUUUAGACUCCAUCUCCAUCUAUGUAAUUAGUUUUAUAAUUAAUUUAUAUUUAAUUAUCUUAAUUAGUCUUCGAAUAUUCGAUAUGAUAUUAGGAUCCAAACACCGUGGAUCGUCCACCGGAAGCACACGACUACACGAGUGUGAAAACUUUGAUGACCCAUGUAAUCUCUUUCUUCUCCCCCAAUCCAACCCCUACUCCACCUCCACCUCGGGUCCAAAAACAAAAGAAAAAGGGUAACAGAAACAGAGAACCGAGCAGGAAGAAGAAGGCCCGCCGCUCGCCGCUCUCGCAUCGUCCCCGAGCUCAGAUCAGGUGAGCGCGCGGCCGGAACCCUACCGUGUUCCCCUCCCCUGCAGUCUAUUCACAUCGCAAAUCGGGCUUGGAGGAGAUUGGGUUUGGGAAGAGCCCGGCCUCCCUCCGUCUUCUGCCGUAGGCGGACGGAAGGCGACACGGCCGUACGCCCGAAAAGCUCACUCCCUCCGGCGCUCCUUGGCCCGUCGCCAUCGUUGCGUCCGCAAGCGGCGGCGGCGGCGGGUUCCCGAGCCACAGCACCAAGCACGCUCCCCUUCCCCCUCUCCCUCCACCCGUAUUGCUGUCUUCCUCCACCAGAUCCGGUCUUGGUGGUGGUUCCUGUUGGGCUUCGGCUUGGCGCGACGGGGUGGUGCUGCCGGCCAUCUCCCCCGCUCUUUCUCCUUUCUGCUUGCUGCCGCCCACGUCCGCCUCCUCCCCGUCCAUGCCGUCCGCUCCCCUGUUCCCGAUCUAUUCCGGUGUCGCUUUCGACUCGGCUGUGCCAUGGUCGUUGGGGAGGGCUCGGGUGAUAUUCUGGUGGUUGCGGUGGGCUGCGCGUGGCCGGCCUGGGGCCGGUGGAUAUGCUAGGGGUUUAGGGCUAAUUGAUUGGUGACUUGUGCCAAUUCGCCGUGAUUUUGAUCUGUUGUGGUGCUUUUGUGGUGCAGGAUGACGGGCUCCAUGGAUCUCCCAGCGAAGGGCGGGUUCAGCUACGAACUGUGCCGGAGGAACGACUUUCUGGAGAAGAAGGGGCUCAAGAUCCCCGGCUUCCUGAAGACCGGGACCACCAUCGUCGGCCUCGUCUUUCAGGUGCAGCUCACAUUCACUUGUUAACUUUUCAUUAUUCUGGAAUUAGUAUUGUGUCUUUUGCUGGUUCGAGUUGCCCACGUUUGUGAAUUUGAUAGGCAUGAACCUAGUACUGUCGUUCUAAUGUUAGUAGGUUUGGAAACUUAUUUUUGGAGCGCUGAUCAGCGCAGUUGAUCUUUGGAAAAUCUGUCUGACAUUUCAAGUUAACCUUCUUAUGCACAUACCCAUAUUGCGGUACAUGUUAAUGAUACGAGUUGGGAAAAUGCUCAGUGCAAACCACCAGCCUAGUGGAACUCUGAAAAAACCCCUCUCUUUUGUAAUGUUUGUUUCUUAGCCUUUUAGUCGUAUUAGCUCAGGGGGGGAAGGUAUACAUACACAAAAAAAAUACUAAUACUGAUGCUGAAAUACAUGCAAAUGAUGCUCUGGGGAAUCUUGAUUUGAGGUAACUUGUGAUUGAAUAAAUCUAAUGAUGGUAGUUUUACCUUAACACUUUUGUAGCAAAUUUUUAGUAUCUGUACCUGUUGCUCUUAGUGCAGUGCUAACGGAUGAAAGAUACCGCAUUCCUGUGACCUGUUUGAACAGGCAUUGUUUCAUAUUGCUGUAUUGAGGUUAACGUUGUACUAAACUAUAUUUUGAUAUCUAGGAUGGGGUUGUUCUUGGGGCAGACACAAGGGCAACUGAGGGGCCUAUAGUUGCUGAUAAGAAUUGUGAGAAAAUCCACUUUAUGGCGCCAAACAUAUAUUGCUGUGGAGCAGGAACUGCUGCUGACACAGAGGCUGUUACAGGUAAAUGACUAAAAGAAUGUCAUUCUGGCCUUUCCAACUCCCAUUUCUUCCCUUGAAUUCCUUCUUACGUUUUGCUUCUUUUACUUCAGAUAUGGUGAGCUCCCAGCUACAGCUUCACCGAUAUGCAACUGGUCGUGAAUCAAGAGUCGUGACAGCUCUUACACUGCUGAAGUCGCACCUUUUCAAGUGAGCUCCUAUCGCACAGGCAUAAUUACAACUUCCUGUCAUUCUGUGACACCUGACCUACUUAUGCAAUUAUGUUUAGGUAUCAAGGCCAUGUCAGUGCUGCUCUUGUUCUUGGUGGAGUGGAUUGUACUGGACCACACCUACACACUGUGAGUAACUUGUAACUGGUUGUUGCUUGUUGUAAUUAAAAGUUAGGGUAGUUAAAUUACCUUUGGAAAGUGCAGGUUUAUCCGCAUGGCUCCACAGAUACUCUUCCUUUUGCCACGAUGGGUUCUGGAUCGCUUGCUGCAAUGUCGGUGUUUGAAUCGAAGUACAAAGAAGGGCUUACGGUAAGUGAACCGGUGCAAUAGUUCCUUGAUUUGAUUAUGUUGGCAAUAUAGUUUGUCUUCUGUGGUGACUGAAGUUGCAUUUGAUGGUGUUUGUUUUAAUUUACAAAUGUAUGUUCAUAUUGUAUAAUGCCUUAAUUCCUUUUUAUCUUCUAGAGGGAGGAGGGAAUACAACUUGUGACCGAUGCAAUCCGUGGUGGUAUCUUCAACGACUUGGGUAGUGGAAGCAACGUGGAUGUCUGUGUGAUAACCAAGGUAUGUAUUCCAUUUUCUGUGUCAUGACUGAAAUUGACAAAACACUGCAAACUUUGAAAAUACAUCAAAGCAUAAUGUAUUGUUACUUAUUAGAGAAUGAACUUUUAAACUAUCUGUGUGGCAUUGUAUUUGUCAACUUUGAUACAAUACUCCCUCAGUUUGAAACUAGGUAUCAUUCUAGCACUGUCCCAAGUCAAACAUUUCUAUAUUUUACCAUUAAUUCCUAGAAAUUCGUAUAGUUUAACAACAUGCAGAUUUUAUAUUAUGAGAAUAUUUCUCAUGGUGAAUCAAAAAGGAUAAAUCUUAUGAUGUUGCGGAAAUGCGUAUGUUGCGUUGGAUUUGUGGUCAUACGAGGAGGGAUCGAGUCCGGAAUGAGGAUAUACGUGAUAGGUUAGGGGUAGCACCAAUUGAAGAAAAGCUUAUCCAUCACCGGCUGAGAUGGUUUGGACAUGUCCAACGAAGGCCUCCAGAGGCACUGGUGCGUAGUGGAACCCUAAGGCGUGACAGUAAUGUGAAGAGAGGUAGAGGAAGAUCAAAAUUGACAUGGGAAGAGGCAAUAAAAGGAGAUUUGAAGGGAUGGAAUAUACCCAAAAAGUUAGCCAUGGAUAGGAGUGCUUGGAAAACAGCUAUUCAUGUGCCCGAACCCUGAUUUGUGGCUCUUGUUAGGUUUCAACUCUAGCCUACCCCAACUUGCUUGGGACUGAAAGGCUACGUUGUUGUUGUUGUUGUUGUUGUUAUGAUGUUAAACUAUAUGAAUUUGUAGAAAAUUAUGGUCAAAGAUAGAAAUGCUUAACAAAAGUAGAAUGACAACUAAUUUGAAACAGAGGGAGUAUAUUGCUUGCACAUAGUUCGAUUACUUCUGGCCUUCAAUUUCCAAUGAUGCUCAUUUGAGUAAACUAUAAUACUGUAUUUUGCAUGCUACCAUUUGGCAUAGAUGCCUUGUGAGCAAAUUGAAGAACAUGAAAUAUGUUCUUAGAAAUGCUUCAAAGGCUAACCAAACCCUUUUGACUUCACCAGGGGAAAACAGAAUACUUGAGAAACCACGAGUUGCCGAAUCCAAGAACAUAUGUUAGCUCGAAGGGAUACAGCUUCACCAAGGGGCAGACUGGUGAGUUCCUUGCUAAUGGUACAGAAUAUAUGACAUAUUGAACAGUAGAAAGUCAUGCAUGAUUCUGUUCUUGCUUGCAGAGGUACUGUCGACAAAGAUAACACAGCUGAAGCAGAAGGUUGAGGUUGCUGAGGGUGGCGAUGCAAUGGAGGAGUGAUCAUACAUUCUUACAUUCGGACAACAGUCAUAUUCAGAGUGGUCAUAUUCAGAAUUUACGUAAUUUUUCUUAGUGGGGCUGCUAGAACAAGAAAAAAUGGAUGUCUUUGUUGUACUUUCUGGACUGAAUCCAGACUUUUUAAAGGGCAUGUUUGGGUUGGAGCUGAUCAGAGCUGCUUGUACCAGUCUGAAUUUGGACGUCUGGGGCUGGAUCUGCUGCCUGUCCCAGGGUUCUAAGCAAACAAGCCCUUUUAUGGUUAAGUGUUUCUGAUGUUGACAUAUUUUCAAGUGAUUGUUGGUUCCGAAUGUGGAGUUGUUUAAAACUGUGAUGGUGUGGUAUUUUCUUUUGAGUUGUUAAUUUGUUAUUACCGCUGCAUCAAUUGUUAGUUUCAUGAUGAGGGAAACGAUUAGCAAGCAUAUUUGGCCCUUUGACUAGACAAAUCAUGACUGAUGCCGUAGUUUCAACUAUGCUGGACUUGUAGUGCAGGGUUCAAGCCUCAUUUGUUGUUGGUAUCUAUGUUCAGUUCUGUCAAAACGUGCAUGCUAGAUUGCUAACCGUGUGAAAAUUAUGUGGUGGUGGCGUGUCCGCUAAAGGAUUGUAUUAUGCUGUGUUAACACAUCUUGCAAGGGAUGGUUCGCACUCGGAUUUUUUUUUUUUUUUUUUUUGCAGUAAGGAAACGCUUGAUUCAAUGGACCAAAGUAUUUGAAUGCUUCUUUCGUGCCAGAUUUGCCCUCUUUUGGAGGUUUGGGUUUAAGUUCAUGUUUGGUUUCUAAAGACUAUGCUAAAGCGAGACUGGGAGGGAAGUGAACUUUGUGCUUUCGCACUUCUUUGGUUGCUCUGUAACCAAAUAAGUAUGUUAGGAGUUUGAUGAUGGAAGUCUUUGGGGCUAAUUGCCGACCUUCUCGUUUGACCAACAUUGGAUUUGGGCAAACCAUUUUAUAAAAAAGCAGUGCUACUUUUCACUCUGUUGCCCUUGCGGCGGCUACUUGCUGGGCUAUUUGGAUACAUGUUUUGUAAAGAAAAAAAAAUCUCCUACUGAGAUUACUGUUGUUUUAUCUCUUAGGGGUGUUUGGAUCCCUGGGUUAAACUUUAGUUCCUGUCACAUCGAAUGUUUAGAUACUAAUUAGGAGUAUUAAACAUAAACUAUUUACAAAACCCAUUGCACAGAUGGAGGCUAAACGGCGAGACGAAUCUAUUAAGCCUAAUUAGUCCAUGAUUUGACAAUGUGCUACUACAGUAACUAUUUGCUAAUGAUGGAUUAAUUAGGCUUAAUAGAUUCGUCUUGCCGUUUAGCUAUUCGCUAAUGAUGGAUUAAUUAGGCUUAAUAGAUUCGUCUCGCCGUUUAGCCUCCAUCUGUGUAAUUAGUUUUAUGAUUAACUCAUAUUUAGUUCUCCUAAUUAGCCUUCGAAUAUUUGAUGUGACACGGACUAAACUUUAGCUCAGGAUCCAAACACCCCUGCAGGACUACAAAAACUAGAAAACCAAGAGCUGCUACCAGGUGGUGCCGAAUGUACAGAAGUUCAUCUGUUCAUGUUUGGUUUGUGAAAAAAACAUAAAAAUAUUUUGGUGGUUGCAAUGGGGGAGUAGUGAUAUCAUUUCCUCUCUUUUUUCCGGUAUAUUUGUUCAGUUGUAAAAUGGAUUAUUGUCCAUUGCAGGCACAUGACGUGACUAGCGAGGCGCUGCAGAACCCAGCACUUGAUUUGAAAACUCAGAGGGUGUUUGGAUCUUUAGUUCGGACAUGUCAAUAUUCGGAGACUAAUUAGGAGGAUUAAAUAUGAGCUAAUUAUAAAACUAAUUACACAGAUGGAGACUAAUUCCCAAGAUGAAUCUAUUAAGCCUACUUAAUCCAUCAUUAGCACAUGUUUACUGCAGCACCAUAUUAUCAAAUCACGGACUAAUUAGACUUAAUAGAUUCAUCUCGCAAAUUAGCCUCCAUCUGUGCAAUUGGUUUUGUAAUUAAUCUAUAUUUAAUACUUCUAAUUAGUAUUUAAAUAUUCGAUGUGAUAGGAAUUUUAGGAGCUCCUGAACAAACAAACGAGCUUAACUUGCGCUACAUACUCAUAACCAUGCGAAUUUGGGACGUAGUGGUGGUUAUGAAGCAAUGGCACUAUAUUAAAUCAACAAUAUAUAUAUAUAUAUAUAUAUAUAUAUAUAUAUAUAUAUAUAUAUAUAACAAAUCAUCUACGCUCGUGUAAACACAAGGUAGAGUACAGUAUACAUAGACGAGGAGCGGCUGCACGCGCGUACAUAUACCCGGUAUACAUGAAUCUGCGCCUCAUCUCGUACACCCGGAUGCAGUAUCGUGCACGCUCCAAAGCCCGAUGGAUCGGUCGCUGGAUCAAGCAGAAGCAGCUCUCCAGAGCCUGACCUCGACAACAGCCGAGGCGAGGACGCAGACCGCGAGGAACACGCCGUAGAACGCGGAGGCCGCGGCGGCCUCGUGCGCGACGGACAGUCCGACGAAGACGUUGGCGACGGCGCAGGCCACCGCGGCGCGGCCGACGUAGUGGUGGUACCAGUUCCAGUACCGCCUCACCUUGGACCCCUUCCCUGGACGCGCCAGGAACGCCAGCACCUGCAGGCAGCCGAAGACGAGCACGGCGACGCCGAGCGCCUGGUGGCGAACUGGAAGGCGAGGUAGAGGCGGGACGCGCGCGCCGCCAGGAGGGUGGUGCCCGGGAGCGUGUUUAUACACUUGUAUGUACAAGAGAGCAUGAGGUGAUUGACGACGUACGCGCACGAUGAAGCCUUGGGAGGGCCAAGCGUCGAGGCAGGUGAGGUUGGAGGUGUCGAAGGGGAUGAGGCGGCUGACGGCGGCGAGGCUGGGGCUGGAGGCGCACGAGUCGGCCGUCUGGGACCUCGCGACGGAGCUGAUGGAGCAGGACAGUAGCAGCACGAGUAGCGCGCUGCUAAUGCUGGCGCGGGAAGAACAAAAGACCUCGGCUUCAUGUUCCUGUGUGCAUCUGAUCUCUCUCCUCUGGGCUCUGGCUGGCUGGCUGCUAGUGAUGACUUGGUGAGGUUUGCUGUGGGCUGCGGCGGGCAGCUCUCAGGUUGAUGGCUGUGGUUUCCUGGCGAAAACGGAGGUGUAGAUUAUACGGAUCCGUUUGAUUCGAACGUGAGACCUGUCGAAACGUAAUUAAGCUUGCUUCGACGAAUAUGCAUGCUCAGUAGACAACGCGUGGCAGUUGAGCCACGGUCCCAAUUGGUGUAAGCUUUUUUUUAUAAACAGAGUAGAGUAUCUAUCAUAUACAGGCGUCUCGCAGUUGUCAACCAUUAAAAGAACAAUGCCGUUAUUUUUUCCUGAAAUCAGCGCUGAGUCGAAGAACUAAACCUGGACGUGGAUAAUUUUCACCACAACGAACCUAUGAUGCCCAUUUCGCGAUCUAUGCAGUAGUUUAACCGGACUUCAUUUUAAGUAGAAGAACGUUGUAGGCGCUUCAUUUGGAAAACUGCAAAAACAGGAACGAGCAACUCGAUCUGCAUGCGGAUUGGAUUGUACAAGGUCCGCUCAUGGUUUUACGAGGAAAUCAAACGCAAGGUGCAAUGAUACAAUAUGCGCACAUCACACGACAGACUUUAGUUUCAGGCAGGCAAAGAACAUACGUGCUCUACCCCUGAAGAUCUCCGUGACUGCUACACGGCGAGGUCGUUCGACACCGAAAGUGGUUGCUAGUGGAGUAAGACGGAGUAGGACGCCCGCGUGUAGCAGUCACACGCCCUAGCCUUACGGUACAGACUGGCAAGCGCACGAGAUAUAUUAUUUGCUGGUUUGAUAAGACCUGGUCCGUGAGCGGCUGCCCGGCGAGCUGGAACGCGAGGUGGAGGCGGGACCCCUUGGGCACGACGGUCGGCGCCGCGCGCGAGCGCCAGCUUGCCCUGGUCCGGCGGGCACGACCUGGAGCUCGUCCCUGCGAGGUAGUACUGCCUCGCGGAGCCCGCGACGCCGCCGGCCGCCACCCACCCGACCACCGCGCUGCUCCCCACCAUCCGCCCCGUCGGCGAGAAGCCGAUGGAGAUGUACCCGCCGUUGUCCGGCGCCGACAGCACGAAGCUCCACACGUUGCUCCCCUGCGCCGCCGCCUUGCCGAACUGCGCGCAUGCCAAGAAGCCGCCGCCGUGCCCGGCCGACGAGCAUUAACGUAACGCUAUACGUGAAAAUUUGAGACUAAUAUCGAUCCAUUAACGCUGAGCGCUUACUCUUAGGAUGAAAUCUUGCGAGGGCCAUGCUUCGAAGCAGGCGAGGCCGGUGGUGUUGAAGGGGACGAGGCUGAGGCCGUUGCUGCACGAGUCCGCCGCGCUCUGCGAGCUCACCGAGGGCGGGUACAAACUGACGAAGCAGAGAGCCACGACGACCGGGAGAGAGCGUGGCGUGGUUCGCUGCUCUCGUGGUUCUGGCCAUGGCGCGCGCGUGCACGGAGGGUGAACGCGAGGUCGUCGAUUGAUUUCGCGAGCUUCGUGGUGGUGAGACGAUCGAGUGGAGUCGAAAGCUAUGGGCGCCGUGGCCGGCGUGCCCAGCGAGUGUCUGGAAUGAUUUGCGAGGUGAUGGCGCGUUUUAAAUAAGCGAUUGGCGUGUGUCCCGCCUUUGAUAGAGCAUUGUUUAUGUGGAGAUUAGGAAUGAGUUGGUGUGCAUGGUGUACUAGAAUAUGUUGGCUUUUAGUUCUCUUCUGGAAAUUAAAUAUGUUGCCUUCUGGUUGCUUUAUUUCUUGCAGUUUCAUUAGUCCUCUUUAUUUUUUUAUUUUUUAAGCAAAAAUCAUUUCAAACUUUAUCUUGACUUCAUUUGCAAAAUAAGUUCGUUACCAAAAAACGCAAAUACAUGGGCUGAAGCUUUGUGGAUAAAAGCUCAAAUCCACCCAGAAAACAGUUUUUUUGUUGUACAGUUGGACCGCAUCAAAUUGACCCAAACCUUCUCUUUUAUUGGGCUUCUCCACAAAUAUUCCUUGGGCCGUGUGGGCCGUUCUAAGCUUCCACGGUCCAUUCGACCCGACUCGACCCGAGAUCGCUCUCUCUUCCCACCGCUUCUCUUCUCCACACGAACUCACCCUCGGAGAUAGAGCGAAUCGAAACACCAAGCAGAAAAAAAAGAAGGUAGUGAACAAAAAAAAAAAAUCCCCCGCUUCGUUCUCGGCUAACCCCCCGCCCGAAUCGAUGGAGAUUAGGGCUCCGCCGACGAGCCUGAGGCUCGCGCCGCCGCCGGCCUCCGCCAGCUUCCGCCGGACCGGCCUCAAGACCUCCUUUCUCAACGGCCGCGGUGCGUCCCCCCGAAUUCGUACCCCCACUUCCCCGUCUUAUCCGUGCUCGCGGUAGAGGUUUGUGCAUGAUGUUUUCGUUUGCGCAUUCGAUUAGCGUGCUCCAAUGUUUAUUUGGUGGCUUGGGGCAUGCUUGGUCGAUAGCCACACUUUGCAGUGCCAAACUUGAGAGUUUGUAGUUCGUCAUGCUGUUGUUGAUUCAGUGCCAACAGUUGGAGCGUUGUGGUCACUGCCUUUGCUUGCCCCUAUUGUGUACUCACGUCCUUUUCCAUGAUGGUGUUAAGUAGCUCGUUGCAACAGACCAUUAUGUGGUGGAGGUUGCAAUGUUAGGUCUGUGUAAGGCCCAACUUGUUUGCACCAUUAUCGAAAAAAUGAGCAUAAAACUAUGAUUUCAGUUUCAGUUGGUUAUGUUUAAACUUUGAAACACAUCAUUUCUUGAUUAAAUGGUAUCCUAUUUUCUCUAUCUGCAGAACUAAAUGAGUCCUAGUGAUUUGUAAAUGACCCUGGUUUUAGAUGCAGAUUGAAUUGAAGUAUGUAUCAUCAAACUAAAUGUGUUGGGGAAUGCUGAUUGGAGCUCUAAUCAUGUUUAUCAAUGCUAGUACAGUAUGUACCACGCUUCGGGGCCUGCCCUCCCUUUUUAUCUAGAGUUCCCUGAAAUAUGCUAUCCCAUAAACUUAAAAAACAUAAACGGCCUCCAAUAAUCUUUCAUUGUGUGAGAUGGCAGCUUGGCGAAACCAUUGUUUGACGAUUAUGGAAACAUCUUAGAAUUUCAGAAAAUAUGAUUUUCUUUCUUCCAGUCAAUGUUCUCGAUGCACAUGGUAAUACAGAUAUUGGAUGGCAUGUUGUUGCAUUACUGUCAGUAAUGCUAGCCAUUAUGCUUCAUUUGAGAGCAAUAGUAAAAAGAUGCUAGAGUAUAAUAUGGCGAUGAGCUACAAGCCAUGUUGACAACUUCUAAUUUACCUAUUUCUUGCUCUGCAGUUUCACUUAGAGUUGUGCACAUACGACAAUCAAACGUCAGCAGAUUUAAGUGCAAUGCCAACCUCUUUGAUAGACUAUCUAGGGUUGUCAAGGUGAGUGGUAUCGUUUCCUUCAUUAUAUCAUCAAUAGAUUUUUUUUCUUCUGCUUCUGAUUAUCUAAAGCACUUGGCUCUCUGGUUUGUCUAGUCCUAUGCAAAUGCUGUUUUAAGCACAUUUGAAGACCCUGAGAAGAUACUAGAUCAGGCGGUUCUCGAGAUGAAUGAUGAUUUAACAAAGAUGCGUCAAGCCACUGCUCAGGUUUGUUCUGAUUGUAGUCAAUCAUAAAUUUCAUCAUUGACAGCACAUGCUCUUAAUUUUUGUUGUGCCUUUUCUCCAUUUGUGUUUGCCCUGUCAUCCUUGUCCUUGACAUAGGGCUUGGGGGGUGCCUCUGCGCGCUUGGGGGCUGUCAGAGGUUAACCCCCAUGUUUUAUUUGUACUUAAACUUCUUUCCUUCUAUAAUGAAAGGCAGAGCUCUUCUCUCCUUCUAUAAUGAAAGGCGGAGCUCCUGCCAUAUUGCUUCAAAAAAAAGCACAUGCUCUUAAUUUCCAUUAGUAUCUUAAUGCUUCCUUUUCAACUACUUUCUGUUCUAUUGCCAUUCCUGUUCCCUAAUAUUUUGUCAGUUAGCUGCUUCUUAUAUUUGUUGCUCACUGUGCAUUCACAAAAUGAAAAUCUGGUUCUCUAUACUUGUUCUAUUGCACUCUCCUGCUGACAUGGAUUGUGGUUUUGGAAGGUCUUGGCAUCUCAAAAGCGGCUUGAGAACAAAUACAAAGCUGCUGAACAAGCUUCCAAUGAUUGGUAAUAUUAUGGUUAAUUGCAAGCAAACGUUGGGUUCUGCCAUCUGAUUGCUUUACUGUAAAUUGUUUACAUUUUUAUGAAAAAUGUAGGUAUCGGAGGGCUCAACUUGCUCUUCAAAAGGGGGAUGAGGAUCUUGCCCGUGAAGCCCUUAAGCGGCGUAAAUCAUAUGCUGUAUGUAUCAUCUAAAUCUAGAGUUAUGGUUCAAUGUCUGCUUUGUCAUACUGUUUAACUGCAACUUAGUUUUUACCUUUUAAUCGUGUCACAUGGAUGUUGUGCAAAGUGUUUUGCUGGCUUUUUAUCGCGCUGUUUGGCAAUAACGUGUCUGCAACAUAUACUCUUAUAUUACAAGUACCAUAUAUUAACUUUACAUAUCAAAUUCCUGAUACACUUCUAUUAUUAUUGUUAUUAUUUGCUUAGGAUAAUGCAAGCUCCUUAAGGGCCCAGCUUGAUCAGCAGAAGGGUGUUGUUGAAAAUUUGAUUUCAAAUACCAAGGUGAGCUUAUUAGCCGUUACUGCAAUCUUGAUUUUGUGUCAGUAUUAUUUGUCUAUUUGAUUGGAUCAACGUGGCACAAAUGGUGAAAGGUGCUUAUUUCACUUUUUUUAAUCAUGAGAUUAUCUUUACUGACCCGUUGAGUAUGCCAUUGUGCAGCUUCUUGAGAGCAAGAUAGCAGAGGCCAAGCAGAAAAAGGAUACCCUAAAGGCCCGUGCUCAAUCAGCCAAGUAUGCAUUUAUCAUUUACUAAUUAUUAUUUCGUUCCUGUGUAUUAUGGAUGCACUGAGAUUUUCCCCCCUUCAGGACGGCAACAAAAGUGAGUGAAAUGUUGGGUAAUGUAAAUACAAGCAGUGCCCUUUCAGCAUUUGAGAAAAUGGAGGAAAAAGGUAUUAUCUCCUUGACUAUUACUUACUCAACCUGUUUUCACUGUGGGUGUGCUGGCACUGGUUCCUAUUGAGGCCAGAGACAUGUUAUGUGUCAAAUGUAGAUUAAAACUGCAAGAGUUCAAGCAAUGAAAAUACUGUCAAGUAGUUAACAUCAAUACCCUGUAGUGGUUUCGGAGCAUAUCCAAUGUACAGCUAAAGGCUUCCAUAACUUAGCAGCAAAAAAAUCGUUACCCUGUUAGCCACCAAAUAUUCUAAGUACACCAUAUCAGCUAAAUUUUAGGAGACAAUGUAAAUUAUUGGCAGCUACACUGUCAAAGUUCACCAAGAUGACACAUGCAUUUUUGUUGCCUUUUGAACAUAUUCUCAUUUUCCAUAGCAAGAUUUUUAUUGGUAUAUUCCAGAAUAUGUCACUAUUUAUAAUCUUGGCAAAGUACAACUAUCUCAUCUUCUUGCAUGGUUGCAUUGCAUGUGUUGACUUUUUAAGGUUACACACCUGCUUUUAAGUUGAGGAAUGACAUCGACCUCUACCUUUUCUUCCUGGCCAAGUUAAUUUGCAAUGAGUGAUACCUCAUGAGAAACGAUUUGAAUCUUUGGUUCAUAAAAAUAAUUGCAAAUUCCGUGCUGUUAGUUAUGGCGAUGGAGUCCCAAGCAGAGGCACUUGGUCAGUUAGCAACCGAUGAUCUAGAAGGAAAGGUAAAAUUGGAUGUCAUGAAGUGAUCAUUAUUAAUUCUAUUGUAGUAAUCACAUAUUCUUAUCACUAUUUAUUUGUACACAGUUUGCAUUGCUGGAGACUUCAUCUGUUGAUGAUGAUCUUGCGCAAAUGAAAAGAGAACUAUCCGGAAGUUCAUCGGUACGUAUUUUUAUUGGAUGCUCAGAUUAUCAGUCGGUAACAAAAUUUCAAGCUAAUGAUAUAUUUCCCAUUGAUUUUUGUCUGUUUUGUCUUGCGCAUGAUAAUGAAAUGUGAUCUACUUUGAUGUAUAUGAGACAUAGGACAUACAAAAGUUGUUGUUCAGCAUACUUAUGGGCCCCUCUAAAAAGUAUUGAUGUUUUCUCAUUUCAUUUUCUAUAAUCUCAAUUAAUCUUCAGCUUUAAAAGUUGUUUCUGCCGUGUUCAUCAUACUGACAUAAAUUUGUACCUAGUAUAUCAUGCCAUACUGUUGAACAAAACCUGCAACUUGACAUUAUGUCUGUUGAUUUUCAUCCUCGGAACAAGCUAAGUGAAUAAUUCAUUACCAUAGAGCACCAACUUCUUUCUGUGUGUUUUUGGUUUUCCUUUUUCCUUCUUACAAACAUUUAUUUGUGUCAACUACAGAAAGGGGAGCUUCCUCCGGGUAGAACAGCAGUGAGCAACUCAGGUGCGGCUCGCCCUUUCCCCGACCUAGAGAUCGAGAGUGAGCUAAAUGAGCUGCGGAGGAAGGCCAAAGAGUACUAGAUUCCACCACUCGUGUCGAUUCAGCAGGCCUGACAAAAAUCUCGCCCCCCAGAAUAUUGUAUAGCCGCAGAUUUCUCCAAUGCGCCAUUGAAACUCCAGUGCACCUUGUUUGUUAACGAGUACGGAAUGUUGCAAAAUUCUCGGCAUUACCCCCUACCCCUGCGAGUGACAUUUGUACAGUUAUCCAUAAAUUGUUGUAAAUCACUGCUCGCCCUAGAGCCUUUUUUGCACACACAAUAUAUAAAUUCGAAAGUCUGAAGUUUCCACUCGUAUGGUUUUGACCCCCUCUGCUGGUGUCGUAACAUGCGUUGAGACUCUUACAAGUCUUCAUUCUUCAAGCCGAUCGAAGUUUCCUCGCAGUGGUCCAAGUCAGUACUCGGGUGCGACUGGUCCGCUGUUCAUGUUAAACGAUGGUUUCAGUGCCAUUUCUGAUGGUUCAGUCGCAUGACCGGAAGUUUGUCGGAAAGUGCUGUAUCAAACUUUCUGCUAUGUUGAUCGUGCCGGUCGUACUCUUUUGUCUUGAAUUAGCAUCUUGAUUCGUACUUUGGCAGGACAAAUUCUGCAUCGCAUGGACUUUGAAUGCCGCAUCCGUGGUACAUGCUUUUGUUCCUGCGCCCUUGCUUGUACGCAUUGUUGCCAUUCGGUCAGAGAGUUCCUCGUUUUUCUAUAAAAAAGAAAAGAAAAGAGCUUCAGCUCUAAUGUCAAACUUAAGAGGCUUCAUAAGCGAUGACGUUUUGCUGACGCGCACUAGCUCCUUUCCGUUGCACAGUUGGUGCCUGUGCCACUGUACACGACUUGGAGAAGGAAUUAGGAGAAGAGUCAGCAGGGUGGGCAAGCUCAACGCUGGCGUGUCAACCCAACCGAGCUCCUCCGGCUGCCUGUGAAUUCAACCGUCUUGACUUUCCAACGCUGCCUACUGCCUCGCCCGUGCCGUGCGUUGGGAACCGGGAGCACGUUUGCGUGCGUGCGCCCGUGUUGGACUUUGAGACGCCGACGCCGCGGUCUCAGCUCUCCACUCUCCACCACCCCAACCGUCUCCACGUACUGCACCGGCUCCGCUUCGGGUUCCCAUCAGGCGGCUGUGCCCCGGGCGGGCGGCGCUGGCGCACCAACCUGGCCGGCCGGCCGCUGCACCGGCCUGAAAACCCCCGUGCCGCCCGUGAGGGGAUCACCGAAAAUUCGGGCGGUGGCCCGCGGCCUCGUGGCAGCGAGCGUGGCAAACCCUUGACCUUUUCUCUGGUCCAACGAACGCAUCAGUGCAGUGCUGGCCGUGGGGAGAAAAGAAGGAAAAAAAAUCAAUUCGAUCUCAUCGUGGAGUUGAUUUCUUGACCGGUUCUUGGUUCCCUGCAGCCAGCAGCAGCACUGAAUAAACGAGUCAGCAUUCCUGCACGAAGAAUUCAACCUAGUUGGCUGCAAAGCGGAGACGUGGUGCCGUGCAGGGAAGAAAAAGAAAAGCCCGGCCGGCGACCCGGCACAUACCAGGCACGUACGUGCCCCGGAGUGGCACGCCCUAUAUAAACGCGCAGCGGCCUCUGCCGGUGUGUGUCCACCCACAGCACAGAGCCAAGCAGAGAAGAGCGCGGCGCACGCGUAGCUUGUUCGUCGUCGUGAAGGAGCCUGAGAGACACACGUACAGCGAGGCAGCAAGCUAGCCAUGGGCCACCGUGGGCUGUCGCUCGUCGCCGUCGUGCUGCUCGCGGCGGUCGUGGCGCUGAGCCUGGCGGCGCGGUGCGCGGACGCGGCGAGGCCCGUGCCGCCGAGCCCGGCGGCGGGCGCGGGGUCGGCGUACGACGCGGUGGUGUCGGCGCUCAUGGAGAUGCUGCCCCAGGGGCCCAGCGGGGGAGGCGCCGGCCACUGAGCCGGCCCGCGGACGGCGGCGUGCGCGUAGCCGCGUAGCGCAGUAAGCCUGCGGUUUUCACGAAAGGGUGAAGCCUGCAGCUAGCUGCUCUGUAGUUAGGGACUAGUAGACUGUACCCGGCCUGUGGUUUCACAGAAAUUCUUCAAGUUCUUUGGUUUCCUGUUCACAACACCAUUUUUGUUUUCUUGCUUUGAACCUCCUCUGGUUGGUUCUGAAGAGAUGUAAAUACAUCAUAUAGAUAAAAGCUACUCCUUGUUACUGCAUGGUUCAGUUUUGUCCGACAUAUCCCUAGCUGCUCUUGUGUAUGGUUUCGGCCAUUUUUUUUUUGGCUUGGUCUCAGCAAUUAGCAGGCUUCGAUGAUGGAUGAGAGAGCUUUGUUUGUGGUAUUAGGUAGGCCUGGACUUUGGCGACGAAUUGUAGUCCUUUUUAAGUGGUGUUCCUGGCCAACUCGUCAUUCUGAGUUCAGAUAGUCCUCUGCAACAGGAUUACUGAAGAAAUCUCAUAACCAAAC